This 223671-nucleotide long non-coding RNA is filed under the name Malus domestica (apple). RNAcentral's name for it is "long non-coding RNA (MDOM_LNC007116)". The stretch from base 56433 to 56526 matches the Rfam family "Small nucleolar RNA SNORD34". The record is from RNAcentral. Lineage: Eukaryota; Viridiplantae; Streptophyta; Magnoliopsida; Rosales; Rosaceae.
AAGACUCUUAAGUUCCUUGCAAUUUUUUAGGUUGAAAUGACUCAACCCCGUGAGAUUAUUAAUUGACUCGGGCAAUUCUUUAAUUUUUGACCCGGAUAAAUUAAGCUCUUCUAACUCCUCCAUACCUUCUGAAAUCUCUGGAAACAUCUCAAGACUGGAGCAAUCAGAAAGAUCAAAGGUUUUGAGAGAUCUCAUACGAAUUUUGCUAGGUAGAAUCUUAAGUUCCUUGCAAUCUUUUAGGUUGAAAUGACUCAACCCCGAGAGAUUAUUAAUUAACAGGGGCAGUUCUUUAAUUUUUGACCCGGAUAAAUUAAGCUCUUCUAACUCCUCCAUACCUUCUGAAAUCUCUGGAAACAUCUCAAGACUGGAGCAGUCAGAAAGAUCAAAGGUUUUGAGAGAUCUCAUACGAAUUUUGCUAGGUAGAAUCUUAAGUUCCUUGCAAUCUUUUAGGUUGAAAUGACUCAACCCUGAGAGAUUAUUAAUUGACAGGGGCAGUUCUUUAAUUUUUAACCCGGAUAAAUUAAGCUCUUUUAACUCCUCCAUACCUUCUGAAAUCUCUGGAAACAUCUCAAGACUGGAGCAGUAAGAAAGAUUAAAGGUUUUGAGAGAUCUCAUAGGAAUUUUGCUAGGUAGAAUCUUAAGUUCCCUGCAAUUUGAUAGGUUCAAAUGACUCAACCCCGUGAGAUUAUUAAUUGACGGGGGCAGUUCUUUAAUUCUUGAUCCGGAUAAAUCAAGCUCUUCAAACCCCUCAAUCACUUCUGAAAUCUCUGGAAACAUCUCAAGGUUCGAGCAACCAGAAAGAUUAAAGGUCUUGAGAGAUCUCAUACGAAUUUUGGUAGGUAGAAUCAUAAGUUCAUUGCACCCAUGCAGAUCCAAUAAAACAAGGUUUGAAAGAGUCGAAAUAGAUGGGUGAACCUCAACUAAGCUUAUACAACUUCGAACAAUUAGCCUCUCAAGAUUUGGCACAUUUGUGAAGUCAGGGGUUUCCUUAAGGGAUUGACAAUUACUUAAAUUGAUGAAUUUCAACUUUUCCUGUGUCUGUUAAAACAUUCAGGAAAACAUGCAUUACUUAAUAAGACAUCUCACUCAAAGCCCAAACAUUUAAAAGAAACAAAUACAUGUAAAUGAUUGUACGUACCUGGGUUCCUUCCCAAAGUCGGUCAAUGAGACUAUAUUGCAUGUCAAGUUCAACAAGAUUUUCGAAUUGAAAGUUGGAUGGCAAAGACUUGAGAGGGAAACCAAGCCAGGAGAGAUAUCUCAAGUUAAGCAACUUUAAGGACCCAAACAGGUGGUGUUUGCAGCACUCAUCUUUAAAAACGAAGUGCCUAUAAAUGAUCUUGAGAAGUCUUCGUUGAGUCCUUCUAACAACAGCUUCAGCAUUUAUGUGCCUAUGAUUGAUCUUGAGAAGUCUUAGUUGAGUCAUUCUAACAAAAGCUUCAGCAUUUAAGCAUGGCCAGCUUGAGUACGAGAAAUCCACAAUUAUGCUUUCAACUGUUUUUGUAGCCUGUGCAAAUCAAAGUAAAGGAAAAUACAGAGAACCUUAGUUUUGAUUAUGAAAUUAAUGAUUGUUUCUUAAGGAGCCGUCUGAUAAUCAUUUCAUUUUCUGUUUAAUUGUUUUCAAUUUUCAUUAUUAAAACAAUGAAAACUAAAAAUUGAAAACAAAAAUGGUUAUCAAACAGGCCUAAGAAAUUGAUUUUGAUCAAAAGUUGAACCUUUCUACUAACAAUUGCAUAAGAAAAAGAUUUCUCACCGUAUUUUCAGUUAGCACCUCACAAACAUCUUCAUAACUCCACAACCUACUUCGUCUCCCAGGAUCUUUGCUAGAUUCUUGGCGGACAAUUUCCCGACCCAUUUCCUCUAAUGAAUCAUGCAUCUCCAAUACCCCCAACGUUGAGACAGUUAUGAGAGCUCGAUCAAUUAGAACUUUUAUUCCUGUAUGAGGAUGGAAACCACAACUGUCCAGAAUUUCAGUUGCCUGGUCUUCCUUCAUCCCUCUAAAGAAACAUGCAAUAUCUAGAAAGAUGUCCUUCUGUGUGUCAUCUAGUCCAUCGAAGCUUGUUUUAAGCACAUCAUGAACUCCCCUUUGUGGGAUUUUCCUUAUUUUUUCUAACUCACCUUCCCACACGCGUAUAGUUUUUUUAUGCAAAAAAGCUCCCAAGACUUUGAGGGCUAAAGGCAGACCUUGAGCAUAUUCUACAACACGAUUCGAGAGAUCAUAAUAAUCUCUGUUGGGUUGGUCAUUUUUGAAGGCGUACUGCCAAAAGAGUUCCAGAGCUCCAUAAUAACUCAAAGUCCGGGGAUUAUAUAUCACAUCAGUUAUGCUUAGUAACUGCGAAUCUCUACUUGUUAUAAUAAUCCUACUUCCAACACCAAAGGAACGUUUCUUUCCAAGUAAAGCUUCAAUUUGUUCUGAUUCGUCCACAUCAUCAACAACAAUAAGAACUUUUCUCCGACCAAGUCUUUUUAACAUCUUCUUAAAACCAUAUUUUGAUAUGUCAGAACUCCCCACCUUGUUGUUCGAUAUACUCGAUAGAAGUUGUGUCUGCAUAUGUGGUUUGCCAUGCUUCAUGAAACCCUCCUUGACGUUUUCAAGAAAGCAAGAAGCUUCAAAUCGACAUGCGAUUUCAUCAUAAACUGCUCUAGCGAUGGUUGUUUUGCCUAAACCACCCAUACCCCAUAUUCCAACAACGCGAACAUUAUUCGCUUCACCUCCGGGAGGAUAUAAUAAUAAAUGCAUUUCAUGCAUGUGAGAAUCCAUGUCAACCAAGCCAUUAUCUUUGCUUGAUGUUGAUGAGAUGUCGAUCAAUUUCCUAUAAACAUAUUCUACAAUUUCCUCAAUAAGCUCUGCAUCAUUCCUGUCAAAUUAAAAAAAACAAUAUAAUAACACCACCAAAUAAUAAUUAAUGGGUUUUUUCAUCUGUUAGUUAAAAAAAAAAACAGAAAUUAAAACUAAAAACUAGAUAUUUAUAAAAUUACCGCAAAACGUUACAAAAAUCCCAAAAAUUAAUAGGAAACUAAAACAAAUUAGAAUUUACUCAUAUUUUCGCGAAUCCCAGCCGGAUAAACUGGUGGCAGUUGUAAGAGCGGAUCUCCAGCUCUGAACCUCUUCCAUUUCAGCGUUAGAAUCACGAUCGUGCUGAGCAAAAGCUUCCUCGAAUUUUCUCUUGAGUUUACGAACGUCAGACGGAUCAACUUCAUAGAAAAUGGGGAGUACAAUCUGGUUAUUGGUAUCCUUGCAUUUCAAGAUUUGCACGAGUUCUUUCAAGCACCAAGUGGAAGAAGCAUAGUCUUGAGAGAAAACUACAAUCGAAAGCCUUGACUCUCGAAUCGCUGUCAGGAGCUCAGAAAGGUGGUCGCCUUUUCUGAGCUUCUCGGCAUCAAUGAAGGCGUUGAUUGGUUUCUUAACCAGAGCGUUGUAGAGAUGGCUGACGAAGCCCCUGCGAGUGUCUUCCCCUCUGAAAUUGAUGAACACAUCGUAUUUGCAACCAAGGCCAGAAGAAGAUGAAGAAGAAGAAGCAGCCAUUAUUAAUCGAUCGCACCUGGUCAGCGACGAUCGAGCAGCUAAGACUAAGAGAAUUGUAAGUACAGAGAUACUCAAUAGAUCUACAAAUUGGAUCACCGGAAAUUAGUCUGAUCGAUACCAAGUCAAUGAGUCAAUGCAAAAGGGAAAAAGGGGAAAGUGAAAUUAUGCUUUAUGUUUUUUCACAUCUUCUUCGGGGAAAUUUCGGUGUGAAAGGAAUCUUAUCCUUUUGAUUUUUUAACCGAAGCAAAUGCGAAGAAAAGGGUCAAAGUGGAAAAUUGAAUAUACACUUGCCUAUCCAACAACCUCUUAAUUUAAUAUAUUUAAUUGAGAAAAGUAGUUUAGAGGAAUGAUGGUAUCUCCUUUUCUUCUCACUCAAUCUUCCGGCAUGCGAUUUAAUCAUUAUUAAAGCCAAGCUUAAUAAUAGGUCGUAUUAUUUAGGUCGUAUUGGAUUAUAAGUUUUUGUUGUGAACUUGUGAUACGAUAGUUGAAAAAUUAAAAAAAUUAUAAUUUAAAUGUACGCGGUGAAAUCUGUUAGAAUUUAGAUUCAAAAUUGAAAAUUUUAUUAACUUCGUUAAUUAUUAGCACACGAAGCUCACAAAUGAAAUAAAAUAAUAAAAUGUAAUCUUCACGUGCUAACAAUUAAUGGAGAGUUUCAUUUUAACCUAAAAUGUGUGGCUUACGUACUAAUAAUUAACGGAAUGUUGAUAAAAUUUUCAAUUUUAAGCAUAAAUCUUAAUAAACUUCAUCACAUGAGCUUAAAUCCUAAUUCAACUAUCUUCUCACUACCUUACCUUACCACUAAAAAAAUUAUUAAUCAAAUUAAGCUUAUUACUUACUUACAAAUACGUAACUAAAUCACUGAAAGCUAUCUCCGUUUCUUUGCUGGGUGGACAGCUGUCUCUUUGUCUUCUUUUGGCAGAUAGCUACUAGACUCCUAGGCCUCGUUUGUUUGACGUCCUUAGCUAGGACUGGACUAGCUAGGACUAAUAACCCUUGUUUGGUGCAAGCCGAGAUUGAGUUUAGUGGGAUUAAGUAGGACUCGUGCCGACUAAAUCCUUCGUUAGCUGGGCUUAGCGAGAGCCCCCGAAAAGGAGGGGAUUGCUAGUCCCGUUUCCUCGUCUUCCCUCUCACGCCGCGUCCUCGUGCUCGUCCUGCACGACUGCACCAUCUCUGACGACGACUCGUCUUCCUCCACCCACCCCCUUGCCGUCUGCAACUCCAAUCCCCACCCAUGGAAGAACAAGUGAAUUAAAGCAGCUAAUUUGCAAGAACAAGUGUAAUCAGAGCAAAAAAGUCAAUAAAAAUUCGAACGGAAGAGAGUAGAGAGAUGAGUGGAGCCUACCUCCUCCUCGUCUCGUAACACACGGACUGGAUCCAUCUUUGCUCCUUCCAAUCUCAGAAUUUUUUGUUUUUCACUUUGACGGACGACAAAUUCAAACACAAGCCAAGAUCAUAUUCAGUCAUGCAUUUCCUCAGAAGGCGGCACACUGCGAGAUGAACUUGAUUGGUGUUUUGUUUUUGGGAUUUGACCAAAAUCGUAAAGGCAGAUUUUCUUCAUCUGAGAACUGGAGAAAAAUUGGGAAAGUUUUGUUUGUUGGGAAGGGAAAGGAACGGUAGAGAUAAGGGAGAAAGAAUUAAAAUGAACAAAAGAAAAAUAUCUGAAUUUUAAAAAUAAUUUAGUCCGGUACUGCACCAAACGCUUCACUAAGUUAGUCAUGCUUAGUCUAGUCCAAGCCAGUCCAGCUUAGUCCCUGAACCUAGUCCAGUCCGAGAUAGUCCGGUGCAACAAACGCACCCCUAGUGGCCGGCCUAUUUUCCACAGCUGGUAUAGGACUCAGUUGCUAUACAAGAAGUGUUAUGUUGUAAUUCACUAUUGAUGGAAAUCCAACAGAAUCUUCUUCGACUUGUUGUGAGGAUUUGGGAUAUUUAUGAAUCGUAUCCAUUUAUCGUAUAUUGUGGGAUCAGUUUUUAUUAAAUAGUAUUUGUGUUUAAUUUUAAAUAAAAAAAUUUAAAAUAAAAUUUUACCGCACGAUAUACUAUGAACGAAUACAAUUCAUAGAUCUCCAAGAUCCUCACAAGGAGAAUCCAAAAAGGAUCCGGAUUCAAUGGAAAUAUUCGUAAAUGAUCCGGAUUCAAUGGAAAUAAGCUAAUUUUGAAUCAAAUAACAUUACUUUAUUUUGUAAGUAAAUUAAUUUUAAAUCAAACAACAUUAAUUUAUUAUGUAGCUAAUUAAUUUUGUAUGUGUCAUCAUAUAUAUUAGGCGCAUUUUAUUAUAGGUGAUUUUGUGGUAUUCAUCUUCAUUUAUAAGUAAAAAGUCUUAGGUUCGAUUCUCACAAAAGUGAAUUUGAACCAUAUUAUUGCUAGUCCAUUAUGAGGCCUAACCCACCCUCCUCCCCCUUAGUGUAGAUAGAUCGUUUGUUCAAAAAAAUAUAUAAUCAAAAUAGAACGUGAAGCGAAACAAUAGAUCAACAAUAUUUAUGUUAAUUAUAAAUAGGUCAACUAUGUAUGUGAUACUUAAAUUCAUUUAAAAUAAAAUAAAAUUACAAAAUCUGCCACUACAGUUGGCACGCACUUCAAUUAACAUUUUCUUUCUCAUAAUUUUUAUAUUUGGAAUGAGUCAUACGAAUCAAAUACUGCAAUGUAUUGUCUGUUUUCUGAUUCUAUUUUUUUACAUUUGGAUUCAGACACUGUGUUGUAGUGUCCAUUUAUUGGUUUCGUUUUUUCCAUCAGUCACACGCCUCCUACAUGUUCCUUUGUACAUUUGGAUUUAGACAAUGCAAUGCAGUGUCUGUUUCUUGGUUUUGGUUUUCCCUUUUGGAUUCAAACGCUGCAUUGCAAUGUAUGUUUCCUAGUCCUAUUUUUUUCAUCAUCCACACGUCUUCUACACUUCACACUUUCACGCGACUCCUGAUUUUUACAUUCAGAUUCAGACAUUGUAAUGCAGUGCUCAUUUCCUACCUCUGAUUUUUACAUUUAAAUCUAGGGUUAAACUCUGUUUACUACCCUCAUGUUUCGUGGUUUUCAACAUAUAGUACAUCAAGUUUUUUUCAUCCCAGUCAUACCUAAAGUGUUAAUUUUGGGACAGUCUCGUAUAUCUGUUAGUCAAACUGUUAGUUCUCCCGUUAAGUGAUGACAUAGCGCCCAUGUGGACAAUGACUAGGCCCCAAGUGUCAUUAAAAAAUAUUAAAAUAAUUAAUUAAAUAAAAGUUAUAAAAAAAAUCAUCCCUUCUCUCCCUUCUCCCCUCGCUGUCACACCCCGAUCCAGACAUACGUCCAAAGAUCGACACGUGACGUCACUAAAUGCCCGUAACUCAACGUACCCUGCCUUUUGGAUAUGUACAAAAUAUAAUUCCAGAUCCAGAUGCAUAAUAAUUUUGUGUAUACUUUAUGGCUGCAUCUAACCUCUUCGUUAGACUGCCUACGUACCCUCAAUAGGGAUCAAGUCAUUCGUAGUUCAACUUUUCACUACACUCGAAUAUUUAUCACAUAAAUUGCCAUAUUUCAACAUAAUGCACAAUUCAGAGCAUGCAACAUCUCAAGGAACAAUCGACGAGGUGCAAUAAUAAUCUAUAGCCAUAUUGGUCAGCGGUAUAUCAUAAUCAUAACAAUUACAUCCAACAAUCACACCAAAUAAUAACACAUACAACACACUGACAUGCAAGGCUAGAACGACGCAGUUCGGCUGAAGCCUACAUCUCUGAAGCUGAAAUCAAAUCCAAUGAACCAAGUCACCAAAGGGAUUCUGGACCACUCAACGGAAUCAAACUCAAGAUACGAUUCCGGACCAUCACUCAACGGAAUCGUGGAGUAGUAAGGAUUCCAAACCAUCACUCAACGGAACCGGGGAGUACCAUGCAUAUAGAACCACCCAAUGUAAUACAAGCUGGAUACGAUUCAGGAUCAUCACUUAACGGAACCGGGGAGUACCAUGCAUAUAGAACCACCCAUGGAAUACAAGCUGGACACGAUUCUGAACCAUCACUCAACGGAAUCACAGAAUAGAAGGGAUUUCGAACCAUCACUCAACGGAAUCCGAGUCAGGGUACGAUUCCGGACCAUCACUCAACAGAAUCGCAGAAUCGAAGGGAUUCCGGACCAUCACUCAACGAAAUCCGAAUCAGGAUACGAUUUCGGACCAUCACUCAAUGAAAUAGAGUGGAAGAUCAAGGGAUACAACAACGGCUUGCAGAAACAAUACAAGAACCAAGUACUUAAUUUAGAAUGGCUGAAUGAAAAUAGAUCAAUCCAAUCAUACAUUACAAACCCCAUGACAGUAGGUUAACGGUCCACUACUAGCCCUCACAUUUCAUCACAUCAAUCCAAUCAUACAUUACAAACCAUAUUUCCAAAACACAAGUAAAAUCAUACUUAAUGAAAAUAGAUCGAUGGCCAGAAAUAAAAAUAACACUUCAAUAGAAUUCACAUUCAAUAAACAUAGGUCUAUGGUGUGUGUGUGUGUGUGUGUGUUGUGUUUCACAUUUCAAUAGAAUUUCAUUUAUAACCUAUAUCUUAUUCACAUAUGAUAUUAAUAUAAGAAAUCAAGGUAAUAGCUAUAUCACAUAUAUUCAAGUCACUCUCAAACCAAUGUGGUCCCACUAGGUUUCACUUAGUUCCCCGUAGUACUAAUUUUAGUAUUUAGAACGUUUCGAGACAUGUUGACCAAAAGCCAAUUCUUGGUCGACAGUAGGAUCCACAACGCUACAAAAUUUGAUCCAGAAGAUCCGAACAUCAUAAUCAAGAUCCGUAACUUCCUAGGGUCCACAUUAUUCUCAAAGAACAACGUACUAAAAUCUCAUCGCAAUCCAACGGUCAGAUCUCCGCCCAUUGCUAGAAUUAGGUGGCGGUUAACAAUUAAUUUUACUAACUUAGAAAUCUAAUUCAUGAAGAUCCGUACAUCAGAUUCCCGAUCUGUAAGUUCUUAUGAUCCCAAAAUAUUACGUACUAUAACAUAUUAAAGUUUGGUGACGAUUCAACAGUCGGAUCGUCGAUUUCUAUUUUGACUUAUUCACGUAUCAAAAUGAAACUAAGUCCAAACAAUCAAAUUACGUCAUACGGAUAUCAAACAUGAACCCAGGGCAUCUAAUAGUGCUUAAAAAGACAUCAUUGGCCCACAGGCCACGCGCCGCCGUGGGUGGCGGUCGGCCACCCCAACUAAUCGAAAAAUUCAACUAUUUUAAAAAUUCUCAAAAAAUUACAAAAUUGAAGAUCUCAAAGAGUAGAAUAAACUUUAUAUCUAUGGCCAAGUCCAAUUUGGCCUAGAAAGUCCCCAAUGUUGUGAAAACCGUACGGAAACCUUAGAAUGGGUGUGUUCGAUUUAACCUCCAAACUUGCUCUGACGCCUCCACCACUGCUUGGGAUUUGUUCAUGGGUUAUAGGGGAGUGCUUUGGUGGUAGUAGUUGAAGAGAAACAUUUCACAAUUGAUGGAUUUUGAGCAAUGGUUCCCGCGUCACCCAUGGUGCUUGUUCCCCAAAUUCCAAGACUAAUUCCACUCCAAUUUUGGGUGGAAUAGGUAGAAGGAAUGAUGAGAGAUGACUUGAAGGGGGAUGACACUGGGCUGGAUCUAUCAGCAGCGAAUUCCCCAUACAAAUAGAGGCGCCUAUCAAAAAGAUACUCCGAAGACUUCGAGAUUGAGGUAUCAUUAGCCGAAGAAGGCCUUGGCCAAUCCACGUGGCCUGCUUGACGAACGUCAGCGACAGAGACAUCAGGUGGUGGGGGACCUUCAUCUCGCCGGAAAUUGGCCGGGAGACCAUGAAUCCCGCCGAUUUGUGUCUCACGGGUCAAAAGACCCGUUUUCCACCCCCCACCUUUUUUUUCUUUUUUCCUUUGUCUCGCCACUCCUGUGGCUUUCUUUCAUUUUCAUUUUUUUUAGCAACAACUUCAAACGUCCGUAACUAUACCGUUAUAAUCCGGACUCGCAAACGGCUUUCGCCUAUGCAUUCGUGAUCUCGAUAUCUAUUCAACAAUAUAAAUUGUGACCUCGAAUGGUCUACGGAUUUUAAAUAAUUAAUUUCCCGAAAAAUAAUAUAAAAUCUCUAUAAUACCAAUAUGUAGAUUAUAAUAAUGAAAUCCAAGAAUGAGAUUUCACACUCGUCCCCAACCCAGAAGAAGAAGAAGAAAAAAAAAAAAAACCGAAUCUGCAACCCAGAAGAAGAUGAAGAAGACAUGUUUUGAAAAGUAAACUUUAAUGCAGGAAAUCAAUACUACAAAGGAAGUAGCUGAGCUAUAAAUACAGAGGAAUGUUUGAACUACAAAGGGAGUAUGUGAAGAGUAGGAUGCAAAGCUUUUUAGAAGUCUUUUUUAAUAUGUUGAGUUAAGUGUCUUUUUUUUUCAACCUUUUUGCUGCCUUUUAUAGAACCGCCAUUUUCUUCUAGAGUAAGCCUUUCCUCCUCGAUUCAUUCUCUCUGGUGCAAGCAGCUGAUAUGAUUUGUUGUCAAAGGAUGAGUUCCCACUUGUAUACUUGAGCUUUUGAUCCCCUUGAAACGUAUCAUCGUUGGCGCAUUCAUCAUAGAAGCUCCAGCUUCAUACUAUCAUAAACACCGUACAUUUGAUAUUUAUUACAAAAUUUUCCUUUCUUCUUUUGCUUUUUCUAAUAAAAAAAUUAAGGUUGAACACAACAGGCUUUGUGGUUCAAAAAUCUAAUGGAAUAUUUGAUAGAAGGGUUGGAUUGUUAGCUUUGGGCUAAUGGAGAGUUGACAAAAAUAUUAAUUUUUGGCUUGAAUCCUAACAAACUUCACCACAAGGAUUUAAAUCCGAUUUUUUUUUUUCACCAUAGGGGUAAUCUUCUUAUUAUCCUAUCACCACGGGGACCAUUGAUCCAAUUUAGCCACUAAAUCAUAUUGCAUCAACUGAACAAAUAUAUUUUUUGUAUUGACGAAGAUAGAUAUAACCGUUAAUCGAUGGAAAAUUCGUUAUUCGGUGGGUAUAAUUAUGGAUAAUUACUGAUGAUUAAUUUACGUUUAUGGAGUGGUUAUUUUCAUGGUUAUUGGGAUGGAUAUAUCAUUUCCGUCCCAAACCAAACCGUUGUCAUCCCUAUAUUUGUUUAUGAGAAAAGUUAAUGAGACUUUCUCAAAAUGAGACUCUCCAUAAACGAUCUAUGCUAACUCAUGUUUUUUGUACAAUACUUUAUAAUGUUGGCAUGAAAAUUAUGCCAAAAACAUUUGAUGGUGGAGAAUCCAUAAAUAGUACUACUUAUGAAAGAGUCUCCUUAACAUUUUUCAUUUGUAUAUAGGCUAAAUAGCCAAAAUGGUCCUUGAGAUUUGCAUAACUCAUCACUUUGGUCCCUAACAUUUCAAAUCGAUAAAAUUGGUCCCUGAGAUUGUCCACCAUCCAUCAUUUUGGUCAUUCCAUUAAAAACUCCGUUAAGUGUCUCGGAACUCUUGGCCGGAAGUUUGGACAAUUUUCAAAGCUUCGUAACUCAAUCGUUUCUUAACCAAAUUCGACCCAUAAUAUAUGAAAAUGAAGAUAGAAAAGUGUAGAAUAAGAUUAUACUUAUUUAUAAGCCCAAUGGCUACCAGAGAUAGCCGGAAAAUAGUCUCAAAUUUGACUGGUCUGAAGGAAAACUGGAAAACUCGCCGGAAACUAGGUAAACUUUAAACGUUCAUAACUUUUUCAAUACGCAACGAAAUCAAGUGAUUUAAAAAAAAAAUCAUACUUCUCAACGAGAAGAAGAGAAUGAUAUCUUUUUCGAUGGCUAAUGCACCGUGGUUUGGCUGGAAAAUGGCUCAAAAGUGGCUGUCUUAGUCUCAAGUUAGCCACUUUCGAGCCAUUUUUCGGCCAAACCACGGCGAUUUAGCUGUCUACAAAGGUACCAUUCUCUUCAUCUCAUCAAGAAGUAUGAUUUUCGUUUUUGAAUCACUUGAUUUCGUUGAGUAUUGAAGAAGUUAUGAACGUUUAAAGUUGACCUAGUUUCCUGCGAUUUUUCCAGUUUUCCCUCGGACCAGUCAACUUUGAGGCUAUUUUCUGGCCAUCUCCAGCAUCUAUUGGGCUUCCAAAUAGGUAUAAUCUUAUUCUACACUUUCCUAUCUUCAUUUUGAUAUAUAUGGGUCGAAUUUGGUUAAGAAACAAUUGAGUUACGAAGGUUUGAAAAUUUCUCAAACUUCAGGCCAAGAGUUCCAGGACACUUGUCAGAGUUUUUAACGGAAUGAUCAAAAUGAUGGAUGAUGGACAAUCUUAGGGACCACUUUUAUCGAUUUGGGAUGUUAGGGACCAAAGUGAUAAGUUAUGCAAAUCUUAGAGACCAUUUUGGCUAUUUAGCCUUUGUAUAUAUGAUGGGUAAUAUUAGGGAGAGUAAAUUUAGAUACAAAACUAGCAAAUUAAAUGACAAUAAAAUGAGCAUGUUUAUCAGCGCUUAAGUAAUAAAUUAAUCAUCAACUUUCACGUUCCUGUUGUAAACAUUCCUAGUUUAAGUAUGAUUGUGUAAAUCCUAGAUAAGAUUUGAUUCUAGUUAUCCUUUCCUAUUACAACUUGUAUUACUUGGAGGAGAAGAAAUAUCUUCUCUACCUUUACUACUAUAAAUAAAGGCACAAUGUAGGAGGGAUAACAACACAUACAUUCCCCUACAAUUCUACAAACACACAUCUCUCUCAUCUCUCUCUCUGCCGCCGGCUCUAGUCUCUCUGUCAGAUAAAAUAGAUCACAACACAUUAUCAGCACGCUCCUACCGCUGCACUUAGGAAUCUGACGUUGGAGAUUUUUUUUUCUGCAUCAAACCAGUUCAUCCAUAUCAUCACGCAAUCAGGUUCUUUCCAAACAACGGUUUUUAACUCGAUAUUUUGCAAGCCCUGAUAGCAUGAACAUUCACCAUGAUGCAUGACCCAACUUUAUGUUUUACGUAUUUUAGAUUCUACAUAAAUUGUGUAUGCUUCAUAACCAAAAUUGCUACAAUUAUGUGAAUUUGAUAUUUGCCAUGAAUUGAAUCUUACAUAUGUACAUGCAUUGAAACUAUUAUUUGCAUAUGGAUCAACGUAAAUAUGUGAUUCAUUAAAUUUAUGCAUAUAAUAUAAUUGAAUUGAAAAAAAAAUAUUUUUUUUGCGAUUUGGGAAUUAGGGUUCUUCGAACCCGUGCACUUGCACCAUGCAAGCUGCAAGCCACCAGGCCAGCAGCUUGCGAUGGCCCAGCUUGGUUUCCUCACCAGGCCUGCAGCCUGCAUCAAGUCCCCACGAGGGCUCCAACCCAGAAACCCGACGUCGUUUAUGGCGUCUCUCCCAUUGUAGGAUGGCUUGCAGCCCAUCCUCACACCUCGGGUUAACUUGUCUAACAGCCUGAAGCUCGUCCUUGACAUCGAUUGACCGAGAUUCAAUUGAAUCUCAUCGGUUUUUAAAAAAAAAACCCAAUUCGAAAUUUCUAGGGUUUGAUUGCAACAAUUGAGAUUUUAAUUUCUCCAUGUUGUAAUCAUAGUCGAAAACACCCCAGAAGGGUACCUCCGAGUCUUCCCGUCCAAGUUUUGGCCACCUGCAGUGGUGGCGCCGAUCAUCUUCUCCGAUGGAAUCACCUAACCUCGCUAGGAUUUCUUGGAUCCAGCCCGAUCCCAAAUUUUUUGGGCCUGGCUUCGACUCAGGCUGAAAAAUAAUAAAUUUUUUUCUUUUGGGCUCGCCAUUGCAAGCCCAGUUCGACCCCCUCAUUUUUUCAGCCUAGCGUUACAUCACACCAGCCCAAAUGGGCUCUGGUGUUCUCCCAUGCCCCAUACUGCAGCAGAACCCAGCCCGUGUGGCUGUUGUGCUUUCCCUGCAUCGUGAUACACACGAUUGAGGCAUUCUUUGGGCCUUUGCCACCUGGGCUUACCUGAAGCAGCCCGUGAGUGAAAAAAAAAAAAAAAAAGAGAAAUUUUUUUUAGGGCUGCACACAGCAGCCCAUUCCCCUCUUCUCACCCCGUGGGCAUGCAACCUACACCCGAGGGUCCUCGGCCUAUAUUUUUAGACCCCGAGAUUUUAUUAUUUAAUACUUUUAAAUAAUAUGGGUUUUUAUAUUUUCACCCACACUUUAAUUUGGCCCCGAAGACCAAAAAUAAAUUAAUUCACUUAUCAUUAUACAAUAUUUCUGCAUAUAUUCUUUGCAUAUUUGUUUGCAUAUAUAUUUGUGUUUGCCUGCAGGAAUAUAUGAACCUAAAGUUCAUAAUUACUUUGAAACCCGAAGUUUCUUCUAAACAUGCCUUGUUUGAAAACCUGAAGUUUUCACUUAAACAUAUCACCCAUGAAACCCGAAGUUUUUCAUGCGAAAUUAUUAGUUUUUGGAUAUUAAGUUUUUAAUCCUUGAAUAAAUGAAAUUAUUUUGAAUUGAUACUUGUUUUUAUAAACUUUUAUGCAUGUGACCGAUUCAAAUUAAUUUUUCAUUCUAGGUAUGACUAGUGGGAAAGUUAGUUGUCUGGCAGAUAGUGCAACCACGCAUACUGUUUUGCGUGAACGCAUCUAUUUCACUAACUUCGUACCUAAGAAUGCACCUCUGACAACCCUCUCAGGCCCAUCCAACCUGAUCGAAGGAUACGGUAAGGCACGUAUAAUGUUGUCCAAUGGUACAAUCUUGACCAUUGCUGAGGCACUCUAUUCUCCACGUUCCGGAAGAACGUUACUAAGUUUCAAGGACAUUAGAGAUAACAAUUACCACGCUGAAACCCACGUAGAAAACGGAGUUGAAUUUAUGUGCGUAACUUCCUACGAAUAUGGCCAGAAGCGUAUUCUAGAGAAGAUGGAGCGUAACCCGAGUGGUCUGUAUACUACGACCAUACGCCCCAUAGAAUGCCACUAUGUGGCCGGCCCUACCACAGGGACUGCGCACGAAAUUACACUUUGGCAUGAUCGUUUGGGACAUCCUGGACGAAUAGCGAUGCGCCGUAUCCUCAAAACUUCACACGGGCAUCCACUAACCCGAAGCUUAGGUUCGAUCCAUGAAAUUGCAUGUCAAACAUGUUCUAUAGGAAAGCUUAUUACUAAGCCUUCUUAUGACAAGAUUCGUUCGAAUCCUCCCAUUUUUCUACAACGGAUUCAGGGGGACAUUUGUGGACCGAUUCAACCUCCUUGCGGACCAUUUAGAUAUUUUAUGGUUUUGGUUGACGCUUCUACACGUUGGUCACACGUGUGCUUGUUGUCCACAAGGAACGCUGCAUUCUCCAAACUGUUGGCUCAGGUUAUCAAGCUCAGGGCUCACCACUCUGAUUAUCCGAUCAAAUCUAUUCGAUUGGAUAAUGCUGGAGAAUUCAUAUCUAAAACUUUUGAUGACUAUUGCUUGUCGGUUGGGGUUAACGUUGAACAUCCUGUACCCCAUGUUCACACCCAGAACGGCCUGGCAGAGGCUUUCAUUAAGCGUUUACAAAUGAUUGCUCGAUCGUUGGUCAUACAUACCAAGCUCCCGAUCGCUGCUUGGGGCCAUGCAAUAUUGCACGCAGCAAAGUUGGUCCGCCUGAGGCCUGCUGUGACACAACCAUUUAGUGCCCUUCAGUUGGUCACCGGAUGCGAACCCGACAUAUCGCAUCUGCGCGUUUUUGGUUGUGCGGUCUAUGUGCCGAUCUCGCCGCCCUUACGUACAAAAAUGGGGCCUCAGCGAAGGAUGGGAAUCUAUGUCGGAUAUGAUUCUCCUUCGAUUAUUCGUUACUUAGAACCUUUGACAGGCGAUCUGUUUACCGCUCGUUUCGCGGAUUGUCACUUCUAUGAGACAGUCUUCCCGUCGUUAGGGGGAGAUAAAAACGUCAACGUUCCUAAUGAACGACGUGAAUUAUCAUGGACGACUCCCACUUUGUCUCAUUUAGAUCCCCGCACCGCUCAGUCUGAAGCUGAAGUGCAGCGCAUAUUAGAUCUCCAGAGCAUAGCUCAGAGCAUGCCAGAUGCUUUCACCGAUCUAGCGCGCGUGACAAGAUCACAUAUUCCAGCUGCGAAUACGCCUGCAAAGAUAGAUGUACCAAAUGUACGACGGACUACUCUCCUGGAAGCCCGGGACGCAAAUUCUGGUGAUCCACGUACAUUAACGGCUAGCCAAUCAUCUGCCCCUACACAAAAGCGUGGCAGACCCCUUGGUUCAAAUGAUUCACACCCCCGGAAGAGGAAAACCACGGCACAAGGUCCUGAAGAGCCUACCGUGAAUCCGACUAUCGCUUACUCAUUUUACCCAACUCAUGAGGAAAUUCUAGAUUAUGGAAGCGUCCUUGAAGAGACGAAUCCUCCUCCCGAGAAUCGUGAGAUUUCGGUCUAUUAUGCUAGUUUAGAUGAUGUGUGGCGUAGAAAUGAGAUGAUUGUCGACGAUGCAUUAGCAUUUGCAGUAGCUACUGAGAUCAUGUUGAGCGAUGACAUUGAACCGCGUUCCGUUGAUGAAUGUCGACGUAGAGCUGAUUGGUCAAACUGGAAACAAGCAAUCCAAGUCGAACUUGAUUCACUUGCGAAACGUAAGGUGUUUGGACCUGUAGUUCCUACUCCUCCACAUGUGAAGCUCGUUGGCUACAAAUGGGUUUUCGUUCGGAAGCGUAAUGAGAAGAACGAAAUUAUGCGUUACAAAGCUCGUCUUGUAGCACAAGGUUUCUCACAACGUCCCGGGAUUGACUAUGACGAAACUUACUCACCCGUUAUUGAUGUGAUUACUUUUCGAUACCUUAUCAGUUUGGUAGUUUCCGAAAAACUAGAUAUGCAGCUAAUGGACGUAGUAACCGCGUAUCUCUAUGGGGAUCUUAAUAUGGAAAUUUAUAUGAAAGUUCCCGAAGGACUUACAUUGACUGGUUCAAAUAUUUCCAAACCCCGGAACACGCUCUCAAUUCGGCUGAGGCGUUCACUAUACGGUUUGAAAUAAUCCGGAAGAAUGUGGUAUAACCGUUUGAGUGAGUAUUUGACUAGUCAGGGAUAUGUGAACAAUGAACUAUGCCCUUGUGAGUUCAUUAAGAAGUCACAUUCCGGAUUUAUGAUUGUUGCAGUAUAUGUCGAUGACAUGAAUCUCAUCGGAACUCCUGAAGAGCUCGCGAGAACUGCUUCGCACCUGAAGUCGGAAUUUGAGAUGAAAGAUCUAGGAAAGACUUGAUACUGUCUCGGUCUCGAGAUAGAGCAUUGUUCGGAUGGAAUCUUAGUACAUCAAUCGAACUACACCCAGAAGAUGUUACGCCGUUUUAAUGAGGAUAAAGCGAAGUCUUCGAGUACUCCUAUGGUCGUUGAUGCGUAAAAUAAGUUAACACACAAAAUUAAACCCUCUUUUUGACAAUUGUAGUAUAGAUGUAAGUAGGGUAUCGUUCUAGGCCGGGGAUUAGGAGGGAUUGCUAAUCUAUUAAAUUAACUUAAAAAUAUUAAAUAAGACUCAAGGACACAAAACUAGGCUAAAAACUCUAAUAACUCGAAACACACUUAAAAUGACUCAAAAUAAUGAAAACAAUUAAAUUAAAUACUAGGAACUGAAAUGGACGGAAAUUAAAUUAAAAGACUAACAAUAAAGAAAACUAAAUAAAUAAUAUAAUUUAAUAAUGGAUGGGUGUUUGGUUUUGAUGAAAAGUAAAUUAAACUUAAUUAAAUUACAGAAUUGACAAAAACAUGAAAUUAAGGUGAAAUGAUAAAUGACGGACUAGCUAGAGGGUUCUUCUCCACACAUGACACAUAUGCAACCUAAAUUGAUUUUCAGUUGUUCUUUCAAUAAAUUGUGAAUCUCAAUACUCCAGAUUAACCGUGAAUAGCACUUUUUUAAUCUUCAAGUUUUCCUUAAGUUAUUGAAUUGGACGGAAAAAACGCAUACAACAAUUCAAAACAUUCUUCAAAAGUCCCCUACGUGAAAAGCACAAUAGCGAUACAAUCAAAGAUCAUUAAACUUUGUGAAAACUAUAAGCAUUGACGAGGCAUUCGUAACUAUGAAAAGCAUGAUACUCUUGCCAAGAAUUUACUUAACGUGAUUGUGACUAGCAACCUUUACUACUUGUGAAAAUAAGUUCAUAACGAUUAGGUGAAAUUCACUUAUAUUCUAGCAUCAAAUUCAUGCAUGUAAAUUAAGCGUACACUCUCAACCAACAUACACAAAUCAGUUUUUAUACGAACGGAUAAGUAAAUUGAAAUCACAACUUAUGAAAUCACAACCGAAGGUAAUCAAUUCAUAUUACAAAUAUAUUCAUGGUUUCGAAUUAACCUCUAGCCAAAAUAAAAUUAAUUACACAUUAUUAAAAUAAAAAUAAAAUAGGAGUUUGGAAAGAUUAAACCGAAAGAAAGGAUCUGCUGCUUGGACUCUGAACUGCAUUUUCAUGCUGACCUCCUGUCCUCCUCGCCACUGACUUCCCUUCUCUCCGCAGCUUCACGCUGCCCAAAGGGCAGCCCUCUGCCUUCCACCAAUUCCCCCCCUCCUUCUCUCUUCUGCCAAUCCCAUCUAUAUCCUCAUGCUCCUGACCUCCUCCUUAUUUCUUUUUUUUCUAUUUUAUUUUUUUUUGUUGCUGUCCACCACAUUCUCUGCGCCUACUGCGCUCCCAGCUGUCUCUCCUGCUUUCCACUGACUUUUCCCGCUCCCACUUCUCUCUAUCCUCUUUCUGCUGCCGCAAGGCAGCUGUCUGCUUGCUGCUUCUCUCUCCCUUUUUCUGCUUGUUUAUAUUUUUUUUUUUCUUCUUUUCCUUUUCCUUCUUUUCCUUUUCCUUUCUUUUUCUUUUCUUUCUUUUUCUUUUCUUCUUUGCCGUUCCUUUCUUCUUCUACAAAACAUGAAUCAUGAUGAUGUUUCAAACAUCAUCAUGACUUGUUAUUAUUAUUAUAUAUUUAUUUAUUUUUAAUUUUAUUUAAAAGCUGAUCUACACAGACAGUUUUGACGAAUUUAUUACAUAAAAUUUCACUUGUUCUAUUUUUAUUUUCUUUGCAUAACAAAUCCUAUAAACACAAAAAUAACGUAAAUAGCUCAAAAAUAUAAGGAACUAACUAAGAAAAGACGAGUGAAUUCGAAGUAAAAAUAUAUAUAAAUAUCAUCCGAUCAAAUACCCCCACACUUAACUUUUGCUAGUCCUCGAGCAAAACAAAGAAAACUAGAACAAGAAGUAACAAGAAAAACAUUAGCUUCCCCCUAUGUGACCCUCAUAGAAUUUCAUUCGAGAAAACAAAUCAUCAAGAACCAUAGCUAGCAUCAAGGAAAUAAUCCAAGUUCAUCUUCCUUAUUCAAAUAUUAGCAGUAAUCUUUAAAUCAUCCUUGAAGUGUAGUGUGUGAGAUAGCCAUGCUAAUGCAAUUUCAAGUUUUUAUUUUUAAAAUCAUCAUAUGCAAACUAGCGACCUUCUCACGGGAUAUGCACUCAAUCACACAUGUGUUUAGUUUUAAUGUGUUUCGCUCAAAGAAUCAAAUGUGAAAUUUCUACCAUAAGCUUGCAUAAAGAUCACUUCUCCACAGUCAUAAUUGCAAAACUUAAAUCAAGAGGACUUUUAUUGGAUGUAAUGAGGCUUAGGGAUAGGGUUAUUGAAAUGAAAGAAUAGGAAAACACAAGUUCCAAGCUAUAUUGCAAGCAAUUCUUUUGUUUAGAUUUAUAAGAACUCAAUUUUUUCAGCGAUUCUUCUAGCACCUCCAACCAUACCCUUAAACUGAAACUUUAAAAACUUUUUAUUUUCUUUGUAUACAAUCUUUCUUUUUCUUUUCUUUUUUUCUUCUUUUUUUUUAUUUUUUUUUAUUUUUAUUUUUUUUAUACAAACAUGAAAUACCCCCACACUUAUUCUUUUGCCAAACACCUUCAAAGUACUUCACAAACAUUUCUCAUAAGACAAUCUCACAUUGCUCACUUGGAAAGGGUAAGGAAAAAAUGUUUCAGGCAUAAGGGUAGACAUAUCUGGUGAUAAGAAAUAAAAGGCUCAACAUACACGGCUCAAAUUGGCAAUCUAAUGAUAUCAUUUUCUUUGGGAAACAUAGUUAUUUGGGCCAUAGUGGUAAACCUAAUGCCUCUAUCAUUUCCAAGUUCAUGCAAUCAAUGACAAACAUUUCGAAAGAUCGUUACGCAAGUUCUAGAGAUGUAUCUCACAUAAGUUCAUCACACAUGAAAGAAUAGGAGUGUAUGAAAAAUGCACACUUUCAAUAGGCUCAAAAACUCACAUAGGAUGUAUAUGGUCACUAAAUUCACAUAUGAAGCUUUAAGUCAUACUUUAGUUUCACAUUAACAAGGCUAUGUGCAUUUGGUUUUUCAAAGAUGGUCAAACAUGUACAAAACUAACAAGAGAAUUAGGAAUUUCACCAAAACACAUGUUAACUAAGUUCUUGAUGAUCAUGGUUCAAAUUUUUGAUCCAAUUAUAUCAUUGGGUCGGGAAACUAACAAAAAUCUGAUUCAGAACAAUAAGGGAAACAAGACAAUAUUUUUUGGAUUUUUAAAUUUUUCGAUUUUUUUUUUUUUUUUUUUUUUUUUUUUUAAGAAAACAAAAACUAACAACACAGAAACAAAUGAAAUUCUAGAGAUUUCUACCCCCACACUUAAACUUGACAUUGUCCCCAAUGUCAGAAAACACUAUAACGCAAAUAAAAAUAAAAUAAAUAAAUAAAUAAUAAGAAACAAAAUAAAAACAAUGGGACUGAAAACUUCCCUAAUUUGCAGUAAAAUCAAGCGAUGACCCCCAAGCUAAAAUUCUGCAAUCAACUUCAAGGGUGGAAAUAACCAAAAGUUUCCUGCAAAGAAAAGAAAUAAUACAGUUAAGUACGCAAGAAAAUUAAUUAAAAAAAAAAAAAUUGCAAACGAAAAAUUGAAAAUUACGAUAAAAAGAUAAUGAAUAAAACUAAUAAGUAAUCAUUGGUCGUGCUUGUUGACUUUCCACAGCUUUCCUCUUGAACAGGGUGACACUUAGCUUUUUUACUAUUUGAUGAUAUUGUACGGCGGAGCUUUGCUCUUUGGGAAUGUUGCAGUUCCUUAUUUGUUCUCCAAGCAGAUGUGGCAGCUUCUCUAGUUCCUCAGUUCGGACUCCUUCCGCUGGGAUGAUUGUGCAAGCUGCAUUCUUCUCUGCUUGUUUCUUCUGCACAACGGGCAGGCACGAGGGAAAGGUGUUGGUCCUUAUUUCUUUCUUCAAUCUUUCCAAGUGCCCACCUCUUGCUUUCUUUCUCCUUGUCCCUAGCUGAAUUGUCUCCACAUGCUUCGAGGUAUCAUUUUCACUUUCCUUACUGUCCCCCAGGCAGAUGUGGUAGACGAAGAGAAAGCAUAAAAUGAUGAAGAUGAGUACUCGAGAGCAAGGCUAGGUAAGCAAUCAGGAAAGGGUUCCAGGCAGUUGGCUCCAGAUUGGAAGAUUGAUACCAAAUGCUGGCUGAUUGCUCUCUUUCUCCUUGUCGGAAAACAAAGACAAGGAGAAGGACAUGGAGAAAGCAUGAUAUGAGAUACUCUUGCUUUCAACCUUUAUGAUAUGAAAUACUUUUGCUUUGAAUGGGUUGUUCGCAGGAGUAUCCCAAGGAAUGAGGAACACAGAGUGACUCGAGAGGAUUCUUUGGGAAUGCAUUUUCGGAGAUGAAGAGGUGUUGAGAGGGUGUGCUGAGAGAGUGUGCUUUUGCUGUGGAAGGCGAAGGUAGAAACUUAUAGGACUUGUCUUCACAACCGGAACUGUUCUCUCACUUAGUGUCGGCAGCCGGUGGAUGGGUGAAGAAUACAAAUUACGCGCUUUCUGACAAAGCUGCCCGUAAUUUCCGCAAAGCUGCCAGUUGCAUGUGACAAGUGCUGACUAGGCUGAGAGAGACAGAUGGUUGGAAUCGGCACUUCGACAGACUGCCCGUGAUUUUCGCAGAGCUGAGUUUGCGUGUGACGGGUGACAACACGUCUGGACGAAUUGAUCUUGCGAAAUCCGGGGUUCGGCUCGUGGUUUCUGAGCAAGCCCAACUUUUAAGAAAUGAACGCCUCUUUUGAGAAAAGAAUCCGGCUUUUGAGAACGGAAACUCCUCUUUUGAGAAAAGAAUCCGGCUUUUGAGAAAGGAGCCCCGACUCUUCGAUUUGCGAGAUGACGCUUCUCUGAGGAGCGCCUCUUUGAUUUCUUCUUUUUAUAGAGGCGUUAAUUUUGUUCCACAACACACUUGAGUACCCUCCUGUAAACACUCCCAUCUUGCACUUGUUUAAUCUUGAUCAGUCCAACUCUCUUCUUUCUUUACCACCUCUGAAAAAUGUCUGGCCCUUCUGAUCGUCGUUUUGACUUGAACAUUGGUGAAGAGGCAGCUCCGCCUUCACCAGACAACAUAUGGCGGCCAUCCUUCAUAUCCCCUACCGGUCCCCUUACCGUGGGGGAUUCGAUGAUGAAAAAUGACAUGACCGCUGCGGUGGUGGCCCGAAACCUUGUCACUCCCAGAGAUAACAGACUGCUCGCAAGGCGGUCUGAUGAAUUGGCGGUCAAGGAGUCUCUGGCUCUCAGUGUGCAGUGUGCGGGUUCCGUAUCCAACAUGGCCCAACGCCUAUAUGCCCGAACCCGUCACGUUGAAUCCUUGGUGGCUGAAAUACAGAGUCUCAAGUAAGAGAUUAAAGGGCUCAAGCAUGAGAAUAAGGAAUUGCACAAGCUCGCACACAGCUAUGCCACCAGCAUGAAGAGGAAGAUUGACCAGAUGCAGGACACCGAUGGUCAAAUUUUACUUGAUCAUCGGAGGUUUGUGGGUUUGUUCCAACAACAUCUGCCUUCGUCUUCUGGAGCGGCACCGCGUAGUGAAGCUCCAACUGAUCAACCUAUGCCGCCUCCUCCUUCUGUGGCCCCGCCGACUGCUGAAGCCCCGCCCGACCAAUGAAUACUAUUAGUUUACAUCAUUGUAAAAUAUUUGUACUUUUUUUUUUUUAUUUUUUUAUUUUUUUAUAAAUGUAAAUUAAUGUAAAGAGACUUUGGUUAACCUUCCCACACUUAAACUAAAUAACACAAACUCACAGAAAUCAAACAAAUAACACAACUAACUAAACAAGACAAAAUGAAAGCAUUAAAGAUAAGGGUGUAAAAAUGCAAAUCUGAUUGGGUUAGCGAUUCCAAAGUCUCCCUUCGUUGAAUGCUUGGGUUGCCUCCCAAGAAGCGCUUGAUUUAACGUCUUUAGCCGGACGCAUCUUUCCUUUAAAUUUCCCUCGGCUCCAUUUGAACCUAAAAUCAAAGAAAGAAAAAUAAAUCAAAUAUCAAAAGUAAAAUACACAAACACCAAUAUAAACAUAAACAAAAACAAAAAUAAAAGGAUUAGCAAAGUUGCUAAUCCCCGGCAACGGCGCCAAAAUUUGAUGCGUAAAAUAAGUUAACACACAAAAUUAAACCCUCUUUUUGACAAUUGUAGUAUAGAUGUAAGUAGGGUAUCGUUCUAGGCCGGGGAUUAGGAGGGAUUGCUAAUCUAUUAAAUUAACUUAAAAAUAUUAAAUAAGACUCAAGGACACAAAACUAGGCUAAAAACUCUAAUAACUCGAAACACACUUAAAAUGACUCAAAAUAAUGAAAACAAUUAAAUUAAACACUAGGAACUGAAAUGGACGGAAAUUAAAUUAAAAGACUAACAAUAAAGAAAACUAAAUAAAUAAUAUAAUUUAAUAAUGGAUGGGUGUUUGGUUUUGAUGAAAAGUAAAUUAAACUUAAUUAAAUUACAGAAUUGACAAAAACAUGAAAUUAAGGUGAAAUGAUAAAUGACGGACUAGCUAGAGGGUUCUUCUCCACACAUGACACAUAUGCAACCUAAAUUGAUUUUCAGUUGUUCUUUCAAUAAAUUGUGAAUCUCAAUACUCCAGAUUAACCGUGAAUAGCACUUUUUUAAUCUUCAAGUUUUCCUUAAGUUAUUGAAUUGGACGGAAAAACGCAUACAACAAUUCAAAACAUUCUUCAAAAGUCCCCUACGUGAAAAAGCACAAUAGCGAUACAAUCAAAGAUCAUUAAACUUUGUGAAAACUAUAAGCAUUGACGAGGCAUUCGUAACUAUGAAAAAGCAUGAUACUCUUGCCAAGAAUUUACUUAACGUGAUUGUGACUAGCAACCUUUACUACUUGUGAAAAUAAGUUCAUAACGAUUAGGUGAAAUUCACUUAUAUUCUAGCAUCAAAUUCAUGCAUGUAAAUUAAGCGUGCACUCUCAACCAACAUACACAAAUCAGUUUUUAUACGAACGGAUAAGUAAAUUGAAAUCACAACUUAUGAAAUCACAACCGAAGGUAAUCAAUUCAUAUUACAAAUAUAUUCAUGGUUUCGAAUUAACCUCUAGCCAAAAUAAAAUUAAUUACACAUUAUUAAAAUAAAAAUAAAAUAUGAGUUUGGAAAGAUUAAACCGAAAGAAAGGAUCUGCUGCUUGGACUCUGAACUGCAUUUUCAUGCUGACCUCCUGUCCUCCUCGCCACUGACUUCCCUUCUCUCCGCAGCUUCACGCUGCCCAAAGGGCAGCCCUCUGCCUUCCACCAAUUCCCCCCCUCCUUCUCUCUUCUGCCAAUCCCAUCUAUAUCCUCAUGCUCCUGACCUCCUCCUUAUUUCUUUUUUUUCUAUUUUAUUUUUUUCUGUUGCUGUCCACCACAUUCUCUGCGCCUACUGCGCUCCCAGCUGUCUCUCCUGCUUUCCACUGACUUUUCCCGCUCCCACUUCUCUCUAUCCUCUUUCUGCUGCCGCAAGGCAGCUGUCUGCUUGCUGCUUCUCUCUCCCUUUUUCUGCUUGUUUAUAUUUUUUUUUCUUUUUCCUUUUCCUUCUUUUCCUUUUCCUUUUCUUUUUCUUUUCUUUCUUUUUCUUUUCUUCUUUGCCGUUCCUUUCUUCUUCUACAAAACAUGAAUCAUGAUGAUGUUUCAAACAUCAUCAUGACUUGUUAUUAUUAUUAUAUAUAUAUUUAUUUUUAAUUUUAUUUAAAAGCUGAUCUACACAGACAGUUUUGACGAAUUUAUUACAUAAAAUUUCACUUGUUCUAUUUUUAUUUUCUUUGCAUAACAAAUCCUAUAAACACAAAAAUAACGUAAAUAGCUCAAAAAUAUAAGGAACUAACUAAGAAAAGACGAGUGAAUUCGAAGUAAAAAUAUAUAUAAAUAUCAUCCGAUCAGUCGUUCGUACGCUAGAUGCAAAACGAGAUCCCUUCCGUCCGAAUGAGGAUGAUGAAGAGAUUUUGGAGCCUGAAGUUCCUUAUCUAAGUGCGAUAGGCGCUUUAUUGUACUUAGCUCAAUGCACUAGACCCAGCAUCUCAUUUGCUGUUAAUCUUUUGGCAAGAUACAGCAAUGCACCAACACGCAGACAUUGGACUGGCGUGAAAGACAUCUUCCAUUACCUUAAGGGUACUAUGGAUUUGGGCUUAUUUUAUCCCUACGAAUCCUCGAGUGAUGCCGCACCCUAUGCUCAUCGGGUUGAUUCUCGCCUUGUUGGUUAUGCCGACGCUGGAUACUUAUCUGAUCCGCACAAGGCGCGUUCUCAAACGGGUUAUGUCUUUACCGUUGGAGGCACCGCAAUAUCUUGGAGGUCAACUAAACAGACCUUAGUUGCCACUUCGUCUAACCAUGCUGAAAUUCUCGCCUUACAUGAAGCAACUCGGGAAUGCUUUUGGUUGAGAGCAGUAAUGGGCCAUAUUCGAAGCUCCUGUGAUCUUCAUCCUGCCGUUAAUGCCCCGACGACGAUUUUUGAAGACAACGCAGCUUGCAUCGAACAACUCAAGAAGGGUUACAUCAAAGGAGACAACACCAAGCAUAUUGCGCCGAAGUUCUUCUUUACACAUCAACAACAAGAACAUCAGAAGAUUGAAGUCACGCAAAUCCGAUCACAAGACAAUAUGGCCGACCUCUUCACCAAAUCACUACCGAAGGCGACGUUUCAGAAGCUUGUUCAUGGAAUUGGUAUGCGUAAACUUUCUGAGUUGUAACUUUGCUAUUUCUCUUUGGAAUUAUGUCAAACUCAGGAGGAGUAUCCUCUGGAUACUUGCUUGAUCUUAAUGUAAUUUUUUUCCCUAUGAUUAGGAGCAUUUUUCCCACUGGGUUUUUGCUACCUAACUAGGUUUUAACGAGGCACCCACCUUGGGCUGGUCAUAUCCCUGAUGACGUCCUGUAGAUGUUUCUUUUGACUUUGCAUUUCUCACACAUUUUCCUUAGACUAUGGAUUUUGUCCCUACUCGGGUUUUUGCCAUAGCCUUAGGGUUUUUUAGUGGGACUUACUACUUAUGCAAGUUCCUACCUUAUUGAGAAUAAGCGUUGUUCCUUGGAAUCAAUGCCGACGAGUCAACUUCCUCAACUUCUGCAUGAUACUGAAUCUACCUUGAGUAUUUACACACUCAAGGGGGAAUGUUGUAAACAUUCCUAGUUUAAGUAUGAUUGUGUAAAUCCUAGAUAAGAUUUGAUUCUAGUUAUCCUUUCUUAUUACAACUUGUAUUACUUGGAGGAGAAGAAAUAUCUUCUCUACCUUUACUACUAUAAAUAAAGGCACAAUGUAGGAGGGAUAACAACAUAUACAUUCCCCUACAAUUCUACAAACACACAUCUCUCUCCUCUCUCUCUGCCGCCGGCCCUAGUCUCUCUGUCAGAUAAAAUAGACCACAACAGUUCCUUAGUUUUCAAAAUUUUAUUUUCAUAUUUAGUCUCCUAACAUUGUCCAUGAAAUCACUUUAAUUUUGAGAUUAGAAGUGUCAACGACUCAGCAAGAUUAUUUCGCCAUCGCAAUUCCAGCAGAUUGAUUGGCAAUUAACAUGAAUUGAUUGAGUAGUAUACUAUAUUUUAUAACACAAAUCAAAAGAAAUUAACGAGAAGAAGCAACCCACUAGCAACAGUGCCGAUAAAAGCAAACCAAACGAAAAGGUGUGUGAACAUCCGAGCCAAAGUUACACUCACCUUUCAGGAGAAGCGAUAAGGCGGUGAAGAUAAGUGAAAGCCGAUCCGAACUGCAAAGUCAAUGAUGGAUGAAGCCGAUCCGAAUUGAGGAACUUGGAGGGAAACAUGGAUAAAGGUGGAAGAAAAUAGGGGGAAAAGAUGGAAAAGGUGGAAGGAAGAUAGAUGGAAGGAAACACGGAGAAAAAGUAGUCUUUAAAUUUGUCCCGCCAACAACUUUUUUUUCUAUUUUUUUUAACAAAAACGAUAAUAUCUACCAUAAGAGAGGGGUGUGCCAAAAUGACAAAAAUAUCCUUCAUUUAAUAAACAAUGGGCUAAAAUAAUUUGAUAAAAAAUAAGAGUAUUUUUGUCAUUUUUUCCUUAUUUAAUAGUGAUUUUUCACGGAAAAAUCAAAAUGAUCGAUGGUAAACAAACUCAGGGACUAGUUCUUAGAUUCUAAAUCUCAAGGACCAAAAUGAGGACUUAAAACCAAUCCUAGAGACUAUUUUGACUAAAAAGCCAUUAUUUUACCAAUGACACCAAUUUUAUUAAUCUAGAAAGAGGUGAUUCUAAAUCUCAAAGACUAAAAUGAGGACUUAAAUCAAUCUCAGAGACUAUUUUGACUAAAAGAACCAUUAUUUUACUAAUGACACCAAUUUUAUUAAUCUAGAAAGAGGUGACUCACCAAUUUGAUCUAUCAAACCUAAAAUGAAAAACAACGUAGUUUGGUCAUAGCACAAAAGAACUUGUGGGGUAAACCAAAUAGGUGGAGCAGUGUGUUCGUCUCUUAACACUUAAUUUCAAAUUCCUAUACCUAUAUAUUUGAGUAGUGGAAGUAAACAUUGUAAACCAGAGUGGUCUAACACCUCUUGAUCUGCUAAUCUUCCCGAGUGAAGCCGGCUAUAGGGAAAUUGAAGAGAUCCUUCGUGGUGCCGGAGCUUCGAGAGCACAGGACAUACACCAUACUCCCUCUCAUUGUCCCAUGGAAACAAAUUGUUGAACUAUAAGUAUUUGAGCUGAAAUGUUUUAGAAUAAGUUUUGUUUAAAUUGGUGAAUCCACUUGUGCAGAAUGAGGCAAAGUGUAAAUGUCUAGUUUUGUAAAAAGGCCAUGAGUGCCAUGUGUUGGUAGAUCCAUGAAAUUAGAGAGAUGUGUGUCUAGGAUGAAAUGUAGUAGUUUAUGUGGUCCCAAGUUAAGGACCUUCAGUUAAUGUAAAGCACGUGAGUGCUCAUUUCUGAAAAAAAAAGAAGCAAUUUUCCUCUGUAAAGUUUCUGCAGAGAAAAGAACAAGAAACCGUUCGCUUUCUCCAACCUUUGUUCAUCGUGUGUUUUCUGUACAGCUCCAUCUUCAUCAAAACUCUCAUUGAAAUCAAGUUACACUAACAUGGCCUCAGAGCCAGGUUGGGUCUAACAAUCUGGGCGUAAAUCUGUGAAGCUAUUUUUGAGCUCAAUCGAAGCUCUCUUGAAGCUCCGUGAACGUUGUCGAUUCAGAUCAAAACAUGUCUGGAUCUGGAGGCUCGGAAGUGAGGACUCCAAUUUUCUCCGGUGAGAACUACGAGUUCUGGAGAAUUAAAAUGGCAACGAUAUUCAAAUCCCUUGGGUUAUGGAACCUGGUAGAGAAGGGGAUUGAAACCUCCAAUCCGAAGAAGAAGGAAGCUGGAGAAGCAUCGAAGGAUGAUGAAGAAAUGGUAGCUGUUCUGAUGAAAGACACAAAGGCUUUGGGAAUCAUUCAGAAUGCAGUCUCGGAUCAGAUCUUCCCACGAAUCGCCAAUGCCGAGUCAGCUAAGAUGGCAUGGGAUUUGUUGUACGGGGAGUAUCAUGGUGGUGAUCAGGUACGAUAUGUGAAAUUGCAGAAUCUUAGGAGAGAGUUUGAAUAUGCUAGGAUGAGAGAUGAUGAGUCUUUAUCUAGCUAUCUUACACGGCUGAAUGAGCUAAUUAAUCAAAUGAGAACAUUUGGUGAAUCUCUGUCGAAUGAGAGACUGGUGCAAAAGGUUUUGAUUAGUCUUAGUAAACCUUAUGAUUAUAUCUGUUUGGUUAUAGAAAACACAAAGUGUCUAGAGACUGUAGAGUUGCAGGAAGUAGUUGCAAUCUUAAAAAGUCAAGAACAACGGUUUGAUCUGCAUACUGUUGAUACUACUGGGAAAGCAUUCUCAUCUUUCUCAAUGAGUUCAAAAGAGCAGGAUAGGGGUGAAGGUCAAUCUGGUUCAUCUCGGUUCCAGAAAAAUUGGAAUAACAAGGGCAAGAAAUGGGGUUCAAAACCUAAGUUUCAGCAUAAAUUUCCUGCUAAUCCUGCACAUAAUGCACAGUCAAUGAGGCAGAUAGGUACAAAACCACAGUGCAGGGUAUGUUCUAAGUUUCACUUUGGAGAGUGUAGGUAUAAAGGGAAACCUAAAUGCUAUAACUGUGAAAAGUUUGGUCACUGGGCUAGAGAGUGCACAGUAGGUAAAUUAGUGCAAAAGGCAAAUAGUGCUAAUCAGGUAGAGGUGACAGGGAACCUGUUUUAUGCAAAUAGCACAAUCACUGAAUCAAAAGUGAAUGGAGAAUGGUAUGUAGACAGUGGUUGUAGCAACCAUAUGACAGGGGAUUCUAAGUUGUUGAUAGACAUGAAGACAAAUGUGGUUGGCAAGGUUCAAAUGCCCACAGGGGAACUCAUGAAUGUGGCAGGUUUUGGUACACUUGUGAUAGACACUAGCAAAGGCAGAAAAUAUGUCAAAGAAGUAAUGUACCUACCUGGGUUGAAGGAAAAUCUGUUAAGUGUGGGGCAGAUGGAUGAACACGGUUACUACCUGUUAUUUGGGGGAAAGAUGUGUAGUAUCUUUGAUGGACCUUCAUUGGAUUGUCUUGUACUCAAAGUUGAAAUGAAAAAGAACAGAUGUUAUCCUUUGACACUGAUACAAAAUGAUCAGGUUGUACUGAGAGCAGGUAUUUCUAAGUCUACUUGGAUAUGGCACAAGAGACUAGGCCAUCUGCAUUUUAGAGGUCUUCAACAGCUUAAGAACAAAGAAAUGGUGCAUGGUCUCCCAGUUUUAGAAGAAAUGGAUGAAGUUUGUAAAGGUUGUCAGUUUGGGAAACAGCAUAGAGAGUGGUUUCCAAAGAAUCAAGCGUGGAGAGCAAGUAAACCUCUAGAACUGGUGCAUGUAGAUCUGUGUGGUCCUAUGCAGAAUGAUUCUCUUGCGGGCAACAAAUAUUUCAUGCUUCUUGUAGAUGACUGUACAAGAAUAAUGUGGGUUUAUUUUCUGAAAUACAAGUCAGAUGCAUUGAUCUGUUUUAGAAAAUUCAAGUCCAUGGUGGAAUUACAAAGUGGUUUUAAGAUAAAAUGUUUGAGGAGUGACAGAGGGGGUGAAUUCACAUCUUGUGAAUUCAACAAACUGUGUGAAGAUGCAGGGAUUCAAAGACAGUUAUCUAUGGCCUAUACUCCACAACAGAAUGGAGUGGUAGAGAGGAAGAACCGAGCUGUGGUUGAGAUGGCAAAAGCUAUGCUUCAUGACAAAGGACUACCAUACUACUUAUGGGCAGAAUCUGUACUCACAGCUGUCUAUAUAUUGAACAGGUGUCCUACAAGAGCUCUUGGAGAAGUAACUCCAUUUGAAGCAUUCAGUGGUCGAAAACCUGGAAUUGCACAUCUUAGAAUCUUUGGUUGUCUGUGUUAUGUACACACACCAAAUGAGUUGAGACAGAAACUAGAUGCAAAGAGUGUCAAGGGCAUAUUUGUAGGUUAUGCAACCUGUGAAAAGGGGUACAGAGUGUAUGAUCCUCUUAGUAAAAAGCUUAUACUCUCAAGGGAUGUUGUGUUUGAUGAAAAUGCAGCCUGGGAAUGGAAGACAGCUCCUGAGAACUAUGUAACUGUGUUUAAUCCUAUUGAGUUAUCUGUGCUGCCUAAAUGUAUCUCAUCAGAGACAACUCCAGAGGAAAAUGAUUAUGUUUUGUCACCAAAUCUGGCAUUUUCUCAUGAAUCUGUAAGUGAUGUGGACAGCAGCAUGAAAAUGACUCAAGCCUUUGAUCACACUCCAUUGAAAUGGAGGAAUCUAGAUGAUGUCUUGGCACAAUGCAAUCUUUGUAUUAUGGAACCUGAAAAAUUUGAAGAGGCAGCCAAAGAUGAAGCAUGGAUGAAGGCUAUGAAAGAUGAACUGUCAAUGAUUGAGAAGAAUGCAACAUGGGAUCUGGUGAACAGACCAAGUGAUAAACCCAUAAUUGGGGUUAAGUGGGUGUUCAAGACCAAGCUUAAUCUCGAUGGGACAGUGCAAAAGCAUAAGGCAAGAUUGGUAGCCAAAGGAUAUGCUCAGAAACCAGGUGUGGAUUACAAUGAAACGUUUGCACCUGUAGCUAGACUGGAUACAAUUCGGACUCUAAUUGCUUUGGCAGCUCAGAAAAGUUGGAAAUUAUACCAACUAGAUGUGAAAUCUGCUUUUCUGAAUGGAGUACUCGAAGAAGAAGUUUAUGUAGAACAACCAGAUGGUUUUGUGAUCAAGGGGAGUGAAGACAAGGUGUACAAGCUUUAUAAAGCUUUGUAUGGUCUAAAACAGGCACCAAGAGCCUGGUAUAGUGAAAUUGAUACCUAUUUUGCUCACUAUGGGUUUGUGAAAAGUCAGAGUGAAGCUACUCUUUACAUCAAAGUAAGGGGAGGAGAAAUUCUGAUUGUUUCAAUCUAUGUGGAUGAUAUAGUGUAUACUGGGAAUAGCACUGAGAUGUUGAAGGAGUUCAAGGAAGACAUGAUGACAAAAUAUGAGAUGACAGAUUUGGGGCUCCUUCACCAUUUUCUUGGUAUGGGAGUGAUUCAAACUCACACAAGCAUAUUUAUCCAUCAAAGGAAGUAUGCUGGUUCUUUGUUAGAUAAGUUUGGUUUGAAUGAGUGUAAAUAUGUGUUUACACCACUGGUUUCAUCAGAGAAGCUAUGCAAAGAUGAUGGCAGUGGUUCAGCAAGUGAGGAACAGUAUCGAAGAAUUGUUGGAAGUUUGUUGUAUCUCACAGCAACUCGACCAGAUAUAAUGUAUGCUGCAAGCCUUCUAGCUCGAUUCAUGCACUGUCCUACAAAUAAACAUCUUGGAACAACCAAAAGAGUGCUUAGGUACAUCAAGGGAACUUUAGAUUAUGGUUUAGAGUAUGUAAAGGGAAAGAAUGCAAUGCUAAUCGGAUUCUGUGAUAGUGAUUGGGGAGGAUCUGUUGAUGAUAGCAAGAGUACUUCUGGUUAUGCAUUUUCCUUUGGCAGUGGAGUGUUCUCAUGGGCCUCAGUGAAGCAGAAUUGUGUAGCACUCUCUACAGCAGAAGCAGAGUACAUCAGUGCCUCUGAAGCAACUGCUCAAGCCAUUUGGCUUAGAUUUGUUCUUGAAGAUUUUGGUGAGAUGAAAACUGAAGCAACUCCAGUACACUGUGAUAAUACAUCAGCAAUUGCAAUUACUAAAAAUCCUGUUUUCCAUCAGAAAACCAAGCACAUUGACAGAAGGUAUCAUUUUAUCAAGAAUGCACUCCAGGAAGGGAUAAUCGAUUUGGUGUACUGUCCAACAAAUGAGCAGGUGGCAGACAUAUUUACUAAGGCUUUGUCUAAGGAUCGAUUCAACUAUCUUCGAGAUAUGCUUGGUGUGAAAUCAGCUCAAAACUUAAAGGGGAGUGUUGAACUAUAAGUAUUUGAGCUGAAAUGUUUUAGAAUAAGUUUUGUUUAAAUUGGUGAAUCCACUUGUGCAGAAUGAGGCAAAGUGUAAAUGUCUAGUUUUGUAAAAAGGCCAUGAGUGCCAUGUGUUGGUAGAUCCAUGAAAUUAGAGAGAUGUGUGUCUAGGAUGAAAUGUAGUAGUUUAUGUGGUCCCAAGUUAAGGACCUUCAGUUAAUGUAAAGCACGUGAGUGCUCAUUUCUGAAAAAAAAAGAAGCAAUUUUCCUCUGUAAAGUUUCUGCAGAGAAAAGAACAAGAAACCGUUCGCUUUCUCCAACCUUUGUUCAUCGUGUGUUUUCUGUACAGCUCCAUCUUCAUCAAAACUCUCAUUGAAAUCAAGUUACACUAACACAAAUACCCUUCAGCUGCAGCAGCCAAACGACCCGAUGGAAUACUUCAAGUUCAAAAAGGGCAGAGACUCUCCCAGCGAUGCACGCACGGCGCUGCUAGUUAUUGCUGUACUAGUGGCCACCACCACCUUUCAAGCCGGACUCAGCCCUCCGAUGGGCAUUUGGCAGGACAGCCCUGGAUCAAACAUGAAUGGGACUGGCAGUGGGAGCAAUGAACCAGCGCACACAGCAGGGCAGUCCAUCAUGAGUUCUUACAAGAUAUUAGGAUUUUUCUUCUUUUACACUUCCAACUCGAUUAGACUUUCGUUUUCGCUUUACAUGAUCCAUGUCCUCACCACCAAUUUCCCUCUGCAGUUGGAGCUUAACAUUUGUAUGUUCACGAUGUUCUUGACGUACUGUUCUGCAAUUUCCGAAAUUGGACCGGAGAUCAUGUCCCACCCUGUGUUCGCUUUAACUAUGCCAGCGUUGGUAGCGUUGGUAAGGGUGUGGUAAGCGUAAUGCACCCGCUUAGAUGACCUGCAGUAAAUUGGACUCGAAGGCUCAUUUUAAAAUAGUUGUACAUUACACGUCUGUUUCCAGGAUCAUCGUUGGCGCAUUCAUCAUAGAAGCUCCAGCUUCGUAUCAAAGUCAGUCGUGACUAUCAUAAAUACCGUACAUUUGCUAUGUAUUACUAAAUCUUUGGUGUGGACUUCUUAUAUGAUAUAGCGUUAAGAAUUCAGUACGAAAACAGUAAAACAGAAUUAUUUGCACUAAUUCUUCCUCUUGAUUUAUGAUGGUGUUAGUUCUAUAAGUCGACAUCUUUGCCAGCCGCAAUUGAUACUGCCGUUUGAUACUGCAAAUGAAAGCCCGGUGGAUGCGCAAAAUUUCAAGCCAAUCUUACAGAUUGUAUGAAGAAAGGAACAAUGUAGUUGGUAGCACAGAAGUUUAUAAUCUUCUAGUUGGAGUAAUCUAAUUAAGGCUAUAAUAUUCAUACAGAAGGUUUUACAAAAUGAUCAUCUUUCGACAUGUAUAACAAUGGCGAUCUUUAAUCACAAUGACUUGUACAGCUCGAUCAAAUGAGAAGCAUGGAGGCACCACGUAGGAGCCACGGUGCAGCCCAAACUUUGCAGAUAAGAAAUCUGGUAAUUCACAGCAUAAGAAUCGAAUUACCGGGUCUCCUGACCAUCCUACGUACCAAUGUGCGCACAAGGAAAUGAGUAAGGUAAUCAAAUGCUGAGUCCUGCGUACCUGUUUCGGUGUUGGUUCGGAUGAACCCAUUUAGUUCUCAAUCCGUAACUUCUGGAAAUGCUCCUGAAAGCAUAAAUUUAAGCACAUCAUGAAAUCCCCCUUGCGGGAUUUUCCUUAUUUUUUCUAACUCAUCUUCCCACUCGCGUAUAGUUUUGUUACCAAGAAAAGCUCCCAGGACUUUGAGUGCUAAAGGCAGGCCUUGAGCAUAUUUUACAACACGAUUCGAUAGAUCAUCAUAAUCUCUGGUGGGUUGGUUUUUUCCGAAAGCGUGCUGCCUAAAGAGUUUCAGAGCUCCAGAAUCACUCAAAGUCUUGGGAUUAUAUAUCACAUCAGCUACGCUUAGUAAUUGCGAAUCUCUAGUUGUUAUAAUAAUUCUGCUUCCACCACCAAAGAAAUGUGGCUCUCCAAGUAGAGCUUCAAUUUGUUCUAAUUUGUCCACAUCAUCAACAACAAUAAGAACUUUUCUCUGGCCAAGGCUUUUUAACAUCACCUGAAAACCUUUACUCGAUAUGUCAGAGCUCCCCACCUUGUUGUCCGAGAUACUAGAUAGAAGUUGUGUCUGCAUAAGUAGUUCGCCGUGCUUCAUGAAACCCUCCUUGACAUUUUUAAGAAAGCAACAAGCUUCAAAUCGACAAGCGAUUUUAUCAUAAACAGCAUUAGCGAUGGUAGUUUUACCUAAACCACCCAUACCCCAUAUUCCAACAACUCGAACAUUAUUCGUUUCACCUCCGGGAGGAUAUAAUAAUAAAUGCAUUUCAUGCAUGCGAGAAUCCAUGUCAACCAAGCCAUUAUCUUUGCUUGAUGUUGAUGAGAUGUCGAUCAAUUUCCUAUAAACAUAUUCUACAAUUUCCUCAGUAAGCACCACAUCAUUCCUGUCAAAUUAAAAAAUACAAUAUAAUAACACCACCAAAUAAUAAUUAAUGGGUUUUUUCAUCUGUUAGUUAAAAAAAAAAACAGAAAUUAAAACUAAAAACUAGAUAUUUAUAAAAUUACCGCAAAACGUUACAAAAAUCCCAAAAAUUAAUAGGAAACUAAAACAAAUUAGAAUUUACUCAUAGUUUCGCGAAUCCCAGCCGGAUAAACUGGUGGCAGUUGUAAGAGCGGAUCUCCAGCUCUGAACCUCUUCCAUUUCGGCGUUAGAAUCGCGAUCGUGCUGAGCAAAAGCUUCCGCGAAACUUUUCUUGAGUUUACGAACAUCAGACGGAUCAACUUCAUAGAAAAUGGGGAGUACAAUCUGGUUAUUGGUAUCCUUGCAUUUCAAGAUUUGCACGAGUUCUUUCAAGCACCAAGUGGAAGAAGCAUAGUCUUGAGAGAAAACUACAAUCGAAAGCCUUGACUCUCGAAUCGCUGUCAGGAGCUCAGAAAGGUGGUCGCCUUUUCUGAGCUUCUCGGCAUCAAUGAAGGCGUUGAUUGGUUUCUUAGCCAGAGCGUUGUAGAGAUGGCUGACGAAGCCCCUGCGAGUGUCUUCCCCUCUGAAAUUGAUGAACACAUCGUAUUUGCAACCAAGGCCAGAAGAAGAUGAAGAAGAAGAAGCAGCCAUUAUUAAUCGAUCGCACCUGGUCAGCGAUGAUCGAGCAGCUAAGACUAAGAGAAUUGUAAGUACAGAGAUACUCAAUAGAUCUACAAAUUGGAUCACCAGAAAUUAGUCUGAUCGAUACCAAGUCAAUGAGUCAAUGCAAAAGGGAAAAAGGGGAAAGGGAAAUUAUGCUUUAUGUUUUUUCACAUCUUCUUCGGGGAAAUUUCGGUGUGAAAGGAAUCUUAUCCUUUUGAUUUUUUAACCGAAGCAAAUGCGAAGAAAAGGGUCAAGGUGGAAAAUUGAAUAGGACAAGGAUUGUCAGCCCUUCCACAUCUGGUGCUCUUCCGUGCCCUUUUGUUUAUGUUGUCACGGUUAAACCACAUUAACAUUUUAUAUUACUAUUUAUUUUUGUCUUAUUAUCUCUAUAAAAAAACAAUAUAAAAUGUUGACGUGACUUAACCGUGACCACACAAAACAGAAGGGCACGAAAGAACACCGAAAAUAGGAGAGCUGACAAUCCUUGUCCAAACUUAACCGUAAGACUUUUUGUAGUGAGCUACACCGGAUGACUUGAUAUAUUAUGACGAAAUAAACUAUUUAAAUAUACGGCUUACAUUGCGCAGUGCGCAUACUGGAUAAACAAUUAGCGCACCUGAUUGUAGGGAAUGGUGAUGCUCAUCGCUUAAUUUCGUUAUUGGAUUAGUUUAAGUUUUGAGGUUUGUGAAAUGGACAGAUAUAAAUUUUAAAAUUUAAACUCAGUCAAUAAUAAUAAAUAUGGUAGUGAGAAAAAAUGCACCAGUGACUUGUGGUUUAGAGACACACUCUCAAACUUAAAUAACAAUUUUCAUGCUUUCCAACAACACAAAAAUUUUAUAACUAAAAAUCAAUCAAAACAUAAUAAUUGAAUGAACGAAGAAAGCGUAUUAAAAUAAGGUUUUCUGACAUAUUUUGAGUGACACUUGCCACAAUAACGAAGAAAGCGUGGUAUUGUUGCACCUGCCAUAAAGUCAAGCUUGACAUUCUACAGUUGGAAGGCUAGCUGGCUGACUAGAAAUGGCCAGCCCGUUGGCUUGAUUUGGGGGUUUUGGCCAGAUGGGGCCCACAAGCCCUUUGGCCUAGCCUUCGAUUGAAGAUGGUUUUCGUGUCAUUCCGAGCUAUUUUUAGCCCUAUGACCUUUUGGCUGGGUCAGUUAGAGAUGGCUUUAGGUGCGGUGAUCGUAAUACCCUGAAAAUUUAAAUAUAUGAAUAUGUUGGGAAAAAUUGAAAAAAAAUCGAUUUAUGGUUAUGGAAAAUUUAAUUGAGAACUUUUAAAGUUUUUCCGGAAAUUAUUAUAAAUUACGUAUUUGUAUUCUUAAGAUUUUAUAUGAAUUUUCAAGAAUUUAUAAUAAUUUAAUUUAGUUUAGUUUUAAAUUAAACUAGUUACAAAGUUGGAAGUUUGGAAAUUAUUUAUUUAAAAUAUGUAGACCAUUCGAGGUCACAAUUUAUAUUUUUGAAUAGAGCUCGAUCUCAUGAACGCGUGGCGCAAACCGUUAGUAAAACGGAGUUCUAACGAAGAAGUUAUUAACAUUUAAAGUCAUGAAAAUUUUGGUAAUUUUAUUCAUUUUAGAAGGCUCCAGAAAAUCUAGAGCAAUGAGUUGUGCCACGUGUGUGGCUGGGAUGAAAACAAUUGGAGAGAUGGAUGGUUGUGAUUAAAGGAAAAUAAUAGAAAUGAGGGUAACCAAUGGGGAGAGAGAAUGAGGAGGGGAAAGGAGAAAAAGGAGAAGGAGGGGAACCCGACCCUCUCCUUCGACCCGGUUUUCUGACCCGAGCCCCACGCACACCCAACACCGAUUUCGGUGUUUUUUCCCGGUGAAUUGAGCGCCGCCACCACCCCUCCUGACUCCUCUCAUUGUCACGAACGGUAUCCGUCCACAUUUGGCUCAGUUUUGAUCAUGAUUUCAGAAGAAAAGGGAGAUGGACCCGUGAGGGUUUCAGAGUUUUCCGACGACAAAUCCGUCGUCUCCGGUCUCCACCGUUCCCACCACCACCACCUCCAGUUGAUUUCACUUGAACCCAGGAGCAAGGCCUAAGCACUAGCAGGGGCAUCGGAACAUCAAUGGAGUCGAAUCGAAUCCCACCAUUUCUAGGGUUUCCGGCGAGUUUGAGUGAAAUUGGGGCACUUCCACGCCAAAUUGGACUUAGCCAUAGGUAUGAAAUUUACUCCACUCACUGAGAUCUACUUGCCUGUAAAAUUUGGUAAUUUUUUGAAAUAGUUGAAUUUUCCGACAAGCCGGAGUGGCCAACCUCCACCCACGACUGCGGGUGCGGCGGCGCACGGUCAGGGAGCCGACAUUGUGUUAUUAUGCGAAUUUCGUUAUUCUAAUUAGGCUUUUGAGACCUAACUUCUGUGGUUUGAAUAUUAAUACGAUUGUGGUAUAUGUUGGAUUAAAUAAAUAUAUUCGGAUUUGGUUUGAGUUUUGGAAAUGUGAACUACGAAUGACUUGAUUCCUGUUUAGGGUACAUAGGUAGUAUAACAAGAUGUUAGAUGCAGCUAUACAAUAAGUUAGAUUAAAUAAACGAGACAAAGCUUUGAUUGAGAAAGUGAACUGAGUAAGGAGUUUGGAAUUUUAUUAUAAAAGGAAAUCUUAUGUUUUGUACAUAUAAAUUCUUGUUAUAAAUUGUGUGAACGUUUUAUAAAUUUAAGCAAGAAAUUAUGUAAUUAUGAUAAUUGGACAAUUGAGUUUGAUCUCUUGUUGGGAAAUAGAGUCGAUAUGAAGGUAUUGGUGUUGAAGUAAAAAUAUAAAUGUAUGUUUUGCUAAGUAAGUUUGGUGGAUACUUAUGUGAGUAGUUAGGAAAAUUUUUUUUUAAAGAAUAAAGUGUACCGAUAAUAAAUCAAACAAGAGAAGUGAAUUGGGCCUAUCAUUGGAAAUAUUUCCUGAAAAUAAAUAUUUCGGGGUUGGGGCGUUUCAGUGAUUGUCUUUGAGAUAUCGAAGGUUCUGUGUGAUCGAAUACUUCGUCCUCCUCCAGAGCCGCCACUGUUGAGAGGGUUACUUGCCUCAUGCAAACAUUAUGAAUUGUAAGUGAUGAAUUGUUCUGAUGAUGAGGUUUAUUUUUUAACUCAUUAUGUUUUGAGUUUAAACAUUUUUCCCUCUCUUUAAUGUAUAUAAGAUUAGUGUAAAAUAUUGUUCGUAAUAAAAAAAUAUAAAAAUGAUACAUUCUCAUUCAUAUAUAAGAUGAUCAAGUGUGGAAUUAAUACUUUUAACGAGUGACUCAAUUAACCAUUUUCAUUUCUUACGCAUUCAAAAUUAGACAAAUUCUUUGCAUACAUUUAAAAAAAAAAAGAUAUUCAGGAGACUUUGAAACUAUUACAUUACGGGAGAGGGAAUUUUGAACUCGGGACGCAUGAGUAGAACCCAAACGCUUCUCCACUAGGAUAUUAGACUAGUGCCGGUCCUGAAUUUUUUGGUGCCUGGAGCGAAUAAUGUGCCCUUUUCAAGUACAACAACAUAAAUUAAAAAGAAAUAUUUAAAGAGGGUUGGAACCCAGUCGAAGCCGGGGGGCUAGGCCCUCACGCCCAUAUUAUAUUACUCUGAAAACAAAAAAACAUACAACAUGGGAACAUAGUACUGAAACCUCGACAAUCAAAAGCAAAAUCAAAUACAACCACUCCAAGCAGUUAACAUAGCCAUCACAUAUUGAAUCCAAAAGGUUGACUACCCAUUCGCUGCAUAUAAUGUGCAGAAGAUAACAAAUUCUGAAGUGAUAUGCUCCCAAGUAUGAUAUUGGGCAGAAAAGAGCGGCGGCUUCAACCACUUCUUCAGCUAUAUCCGGCUGGGUGAGAGCAGCUAAAGACAUGAUUGUUCCCUAAUUACAUGAAUACAUGGAGUAAACACCAAAAGUAGCAGCAAGGGAAGGAGAUUUGAAGUAGAUGAAGAGGUGUGAAGAGUCUAAAGACCUGUGAAUGUCCAACAACAAAGACUUCGGAGCUUGUUGUCGAAUAUAUGCAGCGUAUCAUUUCUGACAGAUCAAAUCGAGCCAAUUCCUGCCAACUCCAAUCCCAAAAAUCCUACAGUAAAGCAUAAAUCUUAUUCUUUUCUGAUAAAGAUGUGCCCCUAACUCCAAUGUGUUUGACGCACAAUUCCUACCCAUACAUAGAAACCUUCAUCUGCAAAGACAAAUUCCAGCGAUUCUUCUGGAGAAUUUAAGAACCAUGCAUCACCUGGUUAGAGCCUAAUUUAAAAUGUAUCCGAUGGAUGUUCAUCAAUUUACACAAUAGUUAGUUUCAAGAAAGGAAAUUUCAACAGAACCUGAAAACUUCAGAUCAGGGGGCACCAAAUAGUGAGCUAUACAUUCAAAAUUUAAAAUAAUCAACUUAGUAGGACCAAUAUGUUGAAAAAAUUAGAAGGAGCUAUGAAAGUAAGGCUUUUCACUAAUCAGGCGUCCAGAGAAUCAAUAUUUUACUCACGUAUCAGUUACGGGGAACAAUCCCCACCAGAGCAAUCUCAUUAGUUCUUCACAUCUCAACCGUACAGAAAUUACACUAACAAACACGACUCCUGUUAGUCCUUCACAUCUCAAAUCCAGGAAGUACCCAUCUUUCGUCUGAAUCUGGAAAAUAAGCAGCACUCAAUUUAACAAUCUGGGUAUCUCAAAGUUACUCACUUUAAUCACAAAUUUAACAAUUAAACAUAUAAAUGGGCAUUUUCUAGUGAAAUAUUAGUAUAGUACUCACUGUGUGCUCGGAGCAAGAGCACCCAGAAAGCUCAAUGAGCUGUGCAGUGAGGGACUGUAGCGGUGAAUGACGGCAACCGAUUCUGUAAAAUUCAGUCGAGUUUUAGGCGAUUUCGGAGGUCAAGAGGCUGAUGAGGAAAGCUGGGACGGAAGGGCACUGGUCUGGAAGAAAGGCUCUGGUCGCCGCUGUCGCGAUUUGCAAAGGAAGAAGUGACAUUCUUCCAAAUAGGAAGAUGAAAUCGUUAAGGCUUUUAUUUAUUCCUCCUCUUGAUGCGCCCUUUUAGACUGCCAAUUCCAGACGAUCCAAUCUCAUAUAUCUUCCCUGCAAAAGCAUGUGUGCCAGACUUCAAGAUCAAAAUUUUCCAACAAAAGAAACUUAAAGAUCAAACUCGUUAGCGGAAUAAAUGGUGCACAAAGGGAGUUAAAAUCUUGACAGAUGUAUAUUUUUGGCAGAUUUUAUGUGAGCAUGCAAUUUUCUGUAGAACUUAAAAGCUGCAUAGCUGCUCUUGUUCGUUGUAUUGAAUACCAUGGUUUUACUGAUGAAUGCAGAGUUUGCUGACGAUUCAUACGACAAGCAAAUGAAUCAUCCACUGUAAUUUGCAGAGUUUACUGAUGAAUGCCCCACAUAUACCCAAAAAAAAAAAGUCAUUUAAACAAAUUCAGAGCGUUCAUCCACUGUAAUUUGCAGAUAUAGACACGUUAAGAUAAAAGGAAAUGCAAAGUACCUUUCACCCAAAUUGGAGGAGCAACGGUGGCAUUAGCAAGUUAGCAACGGGAAUUGACAUACCAACAUCUUCACAGUUUCUGCACAAGCACAAAUCAAUAGAAUCCGGCGGUGGAGUUAUGUACCUCUCCUUGGAAAAUGCCACCUCUUGGGAUUUCAAAAUAUGCGGCCGUGGCUAGCCAUCUGACAACGCCAAUUCCACCAAAGCCGCCGCAAUGGGGCAUAGUGUCCGAUUGAUUGCUUCAAACAGAGUACCCAAAACCCCUGAAAAUUAUUUCUUUAUUCAGAUAAUAAAAUUUCCCAAAUUUCGAAUUUUAAUUCCGUAUCAAAAAUAGGGUUUGAAUUUUGAUUACCUAGAAAUUGGAGGGUUGGGGCGAACACGGAGCGUGUCGGGAAUACCUACAAGGCUUUUGCAGUGUAUCAGAUUUAAAUACUGAAGCCCCGUAAGCCGUUCAAUCCAGGGGGAAAGCUCUUUGAUAGAUGUUCCAUCCAAGAAAAGCUCUCUUAAUCCUUCCAUAUCUUCUUUAAUGCUUGGAAACACCUCAAAUUUUGUACAACCGGAAAGAGAGAGAGAGACAAGGGACUUGAGCUGACAAAUGCUGCUUGGAAGACUCUUAAGUUCCUUGUAAUUUUUUAGUUUCAAAUGAUUCAAUCCUGUGAGAUUAUUAAUUGAUGAUGGCAAUUCUUUAAUUUUUGACCAUGAUAAAUCAAGAAUUUUUAACCCCUCAAUCACUUCUGAAAUAUCUGGAAACAUCUCAAGAUUCCAACAACCAUAAAAAUAAAAGGUUUUGAGAGAUUUCAUACGAAUGCUGCUUGGAAGACUCUUAAGUUUUUGACAAUUUGAUAGGUUCAAAUGAUUCAACCCCGUGAGAUUAUUAAUUGACGAGGGUAGUUCUUUAAUUUUUGACCCGGAUAAAUCAAGCUCUUCUAACCCCUCAAUACCUUCUGAAAUCGAUGGAAACAUCUCAAGGCUGGAGCAAUCAUAAAGAUUAAAGGUUUUCAGACACUUCAUAUGAAUGCAGCUGGGAAGACUCUUAAGUUCCUUGCAAUCUUUUAGGUUGAAAUGACUCAACCCUGUGAGAUUAUUAAUUGACAGGGGCAGUUCUUUAAUUUUUGACCAGGAUAAAUUAAGCUCUUCUAACUCCUCCAUACCUUCCGAAAUCUCUGGAAACAUCUCAAGACUAGAGCAGCGAGAAAGAUUAAAGGUUUUGAGAGAUCUCAUACGAAUUUUGCUGGGUAGAAUCUUAAGUUCCUUGCAAUUUGAUAGGUUCAAAUGACUCAACCCCGUGAGAUUAUUAAUUGAUGGGGGCAGUUCUUUAAUUUUUGACCUGGAUAAAUUAAGUUCUUCUAACUCUUUCAUACCUUUUGAAAUCUCUGGAAACAUCUCGAGACUGGAGCAGCCAAGAAGAUUAAAGGUUUUGAGAGAUCUCAUACGAAUUUUGCUAGGUAGAAUCUUAAGUUCCUUGCAAUGUGAUAGGUUCAAAUGACUCAACCCCGUGAGAUUAUUAAUUGAUGGGGGCAGUUCUUUAAUUUUUGAAUAGGAUAAAUUAAGUUUUUCUAACUCCUCCAUACCUUUUGAAAUCUCUGGAAACAUCUCAAGAUUGGAGCAGCCAGAAAGAUCAAAGGUUUUGAGAGAUCUCAUACGAAUUUUGCUGGGUAGAAUCUUAAGUUCCGCGCACCAAUUCAGAUCCAAUAAAACAAGGUUUGUAAGAGUCGAAAUAGACGCGUGAACCUCAACUAAGCUUAUACAACUUCGAACAAUUAGCCUCUCAAGAUUUGGCACAUUUGUGAAGUCAGGGGUUUCCUUAAGGGAUUGACAAUGACUUAAAUUGAUGAAUUUCAACUUUUCCUGCGUCUGUUAAAACAUUCAGGAAAACAUGCAUUACUUAAUAAGACAUCUCACUCAAAGCCCAAACAUUUAAAAGAAACAAAUACAUGUAAAUGAUUGUACGUACCUGGGUUCCUUCCCAAAGUCGAUCAAUGAGACUAUAUUGCAUGUCAAGUUCAACAAGAUUUUCGAAUUGAAAGUUGGAUGGCAAAGACUUGAGAGGGAAAUCAAGCCAGGAGAGAUACCUCAGGUUAAGCAACUUUAAGGACCCAAACAGGUAUUGUUUGCAGUACUCAUCUUUAAAAACGAAGUGCCUAUGACUGAUCUCGAGAAGUCUUUGUUGAGUCCUUCCAACAACAGCUUCAGCAUUUAAGUUCCUAUGAUGACUGAUCUUGAGAAGUCUUCGUUGAGUCCUUCUAACAACAGAUUCAGCAUUUAAGUGCCUAUGACUGAUCUUGAGAAGUCUUAGUUGAGUCAUUCUACCAAAAGCUUCAGCAUUUAAGCAUGGCCAGCCUGAGUACGAGAAAUCCACAAUUAUGCUUUCAACUGUUUUUGUAGCCUGUGCAAAUCAAAGUAAAGGAAAAUACAGAGAACCUUAGUUUUGAUUAUGAAAUUAAUGAUUGUUUCUUAAGGAGCCGUCUGAUAAUCAUUUCAUUUUCUGUUUAAUUGUUUUCAAUUUCAUUAUUACAACAAUGAAAACUAAAAAUUGAAAACAAAAAUGGUUAUCAAACGGGUCUAAGAAAUUGAUUUUGAUCAAAAGUUGAACCUUUCUACUAACAAUUGCAUAAGAAAAAUAUUUCUCACCGCAUUUUCAGUUAGCACCUGACGAACAUCUUCAUAACUCCACAACCUACUUCGUCUCCCAGGAUCUUUGAUAGAUUCUUGGCGGACAAUUUCCCAACCCAUUUCCUCUAAUGAAUCAUGCAUCUCCAAUUCCCCCAACCUUGAGACAGUUAUGAGAGAUCGAUCGAUUAGAACUUUUAUUCCUGUAUGAGGAUGGAAACCACAACUGUCCAGAAUUUCAGUUGCCUGGUCUUCCUUCAUCCCUUUAAAGAAACAUGCAAUAUCUAGAAAGAUGUCCUUCUGCGUGUCAUCUAGUCCAUCGAAGCUUGUUUUAAGCACAUCAUGAACUCCCCUUUGUGGGAUUUUCCUUAUUUUUUCCAACUCACCUUCCCACACGCGUAUGGUUUUUUUAUGCAAAAAAGCUCCCAAGACUUUGAGGGCUAAAGGCAGACCUUGAGCAUAUUCUACAACACGAUUCGAGAGAUCAUCAUAAUCUCUAGUGGGUUGGUCAUUUCUGAAGGCGUGCUGCCUAAAGAGUUUCAGAGCUCCAGAAUCACUCAAAGUCUUGGGAUUAUAUAUCACAUCAGCUAUGCUUAGUAACUGCGAAUCUCUACUUGUUAUAAUAAUCCUACUUCCACCACCAAAGGAAUGUUGCUCUCCAAGUAAAGCUUCAAUUUGUUCUAAUUUGUCCACAUCAUCAACAACAAUAAGAACUUUUCUCUGACCAAGGCUUUUUAACAUCACCUGGAAACCUUUACUCAAUAUGUCAGAAAUCCCCACCUUGUUGUCUGAGAUACUAGAUAGAAGUAGUGUCUGCAUAUGUAGUUCACCCUGCUUCAUGAAACCCUCCUUGACAUUUUUAAGAAAGCAACCAGCUUCAAAUCGACAAGAGAUUUCAUCAUAAACAGUUCUAGCGAUGGUUGUUUUGCCUAAACCACCCAUACCCCAUAUUCCAACAACGCGAACAUUAUUCGUUUCACCUCCGGGAGGAUAUAAUAAUAAAUGCAUUUCAUGCAUGUGAGAAUCCAUGUCAACCAAGCCAUUAUCUUUGCUUGAUGUUGAUGAGAUGUCUAUCAAUUUCCUAUAAACAUCUUCUACAAUUUCCUCAAUAAGCACCACAUCAUUCCUGUCAAAUUUAAAAAACAUAUAAUAACAACAUCAAAUAAUAAUUAAUGGGUCUUUUUCAUCUGUUAGUUAAAAAAAAAUAGAAAUUAAAACUAAAACUAAAAUCUAAACGUUACAAAAAUCCCAAAAAUUAAAAGGAAACUAAAACAAAUUAGAAUUUACUCAUAGUUUCGCGAAUCCCAGCCGGAUAAACAGGUGGCAGUUGUAAGAGUAGAUCUCCAACUCCGAACCUCUUCCAUUUCGGCGUUAGAAUCGCGAUCGUGCUCAGAAAAGCUUGUGCGAAACUUUUCUUGAGCUUACGAACAUGAGACGGAUCAACUUCAUAGAAAAUGGGGAGUACAAUCUGGUUAUUGGUAUCCUUGCAUUCCAGGAUUUGCACGAGUUCUUUCAAGCACCAAGUGGAAGAAGCAUAGUUUUGAGAGAAAACUACAAGCGAAAGCCUUGACCCUCGAAUCGCUGUCAGGAGCUCGGAAAGGUGGUCGCCUUUUCUGAGCUUUUCCGCAUCAAUGAAGGCGUUGAUUGGUUUCUUAACCAGAGCGUUGUAGAGAUGGCUGACGAAGCCCCUGCGAGUGUCUUCCCCUCUGAAAUUGAUGAACACAUCGUAUUUCCAACCAAGGUUAGAAGCAGCAGCCAUUAAUCGAUCGCACCUGGUCAGCGAUGAUCGAGCAGCUAAGACUAAGAAUAAUGUAAGAACAGAAAUACUCGAUUGAUCUAUAAAUUGAAUCACUGAAGAAACUGGUCUGAUCGAUACGAAGUCAACGAAGACAAAGAAAAUAAUGCUUUAUGUGUUUUCACAUCUUCUUCCGGGAAAUUUAACGAAAAUAAUUUUCCUUUAGGCAAAAUUGACUUCAAAAUAUAAAAAUAUUCUUUCAAUUAUGGACAUAUGACAUUUCGGUGUGAAACGAAUAUGCUUAUUUGGUUUGGUUUGGACCCAAGAAAGGACAAAGAUUGUCUGCCCUCCUACUUCCGGUGCCCUUCCAUGCCCUUCUGUUUGUGUAGUCACGGUUAAGCCACGUCAACAUUUUAUAUUACUAUUUAUUUUUGUCUUAUUAUCUCUAUAAAUAAGCAAUAUAAAAUAUUAACGUGGCAUAAUCGUGACCACAGAAAACAAGAGUUGGCACCAAAAAUAGGAGGACAAACAACCCUUGUCCCCCAAGAAAAUGCUAAGAAAGGAUGGUUUAGCAGCUGUGCAUGAGGGGACUGGGUCAAAGUACCCUGUUGAAUCCACUCUUGCCUACCCAACAACUUAUUUAGUUAUUUGUAAGCCCGAAAUAUAUCCCGAUCUUUCUAUUCACACCAAAAGUAAGUAGAGUGAUAAGAAAUAUUUCCGGUUAAGUAUAAGCAUGUCAGUCUGCAGCAGCAUAGCCACGUUAAGGGCUACCGUGGGCUGUAGUCUAUGUAAUUUUCAGUGAAAAAUAAAAUUUUACAUGUAAUUUUUAUUGAUUUUCAAAUAUACUUCUUCAUAUAUACAGUCUUUAAUCUGAAUUAUCUCAUUUUAAUUAUAUAAUUAUAUAAUACAGUUUACAAACUGUCUCUUUUUCUUACAUCAUUUUUCUCACCGCUUCUUGCACAUGUACAAGUUUGGAUUUUGUUUGAAUUUUAACACGUAUUUGUUUAAAAACGAAAAUCCUUGGCUUACAUAGUGAAAAUUUUCUUAAGUUAGCUGAUACUUUGAAAAAUACAGGAUCAAGUUUCUUUGUUUAUAAAGAUUUAAAUCUUUAAGCUAGCCCACCCGGUGAAAAAUUCCUAACUCCGUCAUGCAUUUUACAUAUAAUUUUUAUUGAUUUUCAAAUGUAGUCCAUCAUAUAUACCGUCUUUAAUCUGAAUUCUCUUGGUUUAAUUAUAUAAAAUUAUAUAAUACAGUUUACAAACCGUCUCUUUUCUUACAUCCUUUUUCUCACUGCUUCUUAUACAUGUACAAGUUUUGAUUUGUUUGAAUUUUAACACGUAUUUGUUUAAUAACGAAAAUCAUUGGCUUACAUAGUGAAAAUUUUCUUAAGUUAGCUGAUACUCUGAAAAAUACAAGAUCAAGCUUCUUUGUUUAUAAAGAUUUAAAUCUUUAAGCUAGCCCCCUGGUGAAAAAUUCCUAGCUUCGCCAUUGAGCAUGUGGUAUAUCCUAUGAUAUCAUGGACGGCAAACGAGCGAUUAAUGGUUGUUUGGCAUUUAAUUUGAUGUCACGGUAGUAACGGUACUCUAAAAUCUUUGAUAUACUUGCUUUCAGCUACAAAACUACUAGAACUCCGAAAAUUGCUUAUGAAAAUAAAAAUAUUGACUAGAUUUGAACUUGUAUAAUCUAUGUCUUCACUACACAUUGUUGUGUUCGCUCGUGUUCUAAAGUUGACGCUAGCUAGAAGGUCACAGCAAGAAGCAGAGGAGGCUAACUAUUGCAGAAAUUUGUUUAUUCAAAAGCAUUUGUAAAAACACAUAUUGAAAUUAAUUCACGCCAAAAAUAAAUAAUACAGUGGUGGCAGGCACACUACAACAAUAGGGUUUUAACCCUAUGCAUUUUUAUAUUGGCUUUUGUGUUAUCAGUUGCGACCGCUCGGUGGAGAGAGCAUUUUAUGUUAUGAAUAAAAAUACCACUGCGUAACAAAAUAGAAGAUUAAUGGUUGAGUGAUAGCUGGUUUGUUUGCAAUGAGAGAGAUGUUUUUGCUUUUAUUGAUAAUGAAUCUAUAUACGCGAUGUUUUCAUAGCAUAAAACAUCGCCGACAACAAUUGUAACUUUUUGUGUUGAUAAAUUAGGAAAGACAUUAAUAUUUUCUAAUAUCUAAAAGAAUUUGGAUGUCUACAUUUUUUUGGAAAACUUUUUACCCUUCUAAAUUUCGCGCCUCUCCCGACAAUUCCUAGCUUCGCCACUGCUAUAGUCAACUCCAAGUCUUGUCCAUGAUAUCAAUAUCCCUACUGUAAACGGUGACUUCAAUAUAAGCUAACAAAAAGUUUGUAUAGAGAAGAUAUAUGCAUGAAAAAAUGGCAGUGUUUGUGUUGCCGAACGGAUGAUACUGAAAUACCUAAACCCAAGUCAAGCUCCUUUAGUCCACAAAAACAAAAGUUUAGAAUACAAUAAUGUUUGCAUAUAGAUUGGAGAAACGACAUACCACCGGCCAGGAAGGUGCAGUGAAAGAGAGAGGAAAAGAGGAAAGAAACAAAUACGAAAUGACAAAGACUAUCAAAUAGAUUAUAACAAUGACUUCUUAGCGGUGAUCACAACUAUUCAACUAUCGAUGAUGCUUUAUUUUAGAUUGAGAUGUGGAAGCAUCUGAGAAGUAGCAUGUCAACAACCAUUACACAAUAAUAUUGUCUAAUAUCUAAAAGAACUUGGAUAUCUACAUUUUUUUAGAAUCUUUUACCCUUAUAAAUUUCGCACCUCUUCAGACAAUUUCUAGCGUUGCCGCUGCUUCAGUCAACUCCAAGUCCUAGUGGUUCUUGUCUAUGAUAUCAAUAUACCCAUUGUAAAUGGUGAUUUCAAUAUACAUAGAGUGUGUACAGGGGAGAUAUAUGUAUGAAAAAAUGGCAGUUGUUGUAUCUGUGUUGACGAACGGAUGGUACUGGAAUACCUAAACCCAAGUCAAGCUUCUUCAGUCCACAAAAACAAAAUGUUUAUUAUAUAAUAAUGUUUGCAUAUGGACUUGCGAAACAACAUACCGCCGGUUGGGAAGGUGCAAUGAAAGAGAGAGGAAAGGGGGAAAUAAACGAACAAGAAAUGACAAAGGCUAUCCAAUAUAUUAUAAAAUGACUUCUUGGCAGUGAUUAAGCUAUUCAAUUAUCAAUAAUGCAUUAUUCUUAAAGUUUAUAAUAUAAUAAUGUUUGCAUAUGCACUUGCGAAACGACAUAUCGUCGACUGGGAAGGUGCAAUGAAAGAGAGAGGAAAGGAGGAAAUAAACGAACAAGAAAUGACAAAGACUAUCCAAUAUAUUAUAAAAUGACUUCUUGGCAGUGCUUAAGGUGUUCAACUAUCAAUAAUGCAUUAUUCUUAGGUUGAAAUGUGGAAGCAUCCGAGAAAUAGCAUGGUAACAACCACACAAUAAACAAAAGUGAUUAGAGAAAAGAACCAAAUGUGAAAGGAUAAUUAAAAACAGUUAUUCAAGAUCGGCGGUAAAUCAUUCAGCUAUUUACAAGAUUUGAACUUAGAACCGCAAUCUACUAGAUUGUUGUAUCAACUAUUAAGUGGUGUUCUAAUAUAAUUCUUAGGAAUUUCAAGGAGGCAUAUGGGGGUGGAUCAUUUUUUUUCUAAAUUCGACAGUACAAAGAAGAAUUUAAUUGAUAACGGAAAAAAUAAGUUACAUAUAGAGCUGGAGCAUAUAAUAGACCCAAAUUGACCAUUUUUAGGCUCCACUGCUAAGAACUAUUGCAAAAUGCUCAUUAGGAUUACCCUGUGAACUCCGUCCUUCCACACCAAGCCUCCAAACUCAGUCCGAUAUGUUGCAGCUAGUUUAGAUACUUGUCCCCUGCAUGUUACAGAAUCACAAGAGCAAGCUUACAAAACUGCAGUUUUUACUCAUAGUUAUUGCAAAUGAAAAUACAGGUUGGUGCCAGCAAUUAUCAGUGUAAUUCUCUAUCCGACGGUAUUUCUCUCGCCUUCUCUUGAUAAUUUCGGAUGUGACAUGUUUAAGAUAACUCUUCCAAACACGUUGCUUAUGCCUAAUUUUUAAUACCACCAUAUCAUAUCAUAGUAAAUCCAAAUAACUAUCGAAUGGCAUUUAGGCAUCUAGAAUAUCAAAUGCAUUACUUUACAUUGAAAAUUCAUUUAUUCAAUAGCAUUAAUACACUAGUAAAAAAAACACUUUGCACGACGUAGGUCCUUCGUCGCGCAAAGUCAAAACAUGUCGCGCAAAACUUUGCCCAACGAACCUUCGUCACGCGCAAACCGUCGCAGCAAGGCAGUGACAUAAGGCUUUGCACGACGAAGGGUUACAUGCAUCGCGCAAAGCCACUUUGCGCGACGCAUGUAACCCUUCGUCGCGCAAAGCCAUUUUGUGUGAUGCAGGCUGCGUCGCUCAAAGUGGCGUCACGCGAAGAUGCUUUGCGCGACACAUGUCAUUGAGUUGCACAAAAUGACUUUGCGCAACGUAACCUACGUUGCGCAAAGUGUAUUUUUGGUUUUGGUCAAAAAUAUUAUUUUCUUAAUUUUUAAUAAUGUUGUAAUUAAAUUCUAAACAAUAAUUAAUUAACCAAAAAAAGUAUUUAAUUAUAAAAUAUAUGGAAAUGUACAUACAAGAUGUCCGAAUAAAAAAGAAAAAACUACAAGUAGUCUUCUAGGUGAAGUGGCUACUGGGUAUCAACAUGGUGAAGUGGCUUCUAGGUGAAGUAACAUUUCGAUGACGUGAAAAAGUUUCAAUUGGUCAUCUACAAGUGUCAAACCUAACACAUUUUACUUAAAAAAGAAAAAGGUAAUAACAUAACUCAAAACGAAAAGCAAAAGGGAAAAAAAAAAACUUUGCGCGACAUAAGUACAUAUGCAUCUCGCAAAGUUUUUUUUUCCCCCUAUUGCAGAUACAAAUAACAUCAUCCUUUUGCAAGAAUCAGUCUCUGCCCUCUCGCCCUCCCUCUCCCGCUCCCUCUCCUUCUCCUUCUCCCCUGUGUAGUUGUUGGUUGUGUUGUACGAAGUCGUCCCUCUCCCUCUCCCAUGUGUUGUUGUUCGUUGCACAAAGUAUUUUGCCCGAUGCAGGUGUACCUACGUCCCGUAAAGAUUUUUUUUUUUGCCCUUUUGCUUAUGAGUACAAAAUAAAUAAAUUAAAAUCUACUUACUAAAUCAACUAUGGAGCUUUUGACUUGUGUUAGAACACUGGAAAGAAAGACAAAAAGAGACAUUUUCAUGUUGACUUUGCACGACGCAUAGUACAUCAUGCGUCGCGCAAAGCUGUUUUGAGUGACGUAGUGUACCUGCGUCGUGCAAAGUUGGAAAAAAAACGGUAAAACAUUCUUGGUUUGGCCCCAAAAUCUUGCGCGGCGCACAAAACGUCGUGCAAGUGGUCUUUAUGCGACCAUACUUUGCGCAACGAAGGAGUGCGUCGCGCAAAACAGUUUUGAACGACAUAGAUGUACCUUCGUCGCGCAAAACAAUUUUGUGCGACCCACUCCUUCGUCGCACAAAGACCACUUGUGCGACAUCUUGUGUUUAGCGUUGCACAAAGUAUGUUUGCGCGACGAAAUUUGCUACGUCACGCAAACAUGUUUUUGUACUAGUGAUAACACACACAUUGAAUCUCCACUUGCCCACCCAAAAACUUCUUUGUAAACUAGAAAUAUAUUCCAAUCUCCCUAUUCACAUGAAGAGUGAGUUAGAGUGAUUGGAAAUAUCUUUGAUUACGUGUACGCACACCACAUAUGUGCCAUAUCCAACGGUAUUGCGGACAUAAAGCAAGCAAGUAAUGGUUGUUUGGCUUCUAAUCUGAUGUCACGGUAGUGACGGUACUACUUUGAAAUCUUUGAUGUAUAUGUUUUUAACUACAAACUACUAGAACUUCACAAAUUGCUUAAAUACAAGUUCAAGCAAUAAUAAGAAUAUUUCCAAUAGAACACCUUUCAUAGGGCCGGUCCAGAAAUUUUUGAGGCCCGGGACGACGUAAAAAAAAGUGCCCUAACUUCAUGUAAGAAAAUUAUUUAUUUUCACACGUAAGACAUCGAUAAAAUUAUACUUAGAAAAACACUUCAAACUUAAUAAUUUAAAAACACAUAAAGACUAAUUUAUUUUGUAUUGAGAGAGGGAAACAACAAAACUUCGGGCUUACAAGUAGAUAGAUGAUGAGUUUUGUUUUCCAUCUGAACUUUGAAUGUGUUUUUGAAUAAAUCAUGAGGUGUUUUUUUCUUAUUUACUAAUCUUGUCAAUAUGGGACUAUAAAAAAAUGAUGUUUUCGAGUCUUUAAUUGAUAUGUAUUAUUAAUGAAUUGGCACUAAAUUAAACAUUUUGAUGACAUGUCAUAUAAUUUGCAAAUUUGGUCUACGUAUUAUUCUUUGUUGAAGAUUAGACUUGAAUUAAAACGAAUAUUUAAAAAUAACAACCCACAUAUCUACUAGAUAGUAACUAAAAAUAAAUUAACAACCAAACAAAAAUUUGUAAAAAUUGAAAAGAAUAAACAUGCACAUAGCACUUCAAACAAAAAUCAUUGUUUCUAAGGGGGGUGUAUUCAAUUGAGAAUGUGAAAGAUUUUAAUGGAUUUAUAAAUCCAUGGAUUUUUAUGGAGUUUAAUUGAUUUGUAGAGAUUCCAUAUAAAAUUUUGAUUCAAUUCCUUCGAAAUCUCAUGGGAAGAGGUGAGAUUUGUGGAUACUUAAAAUACACUACGAAAUCUCUCCAAUUCCCUCUAAUUCUUUAACUUUCUCAAAUUCUUUAAAAUCAAUUUCUAAUUGAAUACACUUGGAAUGUUAUAAACUUCUUUAAAAUCUUAAUUGAAUACACCUGGAUUUCUAAGGAUUUUAAUAAACUAUUUUGAAAUUCUAAUUGAAUACACCUAGAAUUUCAGAGAAUCACUUAAAAUCCUAAUUGAAUACCCCUGGAAUUAUUAAUUCCCUGAAACUCUCUCAGAAUCCUAAUUGAAUACACCCCUCUAAGUAGACUUCUUGAUCCUUUUACCAAAUUUUAUAAAUUUAUUCUCUUAUGAAAAGAAAUUUGUAAAAAAUGAAAUGUAAAUAAGCACACAUGGUGUUUUGAACCCAAUACCUCCUCAUUAUUUUCAAAUGACAAACCACCACUUCUAGUUAAAUUUCUAUGUCUUUGAACCAAAUUUUAUAAAUUUAUACUCUUAUAAAAACAUACAUAAAUUGACACACCCCAUCCCGAAGGAGGGCAUGCUGGCCGUCACGUGAGAGUGACGUAACCAUUUGCACAGUACGGAAGCUUUAAGAUACAAUUUAUAAGUUGAUACACCCGAAGGUGAGUCCUAAUUUUGUCCAAUCUGUCAGAACACCGUCGAAUUCCUCGUAGUCACCACACCUUUGUGAUUCUUGAACCUGGAGGGGCGCAAAACCAAAAUUGAGUGGGUCAGUAAAACAAUUCUUUUCCAAAUCCAAACAUUUCUCAAAACGUUGUAACCCCUCUCCGUAAAACCUGUAUACUUUCCCAGAAAUGUAAAAUAUAAAUAUACAUAUAUAUUCUCAAAACUUCAUUUUUACUAUCUCAACAUUUUUCUUUAUCAAUCAUGCCAUGCCAUGUCUAAUUCAACAGUUAAAUAUGGAUGCAUCAACAAUAAUCAUAUCAGGUGCAAGAAAGUAAUCAACCGGAGGCCCUCUAAUAGCCCUGUACGGUUGAACCUAGAGCUCAAAAUCUAUCACUAUCACUCUACCGGAGUCACCUCUGUGACCCGUCCGGCCUUCUGCACACAAGUUAUGCUCUAGUGCUUUCUCAUCAAUCAUCUGUGCACAUAAUCUAAGGUCACCCACCAGUCGGAAUCUCACUAACACUCUCGCGACUGGCCUGUCGUACCCACUCCGCGUGGACUGUACGACUAGCAUCUACUUGGAUCCAAGGCGAGCGUGCGAUGCGGUGAAUACUAUAAGCACUAAACCAUUGGUGCAGGAUUUGAGCUCAAUAUAUAUCAACAUCAUCAUAACAGUAAUUAAAUACUCACCUGAUACUCACCUGUGCGUCCGCCGCACCAUUCAUUCAUAUGCAUCAUAUCUCAAUUCAUACUUUUCAUAUCAUUUCAUGCAUGGCAAUUCGAUUCACAUUUCUAUAUACUUUUCAUAUACUUUUAUGCAUGGCAUUUCAACUAAUAUAUCUCAUAUACUUUUAUACAUUUUCAUUAAAAACAUAAUUUCAUGCAUUUUCAAUUUCUGGGAAACGGCAAGUAUAUAUGUAUACGGAAAACAAAACUGCCCACUCACCUGGAGUUCGCCCUACAACUCCCUAGCACAAUACGCCAAGGCGUCAUGACGAUCGGCGCCUAAAAACAAUAAUUAAUUCCAACCUCAGAAUUCAUAGUGAUAGAAUAUAUAACUUAUAUAAAAUACGUCACUACGUAGUUCGAUCCGGAAGAUCUGCCACUCAGAUUUUAAAUCCAUAACUUCCAGAGGUCCACAAUAUACCUCUAGGACAACUUCCUAAAAUUUCAUUACCAUCCAACGGUCGGAUCUCCGUCAAUUUCCAAAACUAAGUGACGGUUAACAUUUUAUUUUAUGAACUUACAAUUCCAAUUCCGGAAGAUCCGUAACUCGGAUUCCCAAUCCGUAAGUUCCAAUAAUCCUCAAAUAUUACGUAUUACAACGUAUCAAAGUUUGGUAACGAUCCAACGGUCGGAUCGUCAAUUCACAUUUUCACCAAAACUAUAAAACGUUAUUCGAACACCUAACCAACAAUCCUUAAUAACUUUCUCAUACGGUGCUCAAAUUGGGUAUAUGAAUAUACCACGGUGAUCUACUCGACGUCACGGACGUCGACAUAUUUUUAAAAUAAUUUUAUUUAUUUAUUUUUUUUAACUGUAGCACCUUCUUCUUCCUUGGGUCGCCGGACUGGUUUUUCCGGCGGCCGUUUUCCGGGCAGUUUUUCAAAUUGUCAUAACUUUGUCAUUUCUCAACGAAAUCAAGUGAUUCAAAAACGAAAGUUGUAGCCCUUGAAGAGACAAAGAGAAUGGUACCUUGCACAACACCUAGUUCGCCGUGGUUUGGCCGGAAACUGCCUCGAAAGCCUCGGAGGUCGCCGGAAACUGGGUAUUUUUCAAAUGAGUAUAACUUCUUCAAUACUCAACGAAAUUGAGUGAAACAAAAAGGAAAGUUGUAGUACUUGACGAGACGAAGAGAUUGAUACCUACCUCGACUCCUAACUCGCCGGGGAUUCGCCGGAAAAUGCCUCGAAGCUCCGGCCAAACUUUGAACUUGUCGAUCUCCGUGUUCUUACGUCCAAAAACUUCCAACGAAGCACUCCGAGCUUCCUUGGAACCUCACUAAGCUCACUGUGAGCUUGGAUUGUCCUAAAACAAAGUCAAUUCGAAGAUCAUGAACAGUGCACUUUCACGGGGAGUUUAGAAUCUAGGUUUUUCCGAAGUAAAACUUACCUGAAAUUGGUGUCUACGUGAUCGUGGAGUCUCCAGGAGUUCGAUGGUGGUCUUAACUCCGUCGUUGGUAUAGAUUUAGGGUGGUUUUGGAGCUCGUCUGUGUGAGUUUGAAGGAGAGGGAGAGAGACAGAGAAUGAGAGAUUGUGAGGGAGGAGAGAGAGACAGGGUACGGGAAAUAGGGAGGGAUUUGAGGUGUGUGGUCCUACCUAACCCCAAAUCAUAAAAUUCCAUCUCCAAAUAACUUAGAAACAUAUAUUUCACCAAUAUAUGAUUCACAUAUCUUAAUCACGUUUAAGGGAAAUUCCGUCAAUUUACAAUCACGAGUGUAAAACUUUGGGACGGGCUGUGACAUAAAUAUAUCACCCUAAUAAUUUUGGUGCCCCUAAUUUUUCUGGGCCCUGGACGGUCGCCCUGCCUACACUGGGCCUAGGCCGACCCCCUUUCACAAUCCCUGGAGAGCUAGUUCAUUAAUAGACCGAGGAAUAAGUAAAUUGACUCAUUCAUAUAUUUAGAUCAUGAAUGUUUGGAAUCCAUAUUAUGUAAGGAGACAUUGCUUUUGCUAUUAUGAAAUUUAAAAAAAAAAAUGACUAGAUUAGAACUUGCAUAAUCUACGUUUUAUUCAUGGCAUGCGAUUAUUAAUGAUUAAAGCUAAGCUUAAUACUAUGGGAGGUAAAGUAGUGGAAAGCAAAUCCUUGGCACUCAUGGCACUUAUGGAGAAGAUGAAGAAAAGAAACCUAGGUCGUAUUUAUAUACAAACAUGUGACUAAAUUACAGAAAUGAUAACGAGAGAGCAUGUGAUUGUUGACAACCAGUGACAUGAGAAACACACUCUGGGAUCAUAUCCAUCAGAAGCCCAAUUCCAUCCUGUGUAAGAAAGAGAGCAUGAGAACACGAACAUGAAAAAUGAAAGAAUUGUAUUCAGCAUUUUGUCAAGCUAUCAAUUGGUACACAAGCAUUAUGAUGUAAUAAUCAUGUUAAAAUAAAAUAUAAAUAGUAAAACUACACGUCCAAGCUUUAAUCCAAAGAAUUCUCACUUAGUAGUCCAAAGCUAAUUGAUUACCAUUCGGUUGAUCCAGAAACACUCAACCUAUCCAACUAUUUUGCGACGUUACCAAAAACUACUACUACUUUCCAGGUGAAACAUGAAGGGUGAAAAAGCAAACAUGAAUCACUAGAUUUACUACAAAUGAUAUACCGAACAAUCUAACAGUAAAUAUCAACAAGACCAAUCCAACGUUAUCACAAAGCAUAUAUCAAUAAGAAAAAUAUAAAAAUAUUGUUACCUUACUGAAAGCUCCAAUAUUCGGUAAGGUAACAUUGGAGGUCACUAUCAUCUUUCCCGCGAUCAGUGAAUAAAAGCCAAAGAUCUGACUCUUGGAUUCGAGUCAUGGGUUUGGGUCGCAAUUCUCUCGUCGCAUGUUUGAAUACCAAGUUCAUCUUAACAGACUUGGUUUUUUUUAUCAAACAUCUUAACAUAUUUAGGGGUGUGUUCAAUUGGGGAUUUAAGAGAUUUUAAUAGAUUUAUAAAUUUAUAGAUUUAUAUGGAGUUUAAUUGAUUUGUAGAGAUUUCAUGUAAAAUUUUGAUUCAAUUCCCUCGAAAUCUCAUAAGGAGAUGUGAGACUUGAGGAUGUUUAAAAUACACUACGAAAUCUCUCCAAUUGAAUUCCUCAACUUUUUCAAAUUCUUUAAAAUUAAUUUCUAAUUAAAUUCAAUUGAAUGUUGUAAAAUUCUUUAAAAUCGUAAUUGAAUGCAUCCAGAUUUCUAAAUAUUUUAAUAAACUAUCUUAAAAUUCUUAUUUAAUACAUUGAAUUUUAGACAAUUACUUAAAAUUCUUAUUGAAUACCUUUAGAUUCAUUAAAAAAUUUAAAAUUUUUCAAAAUCCCAUUUGAAUACAUCACCCUUAAUAAAUUGUACAUUACAUUAUAUCCCAUUUGAGCACAUUAGCUUAUGCCUCCGGAUUCUGCAUAUCGGGUCGGGUUCCGAAGUUCGAGCUCACAUUUGAUAAUCAAAUUCAUCACAUUUGAUCCAACGGUGGUAAUUGGCAAACCCACCUCGGAGUCAAAAGAUGCGGCCCACGCUCCCUCUCUUUUCCAAAACCCUAGCAAAACCUCGGCCCUAUAAAUACCUUCCACAUCCGCCGCAGGAGGCACCCAAAUGCCCCUUUCUCUUCCCUUUCACACACUAAUCCCUCGCAGAGGCGAUGGGAUUCCCAGUUGCUUCUCCGUCGGAGAAACCUUUCCAACUGCUCCAUCUCUUUGCACCAUCGCCUCUGUUUCUUUUUUAUUUAUUUACUUAAUUAUUUGAGCAAUUUCCUUUAUCCUUGCCAUUCAUAUUUCAGAUUUUCAGCUUGUUUUUUUUUAUCCGAAAAAUAAAAUCGAAGUUGUAUGAGUUUUUUGCAAUUUUGUUGGGUGAGGCCGGUGAUGAUCGAAACAUAUUUUGCCUACAUUGCUUGAUUAUCUUAUUUUAUUGAGAUAAUGAUAAAAUCCGAUGUAUCUGAGGCCUUCCCGGAAGAACGAGCUUUAUUUUAUUUUUUAUUUUUUGGGUAAAAUGUAUUAUUUCAAAUCUUAAUAUUUCAAAAAACUGAAUUUUUAAAUUUCGACUAAAAUGAUGAGUUUUGUUGAUAUUUGCGAUAUAUCACUUAAAUAGUGAAGAAAUUCUUAAUUUCGUCUUAUUAAAUAUGUCAGAUUUUGUUUGAUAUUUUCUCGAUGUCAGAAGUCGAACUUAGAACUCUUAACCAUAAGAAUUGAAUUGAGCUACACUGGAUGCGUUGGAGAAAAUAUUAAUAACUGAAGGAGGAUUUAUGUUAUAACAAAAAUAAAAUAAAAAUGGUAUUCCGGUGCCAGGAUUCGAACCUGGAUGAAAACUCUUAACCAAUAAGACUUUUUGUGGUGAGCUUCACCGGACGACUUGAUAAAUCAUGGCGAAAUAAACUAUUUAAAUGUACUCCUUACGUUGUGCCGUAGAUAAACAAUUAGUGCACAUAAUGUAGUUAUCUGAUUUGUGGGGAAUGGUGAUGCUCACCGCUUAAUGUCGUCGUUGGAUCAGUUUAAGUUUUGAGAUCUGUGAAAUGAAUAAAUACAAAUUUAAAAAUUUAAAUUUAUUUAAUAAUAAUAAGUAUGGUAAUGAGAAAAAAAUGCAUCUUAUGGUUCAGAAACACACUCUCAAAUUUAAAUAACAAUUUUCAUGCUUUCCAACAACACAAAAAUUUUAUAACUAAGAAUCAAUCAAAACAUAAUGAUUGAAUGAGCGAGGAUUUCUUUUAUUUUUUCCAAAUUUUCUGAAGGUUUUUUCUAUAAAAUUUAUGGUGUCAUGAUUGCCUUAAAAGAAUCGUAAAUGUGUUCCUUGAAAAAUAAUAUGAAACCGUAUUUUGAGUUCUUAUGUUUAUUGUUUUAAUUCGAUCUAUCGUUUGAAGCCGCCUCCACCAAAAUAAAUUCAUAUCUAUAUUUUUUCUAUAACGAGUGAUUAAUAAAUCCAACCGUUUUUCAGCACCACAAAAUAAGUUACAACCCGAACACUAACGAGCGAUUAAUGGGUCCAACCGUUUUGCCACAUAUAUAUUUUCUUUUUAUCAAAACAUGCAAAUAUCUUCUUUACCAACUUGAAUCUCCCAUCGUUUGUUUUCUCUUCAUCCACAGAUUUGAUCUGUCUUUUUUGGUGAUCAAACCAAAAUUUUCUUGGACAUGAUUGUACAUACAACCAUUAAUAAACUAUCUCCAACAAAAGCCUAAACAUAGCCUCGUCCAAAAUUAUAGUCUUGCAAAAAAAUAUUUUUUUAAUAAACGAUGUCAAACUAUACUCAUGUACUAUCUUUAACCUGUAUGAAACCUUAAAAUGUAGUGAGCUUCAUCAGUUCAUGUUUAGUGCAAUUAUAUAGAACAAAAUGGUUGUAUUUCAUUUAGGAUUAGGACUUAUAUGUGUGACUUGUAAGGGAUUUAGAGCCACAAAGGAGGGAAACUUGAAGUUACAAUUAUUUGAAUUUGGCGACAGUUAAUCGAAGGAAAUUGCUUGUAACUGCAUCCUUGAUGGGAGGAUGAGUUGCGGAACGUACAUAUAUAUAUAUAUAUAUAUAUAUAUAUAUAUAUCACUUUGAUCUCUCUUCUUAGGUGUGUGUGAUCCCUCACGUAGAAAUAGUCCCAUUGAGUGUUCUUGGAUCAAUUUUGUGACCAAAGGAAGAGAAGAUAUCACAUCCUGGCCCGGGACGGACCACUUCCCGGGCCCACUCCACCACCGUAGCACGAUAUUGUCCGCUUUAGGCCCCGAUUAAGCCUUCACGGUUUUGUUUCUGGAAACUCACGAGCAACUUCUUAGUGGAUCACCCAUCAUGGGAGUGCUCUGCCCACCUUCUCACUUAACUUCGGAGUUCAGACAAAACCCGAAGCCAAUGAUCUCCCAAAAUGGCUCGUGCUAGCUAGGGAUGAGAAUAUACAUUUAAGGAUCACUCCCUUGGACGAUAUGGGAUGUUACAGAAGACAAAUGAUCAAACUUGUUGUCAAUGUCUUCUUCUACAAGUAAGUAAAUUCUCAUUACUUGUUAUAAUCGCUGCAUGCAUAAUGACACAAUAAAUGCAACAAUUAUCAUUCAAUGUUAAGAUUUCUGAACUAGGAUCAUGGUUUAAUUGUUAAUGAUAUAUAUAUCCAAGCAUAACCGAAAUAGCUAAACAUAGCCCCAUAAUAAUUUAUUAUUUUAAACCUUAUACUUUAAAUUAAUUAAUUAAUUUAAUUUAAUUAUCAUUGUAUGUUUUCAAAUUUAGCCGUUUAAUUUGAAUUAAUUGUUGCAACUGAGGAGCUGGAUCCCCAAAAAGGGCUAAGAGGGGUUCUAUAUUUGACCAACUUGAUACCCCUUAGGCUAAUAAUCAUCUGGUGGGCUCCAUAAAAUUAUAGUCUAGUCAUCGGUUGGAAAUAAAUUUUUAGAUAAAUCAAGGUCAUUUUUAGUUUUUAAACCUUUAGUCAUCUCAAUUGAAAAUGACCUUAUGUCUUUAUACGAUGUGCCUCCUAUUUCCAGCUUCAACUCCAACUGAAGGAUGUAAACGUAAUUAUCAUCUAUAGAGAUUCAUCAGAAUUUGAGGGGUUAGAUGACCCCUACUUGCCUCUUAAUGGAUUGGCCUAGGGGUGGGCAAACGGGUAUAGGAACCGCGGGUCGGGGCGGGUACGGACCGGUUCUUAUUUUGUAAAAAUAAAAAUGAGGCGAGGUAGGGCGGGCUUUUGAAAUUUUCGGUUCGGGCUGGUUCCUGAAGUAUGGUAGCGUUUGGUACGUGGGACGGGACGGGACGGAACGGGACGAGCCGUUCCGUCCCACGUUUAGUGCGCCUAAAAACUGUGGAACAGGUUGUUCCAUGGGACAAAAUUUGGCUGAUUUUUCGUUCCACCUCUUCCCCCUGGAACGACCCGUUCCACAUCUGUGGAACACAAAUUUAUAACAUUUUAUGACAAAAUUUCUCCUUAUCUUUUUCAAUAUUUACAUCAUCUGUUCCGUCCUGUUCCAUCUCGUCCCGUCCAGUCCUGUUCCGUCCCGUUCUGUCCCAUCUGCGUACCAAACGGUACCUAUAGGAACCGCGGUUACCCGGACCUGCCCGUUUGUAGUUAGAAUGGACGUAUAAGAUUGAAGAGAUCAUCUCUCCAUCCAAUCUGAAUCGUUGGUUUUAGGUUUGCUCAUCCUCAAACUUAUCGAAUUCAACUGUCACUCUUACUCUGUUGAUCGAGUCUCUCUCGCCGUCUCCAGUGCGUCGUCUCCUUCCCUCCACCACCCCGACAACACGACGGCCCAGACGACCACCAUCUUCUCGAUUUGUCACCUCUCUCUCACCUCUCUCUCGCCAUCUCGAUUUGACAUCCCAAGGACCCAGACUUACAUAACCCAGCCACCCCACCACCCAUCUUCUCGAUUUGUCACCUCUCAUUUGCCGUCUCGAGUGUGUCUUCCCCUCCUUCACCGAGGAGGACGAGAUUCAAAUCCUGCUGGUUUACUCCAAGGAGAUUAACAAGCGCAUGCUCGACACCGUCAAGUCCAGGAACGCCAUUGCUUCCGCUGCUCAAAACGGCGCCAUGGAGUCCGAGACUGUGAGCUCUGCGGUGGAAUGUACCGCUGUUGCCGCCAAUGAAGAUGCUAAGGCUGAAGAGCACAGAUCUCUCCAUGUGUGUUAGGUCACUCUUAGCUUCAUAUUAGCCUAUUAGAGCUUUCAUAUCGAGAUCUGUUCAUAUUUAUCAUGGAUUUCUUGUGAUGCCUAUAUACCUAAUGACCUGUUAAAUAUUUAAACUUUGUUAAUUUCGCUAUGCGCUUCAAUUUUCUGUGGAUUAUAUUAUCUGGGUUUCUGUUGUGAGUAUUGAUCUACUGAGUCUUGAUCUGCUUUGUUCAGAGAUGUUUAUGUUGAAGAUUUUAUAAGGAAGUGGGUGCAUUUGGAAUUGGAAAAUUAUCGAAAUCUUUCCUCUUGCAUUAUUUAGGUUUCCUAUUGCAUAAUCUGCUGCAUUAGUGAAUCUGUGCAAAUUCCAAUUUUUUUUUUUCUAAACAAAAAGAAAACCAAGAACCCGUGGACCCGGCCUGAACCGGCCCAUUUCAACCAGGCCGAGUAAGGUCCAAUUCCUAUAUAAGAAAAUGUAAUCCCCAACUCGGUCCGGCCCAUCUCCUUUGCACCUGGAUCCACCAGUGGCCAUAUGCUAUUGCCCUUUUAUUUUCUUUUUUCUCCUGCCAUGGGCGCAGUCAUGGGUAAGUAGGUAAGUUUGAUUACGCAAUUAAUUGGGCACUCUAGGAGACGCGUAGUGUUAGUGCAGGCUCAAAAGUCAAAAGGUUAAUGAGGAGUGUGGAUGGAAAGCCUGCCCUAAAUACGUUUGUAUUCCUUUGCUGAGUUACUGUACUCUGCCCUUUUCUCCUCUCUUCCUGGAAAAUUCACUCUAUUGAUCUCUGGCCGUGUUUUGCGUGGCAUGAAACAAAACGGUCAAGUAGUGUAUAACAAUUUCAAAAAAAAAGGUCAAAUAGUGUAUAACAAUUUAUCAUAUAGAAAGUUGAUGGUGCUGCAGAUGAUUAAUGAGAGUUUUAACGAAAAACUCACAGCACUGUUUACUUUAACGAAAAGCCACAUUUUUACAUUAAAAAGUCAAACCUAGUACUAUUCAUUUUAUCCUUUAUUUUGUCUUUAACAUUAAAACUCAAAGUUUUCAAACAUUUUUCAUUAGUUUUCCUAUGAUUAAUUGGUGUCCGUAGAAAUUACAUGAUAUCACUCAGACUUUAUCCAACAUAUUAGGCCAUCUCCAACAAAAGUCUAAACAUAGCCCCAUCUAAAAUUAUAUUCUUGUAAAAAAUUAUCUUUUAAUGAAUGAUGUUAGACCAUACUCAUAUAUCAUCUUUAACCGAAAUGGUUAAACACGGCCACUUAAUAAUUUAUUAUUUUAAACCUUAUACUUUAAAUUUAUUGGUUAAUUUAAUUAAACUACCAUUGCAUGUUUUCAAAUUUAGUUGUUUAAUUUGAAUCAAUUAUUGCAACUGAGGAGCUAGAUCCCCAAAAAGGGCUAAGAGAGGGUCUAUAUUUGGUAAGCCUGAUACACUUUUGGCCAAUAAUCGUCUAGUGGGCUCCACAGAAUUAUAAUCUAGUCAUCGGUUGGAGAUGAAUUUUUGAAUAAAUCAGGUAAUUUUUAGUUUUUAAUCCUUUAGUCCUCUUAGUUGAAGAUGACCUUAUGUCUUGCUUUAUAUGAUGUGCCUCCUAUUCCCAGCUUCAACUCCAACUGAAAGAUGUAAACGUAAUUGUCAGCAAAGAGUUAGAAACAUACCCGAAUCCACGUUUUAUAAGCAGAAACUACACUUAUUUGACAUGUUUCCUCAUUUUUUUUACUUGCAAAUUCAAAACCGUCUUGUCGGACCAGUAUAACAAAAUAAUGUUUACGAACAACUGUUAAAACUAAUCACAACAAGUUAAUGCAUAAAGAACUUACGGAUACGGAGGGUGCUAUGAGGCCACCGAAAAGGGUAAACCCCGCAAUAAAUGAAUUCACCUUGUGAUUAAUACUUUGCACAACUUUUUAUGAACCGACAAAAGGCUACAACAAAUUAUGGCUAAAACAGGUCGGGGAUAUGAAAAUAAAUGUCUUCACAGGGUCAGCAGCUUACCAGGGGAGGCAAAAAUGGAAUGAAUGAUGGAAAACUUGAUCUUCAUUUACCGCUCCAAGCUCUGCGCGUUUAAUCCGCUGUUGUAUCCUCAGCCUGCGAACCUACGCAUAUCGAAGCUCAUUCUUAAAGAACACAUUUCUAAUGGCAAUUGGAGAGUAAUUUAAAACAUGCUAAACUGAGAAAGUGGUAGCAACAAGCAAUUGCUCUCACCUCCUCCAUAUGCAAGAAAAUUUUGUUGCGACGACUCCGAAUAUUAUCUUGAAUUUCCUGCAGCUCCAUUGUCGCAAGGUCCUGCACUGUUUCAGGCCCCUCUAUGAUACAAAAUCUGCACAAUUAAGCAUGUAAAAACAAAAAUUUACAGGCUACAAAGCAAUUUCCAUAAUUUUUGGGUUAAUUAACAUCAACAGCAGAUAAAUCACAUGGGUUUUUCACAUAAAGUUACAAACUUUCAAAGACCAGUAAGCUGUCUGCAAUCUCAUAAAUUUCACAGUGCAAAGUAACAAUCCAAAGCUUGGAAAAUUUUCAUUUUCUGUUAAUUUCCUAGAGAGAGAGAGGGGGGAGUACCCGGCGGGGUUUGUAUCGGCGGCGGGAUUGGGAUCAGAAUCGACAGACGGAGCGAAAGAGGAGGAGUCGGGCUCCGAAGCCAUGGCCAGGGAUCACCAUCUGGAGCUGCUUGUUGAUAUGGGGCUUCUUGGGUAGCUGAAUUUGGAGCAGCCGGAGCUACGCAGUUUGUACGGACAGCACCGAUUUACGGGGAAAGAAACGGCAAAAAGUCUGCCGGAGCAGAGCAUCUCUCUCUCUCAAACCAGAAGGCAGAGCUUUCUGUUUCUCUACAGGUUUCUUUCACUGGUAAAUUCCGGAGAAGCAGAGAAGAAGGGUCAAAGGGCCAUGUAUAGUUUUAUAGUCAUACAAAAAAUUAUAUUUUAAUAAAAAAUGUAAGGCCAUAUUUUAUUAGGAAAAUUAAUGAAAAGGCUUGAAAACUUUGAGUUUUAAUGAUAAGGACAAAAUAAAGGGUAAAGUGAAUAGUACCAUGAUUGACUUUUUAGUGUAAAAAUGUGGUUUUUGGUUAAAGUAAACAGUACCAGGUGCUUUUCGUUAAAGUUCCCUAUUUUAUUCCAUAUCCAACUUAGUGGGCCAAUGGACCGUAGGCCAAACAUAGUCAUUUGACAAAAAUCUUAUCUCUAACCGAGAGAGCUAAAGGACCGUAGGCCGAAUAUAACUCCUUAAUAAUUUACUUUUAACGAGUGACUCAAUUAACUAUUUUCAUUUCUUACACGUUCAAAAUUAGACAAAUUCUUUGCAUACAUAAAAAAAAUAUAUAUAUAUUAAGGAGAGAGUAUUAAACUAUUACAUUACGGGUUUCGAACUCGCGAGAACCCUAAUGCCUCUCCACUAGGAUAUUAGACCAGUAAAUUAAAAAGAAAUAUUUAUAGAGGGCUGGAACCAGUCGAAGCUGGGGGGCUAGGCCCUCACGCCCAUAUUAUAUUACUUGAAAAAAAAACAUACAACAAGGAGGACAUAGUACUGAAACCCUGACAAUCAAAAGCAAAAUCAUAUACGACCACUCCAAGCAGUCAACAUAACCAUCACAUAUUGAAUCCAAAAGGUUGACGACCCAUUCGCUGCAUAUAAUGUACAGAAGAUAACAAAUUUUGAAGUGAUGCUCCAAGUAUGAUAUUGGGCAGAAAAGAGCGGCGGCUUCAACCACUUCUUCAGCUAUAUCCGGCUGGGUGAGAGCAGCUAAAGACAUGAUUGUUCCCUAAGAACAUGAAUACAUUGAGUAAACACCAAAAGUAACUGCUAGGGAAGGAGAUUUGAAGUAGAUUAAGAGGUUUAAUACCUGUGAAUGUCCAACAACAAAGACGUUGGAGCUUGUUGAAUACAUGCAGCGCAUCAUUUCUGAUAGAUCAAAUCGAGCCAAUUCCUGCCAACUCCAAUCCCAAAAAUCCUACAGUAAAGCAUAAAUCUUGUUCUUUUCUGAUAAAGAUGUGUCCCUGACUCCAACGUGUUUGACGCACAUUUUCUACCCAUACAUCGAAACCUUCAUCUGCUGGAGAAUUUAAGAAUCAUGCAUCACCUGGUUAAGAUCAAGAAAAGCCAGUAACCAAUUUCAAUUGAGUUUGAAGCACAUUAGAGCCCAAUUUAAAAUGUAUCCGAUGGAUGUUCAUCACUUCACACAAUAGUUAGUUUCAAGAAAGGAAAUUUCAACGCAACCUGAAAACUUCAGAUCAGGGGGCACCAAAUAGUGAGCUAUACAUUCAAAUUUUGAAAUAAUCAACGCACAAUAUGUUGAAAAAAGUUGGAAGGAGCUAUGAAAGUAAGGCUUUUCACUAAUCAGGCGUCCAGAGAAUCAAUAUUUUUACUCACGGAUCAGUUAGGGCGAACACUCCCCACCAAAGCAAUCUCAUUAGUACUUCACAUCUCAAACCAAACAGAAAUUGCAGUAACAAACAUGACAUCUAUUAGUCCUUCACAUCUCAAAUCCAGUAAGUACCCAUCUUUCGUCAGAAUCUGGAAAACAAGCAGCAGUGGAUUUAACAAUCUGGGUAUCUCAAAGUUACUCACUUUAAUCACAACAUAUAAAUGGGCAUUUUCUAGUGAAAUGUUAGUGUAGUACUCACUGUGUUGCUCCGAGCAAGAGUACCCAGAAAGCUCGAUGAGCUGAGCACAGAGGGACUGCAGUGGUGAAACGGCGACCGAUUCUGUAAAAUUCAGUCCGGUUUUGGGUGAUUUCUGAGGCUGAUAAGGAAAGCUGGGACGGAAGGGCACAAGUCUGGAAGAAAGGCUCUGGUCACCAUUGUCGCGAUUCGUGGAGGAAGAAGUGCCCCAAAACAAUUUCAGUCCUGAACAGGUGCACCGUUUGCACUGGGCCAGGGCCGACCCUGAAUCGCUAUAGCGUCCUUCUCCAAACAGUAUAUAUACAGAUGCUAGAAAUAUCUACCAGAACCAUUCAAAUCUAGCAUCUACAGCUUUAGCAUUUAGUUGGUACAAGGUACACUCUUCCGAAGGGAGAUGAAAUCAUUGAGGCUCUUAUAUAUUCCUCCUCUUGAUGUGCCCCUGUAGACUGCUAAUUCCAGACGAUCCAAUCUCAUACAUGUUCCCUGCAAAAGCAUGCGUGCCAGACUUCAAGAUCAAACUCGUUAGCGGAAUAAAUGGUGCACAAAGGGAUUUAAAAUCUUGACAUAUGUGUAUUUUUGGCAGAUUUUAUGCGAGCAUGCAACUAAAACUGGCAUCACUAUCAAUGGUGCACAAAGAUCGGCAGAAAAAACGUAAAGAGAAGCAAUCACAACGCAAAAUGUACGAAGUAAUCUGUCCACGUAUUGGGAAAACAUUAACACUGGAUGAGGGGAAUAAACAUGGAAUUUUGAUAAAAGUCAGAAUUUAUAAAUUGACAUGCAGUAAUUUUCUUGUUUGGAUUUAUAAACAUAUAAAUUUAGAAUUUCCGCGUGGGAAAAACAAAACUUGGAACUUAUGACCUCCAAUUCUCAAGUUUAAAUUUCAUGUAAAUAUGUGUCAUUUCUAAAUUUCCAUGAGAGAGUUUAAAGAUAACAAAUACUGUUAUUUCAAUUUCUAUCAUUUUAAAAUUUCUUAGUAAUCUUAAAUUUCCUCUUCCAAACAGAGUGUAACAGUUUGUAACUUCUCCAUUGUAUUUGUUCAACUAUGCAAUUUUCUGUAAAACUUAAAAGGCUGCUUAGCAUCUCUUGUUCGUUGUAUUGAAUACCAUGGUUUUACCGAUGAAUGCAAAGUUUGCUGAUGAUUCAUACGACAAGCAAUUGAAAAUCCCAUUAUUAUGCCCCACAUCAUUUACACAAAUUCAGAGGGCUCAUCCACUGUAAUUUGCAGGUACAGAAAUGUUAUGAUUAAAGGAAAUGCAAACUACCUUUCACCCAGAUUGGAGGAGCACCGGUGGCAUUAGCAAGUGAGCAACAGGAAUUGACAUACCAAUAUCUUCACAGUUUCCGCACAAGCACAAAUCAAAAGAAUCCGGCGGCGGAGUUAUGUACCUCUUCUUGGAAAAAGACACCUCUUGGGAUUUCAUAAAAUCCGGCUGUGCCUAGACGUCUGACCACGCCAAUUCCACCAAAGCUGCUGCAACGCGGCGUAGUGUCCGAUUGAUUGCUUCAAAACAGAGCUUCGUAUCCAUGUGUUUAUAAGCACAGAGUACCCAAAACCCCAGAAAAUUAUUUCUUUAUUCAGAUAAUAAAAUUUCGCAAAUUUCGAAUUUUAAUUCCGAACCAAAAAUAGGGUUUGAAUUUUGAUUACCUAGAAAUUGGGGGUUGGGGUGGAGAGGGACUGAGGCCAAGACGCAGCUAUGUGUCCGUGAUCAGGUGUGCCAAUUUACAGAGGGUGUCGGGAAGAUGCACAAGGCUUUUGCAGUUUCUCAGAUUUAAAUACUGAAGCCCCGUAAGGCGUUCAAUCCAGGGGGAAAGCUCUUUGAUAGAUGUUCCAUCCAAGAAAAGCGCUCUUAAUCCUUCCAUAUUUUCUUCAAUGCUUGGAAACACCUCAAACUUUGUACAACCGGAAAGAGAGAGAUAGACCAGGGACUUGAGCUGACAAAUGCUGCUUGGAAGACCCUUAAGUUCCUUGCAAUCAUCUAGCUUUAAAUAACUCAAUCCCGUGAGAUUAUUAAUUGACGAGGGCAGUUCUUUAAUUUUUGACCCGGAAAAAUAAAGAACUUUUAACCCCUCAAUCACUUCUGAAAUCUCUGGAAACAUCUCUAGACUCGAGCAACCAGAAAGAUUAAGAGUUUUGAGAGAUUUCAUACGAAUGCUGCUUGGAAGACACUUAAGUUCCUUGCAAUCAUCUAGGAGCAAAUGACUCAACCCCGUGAGGUUAUUAAUUGACAGGGGUAGUUCUUUAAUUUUUGACCCGGAUAACUCAAGCUCUUCUAACCCCUCAAUCACUUCUGAAAUCUCUGGAAACAUCUCUAGACUCGAGCAUCCAGAAAGAUUAACGGCUUUGAGAGAUUUCACAAGAAUGCUGCUUGAAAGACACUUAAGUUCCUCGCAAUGAUCCAAGCUUAAAUAACUCAACCCAGUGAGAUUAUUAAUUGACGAGGGCAAUUCUUUAAUUUUUGACCCGGAUAAAUCAAGAAAUUCUAACCCCUCGAUCACUUCUGAAAUCUCUGGAAACAUCUCUAGACUCGAGCAACCAGAAAGAUUAAGCACUUUGAGAGAUUUCAUACGAAUGCUGCUUGGAAGACACUUAAGUUCCUUGCAAUCAUCUAGGUGCAAAUGACUCAACCCCGUGAGGUUAUUAAUUGACGGGGGUAGUUCUUUAAUUUUUGACCCGGAUAACUCAAGCUCUUCUAACCCCUCAAUCACUUCUGAAAUCUCUGGAAACAUCUCUAGACUCGAGCAGCCAGAAAGAUUAAGGGUUGUGAGAGAUUUCAUACGAAUGCUGCUUGGAAGACACUUAAGUUCCUCGCAAUUAUCUAGGCUUAAAUAACUCAAACCACUGAGAUUAUUAAUUGAUGGGGGCAAUUCUUUAAUUUUUGACCCGGAUAAAUCAAGAACUUCUAACCCCUCAAUCACUUCUGAAAUCUCUGGAAACUUCUCAAGACUCAGGCAGCCAGAAAGAAAGGAAUUUAAGAGAUUUCAUACGAAUGCUACUUGGAAGACACUUAAGUUCCUUGCAAUCAUCUAGGAUCAAACGACUCAACCCCGUGAGGUUAUUAAUUGACGAUGGCAGUUCUUUAAUUUUUGACCUAGAUAAAUCAAGCUGUUCUAACCCCUCAAUCACUUGUAAAAUCUCUGGAAACAUCUCAAGACUCCAGCAGCCAGAAAGAUUAAAGGUUUUGAGAGAUUUGAUACGAAUGUUGCUUGGAAGACUCUUAAGUUCCUUGCAAUUUUCUAGGUUCAAAUGACUCAACCCCGUGAGAUUAUUAAUUGACGAGGACAGUUCUUUAAUUUUUGACUUGGAUAAAUCAAGCUCUUCUAACUCCUCCAUACCUUCUAAAAUCUCUGGAAACAUCUCAAGACUGGAGCAGCCAGAAAGAUUAAAGGUUUUGAGAGAUUUCAUACGAAUGCUGCUGGGUAGAAUCUUAAGUUUCUCGCACCCUUUCAGAUUCAAUAAAACAAGGUUUCUAAGAGUCCUAAUAGACUGGUGAACCUCAACUAAGCUUCUACAACCUUGAAGAAUUAGCCUCUCAAGAUUUGGCACAUUUGUGAAGUCAGGGGUUUCCUCAAGGUAUUGACAAUAACUUAAAUUGAUGACUUCCAACUUUUCCAGCGUCUGUUAAAACAUUUAGGAAAGCAUGCAUUACUUAAUAAGACAUCUCACUCAAAACCCAAACAUUUAAAAGAAACAAAUACAUGUAAAUGAUUGUACAUACCUGGGUUCCUUCCCAAAGUCGGUCAAUGAGACUAAAUUGCAUGUCAAGUUCAACAAGAUUUUUGAAUUGAAAGUUGGAUAGCAAAGACUUGAGAGGGAAUCCAAACCAGGAGAGAUACCUCAAGUUAAGUAACUUAAAGGGCCCAAUCAAGUGGUGUUUGCAGUAAUCAUGUUUAGAAAUGGAGUCCUUAUGACUGAUCUUGAUAAGUCUUAGUUGAUUCAUGCUAACAAAAGCUUCAGCAUUUAAGCAUACCCAGUCUGAGUACGAGAAAUCCACGAUUAUGCUUUCAACUGAUUUUGUAGCCUGUGUAAAUCAAAGUAAGGGAAAAUACAGAGAACCUUAGUUUAGAUUAUGAAACUAAUACUUGUUUCUUAAGGAGCCGUUUGAUAAUCAUUUUGUUUUUAGUUUAAUUGUUUUCAAUUUUCAAUUAUUAAAACAAUAAACACUAAAGGUUGUACCCAGUGCACAAGGCUCCCGCUUUACGCAGGGUCUGGGAGAGAUGAAUGUUGGCUAGCCUUACCCCCAUUUAUGGAGAGGCUGCUUCCAAGUCUCGAACCCGAGACCUACCGCUCAUGGGCGAAGGCACUUGUCAUCACACCAAGUGCGACCUCUUAUUAAAACAAUAAACACUAAAAAUUAAAAAUUAAAAACAAAAAUACUUAUCAAACGGACCUAAGAAAUUGAUUUUGAUCAAAAGUUGAAACUUUUUAUUGACAAUAAGAAAAAGAUUUCUCACCGUAUUUUGAGAUAGCACGUGAUGAACAUCUUCAUAACUACACAACCUACUUCGUCUCCCAGGCUCUUUGAUACAUUCUUGGCGGACGAUUUCCCGACCCAUUUCCUCUAAUGAAUCAUGCAUCUCCAGUUCCCCCUCCCCUGAGACAGUUAUGAGAGCUCGAUCGAUUAGAACUCUUAUUCCAGUAUAAGGAUGGAAACCACAAACUUCCAGAAUUCGGGUUGCACAGUCUUUCUUCAUCCCUUUAAAGAAACAUGCAAUGUCCAGAAAGAUGUCCUUCUCCUUGUCAUCUAGUCCAUCGAAGCUUGAUUUAAGCACAUCAUGAAUUCCCCUUCGUGGGAUUUUCCUUAUUUUUUCUAACUCAUCUUCCCACUCGCGUAUAGUUUUGUUACCAAGAAAAGCUCCCAAGACUUUGUGUGCUAAAGGCAGGCCUUGAGCAUAUUCUACGACAUGAUUCGAGAGAUCAUCAUAAUCUCUGGUAGGUUGGUUUUUUCUGAAGGCGUGCCGCCUAAAGAGUUUCAGAGCUCCAGAAUCACUCAAAAUCUUGGGAUUAUAUAUCACAUCAGCUAUGCUUAGUAAUUGCGAAUCUCUAGUUGUUAUAAUAAUUCUGCUUCCACAACCAAAGGAAUGUGGCUCUUCAAGUAAAGCUUCAAUUUGUUCUAAUUCGUCCACAUCAUCAACAACAAUAAGAACUUUUCUCUGACCAAGGCUUUUUAACAUCACCUGAAAACCAUUUUUUGAUAUGUCAGAACUCCCCACCUUGUUGUUCGAGAUAUUCGAUAGAAGUUGUGCCUGCAUAUGUAGUUUGCCAUGCUUCAUGAAACCUUCCUUGAAAUUUUCAAGAAAGCAACAAGCUUCAAAUCGAUUAGCGAUUUUAUCAUAAACAGCUCUAGCGAUGGUUGUUUUGCCUAAACCACCCAUACCCCAUAUUCCAACAACGCGAACAUUAUUCGUUUCACCUCCGGGAGGAUAUAAUAAUAAAUGCAUUUCAUGCAUGUGAGAAUCCAUGUCAACCAAGCCAUUAUCUUUGCUUGAUGUUGAUGAGAUGUCGAUCAAUUUCCUAUAAACAUCUUCUACAAUUUCCUCAAUAAGCACCGCAUCAUUUCUGUCAAAUUUAAAAAACAAUAUAAUAACACCACCAAAUGAUAAUUAAUGGGUCUUUUUCAUCUGUUAGUUUUCAAAAAAAUAGAAAUUAAAACUAAAAACUAAAUAUUUAUCAAAUUACCCCUAAACGUUACAAAAAUCCCAAAAAUUACUAGGAAACUAAAACAAAUUAGAAUUUACUCAUAGUUUCGCGAAUCCCAGCCGGCUAAACUGGUGGCAGUUGUAAGAGCGGAUCUCCAGCUCCGAACCUCCUCUAUUUCGGCGUUAGAAUCGAUAUCGUGCUGAGCAAAAGCUUCCGCGAAACUUUUCUUGAGUUUACGAACAUCAGACGGAUCAACUUCAUAGAAAAUGGGGAGUACAAUCUGGUUAUUGGUACCUUGCAUUCCAGGAUUUGCACGAGUUCCUUCAAGCACCAAGUGGAAGAAGCAUAGUUUUGAGAGAAAACUACAAUCGAAAGCCUCGACUCUUGAAUCGCUGUCAGGAGCUCGGAAAGGUGGUCGCCUUUUCUGAACUUUUCGGCAUCAAUGAAGGCGUUGAUUGGUUUCUUAGCCAGAGCGUUGUAGAGAUGGCUGACGAAGCCCCUGCGAGUGUCUUCCCCUCUGAAAUUGAUGAACACAUCGUAUUUCCAACCAAAGCCAGAAGAAGAAAAAGAAGAAGAAGAAGAAGCAACCAUUUAUCGAUCGCACCUGGUCACCGAUGAUCGAGCAGUUAUGACUAAGAGAAUUGUAAGUACAUAAAUACUCAAUGAGUCAAUGCAAAAGGGAAAAAGCGAAAAGGAAAUGGUUGUGAUAUCCAUACUUUAUUUUACUUUUUUAUACAUUUUUGAUAAUUUAUUUUUGUUAAUUUUUUUUAAUUCAUCUAGUUUUACAUUUAAAAAUUAAAAAAAUUUAUGAGAAGUUGAAAUGUGUGAAUAUCACGUCCAAAGGAAAAUUAUGCUUUUAUGUGUUUUCAGAUCUUCUUCAGGGAAAUUUCGAUGGGAAUGGAAUCUGCAUGCUUUUGAUUUUUAACCCAAGAAAAUGCCAAGAAAGGGGUCAAAGUAGUAAAUUUAAUCUACACUUGCCUACCCAACCACCUCUUAAUUUAAUAUAUUUAAUCGAGAAAAGUAGGUUAGAGGAAGGAUGGUAUCUCCUUUUCCUCUCUCAGUCUUCCAGCAUGCCAUUUAAUCAUGAUUAAGGCUAAAGCUUAAUUAUAGAUCUUGAUUGGAUUAUUAGUUUCCGUUGUAAUAUGGUGGUUAGAAGAUUAAAAAAAUUAUGAUUUAUGCUUUCAUAUGCUAACAAUUAAUGAAGAAUUAACAAAAUUUUAAAUUUUAAAUCUAAAUCCUAACAUAUUUUACCAUAGAAGCUUAAAUCUUAAUUUACUUAUCACAUGGAUUAUUUUAUAACUACCUUACUAUUAAUUCAAUUAAACCUAUUAUUUCUACGAAAACUAAAGAAAAGUUAAAAAAAAACUUUAGUUUUAAUGAAAAAAGAAAAAUGAAUGUGUAGUAAAUAAUACCAGAAAAAAAUAAAAAAAAUAAUUUUUUAUUAAAAAUAAACAGUAUAAAAAAUGUUGCAUUAAUACUCUCAUUAUUUAUUUACAAAUACGUGACUAAAUCACAAAGUGUUAGAAUGAAAGGGAGCGCUCAAAACGAUGAAAAGCAGGAGCACAGAAAGCUAUCUCCGUUUCUUUGUUGAGCGGACAACUGUUUAUUUGUCGUUCUUUUGGCAGAUAGCUCCUAAUGGCCCAUUUCCACAGCUGGUUAUAGGAUUCUGUUGCUAUAUAAGAAGUGUUUUGUUGUAAUUCAAUAUCGAUGGAAAUUCAACAGGAUCUUUUUCAAAAUUUUGUGAGGAUUUUGGGGUGUUCGUGAAUCUUGUUCAUCGUAUAUUGUGUAGUUGUUUUUUAUCGAAUAUUAUUUUUGUUUAAUUUUAAAUAAAGUAAUUUAAAAUAAUUUUUUACUGCAAGAUGUAUGAUGAACGUAUAUGAUUCACAGAUCUCCAAAAUCCUCACAAAGAAAAUCCAAAAAUGAUCUGAAUUCAAUGGAGAUAAGUUAAUUUUGAAUCAAAUAACAUUAGGAAAGAAAAAUAACAUUAGACGCCAGUCGGGCGAAGGAUUGGAGCCUAGUGCCUAGGCAGCUAGGCGAAGCCUGGGCGAUUAGGCGGCUAGGCGGCCUAGACGGUUUUAAAUAAUUUAUUGUAUAUUUGUAUAAAAUUAUUAUUAGCACUUCAAAAAUCUCAUUUUAUACUCCAAAUUUUCUAUAUUAAAAAAGAAAAAUACACUUAUGAUGAGUGUAGAAUGAGAUUUUUGAAAUGCCAAUACACUUCUCUAUUUUUAUUAUAUAAAUCAGUUGGACUUAAAAAAGAAAAUAAAGAAAAUAAAACAUUGUUCAAAAACUAAAACUCUAUAAAUAUAAAAAGUCAGGUCUUGAUUUAUCAUUACAAUUGAUAAAUAAAGGAGUGUGCUAUCUACACAACUUUUUUUACUUCUCACUCCUAAAUAAAAAAAUGAUGUGUGGAUAUCACAUCCCUAAAUAAAAUAUAUAAAUAUAGAUAGUUGGAGGAUAUCCAAGAGACAUUCUUUGGAGGAUUUUAGAGAAGAAAGGAGUACGAGUAUAUAUCCAAGCUAUAAAGGAUAUGUAUGAAGGAGCAAAGACUGCCGUAAGAACUCAUGAAGGACAAACCGAAAGCUUUCCCAUAACUGUAGGAUUACAUCAAGGCUCAUCCUUAAGUCCUUACCUUUUUGCGUUGGUAAUGGAUAAGUUAACAGGACAUAUUCAAGAUGAUAUUCCUUGGUGUAUGCUUUUCGCAGACGAUAUAGUGUUGAUAGAUGAAACUCAGGAAGGGGUAAAUGCAAAGCUUAACCUUUGAAGAGAAGUGUUGGAAUCUAAAGGUCUUCGCCUAAGCCGAUCAAAGACAGAAUAUAUGGAGUGCAAGUUCAGUACAAAUGAAGGCCAAAACGAGUUAGGGGUGAGGAUCGGAGAUCAAGAAAUACCAAAGAGCAACCGUUUUCGUUACCUAUGAUCUAUCUUGCAAAAGAACGGAGAAUUAGAUGGAGAUCUCAAUCAUAGAAUGCAAGCUGGAUGGGUGAAGUGGAAGAGUGCAUCCGGCGUGUUGUGUGACCGCCGUAUGCCACUGAAGCUCAAGGGAAAAUUUUAUAGGACGGCAAUAAGGCCGGUGAUGCUGUAUGGCACAGAAUGUUGGGCAGUGAAGCAUCAACACGUACACAAAAUGGGUGUAGCGAAGAUGAGGAUGCUUCGUUGGAUGUGUGGGCACACGAGAAAGGAUAAGAUUAGGAAUGAGGAUCCGGGGUAAAGUAGGAGUAGCCGAAAUUGAAGGAAAGAUGAGAGAAAAUCGGUUACGGUGGUUUGGACAUGUGCAAAGAAGGCCUACUGACGCUCCGAUUAGAAUAUGCGACUAUGGGACAGAGGUUCAGGGCCGAAGGGGUAGAGGAAGACCUAGGAAAACUUUGGAAGAGACUUUAGGAAAAGACUUAGAGUACUUGGAUCUAACGAAGGACAUGACACAGGACCGAGCACAAUGGCGUUCUAAGAUUCAUAUAGCCGAUCCCACUCAGUGACUUGGAUUUUCCAAGUCUCCAACCGAGAAGUUUUCCUCACUCGGGAAAUUAAGGGAACACUACCUCAACCUACAUGCUCCACUCACAAAGCUUCAACAAAAGAAAAUUCAAAGAACUUAGCGAAGAAUGAUUUGGUGUAUUUAACACAAACGUUGAAAUGAAGGAAAGCUUAUUUAUUGAUAUUCCCGAUAAGCUACAAAUAUGUACAUAUACAUAAGGUUGCUUAGGAGAAGUCUCAGCAGCCGGUAGAGCCCCAGAAAGAGAAGGCACCAGAGGGGGAUCAUUCGGAGCCUCAGAACUGGACAGAACCCUAGAAGGAUGAGGCAUCAAAGGUUGAUCAUUUGGAGCUUCAUUACGCGGUACAGCCCCAGAAGAUGAAGGCAAUAAAUGCCUUUGGAACAAACCCACAAAUCUCUGAUGAUCAAGUAAAACCUGACCAUCAGAUUCCUUCAUCUGGUCAAGCUUCCUCUUCAUGUUUGUAGCAUAGUCAUGUGCGAGCCGGUGCAACUGUUUAUUCUCAUGCUUGAGCCAUCUAAUCUCCUGUUUGAGACUCAUCACUUUAGCCGCCAAUGAUUCAACUUGGCGGGUUCAAGCAAAUAGGCGUUGGGCCGUAUUAGACACAGAACCUGCACACUGAACACUGAGAGCCAGCGAAUCCUUAACAGCUAACUCAUCAGACCGUUUGGAAAGUAGUUUGUUAUCUUUGGGAGUGAGAAGGUUCCUGGCCAUCACCGCAGCGGUCAUAUCAUUCUUCAUUACGAAAUCCCCAACGGUAAGAGGACCAGUAGGGGAGACGAAGGAUGUGCGCCAUAUGUUGUCUGGAGAAGGCGGGGCUGCCUCUUUAACAAGGUUCAAGUCAAAACGACGGUCGGAGGGGCCAGACAUUUUCAAAGGUGUUGAAGAGAGAAGAUGUCGGAUAAAUCAAGAUCUUAGAAGUGCAAGAAUGGAGCUUCUACUGGUGGAUUUCAAGUGUGCUUUAGAACUUAAUGACAGCCCCUAUAAAAAUCUGCACUCGACGGAGCUUCAGAAAUCGAAGAGGCGUUUGCUUUCUCAAAAGUUGGGCUGCUCAAAGACCACGAAGGCCAAUCUCAGAAAUCGAAGAGGCGCUCGCUUUCUCAAAAGCUGGGCUACUCAGAGACCACGAGGGCCGAUCUCAGAAAUCGAAGAGGCACCUACUUUUCCAGCCUUGUCAGCACCUGUCACACGCACACUCAGCUUUGCGGAAAUUAUGGGCAUUCUGUCGAAGACUUCUGGUGAAGUAAAAAGCACAUGAAUCUUACUGUUCAAUCACCCACUUCCCACACGCAACAAUAGCUCAUGGGUACCACAGAUAACUUUGCCAAAGUUGAGCACGUGAAGCUUGCAGCUCCUACUACAUCGCUCUGACCAAGAAGGGUAAAAGAAUAGCAAAGAAACAGCACUAACAAAGUUUAGACCCAUAAAUUUUGAAGGUCUAGCUACCAUAUUAUUACCCACAAGGGUAAAGGAACAGUACCACUGCUGGAUAAUUGGAAAGUCCCUGUGUGUCAACCUCUGUGCUUCGUGGCAAGGUAGACUAGCAAACAUGCCCAACCUUUACUCACAUUCGAGAAAACACUCCCAAUAAGAUUGCUUGCUCCAAAAUCGAAGAGGCACCGUCCUCCGAAUCUCGAGAGCCAGACUCCCAACAUGAAUACUUUCUCAAAAAAAUCGAAGAGAGGGUAAAGGAACAGUACCAUUGCUGGAUAAUUGGAAAGUCCCUGUGUGUCAACCUCUGUGCUUCGUGGCAAGGUAGACUAGCAAACAUGCCCAACCUUUACUCACAUUCGAGAAAACACUCCCAACAAGAUUGCUUGCUCCAAAAUCGAAGAGGCACCGCCCUCCGAAUCUCGAGAGCCAGACUCCCAACAUGAUUACUUUCUCAAAAAUCGAAGAGACACUGCUAUCCCGAAUCUCGAGAGCCAGACCCCCAGCAUGAUUGCUUUCUCAAAAAUCGAAGAGGCAUCGUUCUCCGAAUCAAUCGAAGAGGCGCUCGCUUUCUCAAAAGCUGGUGGGCUGCUCAGAGACCACGAGGGCCGAUCUCAGAAAUCGAAGAGGCACCUACUUUUCUAGCCUUGUCAGCACCUGUCACACGCACACUCAGCUUUGCAGAAAUUAUGGGCAUUCUGUCGAAGACUUCUGGUGAAGUAGAAAGCACAUGAAUCUUACUGUUCAAUCACCCACUUCCCCACACGCAACAAUAGCUCAUGGGUACCACAGAUAACUUUGCCAAAGUUCUCUGCCAAAGUUGAGCACGUGAAGCUUGCAGCUCCCACUACAUCGCUCUGACCAAGAAAGGUAAAAGAAUAGCAAAGAAACAGCACUAACAAAGUUUAGACACAUAAAUUUUGAAGGUCUAGCUACCAUAUUAUUACCCACAAGGGUAAAGGAACAGUACCACUGCUGGAUAAUUGGAAAGUCCCUGUGUGUCAACCUCUGUGCUUCGUGGCAAGGUAGACUAGCAAACAUGCCCAACCUUUACUCACAUUCGAGAAAAACACUCCCAACAAGAUUGCUUGCUCCAAAAUCGAAGAGGCACCGUCCUCCGAAUCUCGAGAGCCAGACUCCCAACAUGACUACUUUCUCAAAAAUCGAAAAGGGUAAAGGAACAGUACCAUUGCUGGAUAAUUGGAAAGUCCCUGUGUGUCAACCUUUGUGCUUCGUGGCAAGGUAGACUAGCAAACAUGCCCAACCUUUACUCACAUUCGAGAAAACACUCCCAACAAGAUUGCUUGCUCCAAAAUCGAAGAGGCACCGCCCUCCGAAUCUCGAGAGCCAGACUCCCAACAUGAUUACUUUCUCAAAAAUCGAAGAGACACCGCUCUCCGAAUCUCGAGAGCCAGACCCCCAGCAUGAUUGCUUUCUAAAAAAUCGAAGAGGCAUCAUUCUCCGAAUCUCGAGAGCCAGAUCAUCAAUAGGAUUGCUUGUUCGAAAACCGAAGAGGCACCACUUUCCCAACUUCAAGAGCCGGAUCUCCUUGGAUAAAGCUUGUCUAUAAUCUUCACACGGAACAUCAGCUUUCCAGAUACCACAGACCACUUUUUCAAAGUGCUCUGACAGAGUUAAAACAUGUGAAGCUGGCAGGUCCCACUACCGUGCUAUGACUAAGCAGGGUAAAGGAAUAGCAUUACUACUUGUUGUUAGGGAGACUCCUAUAUAUGUCGACCUCCAUCCCCAACGACAGGCAGACCUGCAAAAAUGCUCAACCCUUCCUCAUAUCUGAGAGGCCACUCCCAACGAAGCCUUUCAAAAUAUUCAGCUUUCUUCCCCCUCCCCGAUAAUACCUCUGCAAACAAGCUAUACUAGAGCAAGAAUAUCUCAUAUCAUCAGGGUUAAAAGCAAGAGUAUCCCAUAUCAUGCUUUUUCCCUGUCUUUUCCUUUGGCCUUGUUUUUACCUGCAAGACAAGGAGAAAGAGAGCAAUCAGUCAGCACUUGGAAUCAAGCUUCCAGCCAGGAACUGACUGCCUGGAACCCCUUACCUGAUUACUUACCUGGCAUUGCUCUCGAGUACUCAUCUUCAACAUCUUAUGUUUCCAGGGAAGAUUACCGCAUCUGCCUUGAGGAACAGAUAGGGCAAGUGCGAAGGAUACAAGGAAGCAUGUGGAGACAAGCGUAACAGCACACGUGCCGAUACAUCCAUUACUCUGUCAAAAGCAAAAGUAUCCCAUAUCAGCAGGGUCGAACGUACUCUAGAUUUGAUGGACUUGUUUUGACCCUCAAAUUCUUCAGUCGGCCUUAUACUCUGGAGGAAACCAGAAAACCCUCCAGCUCAGUUCAAGAAUAAGCCUGUGGAAAGUUACUUCUUCAAAAGCAAAAGUAUCUCAUAUCAUCUCUUCUCAUUUUUCUUCUCUUUAUCCUUCAUGCUGCCUGCAAGAUGGGGAGAAGGUGAACAAUCAGCCGGAGCUCUGAUUGCUUACCUUGUCUGUCACCUCUUUCAGCAGAUCCCCUAGCUCGGCGACUUGGGGGACUCCUACUACAUGGUUUGUAUCGCGCUUGACCAAGCCUGAAACUACAAGUAAGCUUCAAGUGAAAUUGAUACAUUACCUUGUGCAUCUCCACCAGUUAAAGAUACCACCCCUGGAUGGAGGAAGAGUACUUCCAGAGAAGAUGCCACAUCUACCUAUGAGACAGAUAAGGCAAGUCAAGACGAUACCACACUCCGAUACUUAGAAGUUUCGUGAUUACGAGAUCAUUCUCCCACAAUAUUUCCUAAUGUCAUUUGUACUAAAUCAUUCACUUGUACUCACUAAAGGAGAGCUUGAACCUAUGUACUUGUGUAAACCCUUCACAAUUAAUGAGAACUCCUCUAUUCCGUGGACGUAGCCAAUCUGGGUGAACCACGUACAUCUUGUGUUUGCUUUCCUAUCUCUAUCCAUUUAUAUACUUAUCCACACUAAUGACCGGAGCAAUCUAGCGAAGAUCACAAAAAGCAACCGUUUUCGCUACCUAGGAUCUAUCUUGCAAGAGAACGGAGAAUUAGAUGGAGAUCUCAACCAUAGAAUACAAGCUGGAUGGAUGAAGUGUAAGAGUGCAUCCGGCGUGUUGUGCGACCGUCGUAGGCCACUGAAGCUCAAGGCAAAAUUUUAUAGGACGGCAAUAAGGCCAGCGAUGUUGUAUGGCACAGAAUGUUGGGCGGUGAAGCAUCAACACGUACACAAAAUAGGUGUAGCGGAGAUGAGGAUGCUUCGUGGGAUGUGUGGGCACACGAGAAAGGAUAAGAUUGGGAAUGAGGAUAUCCGAGGUAAAGUAGGAGUAGCCGAAAUUGAAGUAAAGAUGAGAGAAAAUCGGUUCCGGUGAUUUGGACAUGUGCAAAGAAGGCCUACUGACGCUCCGGUUCGAAGAUGUGACUACGGAACAGAGGUUCAGGGCCGAAGGGGUAGAGGAAGACCUAGGAAAACUUUGGAAGAGACUCUAAGAAAAUACUUAGAGUACUUGGAUCUAACGGAGAACAUAACACAAAACCGAGCGCAAUGGCGUUCUAGGAUUCAUAUAGCCGACCCCACUUAGUUGGAAAAUGCUUUGUUGUUGUUGUUGUUGUUGUAUAGAUAGUUGGCGCUUUGUAGUGGGCGGUAAGUUCUAGUUUUACCAUUAAAAAAUAUACACUGUCAAACUAGUGUGGGUUCUAUCAAUUUUUUUAGUAUUUUAUUUAUUUUUUCACUCUGUCUCCGUGCCAUGGUCUUGAUAUUAUCACUCCUUUAAUAUUUUAUUCAUAUUUUAUUCUACUUGAUUUAUGAUGGUGUGUUUUUUUGACCAAGGUUUAUAAUGGUGUUUGUUCUAUAAGUCGGCAUAUUUGCCAACCGCAAUCGAUACUGUCGUUCUCAAACACAAAGCAAUAGUUUGCUACCGAAAACAACCAAAGUGUGACAAAGGGAACCGUCUUACACCUAACCUGUUUUUCCCUCAUCAAAUGAGCGCGUUGAUCUGCAGGUAUUUUCUGCCAUCUCAAAACCUGUUACAAAGAAAUAUAACGUUGAUGUCGAGCUGGAUAGCAUAUUAUACCAAUUAUGUGUACAAACCUAUUGAAAUAAAGUAGCUGUAGUUGCAUAUUACGACAGAUAUUAACGAAAACAAAAGAAGGCUCGCCUAUUCAAGAUCCUAAAUCCCGUGAUUCUUUUGUUUUUAGUUUCAGAAAUUUUCAGAGCACAAACUGGAAAGUACCAAGAUACUUACAUAUUGGGCAUAAUGAAAUGCAUCUUCAUCUUUCAAGCAAGAUUUGAGUGAGCGCAAACCGUCCUGAGAGUUACAUAAGUCAAUCAGUAAUAUAAAAACGUAUACGCAUCACAUCCAAACACAAGUAUUCAAACACCAACAACUUCUUCAUGCGGUGAGGCAUGUUAAAAAAUAGGGAAGAACAGUUAUUGAAUAGGAAGUUAAAGGACUAAAUUUAUGACCUUGUGUUUGUAGUUCUUGGCUCGUAUGCGUUCAUCUAUUACAAAACCAAUCUGUAACAGGUACAACAGAAAAUAUAAGCAGUAGUCAGAACAUUAAUCUUCGGCAUUCACAUUGCCACCAAUCCAAAGUUAAAAGUCUGAAGGCAAAACAGUAUGAUUCUUAUCUCUCAAACAAAAAUGAAACUAUACCCCGGUCUCAGACAUAAAUGAAAUAAGUUCUACUGCCUCAACUGAGUACUGUGAUUAUAUAUAAAUCCAAUUCACCUUGUCAAGUAAUCUCUUAGGAUCUUGAAAUGCUUCCUUCUUAGCCCAGUCAUUAAAUACAUGCGAGAAAAUUGAUCUCUCAUCCACACUGAAUCUAUUGCACAGUGACAGAAGAAUAAAGUUAAACAUGAACAUAACCAACCAAAAAUGCUAGUUAUAAUAGUACACCCAUAAUUGCAAGCAAAACCUUUUUAAGAAGCCAUUUCCAUGGUUUUCCUCCCCAAAUUCCAUCAAUUCUGCAGAGGCAACGUCAAAUUUACUAUGAUGGAGAUCAUUUUGCACUGUAAUAACUUCAGAAGGUAGGAGAUUUGGUUUCAGAUCAUCUGUUGACGGAGUAGUUUCUUUUGAAGUGUCAUGAUGCUUUGAUUGCAAGCCUUCUGUACUUACGUCAGCCUACAAAACAAAAAUUGCAUUCAUCCACACUAGACUUAAUAAGAUUAGAAACACUUCAGAUUCUUCAUUAUUUGUAUUUUUGACUAAACAGCAGAACAACUGAGGAUAAUGAACAGUAAUACACACCUGGACUUCUCGUAGAUGAUUUGGAAUUUCUUUCAGAAAUCGCGAAGGUUGAAGCAUCUGAAGGAGUCACCUUCUCAGUCAGAGCAACAACAACAAAUAAGGAGGACAGGAAUUCAAGCUAAAACGAACCUGCCAACUGGAAUCCAUCGUAACAUAAAGAAUGAAAAGCUUUUUUCGAGCACGAGUCAUUGCAACAUAUAAUAGGCGUCUCUCCUCCUAUGAUUAGAGUGGGAUUAUUGAGUUAUUGAUCAAAAGAAAAAAGAGUGGGAUUAUUGUGAAAAACAUGUCAAAGCUCUGCAUAUAACUGAAAAAUGUUGAACAAUUUACCACACACCUCAAUGGAGGUCCCAUUUUCUUUUGCAACCCCAUUGAAUUCAUGCAACAACGGGAUCUCAGAUUCAUUUACCUGUGUUAUUGGCAUGAGCAUUAAAGCAAGCUAAGAUGAUUUGAAGAGGUUGAUAUCGUCAUGAAUAUAGUAGAACAGAGAAUACCAAUUUCAAGCCAUCAAUUAGGUAUAGCAUUGGCAUGUUUAAUCCGUAAAAUCUAAUGACAGAACACCUCAACUCUACACAUAAAUAAAUAAACAACCUGAAAAAUAUUACAGCCACAUGUUAAGGCAAAUACCUUAAUUAUGAAAACUAUAUCCCACUCUAAACCUUUUGACUGCAAGAGAAUGAAAAAGAAAGACAGUAAGCCAAGAAUGUUUUGUAGAACUCCAAAGGAAGUCCAAUAGGGAAAUCAUCGCAAGUAUAAGAGUUAGCGAGGUUCGCAUAAGAGGAUAUCAAAAAGAUCUAGAACCUGAUGAAUAGUAGUCAAAGUGACAGAACUUUGGUUGUCAUGUCUUCGGGAGUGAAAAUUUUCACUCUCCUGCUCAGAUAUGUAGUCGAUGAAAGCUUUGAGUAAAUUAACGCAGCCUUUUUCUUCUGCUACGACUUCUCUCUCUCCCCUUUUCCCGCAACAAAAUGAGUUGAUAAGAAAUCAGAUACGUCGUCUAGUAGGUACUGAAGAACCUGCAAUGAGAAUAAUCGCAUCACAGCAACAGGGUUGGACCAAGAUUUAAGUGACAACAAUGAUUAACUAACUAAAAUAGAGAAAUUAUUCAUUUAAGACCUUGUUGACGGAAAAAAGGGUUUUCCAAGCAGCGGGUCAUUUAAGCUUAUUGUAUAAAUGACAAUCAUCACAAACGGCAAACUUACAGAUCUCACGUCAUUGUCUUCAUUCAGCAGUUUUCCUCCAUCUACAUCAACGACUGCACGUUGCUCAAGACGGUACUUCUAAAAAUUGAAAGUCAACAACAACAACAACAACAACAAAGCCUUUUCCCACUAAGUGGGGUCGGCUAUAUGAAUCCUAGAACGCCAUUGCGCUCGGUUUUGUGUCAUGUCCUCCGUUAGAUCCAAGUACUCUAAGUCUUUUCUUAGAGUCUCUUCCAAAGUUGUCCUAGGUCUUCCUCUACCCCUUCGGCCCUGAACCUCUGUCCCGUAGUCACAUCUUCGAACCGGAGCGUUAGUCGGCCUUCUUUGCACAUGUUCAAAAUCACCGGAGCCGAUUUUCUCUCAUAUUUCCUACAAUUUCGGCUACUCCUACUUUACCUCGGAUAUCCUCAUUCCCAAUCUUAUCCUUUCUCGUGUGCCCACACAUCCCACGAAGCAUCCUCAUCUCCGCUACACCCAUUUUGUGUACGUGUUGAUGCUUCACCACCCAACAUUCUGUGCCAUACAACAUCGCUAGCCUUAUUGCCGUCCUAUAAAAUUUUCCCUUGAGCUUCAGUGGCCUACGACGGUCACACAACACGCCGGAUGCACUCUUUCCAUCCAGCUCGUAUUCUAUGGUUGAGAUCUCCAUCUAAUUCUCCGUUCUCUUGCAAGAUAGAUCCUAGGUAGCGAAAACGAUCGCUUUUUGUGAUCUUCGCUAGAUUGCUCCGGUCAUUAGUGUGGAUAAGUAUAUAAAUGGAUAGAGAUAGGAAAGCAAACACAAGAUGUACGUGGUUCACCCAGAUUGGCUACGUCCACGGAAUAGAAGAGUUCUCAUUAAUUGUGAAGGGUUUACACAAGUACAUAGGUUCAAGCUUUCAUUUAGUGAGUACAAGUGAAUGAUUUAGUACAAAUGACAUUAGGAAAUAUUGUGGGAGAAUGAUCUCGUAAUCACGAAACUUCUAAGUAUCGGAGUGUGGUGUCGUCUUGACUUGCCUUAUCUGUCUCAUAGGUAGAUGUGGCAUCUUCUCUGGAAGUACUCUUCCUCAAACGAUAAAUUAUUACGAAGCAUUGAAUAUAAGCAUGAAACGAAGAAAAUGUUAUGGAAUGGUGAUCCUCAUCCUCAAAGAUGAUUAAAAGCAAUUUGAUUCAAAAAUGACAUAUCAACUCUGGAGAAAUGGAAGACAAACCUGUGGUACCAUAUUCGCAACUGAGGUUAUGACAGCUGAAAUCGAUUGUUCCUGUGUGCAUUGAUAAGUGAGACUACCAUAGAGAUUCACAACUAAAUAAAGACAGGUAUUCCACAGAACAACCUUUACCUCUUUGGAAACACAGAUCUAACAAAAACUAUAACAUUUUGGAUUAAUAUUGACGAAUCAAGAAUAAUGCAAGGGAGCAAGAGAUACUCUUCCUUCUAAUAACAAGGAGGCGUGAAAAGUAUACAGAGUUCCAACAAUUAGAGAACUAAAAUCAAACUAAAAAAAUCACCAAAGUAGACAGAAUCUCACUUCGCCAAAAAUUUGAAAAUAUAUCCUUUUUAUCCAUUGAGAUUCAUGAACUACUACUACUACUACAUCAUGCCAAUAAGCAAUGCGUAAGAGGUGCUACAAUUUACCGAAUAUAUUUACCCUGAGAACAAGUUUUGAAAUCAUCUCUAGUGUUAACAGCACCUUGCGUCCUUGGGUAAGCUGAGUCCUAUUAUCAAGUAAAGAGACCAAUCAGUACAUAUCCAAAAGAUCUUAAAUGCUUGUAAUACCAAAUAAGAAAGAAACAUGAGUAUAUCUUGAAUUAACCAUGUAAAAAUGUAAUGUUAAAGCAUCUUGUCAUACAGACCUCUUCAAGGUACCAGAAAUUUUUGCACUAAAGAUGUCACAAGCAGCUGAUAUGAAGCUGCAUUUUCUGUGAGUUGAAAUUUUGUCAAUAUAAUCGAUCACCUGAAGAGAGAGAGAGAGAAAAAGACAGUGAUAUCCAGAGAUGUGAGCCUAAAUGCUGAGUGUGUAAAAAAAGAAGAUUAAAUGGAUAGCAAGAAUAUACAACUUUAAUGCUGAAAAGAACAUUGAAUAUGAUGCUCAUUCAUCAUUCCCAUUGAACGUGUACCUUCUUCUUUUCCUCUUUCUCAAAAGCAAGUAGAGCCUUGAAGACUUGCCUAUAUGAUCCAUCAUCACAACCAGGCAAAGUUGUUUUAAUCAUAGCAACAAUGGCUCUAACUACCUGCCAUAAGAAACAUGCUACAUCAACAAGAUCACAGAGUGUACCAGAAACCGUAAUGUAGCAAAAUCUUGGAUAAAAUAGCUGACCAAAAGGGAAUGGAAAAGCAAGCACGAAAAACAAUGAAAAGGACCAGUGAUGCCAAAAUUCUGGUGGAAAAGGUGAAAAGCUUCUGCCUAUUACAAUUUUUGUAUGCAUUCUUUAUAACUUAAGUUCUACUAGCAAAAACCACCUUAUGCAAAAUAAUAUUGGAAAAAUUAGAUACAUACAACUGAGAAGAUAGGUUUUCAUAAUCUGGACAAGUGCUAACUACCUUCUUCCUAUAAACUGCCACUCCAUGAACAUUAAAUGGUAUUUUCCUUUCACGCAAGGCUGUCUGGAAGACUUUUCCUGAUACCUGUAGCAUAAAAUACAAAAGAAAAUGUGACCAAAAUGUCUUAUAUGAUUCACCUCAUUCACAUUAGCACUAAGGCAAGUAAGCUUGACCUGCCUCCGGUAAAGGAUUGCUAUAUUUCCAUAGGAGCACCCUGCUUCUGACCGUUUCGAUGCAGUCUCCAGGAUCUUGUCGACAACAAAGGCGCAUUGUGCAUCCUCAUUGUGACUUUCCUUGAUAAUUACCUACAUUUUGCCAGUAAAACCAGUGUCACUAACUAAAAGGACUGAAAAAUGACAUCAAAUUGUACUUGUUGGAGCAAGGAAAGAUUAAGUACCUUAGACCCAGAAGAAUUGUCCGUGUCAACAUUCUUUAGUUGGCAUCGCUUCUUAUUGUUUUUUAUAACAGAAGAUGCAGCUUCCACAAUAUAGCGUGUGGACCUAAAGUUUUUAUUAAGCCUAAUCUGAACCAUAAAGUUAUGUCAAAUCCCACAGAAACCCAUAAAAUAAAACUUACUUUCCUGUAAUUGUACAAUAUAUUUGUUCUAUACUAUAUAUAAUGAAAAAAGACACUGUGAAUGACAUAAGAUAACAUAGCAGUCAAGUGCGAAGCGAACCUCUUUGUAAUUUGAAAAAUCUUUACGAAAAGAAUCAAAUCCAGAAAUGUCCGCCCCAUUGAAACUGAAAAUGGACUGCAGCAGGAUAUAUGUUAUUUGAUUUAGAACAGAUAAGGGCUGGAUUAGAAUGAGCUGAGAGAGAGAGAGAGAGAGGGAGAGAGGGAGAGAGGGAGCAAUAACAUUGGAUUUCCAUAAUAAAUCAACAACAUGCCUGAUCAUCAUCACCAACAAUGGUUAUGUGGUUAUGAGAGGCGAGAAUCCGCAAAAGACUAUAUUGCAUAGCACUUGUGUCUUGAAACUCGUCUAUUACAAUAGCUUUCCAUGACUCCUGGCACUCCUUCAACACUAAUUAAGAGAACACCAUGUAUCAACAUUUAGCAUUACUUGUAAAACUAGAUAAAUCAAUGAAAUAUACUUAGAUGAUAGAGACCUUCAGGAAAAUCACUUAGCAGCUUCACAGAGCAGCUAAUUAAGUCGUGGUAGUCCAAAGCGUUGCACGAUUUCAAGAUAUCAUUGUAAUUCCUAAGAAUUUCACCCUGAUUCAGAUUGAGAGCUAAAACUCAUAAGCAAUAGUUUCAAAGAACUGAAAUGAUAUCUGAAAUUCUAGUUCUGAGCGUACUCCUGUCACAUCACCCAUUCUUCGGCAUUCAGCGGGAGUCUUUCCAGAAGCUUUUGCCUGAAACAUAAAUAAAUUUACUGCCUAAUGCCACAUAUUGUAAGACACACCAUUGUAUUGGUCAUUCUAGCUUGAUUGUAGCUAAUAUUUUUUAAAUCGAAUGAUUAGAGUUCUUAAUCCACAAUAAUCUGAACAUUAAAUUUGGUAUUCAAGACUAACCUGUGUCACAAACUUCAGCCAUUUCUUUGAUGCAUCCUUAAAAUGAUGUGGAGAUGUUACGCCGUCAGACUCUUCCCCAUCUAUAGCAACAUUAAGAUUCGUUUUACUCUUUUCAUCUUCUGAUAACCGCACAGCUUCAAUGAUUGCUCUUCUCUGUUGCCCAUGUCCAUAUAUCAAAAAUUCUGGUCUGCGCUUGAGUCUAAAACACAAGCCAACAUAACAGACUCAGCUAUACCACCAAAUGUAUGGUGUUCAAAAUCAAGGGAGGUGAAUCAAUAGCUUACUUCUCAGCAUGUGAUCGGCAAAGUUGCAAUGAAAAUGAAUGAAAUGUACUGAUUGUUAGUAGUUUUGCCGUUGCUUUCCCAGUCACAGAUCCAAUUCGAUCUCUCAUCUCGGAAGCUGCUGCUGUAGUGAAAGUCAUUGCUAGAAUGUUCGACGUGCUAAUGCCCUAAGAACACAAAAAAAAAAAAAAAACGAAUAAGAUUUCGAUCAUAAACAAGAAAUGUAGAGAAACACACAAUUACGAAAGAAAAAGUUAGAGGGAAAGUAGCAACACCUCAUUGAGCAGCAUUAGAACGCGCCCAACUAUCGUUGAAGUCUUUCCACUUCCAGGGCCGGCAACAAUCAUCAAAGGUACUGAAAUAUAGCUGCAAGCUGCCUCACGCUGCCUUUCGUUGAGAGAAAGCAAAUACUUCAAAUACUCAUCCGGCAUGUUAGGCAAUCCAUGGUUAACAGAAUCUGUUUGGUUUUCACUACUCAAAGGCGGCGCUGAUGGCACUAACGUGUUAUGACCCAAAUUAUUACUGAGGUUUUAUGCUUUAUUACUGUGAGGAAUUGUUAAUAUACCAGCUGGCAUUUAAAAGUGUAGAGGUUUUAUAAAAGGAGCCCCAGCUCCCCCAAAUGUAUCAGAUCAGAAUUUUACAAAAGAAAUCAAUAUUGGAGCUCUGCUCCUUCUUCUCUCCUUCCCUCUUCUUCCAUAGCUUUCUUGUGCCACUUACAGGUUGAUUAAGGGAAUUGAGAAUUAGAUCUUAUCAAUGGUAUCAUCCUUCUCGAAUCCUGGUUUCCCUCCUGUGCACACCCACCCACCUACGUUUUCUGCCAUGGUUGCUGCGCCCAAGGAUUCGCUUCGCGAGACCCUGGAUGCUCUAUUCGCACCCUACCUGGCUAAGAUCCGCCGUGCCCGUGAGUUGGCUCUCAGCGCUGAGGGAGACUCCACUCCAACCCUUAUGUUCGCUAUCAGUGAUGGGGGAGUUCCUGAUCCAGCCCCGAUGAUUGCCGAUGACGCUGCAGGAAUCGAUCUCGGUCAGAAAAUAAUUCCACGAGUCGCUGCAUCAACUAAUCAGAUUCUGCCGUUGCUCUCGUCAUCGCCGUUAUUGCGAGCACUAGCAAAUCCUCCUGUCAGGCCACCGUCGAACUCAAACGCUUCAUUGGCAAAUUCGCCCAGCCAGCCGCUACACUCAAAUGAUAUUGUAGCAGCCACAAUUCCAUUGCGGAAUGUUGAGAAAACCAGGCCCGUUGCGAUUGUGACCACAAUGCCGCUAUUUCCGAUUUCAGCAACCUUUAGCACUGAAUCAGCCCACGCUCACAAUCACAACCUCGUUUUGAGCACCAAGGAAGCUACAACAAUGGCGCAUGUUCUGGGUUUUCCUCUCAAGAAAGCAGGAGCUACUAAAUCUGUAGGUAUAUCUCAUACAAACACCACGAAGCGUCGACACGAGGUAUUGACAUCCUUGCUUUCCAAUUCUACAAAUCGGAAGGACAAAUGGUAUUGGGUUUUGCAGGUUAUUUUGGCAUAUUAUACUGGUGUUAUUGUGAUAAUGUAUGACGACUUCUUAACUGAUAAAUGUGGAUGGGGUAAUUGGUACCUUGUGGGACAAUUUGUGUUACACGCGCCCCUAAUUUAAAUCGUAUUUUUACUAAAUUUGAGUUUAUCUUGCUUUUAAAAUUAUUUUUGGGUUUUAAAUGGUGUGCCCAAGGCCCACCCCCUGUUUUGUCCCCCGUUCCCUUUCCCUUUCUUUUAUUUAUUUUCUUCUUUCUUCUUCUUCUUCUUCUUCUUUUCUGUUUCUUUUUCUUUCUUUUCCGUCUGUCCCUCUCGGCUCUCUCUGCGCCCUCUCUUCUCUGCACCGCAACAAGCACACGCACGCACCCAUUGCACCUGCGCGAGGAAGACCAUCAUCAUCUCGUCCUGCUCUCUCUCCCUCUCGUGUUUGCGAACCCAGAAAAUCGGAAAGGAUCUUCCGCGAGAUUUUUAUAUUUUCCGGUUAGGUAAGCCUCAAAUCCCUCUCUUUCGUCCUAGAAUCUUUUGAGAAUGGGUUCUAAUUGGUUUUAUUUCGUGAUUUUUGGAGGUUUUAGGAUGAAAACAAACUCGGGUGCAGGAACACCCAUUUCCGGCGAGGAACCCGCCACUUUCGAGUUAAUCUCCGGCCAAACCACGGCGAGUUGGCCGGCGUGCAAGGUAUCAAUCUCUUCGUCUCGUCGAUUACUACAACUUUCCUUUUUGUUUCACCCAAUUUCGUUGAGUAUUGAAGAAGUUAUACUCAUUUGAAUCUUACCCAGUUUCCGGCGAGUCCGACGGCUUUCGAGGCGUUUUCCGGUCAAACCACGGCGAAUUAGACGUCGUGUGAGGUACCAUUCUCUUCGUCUCUUCGAGGGCUACAACUUUCGUUUUUGUCUCGCUUGAUUUCGUUGAGUUUUAACAAAGUUAUAGCCAUUUAAAAUUGGGUGGUUUUCCGGCCGAAAUUCCAGCCUUCUUCUUCCUCGGGUCCGGCGACCCAUCAAACUUGGGCCCUUUGGGCCGUUUCUGUUAAGGGCUUUAAGCCCAAACCCUAAACCUUUGGGCUUUAGGACCAAACCCAAGAACCCAAACCCUAUGACCCAAACCCGGAUCCAAGCCCAGACCCGUUUGACCUGGUCCGACCCGGAUCCUGACCCGUUGACUUUGACCGGUCAACGUUGACUUUUCUAGUUGACUUUUCGGGUUUUCGUCCAAGACCUUCCUAGGCUAAUUUCGACGUCCUGGAUCCGUUUUUGAAGUUCGUUUUCCCAAAUUCAAUCGUUUGAGUAGAGUUUGACUAAAUGGAUCAUUUAUGUGCUUAGGUGAAUUUAAUGACGGCGGUUCCGUUAUUCCUAUUUGGUAUGGCGUUGCACCAACGGUGUACGGUGAGUGGACCCCUUCUAAAAUGCAUGUUUUAUAGUAGAAAUGCAUACAUAAAAAGUAUGAUUUGAUGAUUACCUUUUAUGAAACGUUUUGUGAGAUAACAUGCUUAUUGAGGCUACUUUAAAUUAUUACUAUUUUUCCUAUAACCCGUGUUCUUAUAGAAUAUCUGAUGGAUGACGAUAUGAUAUUAGAACAUGUUUAGAACACCUCUUUAUAGUAUAGAUGAUGGAUGACUUUAUACUAUGAAGUUGUUUUUCAAUAUAUAUGUUCAAUGGUUUUGUACUUACCUAGUGGUCAUUUCCGCUACGGGACGUAGGGAUAGAUUCCGGUCAUUCCCGGGCGACGGUUUGGUGUUGGCAUAGGGCCUGGAGUGUGUUUCCUCUGGCUAUUUAGCACAGGGACGGGGAGCCGGCAUGGGGCCUGAAGUGUAUUUUCCUCUGACUGUCUGCUCAGAGACGGGGAGCCGGCAUGGGGCCUGGGGGUUAUCGGACAAUUCACUAGUGAUUAUUAUAUAUAUAAAAGUUAUGAUUUGAGACACUGCACAUCAUGCUAGGUUUCGGAAAACCUAUGUUUAUCAUUAUAUAUGUGUUUUCAUAAAACUUGGGGGUUAGUACGUUGAUAACUGUUUUGUUAUAUUUAUAUCAAAUUGGUCCACUCAUGUUUGUUUUGCGCCCCCUUCAGGAUUUAGGAUCGAGGCGUACAAUCCCGGCAAUCCAGGCACUUCCGCAUCGGUAUCUUCAAGUCCUCUCGGUGUAGAACCCACUUCUGUGUUCAUUCAAUUUUUAUAUUAAUUCUUUUAAUGUUCUAGAUUAGAUGUGUGCUCUGAACACGUUCCUUAAAUGCAUAUUCUUUAUUUAUAUUUAUAAGUUUUAUCUAUCCUUUAUUUUCAGCAAUUGCACUCAAUAAAUGGCUUUCGUCGCCCUCGGGUGUCGGCCAGCACGUGACCAUCCUGAUAUCCUGAGGAUAUCGGGAUCGGGGCGUGUCAGAUUGGUAUCAGAGCGUGGUUUGUUCAGAGCAUACUUAGGAUCCUCUUCUAUUAUCGUAGAGUGUUGGUUUUGACAUCAUUUGGAUGUCCAGACUUCUAGAUUUGGUGCCAUUCGGCGCAGUCGUGCGAAUCUUCCUCUAUUUGAAUUGUCACAUUCGGGUUGAUAUACAAGAAUUUGUGUCGGGAUUGUGCCUCAUCGGUGACGUGUUUGAAUUGUUGGACGACUUUCAGCUUCAGAUUGAUACUCUACGACGUGCAUUCCCUGGGAAUGACGGGCAUAGUCGGUGUUACUUGGAAGCGACGGAUUUUAGAAAUCUCAGCUUAAGGAAGUCUGGUCAAGACCAGCUGUAAAUUCGAAAUGGCGAUGCCACUCUACAACAUGCGUUCCCUAGGAAUUGCGGGCGGAGUCGGCUUUGCAUCGAAAUCUUGGGAAGCGGAAAAAAAAUCUUGGCAGUACGAAUUGACUAAGACCAACUGGAGUUCUGAAGCGGUGUUGUACUCUGCAACAUGCGUUCCUUAGGAAUGGCGGGCAGAGUCGUAUCUCUUUAGAAAUUACUCGAAACUUUCGAAAUGCAGAUUGAAGAAGCGAGUAAGUGCUAGUGGUGACGACGGUUAGUAGGUGGUAGUUGGUGGGAGCAAAAUCAAUGUUCUCGAACUCAUUACCACUGAAGAAAUUUGGGUGAAUCUUUAUAACAGUUCUCUGUGAUUGUUUUAUCGAUUACCUUCUCGUUUAUUCCAACGACGAAGUCAAGUUCACUGACCUUUGAUCGUCAGCUUCACAUCAAAUCCCUCGAGAGUUGACUUCGUCUAGAGAUUAUACUUUUCUUGGGAAACUCCUCGGUAGCAGACGUUAUUCUCAUCAAUUUCGAAAUGGAGUUGCGAUUCUUGUUGUUGUUGUAGUUGAACUUGGAUAAUGAAGAUUCAGCCUUGUUUGGAUAAACAAAUUCCUUGAACUUCACCUGGGUUUGGUACUUGGUAGUAAACCCUAGUUCCUCAUCCGUGUACUUUUCAGUGAAGGUGAACUUAGUCCCUUGCUUGCAACCUAACUGUUCAGCCUUGUAAUUUUCAGCGUAAUGGCUUGAGACUCUAUCAUAUUCAUCAUUGUACGAAGAUCGAGCUUUACUCUGAACUUCUCUGGGCUCGUUAAGCUUUGAUUUGCUCAGAGGCAUCACUUUAAGGUAGCCAAUCGUGUCACUGCAUGCAUACACAAGCUGCUUUGUAUCUUUCUUCUUCGUUAUUCUGCUGAUUCAGAGGUUUUAUGUUUAAUUUCUGAAUUUUUAAAUGACUAUCGCGAAGUACCGUGAAUCUCGAAAUGUCUUUGGCCUCGUCAAAUCUUAUUAAUAGUUCUUGACUAUUCUUGAGAUUAGACUUGUUCCUUUUGGCUAAGAAACCAGUCGACCUUAUUGUGAUGAGUAGCCAAAUAAUCAUAAACAGUAACUUCUAUUUCUGCAUCUUCAUUUUCCUUCGUUUGUUUGUUUGUUUCUCAAUGUGAACUGGAUCAUGCCGGGACAUUACACGAAGGGUGUAAAAAAAAAAAAAAAAAAAAACGUUUGUUCUCGGCGUGGUUUCUAGUUCAAAUCCGGAUAUCUUGUACUCUAUAUUUAAUGGACUUGUUUUGAACCUUAAAUUCCUGAGUGUUCUUUUAGCCUUAUCGACAUGGUUUCUCUCUCAAUUAGUGAGAAAUUCAUGAUCGAUGGUUUCGGCGGAAGUGUGCGCCCAAUUCUUAUCGAUUUGGACAGGAAUGUUGGGAGCAUAAUCUUUUCACAAGCUUACUAGACUUACCAGAAAGAGUUCCACGUGGGUGUGAAGUUUGAGUUGUCUUUUGGUAAGAGACUGGUGAAGAUUGUGGUGCAGAUGAUUAGCAGAUUGUAUCACUAUCUUCACGCUGAAUUGAAUGGUCACCAUUCAUUAUCCUGCUGCAAUUCAUAAUCAUCAUAUCUUACUCUGGUAGACAUUUUUGAUGAUGUGUUCGCCUCAACGCAGCUUUCCACUACCUCUCACCAGGAUCCUUCGGUUCGAGAGCACGUGGGCGUGAGGUUGAGCGGUCUUUUAGUAAGAGUUGGUUGAAGGUUUUAGUUCAGAAGGUCAGCAUAUUGUAUCACCAUCUUACUAGAAUUCAUAGGCAUCACAUCGGUUAUUUUCCAACGAUAUGUGUUCGUGUCAAUGCAUACUUCGACUGCUUCACUUCUGAACCUUAUUCUUGUGAGUAUGUGGAUGUUGAAUCACUUAUAGCAGAUUUGUUUGGUGCACUCUGGAAUGGCACCACAACGUAGUUGAGAUAAGAAUCGGAAGAUCUUUGCACUUUUUGCGAAUGGUGUGUGCUCUCAUGGGGUGUUUAGGUUGAUUGCAUGAGAGUCAUUCUUUCCUCCAACAUUGAUCUUGUUUGACUAGAAAUCUGCAACUAAGCAAAAAUGGAGAGGUGGAUUGAGCACUACAACAGUUCCCAAGAGAUACUGCGUGUUGAGGAAGAUGACUUCUCGUUUUCUGCUUACCUAGUUCGAGCUUUUGGGUCUACUACUAACAUGGUGGCCACUUCUCUUGAAUCCCAAAGUACAGUUUCAAAUGGGUUCUUUGUUGGCAUAACUCUGGAGUAGUUGGUCACAUUUGGAAUAACUGAGGAAGAGGUUGUGCUUGGUACUAAAGGGAGUUAGUAUGACGAUAGUUAUUGGUUUUGUUCGAUUUGGGUAUGGCACUAUUUGCGACAUGGUACGAGAGUUGCUACACGCAACAUUGGUUGAUAGAGGAGACGUGCAAGCUUGUACUUGGAGGAUCGAAUUUUCGACGUGUGAAAUUGUGCACCCUCAGGAAAUUACUGCUUGUUUACUGAGACAACAAAUGUGUGGUCGAUAUCGCGGGCGGCCGACUGUGGUAUCGAUAAUUUAUUUGUUGGGUUCGUUAAGCAAGUGGGGCAGGAAUAUCCUUUUACGGCAGCCGUUAAAGAUUCACUAUUGUUAGAACUGGACCCAAAGACACAUCUAUUUUCGGAGUACGCGACGUUUCGAAUUCUUGGGCAAGACCCACUCUCAUUCUUCAGUUUUGGUUUUCAGUAUAAGUAUUUUAACCUCAUUUACUCUAGUUAAUUGUUUUGCCAUUACAAAUGUUUUUGGAAAAGUAUUUCCGUUUUCAGUUUUUAAGUGUAGCUCGAAUUUUCAACCUAUAUGUUGGUACAUAUCCAUUUUGACGUUAUCGUAUGUUAUGUUCUUACUUUUGACCUUAAUCUAUUUUAUGUUUUCGACUUUAUAUCUUUAUAAAGUAUGUUUUCUACUUUUACACUGAUGGGGAAGAAAGUAAGCUUGGAGGCAUGAUAGAGGAUUUUGCAACCCGCUCGCGACGGUGUGGUAUAUUCUCUUUGAUGCACCCACUCUGACUUGAUUUCUCUUUAUACAUAUAUUCUUCUUACUAUUUUCGUGUAUUUCAGUUUAGUAGGUGAUUUUAAAUUUCGGGGACGAAAUUCUUUUUAAGGGGGGUAGAUUGUUACACCCGCCCCUAAUUUAAAUCGUAUUUUCACUAAGUUUGAGUUUAUCUUGCUUUUAAAAUUGUUUUUGGGUCUUAAAUGGUGUGCCCAAGGGGCCCCACCCCCUGUUUUGUCCCCCGUUCCCUUUCCCUUUCUUUUAUUUAUUUUCUUCUUUCUUCUUCUUCUUCUUCUUCUUUUCUGUUUCUUUUUCUUUCUUUUCCGUCUGUCCCUCUCGGCUCUCUCUGCGCCCUCUCUUCUUUGCACCGCAACAAGCACACGCACGCACCCAUUGCACCUGCGCGAGGAAGACCAUCAUCAUCUCGUCCUGCUCUCUCUCCCUCUCGUGUUUGCGAACCCAGAAAAUCGGAAAGGAUCUCCCGCGAGAUUUUUAUAUUUUCCGGUUAGGUAAGCCUUAAAUCCCUCUCUUUCGUCCUAGAAUCUUUGAGAAUGGGUUCUAAUUGGUUUUAUUUCGUGAUUUUUGGAGGUUUUAGGAUGAAAACAAACUCGGGUGCAUGAACACCCAUUUCCGGCGAGGAACCCGCCACUUUCGAGUUAAUCUCCGGCCAAACCACGGCGAGUUGGCCGGCGUGCAAGGUAUCAAUCUCUUCGUCUCGUCGAUUACUACAACUUUCCUUUUUGUUUCACCCAAUUUCGUUGAGUAUUGAAGAAGUUAUACUCAUUUGAAUCUUACCCAGUUUCCGGCGAGUCCGACGGCUUUCGAGGCUUUUUCCGGUCAAACCACGGCGAAUUAGACGUCGUGUGAGGUACCAUUCUCUUCGUCUCUUCGAGGGCUACAACUUUCGUUUUUGUCUCGCUUGAUUUCGUUGAGUUUUGACAAAGUUAUAGCCAUUUAAAAUUGGGUGGUUUUCCGGCCGAAAUUCCGGCCUUCUUCUUCCUCGGGUCCGGCAACCCAUCAAACUUGGGCCCUUUGGGCCGUUUCUGUUAAGGGCUUUAAGCCCAAACCCUAAACCUUUGGGCUUUAGGACCAAACCCAAGAACCCAAACCCUAUGACCCAAACCCGGAUCCAAGCCCAGACCUGUUUGACCUGGUUCGACCCGGAUCCUGACCCGUUGACUUUGACCGGUCAACGUUGACUUUUCUAGUUGACUUUUCGGGUUUUCGUCCAAGACCUUCCUAGGCUAAUUUCGACGUCCUGGAUCCGUUUUUGAAGUUCGUUUUCCCAAAUUCAAUCGUUUGAGUAGAGUUUGACUAAAUGGAUCAUUUAUGUGCUUAGGUGAAUUUAAUGACGGCGGUUCCGUUAUUCCUAUUUGGUAUGGCGUUGCACCAACGGUGUACGGUGAGUGGACCCCUUCUAAAAUGCAUGUUUUAUAGUAGAAAUGCAUACAUAAAAAGUAUGAUUUGAUGAUUACCUUUUAUGAAACGUUUUGUGAGAUAACAUGCUUAUUGAGGCUACUUUAAAUUAUUACUAUUUUUCCUAUAACCCGUGUUCUUAUAGAAUAUCUGAUGGAUGACGAUAUGAUAUUAGAACAUGUUUAGAAUGUCACAGCCCGUCCCGGGAUUUCUAUAUCGGGGGCGUGAAUUGACGUAACUACCCUUGACGGACAUUCGGGUACGUGUGUGUGCGACAUUAUUGAAUUAAUUUUGUAAGUUUUGGGAUUUUAAUUUUGGAAUUUGGAAAUUUUUGUGGUUAGGGAAUUGGAUGGAUGGUGAGGAUUGUGUUGGACCACACAAUCACACACACACGCACUCCCUGUCUUCUCUCCCUCCCGUAGCUCUCUCUGUCCCUCUCCCUCACGAUCUCUCUCUUUCCCCUCACCCUAUACGUACGGCCUUCACCCAAAACCCUUCAAAACUCGACGGAUCGAGGCAAAUAAGGUAUGCAUCUUCAUCCUUUCGUCGUCCUGAGUUCAUUGGUGCUAGUUUUAGGAAGUGAAACCUUCGAUUUCACAUAGAUCCCGAACCUCCAUUUUUGAGGUACUGUUCAUGCGAACGUAAAAUGUUGUGUUUCAGGAGAUUUCAAGCUUGUGGUGAGCUUUAGGAGGUUCCUAAGGAAGCUCGGGGACGUUCGUUGGAGAGUUUUGGACGUCGGGAUCGUAGGUUUCAAGUUUGGCCGAAUCUUUGGUUUUUCCAAGGUGAGAUUUCGUAGUUUUUAGGCCCUAAAACAAGUCCAACGUGAUUGUACACUCUUAGGGCUUCAAUUUGGUAUAAAAUACGAAGAAAAUGGGUGAAAAACGAAGGAGAAUAGUGAGUUUGAAAAUCGGCCGGAGUUCGGCCGGAGUCCGGCCACCAGAGAACCAGUCCGGCGAGACCUGCGAAGAAGACGACACGUGCGCUGCACGUGCUGCGCGUGGCCAGCGCGUGGACCCGUGCCACGUGUGGCGCGUGGGGGCGCGUGGGGCUUCCAAAAAUUUUUCUAAAAAUUUCUCGACGCUCGUGACGUCGAGUAGGUCGAUGUGGUAUAUUAUUAUACCAAAAUUGAGCAUCGUAUGAGAAGUUAUUUCAAAUUAUUGGUGAUGUGCUUAAAAUUAAUGUUUUUAUAGUUGUUUCGCAUAUAGGUGAGACGUAUCCCGAGGACGACCGCAUCCAGGGACGCCACGGGGGUUACGACGACCCGUCGACUUAUCAGUGAGUGGGCAGUUUUGUUUUCGUAUUACCUAUAUACUACUGUUUUUCCCAGAAAAAUGUUUAUAUGAAAAUAUGUUUUGAAUAUGCCAUGCAUAGAAUUAUUUGAAAAUCAUGAAUUGGUUUAUGAACUAUAUGAUUGAAAUAUGAUGCAUACAUGUUGCAUGGUGCUGUGGAGGCACAGGUAAGUCAGGUGAGUUCAUUUAUUCAUUGAAUUGUUGUUGUUGAGAUGAGUUGAGCUCAUAAUCUGCACCCUAGGUGUUAGUGCUUAUAUUAUUCACCACACCGCACGCUCGUCUUGGAUCCAAGUAGGUGGAUGUCGUACAGACCAUGUGAGGGUUCCGACAUGCUAGUCGUACAGAUCACUAGGCGUGAUUCCGACUAGUGGGUGACCUUAGUUAUGCGCGCUGAUGAUAUGAUGAGAGAAGCACUAGAGCGUAUUUUUACACCUUUCAUCGUAUAGACUACCUUACGUAGUUCCGAGUGAUGUGCAGAGUAGGGCCGUAUAGGUCACUGUGGUGACUCCGGCUUAGUGGGAUUUUUGAGCUAUUGAAUUAAUCGUAUAGGACCAACUGCAGGGUCUCCGAUUGAUUCCUUAUUUCACCUGAUUUAUAUUUUUUAUUUAUGUCAUGGCAUGUUUUCUUGAAAAUGUUAAAGAUUUGAGAUUUAAAUGUUGAGAUUUUAUAUGGUUAUAUAUAUUUCUGGGAAAGUAUACAGGUUUUUACGGCGAGGGGAUAUAACUGUUUUAAUGAAAUGUUUUGGAAAACUAAUUUGUUUUACUGACCCACUCAUUUUGUUUUGCGCCCCUCCAGGUUCUAGUUUAGCGGUGGUUGGCUCACGAGGUCCUUUCCGGCUUUCUGACAGAUUUGGGACAUGUAGGACUCACCUGAGGGUGAUGUAUUCUUAUUUUAGUCCUACUUGACUGCAGUUAACCUAUGCUCUGAACUUAUGUGUUUACUUGUAAACUCGUCCGGUUAUGUCCGUAUGUGGUUAUGUUGAGUUUGGGUUGAAUUUCUGUUGUUAUUACGCUUCCGUGUCGUGCUUAUGGUUACGUCACGCCCACGUGACGGCCAGCACACCUGGAUCCUCCGGAUCAGGGUGUGUCAGUUUGGUAUCAGAGCUUAGGUUGCAGUCCUGUAAAAUUGUUAAUGUCUUAACGAUCUUUUUGAUGUUUUCUGUCAGAAUCAUGCCGCCUCGUAGAGAGCGUAGGGAGUCCCGCCGUACUCCUGAACCUAAUUUCCCAGAUAUUACUCAGUUAGGGGAAGCGAUGGCCCAGGCUUUACAGAAUGUGAUUCGUCCUCCCCCUCCUCCGAGGACACCUCUGGAGACCAUGUACAACUUGAAGUUAGAUCGGUUUAUGGGUAAUGAAAGUCAUGAGGGGGCAGAGAAAUGGCUUGAUCAUAUUGAGAAAACCUUUCAGGUGAUGCAGAGUCAGGGGAAUCUCCCUGCUAAUAGGUGGGUGGAGACCACCACUUGGUUUCUGGGUUGUGAACCAGCAGCAUGGUGGAUAAAUCAGGCUAGGUACAUGUCACCUGAGACGGCAGCCGACUGGAAAGUAUUCAAGGAGCAUUUUAUGAAGAGAUUUCGUUCCUCCUGAGUAUAUUGACCGUAAGAAGCAGGAAUUCACCAGGUUGAAACAGAGAAAUAUGUCGGCACAUGAAUAUUAUAGAAAGUUUACUGAUUUGUCUCGUUAUGACACUGAUAUAGCUGGUAAUCAGGGAGAGAUGCUUCGACGUUUCAAGUUGGGAUCUAAGAAGAAGUGGCGUACCUUUGCCAAUGCACUUCCCUGCGCUGAUUAUCAUGAGUAUUUCGAGAUUUUGGUUAGGAUGGAGGACUCUGAUAAUCUUCCUGACAGUGAGGAUGACGAGGACAAGAAUGAGGGUCAGAAGAAGAAUGAUAAGGGUAAGGGUAUUUCUAUUCCUGGACCUCGACAGACACAGAGUUUUUAAGAAGAGUGGAGCGAGUUCGAGUUCUUCUAGUGGGGGAUAUAGUUUUACUGGCCCGAGGAGAGGUGGUGGAAGAUUUUCUGGUGGACCCAGAUUUCAGGGUCAGAGGGAUGCUGGUGGAUCUGGCGCUCCAUGGUGCCGCCGUUGUAACUCCCGUCACCAUGGUGAGUGUAGGAGAGGUUCUGGUGCCUUGUUUUUACGUGUGGGACAGAUGGGACAUCGGGCUUCUCAGUGCCCCCAGGGUCAGCAGAGACCGCAGCAGACUAAUAUGCCACCUCCAGCACCAGUUCAGCAGAGUUUUGGGACCGGGUGGUUAUGGCCAGCCGAGUCGUGGUGGUGCCUACCACUAUCAGGGGGAUGCUGCUCCGUAUGCUUCCGGACCUUAUCAGUAUUCUCAGGAGCCUUAUCCUCAGGCAGGGUAUUCUCAGGAUUUUGGAGGUUAUUCUUCUUAUUCCUCUAUGCCAGCUGGUGGAUCGCAGUGGCAUCAGGGAGGCCAGCCCCGUCAGGGGGAAGUUGCUACUGGUGGUGCAGGAUCAUCCAGGCAGCCUAGUCAGCCAGGCCAGGGACGAGGUAAUCAGGGCAAUAGAGGCCGAGGUGGACGUCAGCAAGCUCAGGGGCGAGUUAAUCAUAUUGUCCCUGCAGGAGGCUCAGAACCAUCCAGACUUGAUAAUGGGUACGUUAAAUGUUCUUGGUCAUUUUGCUAAGGUUUUGAUUGAUUGUGGCGCUACGCACUCUGUGAUUUCUCAUACGUUUGCUCAAAUAACCCAACCUCACCCUUCACCUCUAGGAUUUGAUUUAGAGUUUGCCAUGCCUAGAGGAGAUAAAUGUAUUGUGGAUAGUGUGUAUCUGGGGUGUCCAGUGAUGGUUGAGGGCGUGAUUAUGUCCGCUGAUCUUAUUCCGUUAGAUAUUGUGGAUUUUGAUGUGAUUUUAGGGGCCGAUUGGUUACACCAUAAUCGUGCCCAUAUUGAUUGUUAUGGUAAAUCAGUUACUUUUUAUCGUCCUGGAUUACCCGAGGUUAUUUUUGUGGGCGAGAGAAGUGGGGUGAGACAUGGAGUUAUUUCUGCCAUAAGGGCGAGGAAAUUAUUAUCGAAGGGUUGUCAGGGAUAUUUGGCACAUGUGGUAUUAAAUGAUGUUGCUCCUACUAGUAUAGAAGAAGUUGGUGUGGUCAGACAUUAUCCGGAUGUUUUCCCUGAUGAUUUGCCGGGAUUGCCGCCAGACAGAGAGGUGGAAUUCUCUAUUGAUUUGCUUCCAGGUACGGACCCUAUAUCUCUGACUCCUUAUAGAAUGGCUCCUGCUGAGUUAAGGGAAUUAAAAAUCCAGUUGCAAGAAUUACUUGAUAAAGGUUUUAUUCAACCUAGUUCUUCACCUUGGGGUGCCCCAGUAUUAUUUGUGAAGAAGAAGGAUGGAACUCUUUCGAUUGUGUAUUGAUUAUAGACAAUUGAACCGGGUAACGAUUAAAAACCGUUAUCCAUUGCCCCGCAUUGAUGAUUUGUUUGAUCAGCUGAAAGGUGCGUGUGUAUUUUCUAAGAUUGAUUUGAGAUCCGGGUAUUAUCAAUUGAAGAUUAAAGAAGACGAUGUACCUAAGACGGCUUUCCGAACUCGGUACGGACAUUAUGAAUUUUCGGUUAUGCCGUUUGGGUUGACUAAUGCACCUGCAGCUUUUAUGAGAUUAAUGAAUGAGGUAUUCCAGAAAUAUCUUGAUAAAUUUGUUAUUGUUUUUAUUGAUGAUAUUCUGGUAUACUCUAAGUCCCAAGCAGAUCAUAUCCGACACCUUAAUUUGGUGUUAAGGAAAUUAAGGGAGCAUCAGUUGUAUGCCAAGUUCAGUAAAUGUCAGUUUUGGUUGACUGAAGUGGCAUUUUUGGGGCAUGUUGUAUCAGCUCAAGGUAUUCAAGUUGAUCCUCAAAAGAUUGCAGCAGUGGAGAAUUGGGAGCAACCUCGAACCGUCACGGAGGUACGAAGUUUUCUUGGCUUAGCAGGUUAUUAUCGACGGUUCGUUCAGGAUUUCUCUAUGAUUGCUUUACCGUUGACAAAGUUGACCAGGAAGGAUGUUAAAUUUGAGUGGGAUGAGAAUUGUGAGCGGAGUUUUCAACAAUUGAAGUAUUGCCUCACUCAUGCACCGGUGUUGGUACUUCCCGACGAUAGCGGUAAUUUUGAGAUAUAUAGUGAUGCUUCAUUAAAUGGUUUGGGAUGUGUUUUGAUGCAGCAUAAUAAGGUGAUUGCCUAUGCUUCUAGGCAGUUGAAAAAAUCAUGAAAGGAACUAUCCUACUCACGAUCUUGAAUUGGCAGCAAUUGUUUUUGCUUUGAAAAUUUGGAGGACAUUACUUUGUAUGGUGAGAAGUGUAAGAUCUUCACUGAUCACAAGAGUCUUCAGUAUUUGUUUACUCAGCAUGAUCUUAAUCUUCGUCAGCGAAGGUGGAUGGAAUUGUUAAGUGAUUAUGAUUGUUCUAUUGAAUACCAUCCAGGUCGUGCUAAUGUAGUAGCGGAUGCACUGAGUAGGAAACCUCAAGGUAGACUUAAUGCCCUUAUAUGCUAGUCGUGUUCCUCUUCUUGCUGAAUCUGAGGACAACUGGGGUAAGGUUGGAAAUUGAAAGACCGAGGAUGGAGCUUUUCUUGCUAGUUUUCAAGUCAGGCCAGUUUUGGUGGAGCGUAUACUUGCAGCUCAGAUGGUGAAUGAGGAAAGUUCAAGGAGUUGGUUCAGUUAAGAAGUGAAGGGAAAAAGAAAGACCUCAGAAUUCGGGAAUCAGACGGUAUGCUCAUGCAAGAAGACAGAAUGUAUGUUCCGAAUAAUGAGGAAUUGAAGAAGGAAAUUCUGGACGAAGCACAUUGUUCAGCUUAUGCGAUGCAUCCGGGAGGAACAAAAAUGUAUAUCAUACCAUUCGACCAUUUUAUUAUUGGCCGGGUAUGAAAAGAGAAAUUGCAGAAUAUGUGAGCAGGUGUAUUAUUUGCCAGCAAGUGAAAGCAGAAAGAAAGAAGCCAUUUGGGCGAAUGCAACCCCUUCCUGUUCCCCAGUGGAAAUGGGAAAAUAUAACCAAUGGAUUUCGUGUAUAAACUUCCUCGUACGCGAAAUGGAUUUGAUGGUAUUUGGGUGAUUGUGGAUCGACUCACCAAGUCGGCGCAUUUCAUUCCUGUGAGGGAGAAAUACCCUCUGAAUAAAUUGGCUAAGUUGUUUAUUUCGAAGAUUGUCAAGUAUCAUGGAGUCCCAGUAAAUAUUAUCUCCGAUCGAGACCCGAGGUUUACUUCUAAAUUUUGGGUGGCUUUUCAGGAAGCUCUGGGUACUCAAUUACUGUAUAGCACAGCUUAUCAUCCUCAAACUGAUGGGCAAUCAGAGAGGACCAUUCAGACGUUGGAAGGAUAUGUUGAGAUCUUCAGUACUGCAAUUUGGUGAUUCUUGGCAUGAUCGUCUGGACUUAAUGGAGUUUGCUUAUAAUAACAGUUUUUCACUCGAGCAUUGGUAUGUCCCCAUUCGAGGCACUUUAUGGUAGGGCGUGUCGAACGCCAUUAUGUUGGUCUGAGGUUGGUGAACGGGUAUUAGAAGGCCCUGAGAUCGUGGAUGAGACGACUCAAAAUGUUCAGAUAAUUAAGUCAAACCUGAAAGCAGCCCAGGAUCGACAGAAGAGUUUAGCGGAUCGGCAUACUACUGAUCGAGUGUAUGAUGUGGGUGAUUGGGUAUUUUUGAAAUUGUCGCCUUGGAGAGGUGUAGUACGAUUUGGGAAAAGAGGAAAGUUAAGCCCGAGAUAUAUUGGACCUUAUGUGAUCACUGAAAGAGUUGGUGAAGUUGCCUAUCGGUUGGAACUGCCUCCGGAGUUAUCUAAGGUCCAUAAUGUGUUCCACGUCUCUAUGCUUCGGCAUUAUAUUUCUGAUCCUUCUCAUGUGAUCCCUCCUCAACCGUUAGAGAUUAAUCCGGAAUUUGACGUAUGAUGAGGAACCGGUCACUAUCUUGGAUUGGAAAGAUAAGGUUCUAAGGAACAAGACGGUGAGUUUGGUAAAGGUGUUGUGGAUGAACCAUUCUGCAGAGGAAGCCACCUGGGAGACGGAAGAUCGGAUGAGAGAGAUGUACCCAAGGUUAUUUUAUGGGUACUAAGUGGUUAAUUUGGAUUGUGGGAAUUUCGGGGACGAAAUUCUAUAAGGAGGGGAGAUUGUCACAGCCCGUCCCCGGGAUUUCUAUAUCGGGAAUGUGAAUUGACAGUAACUACCCUUGAUUGGACAUUCGGGUACGUGUGUGUGCGACAUUAAAUUGAAAUUUUGUAAGUUUUGGGAUUUUAAUUUUGGAAUUUGGAAAUUUUUUGUGGUUAGGGAAUUGGAUGGAUGGUGAGGAUUGUGUUGGACCACACAAUCACACACACACGCACUCCCUGUCUUCUCUCCCUCCCGUAGCUCUCUCUGUCCCUCUCCCUCACGAUCUCUCUCUUUCACCCUCACCCUAUACGUACGGCCUUCACCCAAAACCCUUCAAAACUCGACGGAUCGAGGGGCAAAUAAGGUAUGCAUCUUCAUCCUUUCGUCGUCCUGAGUUCAUUGGUGCUAGUUUUAGGAAGUGAAACCUUCGAUUUCACAUAGAUCCCGAACCUCCAUUUUUGAGGUACUGUUCAUGCGAACGUAAAAUGUUGUGUUUCAGGAGAUUUCAAGCUUGUGGUGAGCUUUAGGAGGUUCUAAGGAAGCUCGGGGACGUUCGUUGGAGAGUUUUGGACGUCGGGAUCGUAGGUUUCAAGUUUGGCCGAAUCUUUGGUUUUUCCAAGGUGAGAUUUCGUAGUUUUUAGGCCCUAAAACAAGUCCAACGUGAUUGUACACUCUUAGGGCUUCAAUUUGGUAUAAAAUACGAAGAAAAUGGGUGAAAAAACGAAGGAGAAUAGUGAGUUUGAAAAUCGGCCGGAGUUCGGCCGGAGUCCGGCCACCGGAGAACCAGUCCGGCGAGGACCUGCGAAGAAGACGACACGUGCGCUGCACGUGCUGCGCGUGGCCAGCGCGUGGACCCGUGCCACGUGUGGCGCGUGGGGGCGCGUGGGGCUUCCAAAAAAUUUUUCUAAAAAUUUCUCGACGCUCGUGACGUCGAGUAGGUCGAUGUGGUAUAUUAUUAUACCAAAAAUUGAGCAUCGUAUGAGAAGUUAUUUCAAAUUAUUGGUGAUGUGCUUUAAAAUUAAUGUUUUUAUAGUUGUUUCGCAUAUAGGUGAGACGUAUCCCGAGGACGACCGCAUCCAGGGACGCCACGGGGGUUACGACCCGUCGACUUAUCAGUGAAUGGGCAGUUUUGUUUUCGUAUUACCUAUAUACUACUGUUUUUCCCAGAAAAAUGCAUUUAUAUGAAAAUAUGUUUUUGAAUAUGCCAUGCAUAGAAUUAUUUGAAAAUCAUGAAUUGGUUUCACAUGAACUAUAUGAUUGAAAUAUGAUGCAUACAUGUUGCAUGGUGCUGUGGAGGCACAGGUAAGUCAGGUGAGUUCAUUUAUUCAUUGAAUUGUUGUUGUUGAGAUGAGUUGAGCUCAUAAUCUGCACCCUAGGUGUUAGUGCUUAUAUUAUUCACCACACCGCACGCUCGUCUUGGAUCCAAGUAGGUGGAUGUCGUACAGACCAUGUGAGGGUUCCGACAUGCUAGUCGUACAGAUCACUAGGCGUGAUUCCGACUAGUGGGUGACCUUAGUUAUGCGCGCUGAUGAUAUGAUGAGAGAAGCACUAGAGCGUAUUUUUACACCUUUCAUCGUAUAGACUACCUUACGUAGUUCCGAGUGAUGUGCAGAGUAGGGCCGUAUAGGUCACUGUGGUGACUCCGGCUUAGUGGGAUUUGAGCUAUUGAAUUAAUCGUAUAGGACCAACUGCAGGGUCUCCGAUUGAUUCCUUAUUCACCUGAUUUAUAUUUUUUAUUUAUGUCAUGGCAUGUUUUCUUGAAAAUGUUAAAGAUUUGAGAUUUAAAUGUUGAGAUUUUAUAUGGUUAUAUAUAUUUCUGGGAAAGUAUACAGGUUUUUACGGCGAGGGGAUAUAACUGUUUUAAUGAAAUGUUUUGGAAAACUAAUUUGUUUUACUGACCCACUCAUUUUGUUUUGCGCCCCUCCAGGUUCUAGUUUAGCGGUGGUUGGCUCACGAGGUCCUUUCCGGCUUUCUGACAGAUUUGGGACAUGUAGGACUCACCUGAGGGUGAUGUAUUCUUAUUUUAGUCCUACUUGACUGCAGUUAACCUAUGCUCUGAACUUAUGUGUUUACUUGUAACUCGUCCGGUUAUGUCCGUAUGUGGUUAUGUUGAGUUUGGGUUGAAUUUCUGUUGUUAUUACGCUUCCGUGUCGUGCUUAUGGUUACGUCACGCCCACGUGACGGCCAGCACACCUGGAUCCUCCGGAUCAGGGUGUGUCAUAGAACACCUCUUUAUAGUAUAGAUGAUGGAUGACUUUAUACUAUGAAGUUGUUUUUCAAUAUAUAUGUUCAAUGGUUUUGUACUUACCUAGUGGUCCUUUCCGCUACGGGACGUAGGGAUAGAUUCCGGUCAUUCCCGGGCGACGGUUUGGUGUUGGCAUAGGGCCUGGAGUGUGUUUCCUCUGGCUAUUUAGCACAGGGACGGGGAGCCGGCAUGGGGCCUGAAGUGUAUUUUCCUCUGACUGUCUGCUCAGAGACGGGGAGCCGGCAUGGGGCCUGGGGGUUAUCGGACAAUUCACUAGUGAUUAUUAUAUAUAUAAAAGUUAUGAUUUGAGACACUGCACAUCAUGCUAGGUUUCGGAAAACCUAUGUUUAUCAUUAUAUAUGUGUUUUCAUAAAACUUGGGGGUUAGUACGUUGAUAACUGUUUUGUUAUAUUUAUAUCAAAUUGGUCCACUCAUGUUUGUUUUGCGCCCCCUUCAGGAUUUAGGAUCGAGGCGUACAAUCCCGGCAAUCCAGGCACUUCCGCAUCGGUAUCUUCAAGUCCUCUCGGUGUAGAACCCACUUCUGUGUUCAUUCAAUUUUUAUAUUAAUCCUUUUAAUGUUCUAGAUUAGAUGUGUGCUCUGAACACGUUCCUUAAAUGCAUAUUCUUUAUUCUCUUAUAUUUAUAAGUUUUAUCUAUCCUUUAUUUUCAGCAAUUGCACUCAAUAAAUGGCUUUCGUCGCCCUCGGGUGUCGGCCAGCACGUGACCAUCCUGAUAUCCUGAGGAUAUCGGGAUCGGGGCGUGUCAAUUUGUGAAGAAGAAUUUUUAUGCACUGCAACUGUUUGAUCGUCUGUCUAAGAGAGGGAGUGCAAAUGUACAUGUGCUUUAUGUGGCCUCUUUAGAUAUGCAUGAUUUAGAAGCUAGCCCUAAACUGGAUGGUAGUAGCAGCAAGCCAAGGGUUAAAGAAGUGUCUUCUGAAGAAAAAGAUAAUGUGUCUCACAUUGAGAUUAAGAUUACUGAAUACCAUAGCUCCGAUGAAAAGUGUGUUCUGAGGUAUCUUAAUCUUUCAGACAACGCCAUGGGCAACUAUGGUGUCAAUGCAUUUGAGUCACUUCUUAGUUCACAAAACAAUUUGAGAGAACUUUAUUUGAUGAAUAUGGCAAGGCUCAAUAUGUGUCAUAACAUGAGGGAGUGGCACUGCGAUGCUAUUAGGAAGAUCAAAUGGCUGAAUGAGAAUGAGAUUUCUGUUAUGAUCAAUACCGAAGGACAAGCAAACUAUGAAGGUUUUUUUUAUUGUAUCAAAUAUGGUGAGGAGCUCACUUUUAAGCUGUUGCUCUAUUUCCAAGCUGUCAAGGCAAAAAGUCUUGGGUUUACUAAACUUGGGUCACCAAAAGAGGCUAAGAAGGUUGUUGGGAACAUGAAUGAUGUUACUGCUAGUGCCAAACAGCUAAAGGAGAUGGAACAAGGCUUGACCAGUUUGAUAGUUUUGGGGAAUGGGCGAUUGUCUGAUCUUAUUGCACAGCUGCAGGAUAUAUUAGAGGGUGUAAAUGAAGCUGAUAUCUUGCCGGAGAAGUUUGAUAAUGCAGUUAUUAAAGCUCAGAUUCCACAAUUGGCUCGAGAAAUCAGGGAGUUAACCUCAUCUCGACCUGUAACCAUCUACAAUGAGAAUUCUUCCUCUAGUGGGAAUUAUGCUUCAUAUUUAGUUCCACUUGCUGCACUUGCUGCAAUGGGCUAUUGUUACAUGUGGUGGAGAGAUUGGUCAUUUUCAGAUGUGAUGUAUGUGACAAGGCAUAAUAUGGCAAAUGUUGUUGAAGCUCUAAUUAGAGAGGUAGCUAGCAAGAGCAAUGACUUUGCUGGGAACGGAACAACAAAUACAUUGAAGAUGAGUGAAUGCGCUAUGGGCACCUAUUUAGAUUUAGUAUGCUCUCUUAGUCACCUGGAAAGCAAUUUUGGUGGUGCCUUAGUUAUUGAUUUACAUGUUGAGUUCUCUUUGUUUUUCACUUGUAACCCUGACUGUCGGCUUUUAUGGGAUCCAGGAGAUGCAAUGGCUAAAACUGUUAAGAUGAUACUCUAUUUUAAAAAUGUCAAGGCAGAGUGGCUUAACAGGGUUACAAAAAUAACCAAGUUUGGUAGUUUUAUGGUACAAUUGGAUAGAAGUGUUGAAGCUUUGAAUAAGGGCAAAAAGCAAAAAACUAGAGAUGGUGGAUAUGGUGAUGAGAUAAAGAGAUUGCAUGAUUUAAGCGUGAACAAGGUUGUGGAUAUGGCGACUAGGUUCGAAAGUGCAUUGGUAGGACAUGUUAACAAUAUAAUUUGUAGUACUACUGUAAGAUUGGAGAGACUUCACUCCGAUGAUUGGUGGUGUUCUGCUAUAUCUCAACUGCUGAUGAUUGGUAAAUCCAUCGUAUCUAGUUCAAACAAAACUCAGGAAGCAAAUGUGGAUGCUGUUUUGGGAACCGGUGAUCCGAGUCUACUAGUUGAGAACACUUCAGUUGAGCAGCUUGGUUUCGUCAGAAAGGUGACAAUCUUUAAGGACUCCACUUCCAUUAUUGGUGAUGCAGCAUCAAAAGAUGGGUUGCAAGUCCAUGGUGUGUCUCCAUUUGACAUUAUGGGCAGAAAUCUUUUCUGGGAAAAGCAACUGCAAAGGCUGCAAAUGGGAGCUGUCACAAGAAAGUUCUUGGUGGUUAAUUUCAGUUCUGGUUUUGAUGAAUCUUCAUAUCUCUCUCGGGUUGAAAAUUUUGAGGAGAUGUCACAAGAAAAUUAUGGAGAGGCUACAGGAAACAAGAACUCACUCACUCAGUUCAAGCGAGCUGCCAUACCUGGAAGGAUUAUAAUGAUUUCAAAGUCAAGUUCUACAAUUCCAUUUUUAAGCCUUGAGGACAAGGCUAAUUUUCAAGGGGGAAGUAUUGUUAUGACCCAAAUUAUUACUGAGGUUUUAUGCUUUAUUACUGUGAGGAAUUGUUAAUAUGCCAGCUGGCAUUUAAAAGUGUAGAGGUUUUAUAAAAGGAGCCCCAGCUCCCCCAAAUGUAUCAGAUCAGAAUUUUACAAAAGAAAUCAAUAUUGGAGCUCUGCUCCUUCUUCUCUCAUUCCCUCUUCUUCCAUAGCUUUCUUGUGCCACUUGCAGGUUGAUUAAGGGAAUUGAGAAUUAGAUCUUAUCAUAACGUCACUACCACAACUCCCAAUAUCAUCACGCUGAAUGUCCACACUCGGUUUCUGCUCAAUUAAAGCGUCAAUUUCCUGCAAAAUACUCUCAUCGAAAUCAUCAUCGUUAAGAAUUCCAGAUGCAGAGAAAGAAUCAAAUGAAGUCAGAAACUGCGGUUGUCUGAUUGGAGUUGUGAAAGAAUCCGAUUUUGACACGCUUGAUUCGGUCCGGCUAACGCUUAAGCUCCCGGAACACGAAGCACUGCCAUAUUCACCACGCGCUGAAUUGUACCGGCUUGCGGAAAUCGGAAGCGGUGUUCUUUGAACUCUAUUGAGCUGAGUUGGCGUUUGGAUUCCAUUUCCGCCAAAAAACACAAUUGAAUUGAUUUAAAUUGAAGCAAGAAAACAGCCAAGUAGCCAAAAAAUAGUAAGAAGAUGAAACCUUUGAUUCCUGAACGACUUACUUGGUAUGAGGGAGGUGAUGAUCAGGUGAAACGGCGUCGUUGCAGGGGCGUUUGCGAUCAAUGAGGGCCUUGGCGGCUCUGAAAUUCCGAGAGAUGCGGUUUCUUUGUUCCGCCGUGAGCCCUCCGCCGUACGCCUGAACGUUUUCCUUGGACAUUGCUUCCAAGAUUCCAACGGAGGAUUUGGCCUGACGGCCUGACCAGGCUGAUAACAGUGUAAAACCUUAGGAGCUAAGGAAAAACUAAGAGAGAGAUUGUAGAGAGGGAAAGUUUUUUCUUUUUGGAAACCAGUAGAGAGGGAAAGUUUGUUAAACCUGAAUAAUAUUCUUUUCAUUCAACUUGUCUACAAUAAUUACCACUCGUGGUAUUUAUACAUUUGUAACACACCUCACUAACUAACUAAGACCACCACCAAUCAUACAUAAACACUUGUCAUAAUCCUAUGCACUCAUAGUAUCAUCACUUUAACAUUCCCCUCAAGCUCAUGUGGCAGAUUGCCAAGCAUGAGAUUGGAACAAUUACGAGCGAACUGGGGUGAACACAAGCCUUUGGUGAACAUGUCGGCAUAUUGAUCUGCAGAGGUAACAAACUACAAAAUAAUUGUCCUUUGAUGAACUCUUUCACGAACAAAGUGGCAAUCAAUCUCUAUAUGUUUGGCUUUAUAGUGCAAUACAGGAUUAGUGGCAAGAGCCAUUGUUGAAAUGUUAUCACAAUGCAAAACUAGAACAGAAGGAGAACCAACAUGCAAAUCUCGAAGAAGCUGUUGUAUCCAGAUAACCUUAGCAGUGGUUGUAGCCAUUGCUCUAUAUUUAGCUUCAGUGGAAGACCUACUCACUGUAUGCUGCUUUUUAGAACUCCAAGAGAUAGGAGUAUCUCCCAAAAAAAUGACAAAACCCGUGGUUGAACGACAAUCAUUGGGAUCCCCUACCCAAUCAGCAUCUGUAUAAGCUUUCAACUGAGAUGAACCUGAUUUAAAACAUAAUCCCAAAGAUAUAGUGCCUCUGCGAUAUCGUAGAAUACGUUUCACAGCAGCAAAUGAGUGGCUAAGGGUGAAUGCAUAAACUGACGUACUUGAUUGACAGAAAAAUAAAUAUAUGGUCUUGUAAAUGUUACGUAUUGCAGUGCCCCAACAAUACUUUUGUAAGUGGUAGGAUCAAAAACAGGUUCACUACCAUGAUUCAGAAGCUUCUGAUUAGGAUGACAAGGUGUGGAAAAAAGGUUUACAGUCUAGCAUAUGCAUCUUUUAAAGGAGUUCUUUGACAUACUUGGUCUGAUGAACAAAGAGUCCCUGACCCUGAUACUCAAUCUGUAAACCAAGAAAAUAAUGCAACACACCUAGAUCUUUCAUGCCAAACUCACUAGUUAACUAACUAAUAACCUUCUGAACCUUCACAGCAUCAUUACCAGUGAGAAUGAUAUCAUCAACAUAUAAUAAGAGAACAAUAAUUGAUGAACCAUCACACUUGACAAAUAAAGAAGGAUCUGCAUAUGAUGACUUGAACCCAAGCUUAGGCAAAUAACCUGAAAACCUGUCAUGCUAGGCUCUGGGAGCUUGCUUGAGACCAUAUAAAAACCUCUCUAGUUUGCACACAUAAUCUGGAUAGGUAGAAUCCACAAACCUUUGGGACUGAGACAUAUAAACUUCUUCAUCAAGAAAGCCAUGCAAAAAAGCAUUAUUGACAUCUAACUGUUUGAGUUUCCAAUUAUGAGAUGCAGCCAAGGAUAAAACCAAUCGAACUAUGGUUGGUUUGACCACAGGGCUAAAGGUUUCAUAAUAGCUAAUACCAACUUCUUGAGAAUACCCAUUAGCUACAAUUCUAGCCUUGUACCUAGCCACUGAACCAUCUGGAUUUCUCUUAAUCUUGUAAAUCCAUUUACAACCAACAAGAUUUUUGUCAGGUGCUAAGGGCACAAGCUUCCAAGUAUGAAGCAUCCAUCUCUUCUUUCAUGGCAUUUUGCCAUUGAACACACUUGACUGCACUAGAAAAAGACCGAGGUCCAAUAAAUGGAAAUGUGGAAGAAACACUAGGUGGAUGAAUGAAUGUGUUUGAAUGCACAACAGACACUGGUGAGGAAGAAUGACCAGAAGUAACUUGAGGAUUGAAACCCAAAGCAUUAGAGUCUAUAGGAAACUUGGAUUCAUAAAAAAUAACAUGUCUAGAUACUAAUAGUUUAUGAUCUUUGAGAGAGAAGCAAAUAUACCCUUUGUAUUGUGUAGCAUACCCCAGAAAAAUACACUUAGUAGUUUUAGGUUCAAGUUUAUUGCUUCUAUAGGGUUUCAAUGAAGGAUAGCAUAAACACCCAAAAAAUCUCAAAUGAUCAAGCUUAGGUGGAGAUUUAUAUAGCAUUUCAAAAGGAGACUGCAUAUGUAGGGUAGGUGUGGGCAUUUUGUUUAUAAGAAAAGUAGCAGUGGCACAGGCAUGGAACUAGAAUUUUGAAGGUAAUGAAACUUGUUGUAAAAAGGUAAUAGUUGUUUCGACAAUAUGUUGAUUUUUUCUCUCAGCCAACCCAUUAUGUUAUGGGGUAUAAGGACAAGAUUUUUUAUGAACAAUGCCUUUGGUAAGAAGAAAUUGCUUAAACUGAGUACUAACAUAUUCCCUACCCCCAUCACUCUGCAAAAUUUUUACAUGAGCAUCAAAAUAAUUCGAGACAGAAGCAAGAAAGUUGACAAAAACAGUGAACACUGCAACUUUAUUAUUUAAUGGAAAAAUCUAGGUAUAUCUUGUACAUUCAUCAAUAAAGGAAACAUAAUACUUGUAACCUUCUAUAGACAAACUAGGUGAGGGACCCCAAACAUCUAUGUGAAUUACUUCAAAUGGAGUAAGUGACUUCGAAGCAAUUACAGGAAAAAGGAGCUUGGUAAACUUGCCUUGCAAACAAGCAUUACAAGUAUGAGAUUGAGAGUUACAAGGAAAAGAUAUACAAGACUUAUUAAGUGCUGCAGUGACAGUGGAAUGUGUAGGAUGGCCUAAUUGACAAUGCCACAAUGUAGAAGAAAUCUUUUGACCCACAAAUGCAACUGGAUUAAAAACAGGAGAAAUAGACCUCUGUGGUUUGAUUAUGGGAAGUGGAUAGACAACAUUAUUACUCAGCCCUUGGAAUAGCACUCUCCCGGUGACCUUGUCCUGUAGACAGAGAGAAACAUCAUCCAUGAUACAACGACACUGAUUAUCUUUGCACAACUGAUUCAUAGAUAAUAAGUGUUGUGACAGUUUUGGAACAUGUAACACAGAGUUUAACUUGAAAUUAUGUGACUAAGUGAGAAGAGAAGAGGAACCAAUAUGUUUGACAGCUAAACCUUCACCACUAGCACUGGUCACAAUAUCAUUUGAUGGAUAAAUUUAUUGUCAUGUGCAAGUUUGACAAAUCUGAGGUCAUAUGGUUAGUUGCUCCCAAGUCAAGAAACCAGAAAUCUUGUUGAAGAGUUGAGGAUGAUGCACCAGCUCGUGCUUGCAUAGCAAGAGGAGGAUUUUGUGAGGAUAUAGUUAAUAGAUACAUAUGUGGUAUGACAAGAUACUGAAACUGUGAGCUAUUAGACUGUGGAAUCAUGCCUUGUGAAGGACCACAUGGAUUCUAGCUAGGUGCUUCACCAUAUGACCCAGUAGGCAUUGGAGUUGGCAUAGAUGAGGAUAAACCCUAAGAGAAAUGCUCUGAUGUGCCUGUGAAAUUUUUAUUCUGAUCAAAGCAAGUAGCAGCAACAUGACAACCUCUGUGACAAAUUUGACAUCCAUGUUGAAAACAAUUCAAUGCAGAAUGACCUUUGCGAUCACAUAUUUGCAGAAUGGCCUUUGCAACCCUAGAAAGAAGGAGCGAAGAAGACCAAAUGUGUACGUUUCUCUUUGGUUUUUUUUCCCUCCUAAUCGCGCUGUUCGAAAUCACGGACCUCGGGCCUGGGCCUAGUGGGCCCAAUUAUGAGGCCCAUUAUCUCCGGUCUUCUCGUUCUACUUCUAGUUACCCAAAUUAAGAACGUACGCUUUUAGCGCGAGAGAGAAAUGGAGGCCCUGAUUGCCUCGUACGGAGACUCGUCGUCGGGCUCAGACUCCGAGUCGCCGGCUCCACCUCCACCACCACCUCCGGAGCUCAACAACCCUCAAGAACCGACCCCUGCGCUGCCUCCACCUCCUCUGUCACUUCUCGACAGCCCCAAUUCCUUCGGUAACCUCUGAUUCCCAUCAAUUUUCAUCUUUUAGCUUUCUGUUGUGAUGGCUUUUUCCGAGUUGCCCACCAAGUGUUUGAUGUUUUGCCUCCGAAGAAUUUCUGGACUUAUCGGCAAGCGCCCAGCCGAGCAGAGUUCGGAACUUUCCUCACGUCGAAGGGAACUACGCAGUACAUGUAUACAUCCCAGGUUAUCAAAAUUCUCGAAAUUUUCAGCUCCAUUAGCAAAUGCGAUCGCUUUGCACUUAGUUUUUGCUUGUUUAAUUGUGUGGUUCCAGUUUAUAUACCACCAGCACCAAGGAAAGAGAUGGCCUUGUUUUUGAACAAGCUAGCUUCUCUGCUGCCUGGUCUCCAUGCGGUUGACGUUGACUUCCCGCUUGACAUUCUGCGUAAGGACGAGCACAAGCUUGAACAAGUUGCUUUAGGCAGAGAGUUCCAUAUAAGUCUCGGAAGAACUGUUCCGAUGCGGGUGCACCAGAUUGAUUCCUUGGUGACAAUGCUGCGGCAGAAGCUUCAGAUUCAGAGGCGGUAUGGUUACAUUUACAUUCUCUUGUCUGCAUUGCGUGAAUUUAGUUCUGUUAUUUAACAUAAUUCUGUAAGCCUGUUUUCGUAUAAAUGCACGGUUGAAUCAGCUUUCAUUGUCUACAAGUCUGAAAUAUUUUAACUUCCAUUGAUUUCAGAUAACAAAGCAGAUUCAAGCUGUGAAUGAGGUGUAUAAGCUUCACAAUCUUCCUGAAUUUUACAAGGUUAGCUUUUUCGUGCUUUUCAAACUCGAAUCGGUUCCUGAAUGUAUGACAAUAUAUUGGAUCAAACGAUUUCUCAAAACACUAAUUCACUUGAUGGGGUCUUGGUGAUCACAGGAUCCACGCCCUCACAUCUCGGUAGCUUGAGCAUUGGGUGACAUCAGCAAUUCCCUGAACAAAGUGGUUGAAGAAGAAAGACGAAGAUCUACCAUCGGAGGAUCGUUACAGAAAUGUAUUUUUACCAGUAAAUUCAAUGGUAUCGAUAUCGAAUGUAGGAUUGGUAAUAAAACACACAAAAUAUGUAAAUUUUCUGAAGAAUAAUGUAGCCAUUUAACUGUAUUGUGAAAUUCCGAGAAUAUAUGGCUGAGCAUUGGAUGAGAAGACAUUUCUUCGUUGGUGUCGAACUUCUUGUCGAAGGUAUUGGCACCAGUGUAAACGUCAUCAUCCAUGUUGAUGGUAAUUACUUACCAGCUACUAAGGGUGUCGGAACAACCUUGCACGCACCCUCCUGUGCAUUACUUGGUAUUGUCUCGGAUUCUCCAAACUUGAAUGCUAAUGUAAACCCACUCUUGACCUUUCCGUCAUCUGCAAUUACCGGAAAGCCGGCUUGGAUGUUGCCGUUGACCUACCAAACUUAAAAUACCGACGAAAUGUUGGAGUACUUCAGUGUACUACUCGUUUUUGUAUGCGAGAGCUCCACCUCUAUCGUUGUAACAGCAUCUGAUGCGGACUAGUCCUUCAUUCCCGUUACUCUUUGCCAUCUCCACUUCAAACUUGGUGUGAUGGCUCCCGGCCUCCUCUCCGGUGAAAUUGAGUAACCCCGGAGCUGGCGUGCCAUCAAGAUUUCCGUUGUGUCUCUAUUUGCUGUUGUGGUUCGGUUCCACUAUAAACUUGGCAGAGUUAGCAUUUUCAUUCUGUUGUCUGUAUAUCUUGAUAUUACAAGUAUUUGUUGUGCAAAAUGCAUGCUAAGUUCAAGUUAUGUUUAUAUGUGUGUGUGUGUUGCCACUUUUCCAACGUUUUCUCCAAAAUUGUGACGAGCAACAAAGCAGUUUUGAUUCCGUGCACAACAACGAUACCUCGAAAGAAAUUGAUUCUUCCCCAGAAAGAUGUUUUAAAACAAAGUUGAACAAGGGAAGAAAACUUUUGAAUCGCAAUCAGAUGUCUGGUCAAAUUCUUUAACAGUUGAUGUAUACAGAAGUUCCUUGCUUAUGACACGACUUAUGAGAGGAUGUAUGUAUUGCAUUUGCAUCAAAAGAAAGAAAGAAGGUUGUAAGUGGUAAGGGAACGACUACCGAUGCCGCUCCACUUCUAAUCAAAGGGAUCGAUCCGAGGGUCGUGUUCACUUGCCAUCGCCAUUCCAGUGCAAAGGCAUGUCGGGCACAUUACCUGCCACAUUUACAGACGCAAUGUUAGAUAUAGCUGCCAUUUGGAAGUCAUCUCUCAAAAUUUUGCUACUAAAUUAAUCUUAAACUUCAUUUCCAGUGCAAUUUUUUUCUUCUGAAUUGUCUUUCACAUGCCCGACAAAUAGAAGUAUCACCAAACAUGUGAUAUAGAGCAUCUAAGCGGCAGGCACUAAAAGGAAUUUAGUAUGCAAUAAACAUUCAACGGACAUAAUUAUAUGUCUAACCUUUCCCGCUCCUGAGCAAUUUGAACAUCGUUCAGUUUUUGGCAGAGAUAGGGGUUGGUUUCCGCCAUCAGCUGUCGAUACUGGUUCAGUAAGAACAAGGGUUCCAGUGCUGGAGCAACGAGCACAAGCAAGAGAUCCUGCGUAAGUAUCAAAUACACAGGUAAGUUGACAUACGAAACCAAUCCGAACAUCUCCAUCGUAUAUAUUUAAAGCUACAGUACAUAAAACUAAAAGUCAGAAAUAUAGGACAUUAUCACACCAGUUCCAAGACAAUAUUUGCAUCGUUUAUGCUCCUGCUGUUUCACAUUGUUUAUUUCAACUACCAUCAAUGCUGAGAUCACUCCGACUGCUCCUCCAGAGAAUGACGCCACUAUGGGAUCAACUUGACUGCAGUUUGAAAGUAAAGGAGAUCAAUAAACGAAACUGGUAACAACAUAGUAUCAACAUUAUUUAGCUUCGUUUCAAGAAAGAUGACAUCCUAGGUUUUUCUAAUGUGUAAAAAUUGAGGAUCCUCGUAAAAUUUGACUAUAUCGGUUCCCAAAGCAUUUGAUUCCUACGUUACAGACGGAAAACAGCAACAAUCGAAUUUAAAGAUUCAUAACACGAUAGAUGGUACAAAAUUUCAAAACGAUAAUUACUAGAGAACAGGAGGGUUAAUAGCCUGAGAUAUGAGCAAUACCUCAACUGCAACGGCAGAUGCAUAUUUACUAUAAAGUCUUUAUAUGAUGUGCCUCCUAUUCCCAGCUUCAACUCCAACUGAAAGAUGUAAAGGUAAUUGUAGGCAAAGAGUUACAAACAUAACCGAAUCCAUGUUUUAUAAGCAACAACUACACUUAUUUUGAUAUGUUUCCUCAUUUUUUACUUGCAAAUUCCAAACCAUAUUGUCGGACCAGUAAAAGAAAAUAAUGUUUAUGAUAACUGUUAAAACUAAUUACAACAAGUUAAUGCAUAAAGAACUUACGGAGGGUGCUAUGAGGCCACCGAAAAGGAUAAACCCCGCAAUAAUUGAAUAACAAACAGCAUAAUACUGCUUAAGGUUGUCUGAACUCUGCAAGCAAUGAAUUCACCUUGUGAUUAAUACUUUGCACAAACACUAGUUUUCGCAAUUUUUUAUGAAUCGACAAAAGGCUACAACAAAAUAUGGCUAAAACAUGUCGGGGAUAUGAAAAUACAUGUCUUCACAGGGGCACCAGCUUACCAGGGGAGGCAAAAAUGGAAUGAACGAUGGAAAACUAGGAAGUUCGUUUUCUUGAUCUUCAUUUACCGCUCCAAGCUCUGCACGUUUAAUCCGCUGUUGUAUCCUCAGCCUGCGAACCUACGCAUAUCGAAGCUCAUUCUUAAAGAACACAUUUCUAAUGGCAAUUGGAGAGUAAUUUAAAACAUGCUACACUGAGAAAGUGGUAGCAACUAGCAAUUGCUCUCACCUCCUCCAUAUGCAAGAAAAUUUUGUUGCGACGACUCCGAAUAUUAUCUUGAAUUUCCUGCAGCUCCAUUGUGGCAAAAUCCUGCACUGUUUCAGGCCCCUCUAUGAUACAAAAUCUGCACCAUUAAGCAUGUAAAAAUUAAAAAUUACAAGCUACAAAGCAAUUUCCGUAUAGUUGUUGGGUUAAAUAACAUCAACAGCAAAUAAAUCACAUAGGUUUUUCACAUAAAGUUACAAACUUUCAAGGACUAAUAAGCUGUCUGCAAUCUCAUAAAUUUCACAGUGCAAAGUAACAAUCCAAAGCUUGGAACUUUAAAUUUCCACCUUCUGUUAAUUUUUUAGUGCACCUGGUGUCGUUAGAUUCGAGUAGUAUGUCACAUUAAAUUUUUUUUUUCUGUGCAUGCAUUUUUUUUUAAAAGAAAAUUUAUAUUGUUAAAGAGCGAGUUCGAAACUAUUACAUUAUGGAAGGACAUAGUACCGAAACUCCGACGAUCAAAAACAAAAUCAUGUACAACCACUCCAAGCAGUCAACAUGGCCAUCACAUAUUGAAUCCAAAAUGUUGACGCCCCAUUCGCUGCAUAUAAUGUACAGACGAGCGGCAGCUUCAACCAGUUCUGCCAUAUCCGGCUGGAUGAGAGCAGCUAAAGACAUGAUUGUUCCCUAAUAACAUGAAUAAAUUGAGUAAACACCAAAAGUAGCAGCAAGGGAAGGAGAUGUGAAGUAUAUGAAGAGGUGUAAGACCUGUGAAUGUCCAGCAACAAAGAUUUUGGAGCUUGUUGUCGAAUAAUGCAACGCGUCAUUUCUGGUAGAUCAAAUAGAGCCAAUUCCCGCCAACUCCAAUUCCAAAAUUUCUACAGUAAAGCAUAAAUCUUAUUCUCUCUUCUGAUAAAGAUGAGUGUCCCAGACUCCAACGUGUUCCACACACAUUCCCUACCCAUACAUCGAAACCUUCAUCUGCAAGGACGAAUCCCAGCGAUUCUUCUGGAGAAUUUAAGAAUCAUGCAUCACCUGGUUAAGAUCAAGAAAAGCCAGUAACCAAGUUCAAUUGAGUUAAAAUGUAUCCCAUGGAUGUUCAUCACUUUGCCCAAUUGUUCUUUUCAAGAAAGGAAAUUUCAACAGAACCUGAAAACUUCAGAUCAGGGGGCACCAAAUAGUGAGCUAUACAUUCAAAAUUUGAAAUAAUCAACUUAGUAGGACCAGUAUGUUGAAAAAAUAGGAAGGAGCUAUGAAAGUAAGACUUUUCACUAAUCAGGCGUCCAGAGAAUCCAUAUUUUACCCGCGUAUCAGUUACGGGGAACACUCCCCACCAGAGCAAUCUCAUUAGUCCUUCACAUCUCAACCGUACAGAAGUUGCACUAACAAACAUGACUCCUAUUAGUCCUUCACAUCUCAAAUCCAGGAAGUACCCAUCUUUCGUCUGAAUCUGGAAAAUAAGCAGCAGUCAAUUUAACAAUCUCGGUAUCUCAAAGUUACUCACUUUAAUCACAAAUUUAGCAAUUAAACAUAUAAAUGGGCAUUUUUUUAGGGAAAUAUUAGUAUAGUACUCACUGUGUGCUCGGAGCAAGAGUACCCAGAAAGCUCAAUGAGCUGCGCACAGAGGACUGCAGUGGUGAACGACAGCGACCGCACAGAGGACUGCAGUGGUGAACGACAGUGACCAAUUCUGUAAAAUUUAGUCGAGUUUUGGGAAAUUUCUGCAGCGAUUUCGGAGGUCAAGAGGCUGAUAAGGAAAGCCGCGACCAAAGGGCACUGGUCUGGAAGAAAGGCUUUGGUCGCCGCUAUCGCAAUUCACGAAGGAAGAAGUGCCCCAAAACAAUUUCGGCCCUGGACAGGUGCACUGUUUGCACUGAGCCAGGGCCGGCCCUGAAUCGCGAUAACGUCCUUCUCCAAACAGUAUAUAUACAGAUGCUAGAAAAAUCUACCGGAACUAUUCAAUUCUAGCGUCUACAGCUUUAGCAUUAGUUGGUACAAGGGGCAUUCUUCCAAAGAGGGAGAUGAAAUCGUUGAGGCACCAAAUAGUGAGCUAUACAUUCAAAAUUUGAAAUAACCUCUUGGUAGGACCAAUAUGUUGAAAAAAUUGGAAGGAGCUAUGAAAGUAUGGCUUUUCACUAAUCAGGCGUCCACAGAAUCAAUAUUUUACUCACAGAUCAUUUACGGGGAACACUCCCCACCAUAACAAUCUUUUUAGUCCUUCACAUCUCAAACCAAGUAGAAAUUGCAGUAACAAACACGACUUCUAUUAGUCCUUCACAUCUCAAACCCAGUAAGUACCCAUCUUUCGUCUGAAUCUGGAAAACAAGCAGCAGUGGAUUCAACAAUCUGGGUAUCUCAAAGUCACUCACUUUAAUCACAAAAUUAACAAUUAAACAUAUAAAUGGGCAUUUAUUUAGUGAAAUAUUAGUAUAGUACUCACUGUGUGCUCGGAGCAAGAGUACCCAGAAAGCUCAAUGAGCUGCGCACAGAGGGACUGCAGCGGUGACGACGGCAACCGAUUCUGUAAAAUUCAGUCGAGUUUUGGGCGAUUUCUGCAGCGAUUUCGGAGGUCAAGAGGCUGAUAAGGAAAGCUGGGACGGAAGGGCACUGGUCUGGAAGAAAGGCUCAGGACACCGCUGUCCCGAUUCGUGAAGGAAGAAGUGCCCCCAAAACAAUUUCGGCUCUGGACAGGUGUACUGUUUGCACUGGACCAGGGUCGGCCCUGGCGAUAACGUCCCCCAAACAGCACAUAUACAGAUGCUAGAAAUAUAUAAAUGUAACCUGAAACUACUAGAACCAUUCAAUUCUAGCGUCUACAGCUUUAGCAUUAGUUGGUACAAGGGACAUUCUUCCAAAGAGGGAGAUGAACUCAUUGAGGCUCUUAUUUAUUCCUCCUCUUGAUGUGCCCUUUUAGGCUGCUAAUUCCACACGAUCCAAUCUCAUACAUCUUCCCUGCAAAAGCAUGUGUGCCUGACUUCAAGAUCAAAUUUUUCCAACAAAAGAAACUUAAAGAUCAAACUCGCUAGAGGAAUAAGUGGUGCACAAGGGUGUUAAAAUCUUGACAUAUGUAUAUUUUUGGCAGAUUUUAUGUGAGCAUGCAACUAAAACUGGCAUCACUAUCAAUGGUGCACAAAGAUUGGUGGAAAACUUUAACAGUUUGAGUUGUAACUUCUCCAUUGUAUUUGUUAAGGCAAGACGGAUGUCAUCUAUUCAUUUUUCUGUAAAACUUAAAAGGCUGCAUAGCAGCUCUUGUUCGUUGUAUUGAAUACCGUGGUUUUACUGAUGAAUGCAGAGUUUGCUGAUGAUUCAUACGACAAGCAAUUGAAAAUCCCAUCAUUAUGCCCCCCAUAUACCAGAAGAAAAAAAAGUCAUUUACACAAAUUCAGAGCGUUCAUCCACUGUAAUUUGCAGAUAUAGAAACGUUAAGAUAAAAGGAAAUGCAAAGUACCUUUCACCAAAUUGGAGGAGCACCGGUGGCAUUAGCAAGUUAGCAACGGGAAUUGACAUACCAAUAUCUUCACAGUUUCUGCACAAGCACAAAUCAAAAGAAUCCGGAGGUGGAGUUAUGUACCUCUCCUUGGAAAAUGCCACCUCUUGGGAUUUCAAAAUAUGCGGCCGUGGCUAGCCGUCUGACCACGCCAAUUCCACCAAAGCCGCCGCAACGCGGUGUAGUGUCCGAUUGAUUGCUUCAAAUCAGAGCUUCGUAUCCAUGUGUUUAUCAGCAGAGAGUACCCAAAACCCCUGAAAAUUAUUUCUUUAUUCAGAUAAUAAAAUAUCCCAAAUUUCGAAUUUUAAUUCCGAAUCAAAAAUAGGGUUUGAAUUUUGAUUACCUAUAAAUUGGGGGGUUGCGGUGGAAAGGGAGUCAGCCAAGACGGCGAUAUGCGUCCUCGAGAGGGCUAUGAAAAUACAAAUUACAGAGCGUGUUGGGACGAUGUACAAGGCUUUUGCAGUCUCUCAAAUAUAAAUACCGAAGCUCCGUAAGGCGUUCAAUCCAGGGGGAAAGCUCUUUAAUAGAUGUUCCAUCCAGGAAAAGACUUCUUAAUCCUUCCAUAUUUUCUUCAAUGCUUGGAAACAACUCAAAUUUUGUACAACCGGAAAGAGAGAGAGAGAAAAGGGACUUGAGCUGACAAAUGCUGCUUGGAAGACUCUUAAGUUCUUUGCAAUCUUUUAGAUUCAAAUGAUUCAAUCCCGUAAGAUUAUUAAUUGACGAGGGCAGUUCUUUAAUUUUUGACCCGGAUAAAUUAAGCUCUUCUAACUCCUCCAUACCUUCUGAAAUCUUUGGAAACAUCUCAAGACUAGAGCAGCCAGAAAGAUUAAAGGUUUUGAGAGAUUUCAUACGAAUGCUGCUUGGAAGACUCUUAAGUUCCGUGCAAUUAUGUAGAUUCAAAUGACACAACCUCGUAAGAUUAUUAAUUGACGAGGACAGUUCUUUAAUUUUUGAGCAGGGUAAAUCAAGCUUUUCUAACCCCUCAAUACCUUCUGAAAUCGAUGGAAACAUCUCAAGACUGAAGCAGCCAUAAAGAUUAAAGGUUUUCAGACAUUUCAUAUGAAUGCAGCUUGGAAGACUCUUAAGUUCCUUGCAAUCUUUUAGGUUGAAAUGACUCAACCCCGUGAGAUUAUUAAUUGACAGGGACAGUUCUUUAAUUUUUGACCCGGAUAAAUUAAGCUCUUCUAACUCCUCCAUACCUUCUGAAAUCUCUGGAAACAUCUCAAGACUGGUGCAGUCAGAAAGAUUAAAGGUUUUGAGAGAUCUCAUACGAAUUUUGCUAGGUAGAAUCUUAAGUUCCUUGCAAUCUUUUAGGUUGAAAUGACUCAACCCCGAGAGAUUAUUAAUUGACAGGGGCAGUUCUUUAAUUUUUGACCCAGAUAAAUUAAGCUCUUCUAACCCCUCCAUACCUUCUGAAAUCUCUGGAAACAUCUCAAGACUGGAGCAGUCACAAAGAUUAAAGGUUUUGAGAGAUCUCAUACAAAUUUUGCUAGGUAGAAUCUUAAGUUCCUUGCAAUCUUUUAGGUUGAAAUGACUCAACCCCGAGAGAUUAUUAAUUGACAGGGGCAAUUCUUUAAUUUUUGACCCGGAUAAAUUAAGCUCUUCUAACUCCUCCAUACCUUCUGAAAUCUCUGGAAACAUCUCAAGACUGGAGCAGUCAGAAAGAUUCAAGGUUUUGAGAGAUCUCAUACAAAUUUUGCUAGGUAGAAUCUUAAGUUCAUUGCACCCAUGCAGAUCCAAUAAAACAAGGUUUGUAAGAGUCGAAAUAGACGGGUGAACCUCAACUAAGCUUAUACAACUUCGAACAAUUAGCCUCUCAAGAUUUGGCACAUUUGUGAAGUCAGGGGUUUCCUUAAGGGAUUGACAAUAACUUAAAUUGAUGAAUUUCAACUUUUCCUGCGUCUGUUCAAACAUUCAGGAAAACAUGCAUUACUUAAUAAGACAUCUCACUCAAAGCCCAAACAUUUAAAAGAUACAAAUACAUGUAAAUGAUUGUACGUACCUGGGUUCCUUCCCAAAGUCGGUCAAUGAGACUACAUUGCAUGUCAAGUUCAACAAGAUUUUCGAAUUGAAAGUUGGAUGGCAAAGACUUGAGAGGGAAACCAAGCCAGGAGAGAUACCUCAGGUUAAGCAACUUUAAGGACCCAAACAGGUGUUGUUUGCAGUACUCAUCUUUAAAAACGAAGUGCCUAUAACUGAUCUCGAGAAGUCUUCGUUGAGCAUUUAAGUUCCCAUGAAGACCGAUCGUGAGAAGUCUUCGUUGAAUCCUUCUAACAACAGAUUCAGCAUUUAAGUGCCUAUGACUGAUCUUGAGAAGUCUUAGUUGAGUCAUUCUAACAAAAGCUUCAGCAUUUAAGCAUGGCCAGCCUGAGUACGAGAAAUCCACAAUUAUGCUUUCAACUGUUUUUGUAGCCUGUGCAAAUCAAAGUAAAGGAAAAUACAGAGAAAUUAGUUUUGAUUAUGAAAUUAAUGAUUGUUUCUUAAGGAGCCGUCUGAUAAUCAUUUCAUUUUCUAUUUAAUUGUUUUCAAUUUUCAUUAUUAAAACAAUGAAAACUAAAAAUAAAAAAUUGAAAACAAAAAUGGUUAUCAAAUGGGCCUAAGAAAUUGAUUUUGGUCAAAAGUUGAAGCUUUCUACUAAUAAUUGCAUAAGAAAAAGAUUUCUCACCGUAUUUUGAGAUAGCACGUGAUGAACAUCUUCAUAACUCCACAACCUACUUCGUCUCCCAGGCUCUUUGAUACAUUCUUGGCGGACGAUUUCCCGACCCAUUUCCGCUAAUGAAUCAUGCAUCUCCAGUUCCCCCUCCCCUGAGACAGUUAUGAGUGCUCGAUCGAUUAGAACUCUUAUUCCAGUAUAAGGAUGGAAACCACAAUCUUCCAGAAUUCGGGCUGCACAGUCUUUCUCCAUCCCUUUAAAGAAACAUGCAAUGUCUAGAAAGAUGUCCUUCUCCUUGUCAUCUAGUCCAUCGAAGCUUGAUUUAAGCACAUCAUGAAUUCCCCUUCGCGGGAUUUUCCUUAUUUUUUCUAACUCAUCUUCCCACUCGCGUAUAGUUUUGUUACCAAGAAAAGCUCCCAAGACUUUGAGUGCUAAAGGCAGGCCUUGAGCAUAUUCUACGACAUGAUUCGAGAGAUCAUCAUAAUCUCUGGUGGGUUGGUUUUUUCUGAAGGCGUGCCGCCUAAAGAGUUUCAGAGCUCCAGAAUCACUCAAAAUCUUGGGAUUAUAUAUCACAUCAGCUAUGCUUAGUAAUUGCGAAUCUCUAGUUGUUAUAAUAAUUCUGCUUCCACCACCAAAGGAAUGUGGCUCUUCAAGUAAAGCUUCAAUUUGUUCUAAUUCGUCCACAUCAUCAACAACAAUAAGAACUUUUCUCUGACCAAGGCUUUCUAACAUCACCUGAAAACCUUUACUCGAUAUGUCAGAACUCCCCACCUUGUUGUUCGAGAUACUCAAUAGAAGUUGUGCCUGCAUAUGUAGUUUGCCAUGCUUCAUGAAACCUUCCUUGAAAUUUUCAAGAAAGCAACAAGCUUCAAAUCGACUAGCGAUUUUAUCAUGAACAGCUCUAGCGAUGGUUGUUUUGCCUAAACCACCCAUACCCCAUAUUCCAACAAUGCGAACAGUAUUCGUUUCACCUCCGGGAGGAUAUAAUAAUAGAUGCAUUUCAUGCAUGUGAGAAUCCAUGUCAACCAAGCCAUUAUCUUUGCUUGAUGUUGAUGAGAUGUCGAUCAAUUUCCUAUAAACAUCUUCUACAAUUUCCUCAAUAAGCACCACAUCAUUCCUGUCAAAUUAAAAAAAAAACAAUAUAAUAACACCACCAAAUAAUAAUUAAUGGGUUUUUUCAUCUGUUAGUUUUAAAAAAAAAACAGAAAUUAAAACUAAAAACUAGAUAUUUAUCAAAUGACCCCUAAACGUGACAAAAAUCCCAAAAAUUAAUAGGAAACUAAAACAAAUUAGAAUUUACUCAUAGUUUCGCGAAUCCCAGCCGGAUAAACUGGUGGCAGUUGUAAGAGCGGAUCUCCAGCUCUGAACCUCUUCCAUUUCAGCGUUAGAAUCACGAUAGUGCUGAGCAAAAGCUUCCUCGAAUUUUCUCUUGAGUUUACGAACGUCAGACGGAUCAACUUCAUAGAAAAUGGGGAGUACAAUCCGGUUAUUGGUAUCCUUGCAUUCCAGGAUUUGCACGAGUUCUUUCAAGCACCAAGUGGAAGAAGCAUAGUUUUGAGAGAAAACUACAAUCGAAAGCCUUGACUCUCGAAUCGCUGUCAGGAGCUCGGAAAGGUGGUCGCCUUUUCUGAGCUUUUCGGCAUCAAUGAAGGCGUUGAUUGGUUUCUUAGCCAGAGCGUUGUAGAGAUGGCUGACGAAGCCCCUGCGAGUGUCUUCCCCUCUGAAAUUGAUGAACACAUCGUAUUUGCAACCAAGGCCAGAAGAAGAUGAAGAAGAAGAAGCAGCCAUUAUUAAUCGAUCGCACCUGGUCAGCGAUGAUCGAGCCGCUAAGACUAGAGAAUUGUAAGUACAGAAAUACUCAAUAGAUCUACAAAUUUGAUCACCGGAAAUUAGUCACUGAGUCAAUGCAAAAGGGAAUUUUCUUCAGGAAAUUUCGGUGUGAAAGGAAUCCGCAUACUUCGGAUUUUUCAACCCAAGAAAAUGCGAAGAAAGGGGACAAAGUAGUAAAUUUAAUCUACAGUUGCCUACCCAACACCCUCUUGAUUUAGAGGGUGUAUUCAAUUAGGAUUCUGAGAGGGUUUCAGGAAAUUAAUAAUUUCAGGAGUAUUCAAUUAGGAUUUUAAGUGAUUUUUUGAAAUUCUAGGUGUAUUCAAUUAGAAUUUCAAAAUAGUUUAUGAAAAUCCUUAGAAAUCCAGGUGUAUUCAAAGUUUAUAACAUUCCAUGUGUAUUCAAUUAGAAAUUGAUUUUAAAGAAUUUGAGAAAGUUAAAGAAUUAGAGGGAAUUGGAGAGAUUACGUAGUGUAUUUUAAGUAUCCACAAAUCUCACAUAUUCCCAUGAGAUUUCGAGGGAAUUGAAUCAAAAUUUUAUAUGGAAUCUCUACAAAUCAAUUAAACUCCAUAAAAAUCAAUGGAUUUAUAAAUCCAUUAAAAUCUCUCACAUUCUCAAUUGAAUAUAUAUUAAAAAGAUAAAGUUAGUCUCACAUGUAAUCUCUACGUACUAACAAUUAAAUGAGAGUUCCGUUUUAACUUAAUAUAUGUAACUUACAUGCUAAUAAUUAACGAAAUAUUAGCAAAAUUUUUAAUUUUAAGCAUAAAUUCUAAUUUAGAUAUCUUCUAACUAUCUUAUCACCUUAAAAAUUAUUAAUCAAAUUAAACUUAUUAUUUAUUUAUAAAUGCGUAACUAAAUCACAAAGUGUUGAAUGAAAGGGAGCACUCCAAAGGAUGAAAAAGCGGGAGCAUCGAAAGCUAUCUCCGUUUUUUGCUGUCUAUUUGUCUUCUUUUGGCAGAUAGCUCCUAGACUCCUAGGGGCCGGCCUAUUUUCCACAGCUGGUUAUAGGACUCAGUUGCUAUUGAAGAAGUGCUUUGUUGUAAUUCAAUAUCGAUGGAAAUUCAACAGAAUCUUUUUCAAAUUUUUGUGAGGAUUUUGGGGUGUAAGUGAAUUGUUUUUGUUCAUUGUAUAUUGUGCGGUCAUUUUUCAUCAAAUACUGUUUAUGUUUCAUUUUAAAUAAAAUAAUUUAAAAUAAUUUUUAGCUGCAAGUUGUACGAUGAACUGAUAUAAUUCAUAAAUCUUUAAAAUCCUUACAAAGAAAAUCUGAAAAAAAUCCGAAUUCAAUGGAAAUAAGCUGAUUUUGAAUCAAAUAACAUUACUUUACAACACUGCAGUUUUCAGCAUUGCACCGGAGAUCGUGCGGUCAUUCGUCCUUCUGUUCUCCGUAGUUUUGCCGACUUUGGUUCCACUUGCUGUCCAAUGCGCUAGGCGGCUUAUCAGGAUCAGGCUUAGAGAACCUGUAGUAAACUGCAUUAUGUGGUUCGUUUAUAGCUGUACAUCAUAAGUCUAUUUCCGGGAUCAUAUCAUCGUUGGCGCAUUCAUCAUAGAAGCUCCAGCUUCGUAUCCAAGUCAGUCGUUACUAUCUUACAUUUGCUAUAUAUUACAAAAUUUUGGGUGGGAAAACUUCUUAUAUGAUAAUGCGUGAAGAAUUCAGUUCGAAAACAGUAAAACAAAAUUAUUUGUACUAGUUCUUCUACUUGAUAUAUGAUGGUGUGUUUUUUGUUUUUUUGACCGAGGUUUAUAAUGGUGUUUGUUCUAUAAGUCGGCAUCUUUGCCAACCGCAAUCGAUACUGUCGUUCGAUACUGCAAAUGAAAACCCGGUGGGUGCGCAAAAUUUCGAGCCAAUCCUACAAUCUGACAGAUUGUAGGAAGAAAGGAACAAUGUUGUUGGCAGCACAAAAGUUCAUAAUCUUCUACUUGGAGUAAUCUGUUUAAGGCUUUAAUAUUCAUGCAGAAAGUUUUACAAAAUGAUCGCCUUUCGACAUAUAUCACAAUGGCGAUCUUUAAUCAUAAUGACUUGUACUGCUCGAUCAAACGAGACGCAUGGAGGCACGACGUAGGAGCCACGGUGCAGCCCAAACUUUGCAGAUAAGAAAUCUGGUAAUUCACAGCAUGACAAACAUAUUAUUGGGUCUCCUGACCAUCCUAGAUACCAAUGUGUGCACAAGGAAAGGAGUAAGGUAAUCAAAUGCUUGAGUCUUGUGUACCUGUUUCGGUGUUGGUUCGGAUGAACCCAUUGAGUUCUCGAUCCUUAACUUCUGGAAAUGCUCCUGAAAGCAUAAAUAUAUGUACGGAUUUAAACCAAUGACAAUGGACAUAAUUUACAGACAAUGAUUGAAGAAAAUACAGAUAUAAAUGCCUCAGUAUUCCAUUGACGAAAGUUCUAGAUUUGAUGAAUCAAACGUCCCACGUUGAGACUGCGUUAAGGCAAAUGGUUCUCAAACACAAAGCAAUAGUUUGCUACCGAAAACAACCAAAGUUUGACAAAGGAAACCGUCUUACACCUAACCUGUUUUUCCCUCAUCAAAUGAGCGCGUUGAUCUGCAGGUAUUUUCUGCCAUCUCAAAACCUGUUACAAAGAAAUAUAACAUUGAUGUCGAGCUGGAUAGCAUAUAUACCAAUUAUGUGUACAAACCUAUUGAAAUAAAGUAGCUGUAGUUGCAUAUUACGACAGAUAUUAACGAAAACAAAAGAAGGCUCGCCUAUUCAAGAUCCUAAAUCCCGUGAUUCUUUUGUUUUUAGUUUCAGAAAUUUUCAGAGCACAAACUGGAAAGUACCAAGAUACUUACAUAUUGGGCAUAAUGAAAUGCAUCUUCAUCUUUCAAGCAAGAUUUCAGUGAGCGCAAACCGUCCUGAGAGUUACAUAGAGUCAAUCAGUAAUAUAAAAACGUAGAUGCAUCACACCCAAACACAAGUAUUCAAACACCGACAACUUCUUCAUGCGGUGAGGCAUGUUAAAAAAUAGGGAAGAACAGUUAUUGAACAGGAAGUUAAAGGACUAAAUUUAUGACCUUGUGUUUGUAGUUCUUGGCUCGUGUGCGUUCAUCUAUUACAAAACCAAUCUGUAACAGGUACAACAGAAAAUAUAAGCAGUAGUCAGAACAUUAAGCAUCGGCAUUCACAUUGCCACCAAUCCAAAGUUAAAAGUCUAAAGGCAAAACAGUAUGAUUCUUAUCUCUCAAACAAAAAUGAAACUAUACCCCGGUCUCAGACAUAAAUGAAAUAAGUUCUACUGCCUCAACUGAGUACUGUGAUUAUAUAUAAAUCCAAUUCACCUUGUCAAGUAAUCUCUUAGGAUCUUGAAAUGCUUGCUUCUUAGCCCAGUCAUUAAAUACAUGCGAGAUAAUCGAUCUCUCAUCCACACUGAAUCUAUUGCACAGUGACAGAAGAAUAAAGUUAAACAUGAACAUAACCAACCAAAAAUGCUAGUUAUAAUAGUAUACCCAUAAUUGCAAGCAAAACCUUUUUAAGAAGCCAUUUCCAUGGUUUUCCUCCCCAAAUUCCAUCAAUUCUGCAGAGGCAACGUCAAAUUUACUAUGAUGGAGAUCAUUUUGCACCAUAACAACUUCAGAAGGUAGGAGAUUUGGUUUGAGAUCAUCUGUUGACGGAGUAGUUUCUUUUGAAGUGUCAUGAUGCUUUGAUUGCAAGCCUUCUGUACUUACGUCAGCCUACAAAACAAAAAUUGCAUUCAUCCACACUAGACUUAAUAAGAUUAGAAACACUUCAGAUUCUUCACUAUUUGUAAGUUUGACUAAACAGCAGAACAACUAAGGAUAAUGAACAGUAAUACACACCUGGACUUCUCGUAGAUGAUUUGGAAUUUCUUUCAGAAAUCGCGAAGGUUGAAGCAUCUGAAGGAGUCACCUUCUCAGUCAGAGCAACAAAAAAUAAGGAGGACAGGAAUUCAAGCUAAAACGAACCUGCCAACUGGAAUCCAUCGUAACAUAAAGAAUGAAAAGCUUUUUUCGAGCACGAGUCAUUGCAACAUAUAAUAGGCGUCUUAACACUUCAAAGCUCUGCAUAUAACUAAAAGGUCGUACCCAGUGCACAAGGCUCCCGCUUUACGCAGGGUCUGGGAGAGGUGAAUGUCAGCUAGCCUUACCCCCAUUUUAUGGAGAGGUUGCUCCCAAGUCUCGAACCCGAGACCUACCGCUCAUGGGCGAAGGCACUUGCCAUCACACCAAGUGCGACCUCUAAUUGUAUCAAAUACAUAUAUUCACAAAAAUUAUAUAUGACCGUUAGAUGUAUUAAAUACAUGCAAGUAUUGUAGCUAGAUGAUUAUUGAGUAAGGAAAUUCGAUCCUGACUUGCAAGACCUAGAGUAUACUAAUGACUUGUACCAGAUCAUGAGUCAACAAGCACGUAAGGUUAUUCAUAGUUUGACACUAGACGACAAUAAUGAAGACAUGAUCCAAUGAUUUUGCAAAAUAAAAAGUGCCUUAACAAAUGAUUUUGGUGUGCCACCGGAGAAAUCUAAAUCAUAUUCAUUGAAAGGCCAGUUAUUUCCUUCCAUUCUAAAAGAAAUACAGCAAUGAAUGUCAAACUAUAAAAUGUAUCUCCUAAAGUUGAGAGAAAGGACCCUUACCUACAUUACGGAAAAACACUAUCUUCCAAUGAAGUGGCAUAAAAAUUGCUGAAAUAUGUUAAUUUCUAAAGUACAAAUAAAACAACCUACCUUUUCAAAGUAGAAAUUUAUAAGUGCCUUUUCAAAGUAAAAACUUAAAAGUGCCUCUUCAAUGUUUUCAUUUUCAAAUAAAAGUGGUCCAAAAUGCUUGAAGACAACUAGGAAAAAGAAACAUAACUGAUUGAAGACCAUAUAGGAAAUCAAUGGAGCUUGAAUUUCUAGAUUAAUAAACAAAUUAACAGAGCUUCUGUACUACACAAGCCUUCCAAGGAUAAGAAGAAUAACAGAAGAAUAAUAAAAAUCACAUAUAGGUGCACAUGAACCUUCACACGUCCAGAAAAUUUGCAAAAGAAGUACAGCAAUAACAUAGAUGACAUAUGGCUUGGCGCACACACUCACACAGAGAAGCGUAAUAAGUAAUAAUAUUCCCAAAUAGCUGCACAUUCAAUUGCACACAUACAACAAGAACUACAACAAUAACGUAGACAUGACGCGCACGCGCACACACACACACACACACUCACGGAGCUAGUGAAUGCAACAAUAAUCAGCUGACCUGGUUCAAGACUGGAGCAGUGGUAGUGCAAUCGUCACAUUUUUGUUGACAUCAUGAACUUGGCUUUUUUCUCAGCUGGCUUAAGAAUCUGGAAAGAGCACAUUAAGUUUUCAUCUACACUCAUCAUCGCACCAGCAUUGUCAAACUCACCACAGUAGUUGGGAGCUGAAAAAAUUGUAACAAGUUGCCUGUCCGCAAAGAAUUCAUAACCAUCUUCCAUUGGCAUGUUUAAUCUGCAUAUAACUGAAAAAUGUUAAACAAUUUACCGCACAUCUCAAUGGAGGUCCCAUUUUCUUUUGCAACGCCAUUGAAUUCAUGGAACGGGAUCUCAGAUUCAUUUACCUGUGUUAUUGGCAUGAGCAUUAAAGCAAGCUAAGAUGAUUUGAAGAGGUUGAUAUCGUCAUGAAUAUACUAGAACAGAAUACCAAUUUCAAGCCAUCAAUUAGGUAUAGCAUUGGCAUGUUUAAUCCGUAAAUCUAAUGACAGAACACCUCAACUCUACACAUAAAUAAAUAAACAACCUGGAAAAUAUUACAGCCACUUGUUAAGGCAAAUACCUUAAUUAUGAAAACCAUAUCCCACUCUAAACCUUUUGACUGCAAGAGAAUGAAAAAGAAAGACAGUAAGCCAAGAAUGUUUGUAGAACUCCAAAGGAAGUCCAAUAGGGAAAUCAUCGCAAGUAUAAGAGUUAGCGAGGUUCGCAUAAGAGGAUAUCAAAAAGAUCUAGAACCUGAUGAAUAGUAGUCAAAGUGACAGAACUUUGGUUGUCAUGUCUUCGGGAGUGAAAAUUUUCACUCUCCCGCUCAGAUAUGUAGUCGAUGAAAGCUUUGAGUAAAUUAACGCAGCCUUUUUCUUCUGCUACGACUUCUCUCUCCCCUUUUCCCACAACAAAAUGAGUUGAUAAGAAAUCAGAUACGUCGUCUAGUAGGUACUGAAGAACCUGCAAUGAGAAUAAUCGCAUCACAACAACAGGGUUGGACCAAGAUUUAAGUGACAACAAUGAUUAACUAACUAAAAUAGAGAAAUUAUUCAUUUAAGACCUUGUUGACUGGAAAAAGGGUUUUCCAAGCAGCGGGUCAUUUAAGCUUUUUGUAUAAAUGACAAUCAUCACAAACGGCAAACUUACAGAUCUCAUGUCAUUGUCUUCAUUCAGCAGUUUUCCUCCAUCUACAUCAACGACUGCACGUUGCUCAAGACGGUACUUCUAAAAAUUGAAAGUCAAACGAUAAAUUAUUAAGAAGCAUUGAAUAUAAGCAUGAAACGAAGAAAAUGUUAUGGAAUGGUGAUCCUCAUCCUCAAAGAUGAUUAAAAGCAAUUUGAUUCAAAAAUGACAUAUCAACUCUGGAGAAAUGGAAGACAAACCUGUGGUACCAUAUUCGCAACUGAGGUUAUGACAGCUGAAAUCGAUUGUUCCUGUGUGCAUUGAUAAGUGAGACUACCAUAGAGAUUCACAACUAAAUAAAGAUAGGUAUUCCACAGAACAACCUUUACCUCUUUGGAAACACAGAUCUAACAAAAACUAUAACAUUUUGGAUUAAUAUUGACGAAUCAAGAAUAAUGCAAGGGAGCAAGAGAUACUCUUCCUUCUAAUAACAAGGAGGCAUGAAAAGUAUACAGAGUUCCAACAAUUAGAGAACUAAAAUCAAACUAAAAAAAUCACCAGAGUAGACAGAAUCUCACUUCGCCAAAAAUUUGAAAAUAUAUCCUUUUUAUCCAUUGAGAUUCAUGAACUACUCCUACUCAUCAUGCCAAUAAGCAAUGCGUAAGAGGUGCUACAAUUUACCGAAUAUAUUUACCCUGAGAACAAGUUUUGAAAUCAUCUCUAGUGUUAACAGCACCUUGCGUCCUUGGGUAAGCUGAGUCCUAUUAUCAAGUAAAGAGACCAAUCAGUACAUCCAAAAGAUCUUAAAUGCCUCUAAUACCAAUAAGAAAGAAACAUGAGUAUAUCUUGAAUUAACCAUGCAAAAAUGUAAUGUUAAAGCAUCUUGUCAUACAGACCUCUUCAAGGUACCAGAAAUUUUUGCACUAAAGAUGUCACAAGCAGCUGAUAUGAAGCUGCAUUUUCUGUGAGUUGAAAUUUUGUCAAUAUAAUCGAUCACCUGAAGAGAGAGAGAGAGAGAAAGACAGUGAUAUCCAGAGAUGUGAGCCUAGAUGCUGAGUGUGUAAAAAAAGAAGAUUAAAUGGAUAGCAAGAAUAUACAACUUUAAUGCUGAAAAGAACAUUGAAUAUGAUGCUCAUUCAAUUGCCAUUGAACGUGUACCUUCUUCUUUCCUCUUUCUCAAAAGCAAGUAGAGCCUUGAAGACUUGCCUAUAUGAUCCAUCAUCACAACCAGGCAAAGUUGUUUUAAUCAUAGCAACAAUGGCUCUAACUACCUGCCAUAAGAAACAUACUACAUCAACAAGAUCACAGUGUACCAGAAACCGUAAUGUACCAGAAACAUACUACAUCAACAAGAUGCAGUCUCCAGGAUCUUGUCGACAACAAAGGCACAUUGUGCAUCCUCAUUGUGACUUUCCUUGAUAAUUACCUACAUUUUGCCAGUAAACCGGUGUCACUAACUAAAAGGACUGAAAAAUGACAUCAAAUUGUACUUGUUGGAGCAAGGAAAGAUUAAGUACCUUAGACCCAGAAGAAUUGUCCGUGUCAACAUUCUUUAGUUGGCAUCGCUUCUUAUUGUUUUUUAUAACAGAAGAUGCAGCUUCCACAAUAUAGCGUGUGGACCGAAAGUUUUUAUUAAGCCUAAUCUGAACCAUAAAGUUAUGUCAAAUCCCACAGAACCCCAUAAAAUAAAACUUACUUUCCUGUAAUUGUACAAUAUAUUUGUUCUAUACUAUAUACAAUGUUUUAAAAGGUUCGCCUCGGGGCGCGCCUAGGUGCCCUGUGAGGCUGGGCUUGAGGGUUGCCGCCUCUGUUUUCAGGGAGUGGGAGGAAGGCGUCGCCGGAGCCGCCUAAGCGCCAGAAGGCGCCACUGGAGCCGCCUAGGUGAGCCUCAGGGGAUUUUUUUUUUUUUUUUUUUUUUUUUUUUUUACUCCCAAACCCAAAUUUUGGGUAGGGUUUUAACUAGCUCAUACUCUUCCUUGCACUAUCAUCUCUCUGCCUUCUUUUCUGAUUUUUAUUUUUUAUAUAAUGGAUGUGUGUGCCGUCUGCGUGCAUUGUUAUAUGUGUGCUCAUCGUGCUUUUCAUCCUCUAUUAUAUAUAUAUAUAUAUAAUAUAAUAUAUGUAUAUAUAUAUGUGUGUGUAUAUGUAUUUAUAAUAUAUGUGUGUGCUCAGGAUGAUUAUUGAUUAAUAAUCUUCUUUUUUUUAAUAUAAUAUAUGUGUAUGCUCAGUGUAUAUAUUAAAAAAUUUAGGUCCCGUGAGGCAUCGCCUCACUCCUCACGCCUAGGCUGGGCUAUCCCUCGGACGCCUCGCCCACGCCUCAUGCUUUUAAUACAUUGACUAUAUAUAAUGAAAAAAGACACUGUGAAUGACAUAAGAUAACAUAGCAGUCAAGUGCGAAGCGAACCUUUUUGUAAUUUGAAAAAUCUUUACGAAAAUAAUCAAAUCCAGAAAUGUCCGCCCCAUUGAAACUGAAAAUGGGCAGCAGGAUAUAUGUUAUUUGAUUUAGAACAGAUAAGGGCUGGAUUAGAAUGAGCUGAGAGAGAGAGAGAGGGAGAGAGGGAGAGAGGGAGCAAUAACAUUGGAUUUCCAUAAUAAAUCAACAACAUGCCUGAUCAUCAUCGCCAACAAUGGUUAUGUGGUUAUGAGAGGCGAGAAUCCGCAAAAGACUAUAUUGCAUAGCACUUGUGUCUUGAAACUCGUCUAUUACAAUAGCUUUCCAUGACUCCUGGCACUCCUUCAACACUAAUUAAGAGAACACCAUGUAUCAACAUUUAGCAUUACUUGUAAAACUAGAUAAAUCAAUGAAAUAUACUUAGAUGAUAGAGACCUUCAGGAAAAUCACUUAGCAGCUUCACAGAGCAGCUAAUUAAGUCGUGGUAGUCCAAAGCGUUGCACGAUUUCAAGAUAUCAUUGUAAUUCCUAAGAAUUUCACCCUGAUUCAGAUUGAGAGCUAAAACUCAUAAGCAAUAGUUUCAAAGAACUGAAAUGAUAUCUGAAAUUCUAGUUCUGAGCGUACUCCUGUCACAUCACCCAUUCUUCGGCAUUCAGCGGGAGUCUUUCCAGAAGCUUUUGCCUGAAACAUAAAUAAAUUUAUUGCCUAAUGCCACAUAUUGUAAGACACACCAUUGUAUUGGUCAUUCUAGCUUGAUUGUAGCUAAUAUUUUUUAAAUCGAAUGAUUAGAGUUCUUAAUCCACAAUAAUCUGAACAUUAAAUUUGGUAUUCAUGACUAACCUGUGUCACAAACUUCAGCCAUUUCUUUGAUGCAUCCUUAAAAUGAUGUGGAGAUGUUACGCCGUUAGACUCUUCCCCAUCUAUAGCAACAUUAAGAUUCGUUUUACUCUUUUCAUCUUCUGAUAACCGCACAGCUUCAAUGAUUGCUCUUCUCUGUUGCCCAUGUCCAUAUAUCAAAAAUUCUGGUCUGCGCUCGAGUCUAAAACACAAGCCAACAUAACAGACUCAGCUAUACCACCAAAUGUAUGGUGUUCAAAAUCAAGGGAGGUGAAUCAAUAGCUUACUUCUCAGCAUGUGAUCGGCAAAGUUGCAAUGAAAAUGAAUGAAAUGUACUGAUUGUUAGUAGUUUUGCCGUUGCUUUCCCAGUCACAGAUCCAAUUCGAUCUCUCAUCUCGGAAGCUGCUGCUGUAGUGAAAGUCAUUGCUAGAAUGUUCGACGUGCUAAUGCCCUAAGAACACAAAAAAAAAAAAAAAAAAACGUAUAAGAUUUCGAUCAUAAACAAGAAAUGUAGAGAAACACACAAUUACGAAAGAAAAAGUUAGAGGGAAAGUAGCAACACCUCAUUGAGCAGCAUUAGAACGCGCCCAACUAUCGUUGAAGUCUUUUCCACUUCCAGGGCCGGCAAACAAUCAUCAAAGGUACUGAAAUAUCGCUGCAAGCUGCCUCGCGCUGCCUUUCGUUGAGAGAAAGCAAAUACUUCAAAUACUCAUCCGGCAUGUUAGGCCAUCCAUGGUUAACAGAAUCUGUUUGGUUUUCACUACUCAAAGGCGGCGCUGAUGCGGCACUAACGUCACUACCACAACUCCCAAUAUCAUCACGCUGAAUGUCCACACUCGGUUUCUGCUCGAUUAAAGCGUCAAUUUCCUGCAAAAUACUCUCAUCGAAAUCAUCAUCGUUAAGAAUUCCAGAUGCAGAGAAAGAAUCAAAUGAAGUCAGAAACUGCGGUUGUCUGAUUGGAGUUGUGAAAGAAUCCGAUUUUGACACGCUUGAUUCGGUCCCGCUAACGCUUAAGCUUCCGGAACACGAAGCACUGCCAUAUUCACCACGCGUUGAAUUGUACCGGCUUGCGGAAAUCGGAGGCGGUGUUCUUUGAACUCUAUUGAGCUGAGUUGGCGUUUGGAUUCCAUUUCCGCCACAGAUUCUGGAAUUUGAAAAACACAAUUGAAUUGAUUUAAAUUGAAGCAAGAAAACAGCCGAGUAGCAAAAAAAUAGUAAGAAGAUGAAACCUUUGAUUCCUGAACGACUUACUUGGUAUGAGGGAGGUGAUGAUCAGGUGAAACGGCGUCGUUGCGGGGGCGUUUGCGAUCAAUGAGGGCCUUGGCGGCUCUGAAAUUCCGAGAGAUGCGGUUUCUUUGUUCCGCCGUGAGCCCUCCGCCGUAUUCCUGAACGUUUUCCUUGGACAUUGCUUCGAAGAUUCCAACGGAGGAUUUGGCCUGACGGCCUGACCAGGCUGAUAAUAUUCUUUUCAUUCAACUUGUCUACAAUAAUUACCACUCUUGGUAUUUAUACAUUUCUAACACGCCUCACUAACUAACUAAGACCACUACCAAUCAUACAUAAACACUUGUCAUAAUCCUAUGCACUCAUAGUAUCAUCACUCUAACUUCCCCUCAAACUCAUGUGGCAGAUUGCCAAGCAUGAGAUUGGAACAAUUACGAGUGAACUGGGGUGAACACAAGCCUUUGGUGAACAUGUCGGCAUAUUGAUUUGCAGAGGUAACAAACUGCAAAAAAUUGUCCUUUGAUGAACUCUUUCAUGAACAAAGUGGCAAUCAAUCUUUAAAUGUUUGGCUUUAGAGUGCAAUACAGGAUUAGUGGCAAGAGCCAUUGCUGAAAUGUUAUCACAAUGCAAAACUGGAACAUAAGGAGAACCAACAUGCAAAUCUCGAAGAAGCUGUUGUAUCCAGAUAACCUUAGCAGUGGUUGUAGCCAUUGCUCUAUAUUCAGCUUCAGUGGAAGACCUACUCACUGUAUGCUGCCUUUUAGAACUCCAAGAGAUAGGAGUAUCUCCCCAAAAAAUGACAAAACCCGUGGUUGAACGACGAUCAUUAGGAUCCCCUGCCCAAUCAGCAUCUGUAUAGGCUUUCAACUGAGAUGAACAUGAUUUAAAACACAAUCCCAAAGACAUAGUGCCUCUGAGAUAUCGUAGAAUACGUUUCACAGCAGCAAAUGAGUGGCUAAGGGUGAAUGCAUAAACUGACAUACUUGAUUGACAUAAAAAGAAAUAUAUGGUCUUGUAAAUGUUACGUAUUGCAGUGCCCCAACAAUACUUUUGUAAGUGGUAGGAUCAGAAACAGGUUCACUACCAUGAUUCAAAAGCUUUUGAUUAGGAUGACAAGGUGUGGAAAAAAGGUUUACAGUCCAGCAUAUGCAUCUUUUAAAGGAGUUCUUUGACAUACUUGGUCUGAUGAACAAAGAGUCCCUGAUCCUGAUACUCAAUCUGUAAACCAAGAAAAUAAUGCAACACACCUAGAUCUUUCAUGCCAAACUCACUAGUUAACUGACUAAUAACAUUCUGAACCUUCAUAGCAUCAUUACCAAUGAGAAUGAUAUCAUCAACAUAUAAUAAGAGAACAAUAAUUGAUGAACCAUCACACUUGACAAAUAAAGAAGGAUCUGCAUAUGAUGACUUGAACCUAAGUUUAGGCAAAUAACCUGAAAACCUGUCAUGCUAGGCUCUGGGAGCUUGUUUGAGACCAUAUAAAGACAUUUCUAGUUUGCACACAUAAUCUAGAUAGGUAGAAUCCACAAACCCUUGGGGCUGAGACAUAUAAACUUCUUCCUCAAGAAAGCCAUGCAAAAAAGCAUUAUUGACAUCUAACUGUUUGAGUUUCCAAUUAUGAGAUGCAGCCAAGGAUAGAACCAAUCGAACCAUGGUUGGUUUGACCACAGGGCUAAAGGUUUCAUAAUAGUUAAUACCAACUUCUUGAGAAUACCCAUUAGCUACAAGAGUAGCCUUGUACCUAGCCACUGAACCAUCUGGAUUUCUCUUAAUCUUGUAGCUCCAUUUACAACCAACAAGAUUUUUGUCAGGUGGUAAGGGCACAAGCUUCCAAGUAUGUUGUUGAAUCAAAGCAUCCAUCUCUUCUUUUAUGGCAUUUUGCCAUUGAACACACUUGACUGCACUAGAAAAAGACUGAGGUCUAAUAAAUGGAAAUGUGGAAGAAACACUAGGUGGAUGAAUGAAUGUGUUUGAAUGCACAACAGACACUGGUGAGGAAGAAUGACCAGAAGUAACUUGAUGAUUGAAACCCAAAGCAUUAGAGUCUAUAGGAAACUUGGAUUCAUAAAAAAUAACAUGUCUAGAUACUAACAGUUUAUGUUCUUUGAGAGAGAAGCAAAUAUACCCUUUGUAUUGUGUAGCAUACCCCAGAAAAAUGUUGGAGCAAUAAUAGAAAAUAUGAGAAAUAACAAUAUAAUUCCAAUGAUAAUAAUCAUAAAGAAAUUCACAACAUCAAUUAUAUAUGAGAUUAAUAUAAACUACUAGAGUGAAAGUUAGAAUAACUGACAAACUUGGAGAUUGAGGCUUGCAUAAAUGCAAUGUCCUAAAGAUAGAAUUUCGCCCCUACUCUUGUGUUUGUAGUUCAAUAGGCGUCCAUCUCUCAGAAUUCAACAAUCUAUAAUCCGAAGUCAAAGCACUUCAAUCUUCGGACUCUGGCGAACUUUAUAUAUUCCGUACUCUCAAGACACGACUCGGAAUUUGACACACGAAUCAUUUGAGAAACAAAGUUGGGGAAACCCUAUUUCUCAAGAGAGUAACAAUUAACUCUAUUUUUCUAUUUUUAAUGAUAAUGGUUUCAUGAGUUUAUAUAGAACCCAAGUACUUUUUGUUAAGGAGAUGUAACUUUUCAUCUAUAAGUAUACAUCACUUAUCAAGAGAAUACACCUAAACAACAUAACCUUUCUAAGAAAUUGGUUAACACUAUUUUUCAUUCAAUUAUUAAAAUUAUAUAUUACAAUAUUUCAUAUUAUAAUAUAUAAUUUCCAACAAAAAAUACACUUAGUAGUUUUAGGUUCAAGUUUAUUGCUUCUAUAGGGUUUCAAUGAAGGAUAGCAUAAACACCCAAAAAAUCUCAAAUGAUCAAGCUUAGGUGGAGAUUUAUAUAGCAUUUCAAAAGGAGACUGCAUAUGUAGGGUAGGUGUGGUCAUUCUGUUUAUAAGAAAAGUAGCAGUGGCACAUGCAUGGAACUAACAUUUUGAAGGUAAUGAAACUUGUUGUAAAAAGGUAAUAGUUGUUUCGACAAUAUGUUGAUUUUUUCUCUCAGCCAACCCAUUAUGUUCUAGGGUAUAAGGACAUUUUUUAUGAACAAUGCCUUUGGUAAGAAGAAAUUGCUUAAACUGAGUACUAACAUAUUCCCCACCCCCAUCACUUUGCAAAAUUUUUACAUGAGCAUCAAAAUAAUUCGAGACAUAAGCAAGAAAGUUGACAAAAACACUGAACACUGCAAACUUUAUUAUUUAAUGGAAAAAUCCAGGUAUAUCUUGUACAUUCAUUAAUAAAGGAAACAUAAUACUUGUAACCUUCUAUAGACAGACUAGGUGAGGGACCCCAAACAUCUAUGUGAAUUCCUUCAAAUGGAGUAAGUGACUUCAAAGCAAUUACAGGAAAAAAGAGCUUGGUAAACUUACCUUGCAAACAAGCUUUACAAGUAUGAGAUUGAGAGUUACAAGGAAAAGAUAUAAAAGACUUAUUAAGUGCUGCAGUGACAAUGGAAUGUGCAGGAUGGCCUAAUCGACAAUGCCAUAAUGUAGAAGAAAUCUUUUGACCCACAAAUGCAACUGGAUUAAAAACAGGAGAAAUAGACCUUUGUGGUUUGAUUAUGGGAAGUGGAUAGACAACAUUAUUACUCAGCCCUUGGAAUAGCACUCUCUCGGUGACCUUGUCCUGUAGACAGAGAGAAACAUCAUCCAUGAUACAACGACACUGAUUAUCUUUGCAUAACUGAUUCAUAGAUAAUAAGUGUUGUGACAGUUUUGGAACAUGUAACAUAGAGUUUAACUUGAAAUUAUGUGACUUAGUGAGAAGAGAAGAUGAACCAAUAUGUUUAGCUAAACCUUCACCACUAGCACUGGUCACAAUAUCAUUUGAUGGAUAAAUUUGUUGCCAUGUGCAAGUUUGACAAAUCUGAGGUCAUAUGGUUAGUUGCUCCUAAGUCAAGAAACCAGAAAUCUUGUUAAAGAGUUGAGGAUGAUGCACCAGCUCAUGCUUGCAUAGCAAGAUGAGGAUUUUGUGAGGAUAUAGUUGAGAGAUACAUAUGUGGUAUGACAAGAUACUGAAACUGGGAGCUAUUAGACCGUGGAAUAAUGCCUUGUGAAGGACCACAUGGAUUCUAGCUAGGUGCUUCACCAUAUGACCCAGUAGGCAUUGAAGUUGGCAUAGAUGAGGAUAAACCCUAAGAGAAAUGCUCUGAUGUGCCUGUGAAAUUCUUAUUCCGAUCAAAGCAAGUAGCAGCAACAUGACAACCUUUGACAAAUUUGACAUCCAUGUUGAAAACAAUUCAAUGCAGAAUGACCUUUGCGAUCAUAUUUGCAAAAUGGCCUUUGCAACCCUAGAAAGAAGAAGGAGCGAAGAAGACCAAAUGUGCACGUUUCUCUUUGGUUUUUUUUCCCUCCUAAUCGCCCUGUUCGAAAUCACGGACCUCGGGCCUGUGCCUAGUGGGCCCAAUUAUGAGGCCCAUUAUCUCCGGUCUUCUCGUUCUACUUCUAGUUACCCAAAUUAAGAACGUACUGGUUCGCUUUUAGCGCGAGAGAGAAAUGGAAGCCCUGAUUGCCUCGUACGGAGACUCGUCGUCGGGCUCAGACUCCGAGUCGCCGGCUCCACCUCCACCACCACCUCCGGAGCUCAACAAUCCUCAAAAACCGACCCCUGCGCUGCCUCCACCUCCUCUGUCACUUCUUGACAGCCCCAAUUCCUUCGGUAACCUCUGAUUCCCAUCAAUUUUCAUCUUUUAGCUUUCUGUUGUGAUGGCUUUUUCCAAGUUGGCCACCAAGUGUUUGAUGUUUUGCCUCUGAAGGAUUUCUGGACUUCUCGGCAAGCGCCCAGCCGAGCAGAGUUCGGAACUUUCCUCACGUCGAAGGGAACUACGCAGUACAUGUAUACAUCCCAGGUUAUCAAAAUUCUCGAAAUUUUCAGCUCCAUUAUCAAAUGCGAUCGCUUUGCACUUAGUUUUUGCUUGUUUAAUUGCGUGGUUCCAGUUUAUAUACCACCAGCACCAAGGAAAGAGAUGGCCUUGUUUUUGAACAAGCUAGCUUCUCUGGUGCCUGGUCUCCAUGCGGUUGACGUUGACUUCCCGCUUGACAUUCUGCGUAAGGACGAGCACAAGCUUGAACAAGUUGCUUUAGGCAGAGAGUUCCAUAUAAGUCUCGGAAGAACUGUUCCGAUUCGGGUGCACCAGAUUGAUUCCUUGGUGACAAUGCUGCGGCAGAAGCUUCAGAUUCAGAGGCGGUAUGGUUACAUUUACAUUCUCUUGUCUGCAUUGCGUGAAUUUAGUUCUGUUAUUUAACAUAAUUCUGUAAGCCUGCCAAAUUUUUCGUCCAUUUUCGGUUUAACACAUUUUGUUAUUGUGAAACAGGUAUUGGAUUGAUUUUAGCAAGUGGGAGGUUUUUGUUAAUGAUGAUCAGACCCGGACCUUUGUGUCAAUCGAAAUCAUUGCUGCUGGGUUAGCUGAGGUAUGAUUGCUAGCUUUCUUUCUUGGUGCAAUUCUAAAUGUUUUCAGUUGUUAUAUGGGCUUAAGAUUUAGUAAGUACUUGCCGAAAGUCAUGGGAUUUUGAAAUAUCGAUAUCUUGCUUGCUUAUUAGCUUAGACUUGGUCUUCGAUGCACUUGUAACAUGAAAAACACAAACGAAAACUAAUGCAUGAUAUGCUCAUGGUUUUAACAUGUGUUGUCCUGGCGUAAAUCAUGUUCCUAAUCCUGUCAUGUGAGUAUAUAAGCCUAUGAAACUUAGGGCAUGUUUGGCGGGCCGGACAAGAUUGGAAUUGGUAUUUCAGACUAGUUAGGUUAGGAUUGAACUGGAUAGGAUAGGUUUUUUGUCUAAAGAUUGGUGUAGACUGUCUUAACCAGACUAGGAACGAUGGGAUUUAAAAGGUGAAACAGAUCCGCGACAUCCCAAGGAUGACCCGCCCACCCAACAACUCUGCUUGUGACUUGCAACACCUCUCGUACCCUCCACGCCCCUUGCGGCCCGUCAGACCACUCUGAUAUCCUGGAGGAGUGAAACGUGGUUACUAGAAGCAUACCUGUUUUCGUAUUAAUGCACGGUUGAAUCAGCUUUCAUUGUCUACAAGUCUGAAAUAUUUUAACUUCCAUUGAUUUCAGAUAACAAAGCAGAUUCAAGCUGUGAAUGAGGUGUAUAAGCUUCACAAUCUUCCUGAAUUUUACAAGGUUAGCUUUUUCGUGCUUUUCAAACUCGAAUCGCUUCCUGAAUAUAUGACAAUAUAUUGGAUCAAACGAUUUCUCAAAAAACUAAUUCACUUGAUGGGGUCUUGGUGAUCACAGGAUCCACGCCCUCACAUCUCGGUAGCUUGGGCAUUGGGUGACAUCAGCAAUUCCCUGAAGAAAGUGGUUGAAGAAGAAAGACGAAGAUCUACCAUCGGAGGAUCGUUACAGAAAUGUAUUUUUACCAGUAAAUUCAAUGGUAUCGAAUGUAGGAUUGGUAAUGAGACACACAAAAUAUGUAAAUUUUCUGAAGAAUAAUGUAGCCAUUUAACUGUAUUGUGAAAUUCCGAGAAUAUAUCGCUGAGCAUUGGAUGAGAAGACAUUUCUUCGUUGGUGUCGAACUUCUUGUCGAAGGGAUUGGCACCAGUGUAAACGUCAUCAUCCAUGUUGAUGGUAAUUACUUCCCAGCUACUAAGGGAUUGGUAAUUACGUCUUUCACAUGCCCGACAAAUAGAAGUAUCACCAAACAUGUGAAUAUAGAGCAUCUAAGCGGCAGGCACUAAAAGGAAUUUAGUAUGCAAUAAACAUUCAACGGACACAAUUAUAUGUCUAACCUUUCCCGCUCCUGAGCAAUUUGAACAUCGUUCAGUUUUUGGCAGAGAUAGGGGUUGGUUUCCGCCAUCAUCAGCUGUCGAUACUGGUUCAGUAAGAACAAGGGUUCCAGUGCUGGAGCAACGAGCACAAGCAAGAGAUCCUGCGUAAGUAUCAAAUACACAGGUAAGCUGACAUACGAAACCAAUCCGAACAUCUCCAUCGUAUAUAUUUAAAGCUACAGUACAUAAAACUAAAAGUCAGAAAUAUAGGACAUUAUCACACCAGUUCCAAGACAAUAUUUGCAUCGUUUAUGCUCCUGCUGUUUCACAUUGUUUAUUUCAACUACCAUCAAUGCUGAGAUCACUCCGACUGCUCCUCCAGAGAAUGACGCCACUAUGGGAUCAACUUGACUGCAGUUUGAAAGUAAAGGAGAUCAAUAAACGAAACUGGUAACAACAUAGUAUCAACAUUAUUUAGCUUCGUUUCAAGAAAGAUGACAUCCUAGGUUUUUCUGAUGUGUAAAAAUUGAGGAUCCUCGUAAAAUUUGACUAUAUCGGUUCCCAAAGCAUUUGAUUCCUACGUUACAGACGGAAAACAGCAACAAUCGAAUUUAAAGAUUCAUAACACGAUAGAUGGUACAAAAUUUCAAAACGAUAAUUACUAGAGAAGAAAAAUGAGAAGAGAUGAUAUGGGAUCUGCUAAAAGAGGUGACAGACAAUGUAAGCAAUCAGAGCUCCGGCUGAUUGUUCACAUUCUCCCUAUCUUGCAGGCAGCAUGAAGGAUAAAAAGAAGAAAAAUGAGAAGAGAUGAUAUGGGAUACUUUUGCUUUUGAAGAAGUAACUUUCCACAAGCUUAUUCUUGAACUGAGUUGGAGGGUUUUCUGGUUUCCUCCAGAGUAUAAGGCCGACUGAAGAAUUUAAGGGUCAAAACAAGUCCAUCAAAUCUAGAGUACGUUCGACCCUGCUGAUAUGAGAUACUUUUGCUUUUGACAGAGUAAUGGAUGUAUCGGCACGUGUGCUGUUACUUGUCUCCACAUGCUUCCUUGUAUCCUUCCCACUUGCCCUAUCUGUUCCUCAGGGAGAUGCGGUAUCUUCCCUGGGAGCAUAAGAUGUUGAAGAUCAACCCUCGUGGUCUCUAAGCAGCCCAGCUUUUGAGAAAGCAAACGCUUCUUCGAUUUCUGAGCAGGCGCCUCUUCGAUGUCUGAAGCUCCGUCGAGUGCAGCUUUUUAUAGGGGCUGGCAUUAAGUUCCAAAGCACACUUGAAUCUCCACCAGUAGAAGCCCCAUUCUUGCACUUCUAAGAUCUUGAUUUGUCCGACCUCUUCUCUUUUCAACACCUUUGAAAAUGUCUGGCCCCUCCGACCGUCGUUUUGACUUGAACCUUGUUGAAGAGGCAGCCCCGCCUUCUCCAGACAACAUAUGGCGGCCAUCCUUCGUUUCCCCUACUGGUCCUCUUACCGUUGGGGAUUCCGUGAUGAAGAAUGAUAUGACCGCUGCGGUGGUGGCCAGGAACCUUCUCACUCCCAAAGAUAACAGACUACUUUCCAAACGGUCUGAUGAGUUAGCCGUUAAGGAUUUGCUGGCUCUCAGUGUUCAGUGUGCAGGUUUUGUGUCUAAUAUGGCCCAACGCCUAUUUGCUCGAACCCGCCAAGUUGAAUCAUUGGCGGCCGAAGUGAUGAGUCUCAAACAGGAGAUUAGAGGGCUCAAGCAUGAGAAUAAACAGUUGCACCGGCUCGCACAUGACUAUGCUACAAACAUGAAGAGGAAGCUUGACCAGAUGAAGGAAACUGAUGGUCAGGUUUUACUUGAUCAUCAGAGAUUUGUGGGUUUGUUCCAGAGGCAUUUAUUGCCUUCGUCUUCUGGGGCUGUAACGCGUAAUGAAGCUCCAAAUGAUCAACCUCUGAUGCCUCCUCCUUCUAGGGUUCUGUCCAGUACUGAGGCUCCGAAUGAUCCCCCUCUGAUGCCUUCUCUUUCUGGGGCUCUACCGACUGCUGAGACUUCUCCUAAGCAACCUUUGUGAAGGCUCCAUCUUGUUUGUUUAUUUUGACUCAUGUAUAUGUACAUAUUUGUAGCUUAUCGGGGAUAUCAAUCUAUAUGUACAUCUUGUUUCCUUCAUUUCAACGUAUUGUGUUAAAUACACCAAAGCCUUCUUCGCUAAGUUCUUUGAAUUUUCUUUUGUUGAAGCUUUCUGAGUGGAGCAUGUAGGUUGGGGUAGUGUUCCCUUAAUUUUCCGAGUGAGGAAAACUUCUCGGUUGGAGACUUGGAAAAUCCAAGUCACUGAGUGGGAUCGGCUAUAUGAAUCUUAGAACGCCAUUGUGCUCGGUCCUGUGUCAUGUCCUUCGUUAGAUCCAAGUACUCUAAGUCUUUUCUUAGAGUCUCUUCCAAAGUUUUCCUAGGUCUUCCUCUACCCCUUCGGCCCUGAACCUCUGUCCCAUAGUCGCAUCUUCUAAUCGGAGCGUCAGUAGGCCUUCUUUGCACAUGUCCAAACCACCGUAACCGAUUUUCUCUCAUCUUUCCUUCAAUUUCGGCUACUCCUACUUUACCCCGGAUAUCCUCAUUCCUAAUCUUAUCCUUUCUCGUGUGCCCACACAUCCAACGAAGCAUCCUCAUCUCCGCUACACCCAUUUUGUGUACGUGUUGAUGCUUCACCGCCCAACAUUCUGUGCCAUACAGCAUCGCCGGCCUUAUUGACAUUUCUUCGUUGGUGUCGAACUUCUUCUUGUCGAAGGUAUUGGCACCAGUGUAAACGUCAUCAUCCAUGUUGAUGGUAAUUACUUCCCAGCUACUAAGGGUGUCGGAACAACCUUGCACGCAGCCUCCUGUGCAUUACUUGGUAUUGUCUCAGAUUCUCCAAACUUGAAUGCUAAUGUAAACCCACUCUUGACCUUCCCGUCAUCUGCCAUUACUGGAAAGCUGGCUAGGAUGUUGCCGUUAACCUACCUAACUGGCUAGGAUGUUGCCGUCAUCUCCAAACUUAAAAUACCGGAAAGCCGGCUCCAAACUUCAAUGUGCUACUAGUUUUUGUAUGCGAGAGCUCCACCUCCAUUGUUGUAACAGCAUCUGAUGCGGACUAGUCCUUCAUUCCCGUUACUCGUUGCUAUCUCCACUUCAAACUUGGCGUAAUGGCUCCCGGCCUCUUCUCCGGUGAAAUUGAGAAACCCUGGGAAACCCUUGAGCUGGCGUUUUCAUUCUGUUGUCCGUAUAUCUUGAUAUUACAAGUAUUUGUUGUGCAAAAUGCAUGCUAAGUUCAAGUUAUGUUUAUAUGUGUGUGUGUGUGCGUGUGUGUGUGUGUGUUGCCACUUUUCCAACGUUUUCUCCAAAAUUGUGAUUUUGGUGUUGUUCUAACUUUAUGUUGGUGUUGUUCUAACUUUGGUGAAUGCUAAUAACAAUUCCCUCGUUAACCAUUGGGACGAGCAACAAGGCAGUUUUGAUUCCGGGCACAACGACGAUACCUCGAAAGAAAUUGAUUCUUCCCCAGAAAGAUGUUUUAAAACAAAGUUGAACAAGGGAAGAAAACUUUUGAAUCGCAAUCAGAUGUCUGGUCAAAUUCUUUAACAGUUGAUGUAUACAGAAGUUCCUUGCUUAUGACACGACUUAUGAGAGGAUGUAUGUAUUGCAUUUGCAUCAAAAGAAAGAAAGAAGGUUGUAAGUGGUAAGGGAACGACUACCGAUGGCGCUCCACUUCUAAUCAAAGGGAUCGAUCCGAGGGUCGUGUUCACUUGCCAUCGCCAUUCCAGUGCAAAGGCAUGUCGGGCACAUUACCUGCCACAUUUACAGACGCAAUGUUAGAUAUAGCUGCCAUUUGGAAGUCACCUCUCAAAAUUUUGCUACUAAAUUAAUCUUAGACUUCAUUUCCAGUGCAAUUUUUUUCUUCCGAAAUGUCUUUCACAUGCCCGACAAAUACAAGUAUCGGUCACCAAGCUUGUGAAUAUAGUGCAUCUAAGCGGCAGGCACUAAAAGGAAUUUAGUAUGCAAUAAACAUUCAACGGACAUAAUUAUAUGUCUAACCUUUCCCGCUCCUGAGCAAUUUGAACAUCGUUCAGUUUUUGGCAGAGAUAGGGGUUGGUUUCCGCCAUCAGCUGUCGAUACUGGUUCAGUAAGAACAAGGGUUCCAGUGCUGGAGCAACGAGCACAAGCAAGAUAUCCUGCGUAAGUAUCAAAUACACAGGUAAGUUGACAUAUGAAACCAAUCCGAACAUCUCCAUCGUAUAUAUUUAAAGCUACAGUACAUAAAACUAAAAGUCAGAAAUAGAGGACAUUAUCACACCAGUUCCAAGACAGUAUUUGCAUCGUUUAUGCUCCUGCUGUUUCACAUUGUUUAUUUCAACUACCAUCAAUGCUGAGAUCACUCCAACUGCUCCUCCAGAGAACGACGCCACUAUGGGAUCAACUUGACUGCAGUUUGAAAGUAAAGGAGAUCAAUAAACGAAACUGGUAACAACAGAGUAUCAACAUUAUUUAGCUUCGUUUCAAGAAAGAUGACAUCCUAGGUUUUUCUAAUGUGUAAAAAUUGAGGAUCCACGUAAAAUUUGACUAUAUCGGUUCCCAAAGUAUUUGAUUCCUACGUUACAGAUGGAAAACAGUAACAAUCUAAUUUAAAGAUGCAUAACACGAUAGAUGGUACAAAAUUUCAAAACGAUAAUUACUAGAGAACAGGAGGGUUAAUAGCCUGAGAUAUGAGCCAUACCUCAACUGCAACGGCAGAUGCAUAUUUACUAUAAAGUCUUUAUAUGAUGUGCCUCCUAUUCCCAGCUUCAACUCCAACUGAAAUAUGUAAAGGUAAUUGUAGGCAAAGAGUUACAAACAUAACCGAAUCCAUGUUUUAUAAGCAACAACUAAACUUAUUUUGAUAUGUUUCCUCAUUUUUUACUUGCAAAUUCCGAACCAUAUUGUCGGACCAGUAAAAGAGAAUAAUGUUUAUGAUAACUGUUAAAACUAAUCACAACAGGUUAAUGCAUAAAGAACUUACGGAGGGUGCUAUGAGGCCACCGAAAAGGAUAAACCCCGCAAUAAUUGAAUAACAAACAGCAUAAUACUGCUUAAGGUUGUCUGAACUCUGGAAGCAAUGAAUUCACCUUGUGAUUAAUACUUUGCACAAACACUAGUUUUUGCAAAUUUUUAUGAAUCGACAAAAGGCUACAACAAAAUAUGGCUAAAACAUGUCGGGGAUAUGAAAAUACAUGUCUUCACAGGGGCACCAGCUUACCAGGGGAGGCAAAAAUGGAAUGAACGAUGGAAAACUAGGAAGUUCGUUUUCUUGAUCUUCAUUUACCGCUCCAAGCUCUGCACGUUUAAUCCGCUGUUGUAUCCUCAGCCUGCGAACCUACGCAUAUCGAAGCUCAUUCUUAAAGAACACAUUUCUAAUGGCAAUUGGAGAGUAAUUUAAAACAUGCUAAACUGAGAAAGUGGUAGUAACUAGCAAUUGCUCUCACCUCCUCCAUAUGCAAGAAAAUUUUGUUGCGACGACUCCGAAUAUUAUCUUGAAUUUCCUGCAGCUCCAUUGUGGCAAAAUCCUGCACUGUUUCAGGCCCCUCUAUGAUACAAAAUAUGCACCAUUAAGCAUGUAAAAACUAAAAAUUACAGGCUACAAAGCAAUUUCCGUAUAGUUGUUGGGUUAAAUAACAUCAACAGCAAAUAAAUCACAUGGGUUUUUCACAUAAAGUUACAAACUUUCAAGGACUAAUAAGCUGUCUGCAAUCUCAUAAAUUUCACAGUGCAAAGUAACAAUCCAAAGCUUGGAACUUUAAAUUUCCACCUUCUGUUAAUUUCCUAGAGAGAAGAGAGGGGGGGGGGGAAGUACCCGGCGGGGUUUGUAUCAGCGGCGGGAUUGGGAUCAGAAUCGACAGACGGAGCGAAAGAGGAGGAGUCGGGUUCCGAAGCCAUGGCAAGGGAUCGCCAUCUGGAGCUGCUUGUUGAUAUGGGGCUUCUGGGUAGCUGAAUUUGGAGCAGCCGGCGCUAUGCAGUUUGUACGGACGGCACCGAUUUACGGGGAAAGAAACGGCCAAAAGUCUGCCGGAGCAGAGCAUCUCUGUCUCUCUCUCUCAAACCAGAAGGUAGAGCUUUCUGUUUCUCUUGAGGUUUCUUUCACUGGUAAAUUCCAGAGAAGCAGAGAAGAAGGCUCUCUGAGAAAUGGCGAUGGUGCAAGUGGAGACAAAACAAAUGUAAAUCUUGAAGCACUGAACAUCUGCAGAACACUUGUCAACUGCCGAACUCUAGGAUUAGGAGAGAGACAGUGAGCGACCGGCCAAAAAAACAAAAUGGAGGUAAGUGGCUAAUUCUUCUCUCAUUUUUUUUUCCUUGUUUUUCAGGAAAAAAAAAAGACAGAGAGAGAUUUUUAGUGGACCUGGCGUCGAUAGAUUCGAGUAGUAUGUCACAUUUAAAAUUUGAGCAAAUUGUAACUAUAGUACUUUAAUUUUAAUUUAAUUGGAGGAAUGAUCCAUCAACUAAAAAUUCAUUACCAUUGAUCAUUUAAUUAAAAAUCUAUUACCGUUGGUCCCUCAACUUUAAUUCAACUAGAGAAAUGAUCUUUUAACUUUAACCCAAUUGUAGCAAUGGUCAUUCCAACAUAACUCGUUUUGACAAAAUUUUUGAUGUAGUUGACGAAAAUGACCAUAAUUACAUACUUUGAUAAGUUGAGGAACUCUAAUUGUAUAAAUGGUCAUUUCAACAUAAUUUAUUUUGACAAAAUUUUGACGAAAUUGAUGAAAAGGACUAUAGCUACACAUUUUGAUAAGUUGAGGGACCAAUAGUAAUUGAUUUUUAGUUGAAGGACCAUUGCUAUAAUUUACUCUUAAAAUUUUAUUAUAGGAUGACAAACGUCGAAAAUAAAAGGUUAAGUGCAGUGAUCGUCUUUGAGGUUUUGGAGGUUCUGUGUGGUCAAAUACUUUGUUCUCCCUAAAAUUGCCACUAUUGAGACGAUUACUUGCCUCAUACAAACAUUUUACGUUUACUUAGAACUAGAAAGACAAGAAUUGCAUGUGAUGAAUUGCUCUAAUCAUGGGGUUUAUUUUUUAACUCAUUGUGUUUUAAAUUUAAACUUUUUUCCCUCUCUUUGAUAUACUUAUAAAGUGUGAAAUUAAUAAUUUUAAUGAGUGACUCAAUUAACUAUUUUCAUUUCUUACGCGUUCAAAAUUACACAAAUUUGUUGCAUACAAUUUUUUAAAAAGAAAAUUUCUAUUAUUAUGGAGAAAGUUCGGUACAUUAUGGAAGGAGGAAUUUUGAACUCGAAACACAUGGUAGAAACCUAACGCCCAUCCACUAGGAUAUUAGAAACCCAACGCAUAUCCACUAGGAUAUUAGACCACCAGAGCUGGUCCUGAGAUAUUUGGUGCCUGUGUCAAAAUGUGUCUUUUUCCAGUACAACAACAGAAAUUGAAAAGAAAUAUUUAAAGAGGGCUGGAACCCAGUCGAAGCUGGGGGCUAGGCCCUCACACCCAUGUUAUAUUACUCGAAAAAAAAAAAAUAUACAACGGGAUGGAACAUAGUACCGAAACCCCGACAAUAAAAAACAAAAUCACAUACAACCACUCCAAGCAGUCAACAUGACCAUUACAUAUUGAAUCCAAAAGGUUGACGCCUAUUCUCUGCAUAUAAUGCACAGAAGAUAACAAGAUUACUAAUAUAAAAAGAACAUCUGAAAAGAUGAACAUAUGCAUCAACAUAUAAGUUAACCAUUCUAAGUGCAAAUUUAGAAGUGAUAUGCUCCAAGUAUAAUAUUGGACAGAAGAGCGGCAGCAUCAACCAGUUCUGCUAUAUCCGGCUGGAUGAGAGCUGCUAAAGACAUGAUUGUUCCCUAAUAACAUGAAUAAAUUGAGUAAACACCAAAAGUAGCAGCAAGGGAAGGAGAUGUUAAGAAGAUGAAGAGGUGUAACACCUGUGAAUGUCCAACAACAAAGACUUUGGUGCUUGUUGAAUAUAUGCAGCGCAUCAUUUCUGAUAGAUCAAAUCGAGCCAAUUCCUGCCAACUCCAAUCCUAAAAAUCCUACAGUAAAGCAUAAAUCUUAUUCUCUUCUGAUAAAGAUGUGUGUCCCUGUCUCCAACGUGUUUGACGCACAUUCCCUACCCAUACAUCGAAACCUUCAUCUGCAAGGACAAAUCCCAGUUAUUCUUCUGGAGAAUUUAAGAACCAUGAAUCACCUGGUCAAGAUCAAGAAAAGCCAGUAACCAAUUACAAUUGAGUUUGAAGCACAUAAGAGCCUAAUUUAAAAUGUAUCCCAUGGAUGUUCAUCAAUUUACACAAUAGUUAGUUUCAAGAAAGGAAAUUUCAACAGAACCUGAAAACUUCAGAUCAGGGGGCACCAAAUAGUGAGCUAUACAUUCAAAAUUUGAAAUAAUCAACUUAGUGGGACCAAUAUGUUGAAAAAAUUGGAAGGAGCUAUGAAAGUAAGGCUUUUCACUAAUCAGACGUCCAGAGAAUCAAUAUUUUACUCACGGAUCAGUUACGGGGAACACUCCCCACCAAAGCAAUCUCUUUCGUCUGAAUCUGGAAAACAAGCAGCAGUGGAUUUUAACAGUCUGGGUAUCUCAAAGUUACUUUAAUCAUAAAUUUAACACUAAAACAUAUAAAUGGGCAUUAUUUAGUGAAAUAUUAGUAUAGUACUCACUGUGUGCUCGGAACAAGAGUACCCAGAAAGCUCAAUGAGCUGCGCACAGAGGACUACAGCGGUGAACGACAGCGACCGAUUCUGUAAAAUUCAGUCAAGUUUUGGGUGAUUUCUGCAGUUAUUUCGGAGGUCAAGAGGCUGAUAGGGAAAGCUGCGACCGAAGGGCACUGGUCUGGAAGCAAAGGCUCAGGUCACCGCUGUCCCGAUUCGCGAAGGAAGUGCCCCAAAAACAAUUUCGGCCCUGGACAGGUGCACUGUUUGCACUGGACCAGGGCCGGCCGGCCCUGGCAAUAACGUCCCCCAAACAGUACAUAUACAGAUGCUAGAAAUAUAUUAAUGUAACCUGAAACUACUAGAACCAUUCAAUUCUAGCGUCUACAGCUAUAGCAUUAGUUGGUACAAUGGACAUUCUUCCAAAGAGGGGGAUGAACUCGUUGAGGCUCUUAUUUAUUCCUCCUCUUGUUGUGCCCUUUUCAGCUGCUAAUUCCAGACGAUCCAAUCUCAUACAUCUUCCCUGCAAAAGCAUGCGUGCCAGACUUCAAGAUCAAAUUUUUCCAACAAAAGAAACUUAAAGAUCAAACUCGCUAGCAGAUUAAAUGGUGCACAAGGGUGUUAAAAUCUUGACAUAGUAUAUUUUUGGCAGAUUUUAUGUGAGCAUGCAACUAAAACUGGCAUCACUAUCAAUGGUGCAAAAAGAUUGGUGGAAAACUUUAACAGUUUGAGUUGUAACUUCUCCAUUGUAUUUGUUAAGGCAAGACGGAUGUCAUCUAUGCAUUUUUCUGUAAAACUUAAAAGGCUGCAUAGCAGCUCUUGUUCGUACGACAAGCAAUUGAAAAUCCCAUCAUUAUGCCCCGCAUAUACCAGAAAAAAAAAGUCAUUUACACAAAUUCAGAGCGUUCAUCCACUGUAAUUUGCAGAUAUAGAAACGUUAAGAUAAAAGGAAAUGCAAAGUUAGCAACGGGAAUUGACAUACCAAUAUCUUCACAGUUUCUGCACAAGCACAAAUCAAAAGAAUCCGGCGGUGGAGUUAUGUACCUCUCCUUGGAAAAUGCCACCUCUUGGGAUUUCAAAAUAUGCGGCCGUGGCUAGCCGUCUGACCACGCCAAUUCCACCAAAGCCGCCGCAACGCGGCGCAGUGUCCGAUUGAUUGCUUCAAAACAGAGCUUCGUAUCCAUGUGUUUAUCAGCACAGAGUACCCAAAACCCCUGAAAAUUAUUUCUUUAUUCAGAUAAUAAAAUUUCCCAAAUUUCAAAUUUUAAUUCCGAACCAAAAAUAGGAUUUGAAUUUUGAUUACCUAGAAAUUGGGGGGUUGGCGAUAUGCGUCCUCGAGAGGGUACCAAUACAAAUUACAGAGCGUGUUGGGACGAUGUACAAGGCUUUUGCAGUCUCUCAGAUGUAAAUACCGAAGCUCCGUAAGGCGUUCAAUCCAGGGGGAAAGCUCUUUGAUAGAUGUUCCAUCCAAGACAAGAUUUCUUAAUCCUUCCAUAUUUUCUUCAAUGCUUGGAAACACCUCGAAUUUUGUACAACCGGAAAGAGAGAGAUAGACAAGGGACUUGAGCUGACAAAUGCUACUUGGAAGACUCUUAAGCUCCUUGCAAUUUUCUAGCUUCAAAUGAUUCAAUCCCGUGAGAUUAUUAAUUGACGAGGGCAUUUCUUUAAUUUUUGAUCCGGAUAAAUGAAGAACUUUUAACCCUUCAAUCACUUUUAAAAUCUCUGGAAACAUCUCAAGACUCUGACAAUCAUAAAGUACAAAGGUUUCGAGAGAUUUCAUAUGAAUGUUGCUUGGAAGACUCUUAAGUUUUUGGCAAUCUGAUAGGUUCAAAUGAAUCAACCCCGUGAAAUUAUUAAUUGACAUGGGCAGUUGUUUAAUUUUUGACCCGGAUAAAUUAAGCUCUUCUAACCCCUCAAUACCAUCUGAAAUCAAUGGAAACAUCUCAAGACUGGAGCAGCCACAAACAUUAAAGGUUUUCAGACAUUUCAAAUGAAUGCAACUUGGAAGACUCUCAAGUUCCUUGCAAUCUUUUAGGUUGAAAUGACUCAACCCCGUGAGAUUAUUAAUUGACUCGGGCAGUUCUUUAAUUUUGGACUCGGAUAAAUUAAGCUCUUCUAACUCCUCCAUACCUUCUGAAAUCUCUGGAAACAUCUCAAAAUUGGAGCAGCCAAAAAGAUUAAAGGUUUUGAGAGAUCUCAUACGAAUUUUAUUGGGUAGAAUCUUAAGUUCCUUGCAAUAUGAUAGGUUCAAAUGACUCAACCCCGUGAGAUUAUUAAUUGACUCAGGCAGUUCUUUAAUUUUGGACUCGGAUAAAUUAAGCUCUUGUAACUCCUCCAUACCUUCUGAAAUCUCUGGAAACAUCUCAAGACUGGAGCAUCCAUAAAGAUUAAAGGUUUUCAGACAUUUCAUAUGAAUGCAGCUUGGAAGACUCUUAAGUUCCUUGCAAUCUCUUAGGUUUAAAUGAAUCAACCCCGUGAGAUUAUUAAUUGACUCGGACAGUUCUUUAAUUUUGGACUUGGAUAAAUUAAGCUCUUGUAACUCCUCCAUACCUUCUGAAAUCUCUGGAAACAUCUCAAGGCUCACGCAGCCAAAAAGAUCAAGAGUUUUGAGAGAUUGCAUACGAAUUUUGCAGGGUAGAAUCUUAAGUUUUUCGCACCCUUUCAGAUCCAAUAAAACAAGUUUUGUAAGAUUCGAAAUAGAUGGGUGAACCUUAACUAACCCUCCACAACCAUGAAGAAUUAGCCUCUCAAGAUUUGGCACAUUUGUGAAGUCAGGGGUUUCCUUAAGGUAUGAACAAUAACUUAAAUUGAUGAAUUUCAACUUUUCCUGCGUCUGUUAAAACAUUCAGGAAAACAUGCAUUACUUAAUAAGACAUCUCACUCAAAGCCCAAACAUUUAAAAGAAACAAAUACAUGUAAAUGAUUGCACAUACCUGGGUUCCUUCCCAAAGUCGGUCAAUGUGGCUAUAUUGCAUGUCAAGUCCAACAAGAUUUUCGAAUUGAAAGUUGGAUGGCAAAGACUUGAGCGGGAAACAAGACCAGGAAAGAAACCUCAACUCACUAGAAACAAACUUUAAGGACCCAGUCAGGUGUUGUAUGCUGAAAGUACCGAUCUUGAGAAGUCUUAGUUUAGUCAUCCUAUCAAAAGCUUUAACAAUUAAGCAUCCCUCAUAUGAGUGCCCCAAAUCUAGGAUUAUGCUUUUAACUGUUUCUGUACCCUGUGCAAAUCAAAGGGAAGGAAAAAGCAGAGAACCUUAGUUUAGAUUAUGAAGUUAAUGGUUGUUUCUUAAGGAGUUGUUUGAUAAUAAUUUUGUUUUCACUUUUCACUUUUGUUUUGAUUAUUUAUUUAGAAAUCUGAAAAUUGAAAACAUAUAACUUGUUUGUAAUUGUUUUCAAUUUUCAAUUAUUAAAAAAAUGAAAAUUAAAAAUUAAAAAUGGAAACAAAAGUGGUUAUCAAACGAGCUUAAGAAAUUGAUUUUGGUCAAAAGUUGAAGCUUUCUACUAAACAUUGCAUAAGAAGAGAAAUUAUCACCGUAUUUUUAGUUAUCACAUGAAGAACAUCUUCAUAACUCCACAACCUACUUCGUUUCCCAGGCUCUUCGAUAGAUUCUUGCUGGACGAUUUUCCGACCCAUUUCCUCUAGUAAAUCAUGCAUCUCCAGUUCCCCCUUCCAUGAGACAGUUACUAGAGCUCGAUCGAUUAAAACUUUUAUUCCAAUAUCAGGAUAGGAACCACAGCUGUGCAGAACUUCGGUUGCAUAGUCUUUUCUCAUUCCUUUAAAGAAACAUGCAAUAUCUAGAAAGAUAUCCUUCUCCGUGUCAUCUAGUCCAUCGAAGCUUGUUUUAAGCACAUCAUGAAUUCCCUUUUGCGGGAUUUUCUUUAUUUUUUCUAACUCAUUUUCCCACUGGCGUACAUUUUUGUUAUCAAGAAAAGCUCCCAAGACUUUGAGUGCUAAAGGCAGACCUUGAGCAUAUUUUACAGCACGCCUCGAGAGAUCAUCAUAAUCUCUGUUGGGUUGGUUUUUUCUAAAGGCGUACCGCCUAAAGAGUUCCAGAGCUCCAUUAUCACUUAAAAUCUUGGGAUUAUAUAUCUCAUCAGCUAUGCUUAGUAAUUGCGAAUCUCUGGUUGUUAUAAUAAUUCUGCUUCCACCACCAAAGGAAUGUGGUUCUUUAAGUAAAGCUUCAAUUUGUUCUAAUUCUUCCACAUCAUCAACAACAAUAAGAACUUUUCUCCGACCUAGGCUAUUUAACACCACCUGGAAACCUUUAUUCGAAACGUCGGAACUCCCCACCUUGUUGUUCGAGAUACUCGAUAGAAGUUCUGCCUGCAUAUAUAGUUUGCCAUGCUUUAUGAAACCUUCCUUGAAAUUUUCAAGAAAGCAACAAGCUUUAAAUCCACCAGAGAUUUCAUCAUAAACAGCUCUAGCGAUGGUUGUUUUGCCUAAACCACCCAUACCCCAUAUUCCAACAAUGCGAACAUCAUUAGUUUCAACUCCAGGAGGAUACAAUAAUGAAUGCAUGUUAUGCAUAUGAGAGUCCAUUUCAACCAAGCCAUUAUCUUUGCUUGAUGAUGAUGAGAUGUGGAUCAAUUUCUUAAAAACAUCUUCUACAAUUUUCUCAAUAAGCUCUGCAUCAUCCCUGUCAAAUUUAAAAAACAAUAUAAUAACACCACCAAAUAAUACUUAAUGGGUCUUUUUCAUCUGUUAGUUUAAAAAAAAUAGAAAUUAAAACUAAAACUAAAAUCUAAACGUUAUAAAAAUCCCAAAAAUUAAUAGGAAACUAAAACAAAUUAGAAUUUACUCAUAUUUCGCGAAUCCCAGCCGGAUAAACUGGUGGCAAUUGUAAGAGCGGAUCUCCAGCUCUGAACCUCUUCCAUUUCAGCGUUAGAAUCACGAUCGUGCUGAGCAAAAGCUUCCUCGAAUUUUCUCUUGAGUUUACGAACGUCAGACGGAUCAACUUCAUAGAAAAUGGGGAGUACAAUCUGGUUAUUGGUAUCCUUGCAUUUCAAGAUUUGCACGAGUUCUUUCAAGCACCAAGUGGAAGAAGCAUAGUCUUGAGAGAAAACUACAAUCGAAAGCCUUGACUCUCGAAUCGCUGUCAGGAGCUCAGAAAGGUGGUCGCCUUUUCUGAGCUUCUCGGCAUCAAUGAAGGCGUUGAUUGGUUUCUUAACCAGAGCGUUGUAGAGAUGGCUGACGAAGCCCCUGCGAGUGUCUUCCCCUCUGAAAUUGAUGAACACAUCGUAUUUGCAACCAAGGCCAGAAGAAGAUGAAGAAGAAGAAGCAGCCAUUAUUAAUCGAUCGCACCUGGUCAGCGACGAUCGAGCAGCUAAGACUAAGAGAAUUGUAAGUACAGAGAUACUCAAUAGAUCUACAAAUUGGAUCACCGGAAAUUAGUCUGAUCGAUACCAAGUCAAUGAGUCAAUGCAAAAGUAAAAAGGGGAAAGGGAAAUUAUGCUUUAUGUUUUUUCACAUCUUCUUCGGGGAAAUUUCGGUGUGAAAGGAAUCUUAUCCUUUUGAUUUUUUAACCGAAGCAAAUGCGAAGAAAAGGGUCAAAGUGGUAAAUUGAAUAUACACUUGCCUAUCCAACAACCUCUUAAUUUAAUAUAUUUAAUUGAGAAAAGUAGUUUAGAGGAAGAGGUAUUCAUCAAUUCCCCAUAAACUUGUGACCAUUGGCCAAUUUUCCCCCUCAACUUUAAUUUUGGCCAAUUUCUUCCCUAAACUCUCAUAAUUAGUUAAUUUCCCCCAUCAACUUUAAUUUGGUCAAUUUCCCCCCUCAACUCUCAUAAUUAGUCAAUUUGCACCCUACUGUUAAUUUUUUAUUUAUUUUUCAUCUAUUCUUUUUUUUUUCUUUCAAUCUUUCUAAUAACUUCCAACAAAAUACUAAAAUUAAUAUAAACUCACCUGCAUAAUAUAGGGUAAAAUGUACAAAAACAUAAUACCAUUAGUAUGUGAUAUGGGUUGAUUAUAAGAAAAAGUUAUGAAUCGGGUUUAAAUCAUGUAGAAGAAGAAACAAUAAUCCUAAACUCAUGGAUCAGACCUAUUUCAAUAAAAUGGGUUAUUCUUAAUAAGGAGUCGAAAAUUAUGAAUUGACUAGCCAUUUUUGCACUAAACCUCGAUUCUCCGCAAUUUACUUGAACUUAGCUUUCACUUUUAUAAAGAAAAUUGUAUUCACAUACAAAAAUGUACACAUCAAUCCUUUUCGUUAUCAAUUUUGUAUAGUAAAAAAUCAAAUAAAAUUACUCCAUACUAAUUUAUUAUGACUAAUAAUACUAUUUAUGAUAAAUUGUAAAAUUCUAAAUUUUAAUCUAUUUGUAAUAGGAUAAAGACAUAGGAAAAUGAUUAACAUACAUCUUAUUUAGUUUCUUACACACACUUGUUUAAUUAUGAUCAAAUUAAAAAAUUAACAGUAGGGUGCAAAUUGACUAAUUAUAAGAGUUGAGGGGGGAAAUUGGCCAAAUUAAAGUUGAGGGGGGAAAUUGACUAAUUAUGAGAGUUGAGGGGGGAAAUUGGCCAAAAUUAAAGUUGAGGGGGGAAUUGGCCAAUAGUCACAAGUUCAUGGGGGAAAUUGAUGAAUACCUCUUAGAGGAAUGAUGGUAUCUCUUUUUCUUCUCACUCAAUCUUCCAGCAUGCGAUUUAAUCAUGAUUAAAGCCAAGCUUAAUAAUAGGUCGUAUUAUUUAGGUCGUUUUGGAUUAUAAGUUUUUGUUGUGAACUUGUGAUACGAUAGUUAGAAAAUUAAAAAAAUUAUAAUUUAAAUAUAUGUGGUGAAAUCUGUUAAGAUUUAGAUUCAAAAUUGAAAAUUUCAUUAACUUCAUUAAUUAUUAGCACACGAAGCUUACAAAUGAAAUAAAAAUAAUAAAAUUAGUCUCACAUGUAAUCUCUAUGCGCUAACAAUUAAUAGAGAGAUUCAUUUUAACCUAAAAUGUGUGACUUACGUACUAAUAAUUAACAAAAUAUUGACAAAAUUUUCAAUUUUAAGCAUAAAUCUUAAUAAACUUCAUCUCAUAAACUUAAAUCCUAAUUCAACAAUCUUCUCAUUACCUUACCACUGCAAACUACCUUGCCACUACAAAAAUUAUUAAUCAAAUUAAACUUAUUAUUUACUUACAAAUACGUAACUCAAUCACCGAAAGCUAUCUCCGUUGCUAUCUCCGUUUCUUUGCUGAGUGGACAGCUGUCUCUUUGUCUUCUUUUGGCAGAUAGCUACUAGACUCCUAGUGGCCGGCCUAUUUUCCACAGCUGGUUAUAGGACUCAGUUGCUAUUCAAGAAGUGUUAUGUUGUAAUUCAAUAUUGAUGGAAAUCCAACAGAAUCUUCUUCGAAUUGUUGUGAGCAUUUUGGGAUAUUUUUUAAUCAUAUUCAUUUAUCGUUGUGGGAUCAAUUUUAUUAAAUAUUAUUUAUGUUUAAUUUUAAAUAAAUAAAUUUAAAAUAAAUUUUUAUCGCACGAUAUACUAUGAACGAAUACGAUUCAUAGAUCUCCAAUAUCUUCACAAGAAGAAUCCAAAAGGAUCCGGAUUCAAUGGAAAUAAGCUAAUUUUGAAUCAAAUAACAUUACUUUAUUUUGUAAGUAAAUUAAUUUUAAAUCAAACAACAUUCAUUUAUUAUGUAGCUAAUUAAUUUUGUAUGUGUCAUCAUAUAUAUUAGGCACAUUUUAUUAUAGGUGAUUUUGUGGUAUUCAUUUUCAUUUGUAAGUAAGAGGUCUUAAGUUCGAUUUUCAUCAAAAACGAAUUUAAACUAUAUUAUUGCUAGUCCAUUAUGAGGCCUAACCCACCCUCCUCCCCCUUAGUGUAGAUAGAUCGUUUGUUCAAAAAAAUAUAUAAUCAAAAUAGAAUGUGAAGCGAAACAAUAGAUCAACAUUAUUUAUGUUAAUUAUAAAUAGGUCAACCAUGUAUGUGAUACUUAAAUCAUUUAAAAUAAAAUAAAAAUUACAAAAUCUGCCAUUACAGCUGGCACACACUUUAAUUAACACUUUCUUUCUCAUAAUUUUUAUAUUUGGAAUAAGUCAUACGAAUCAAAUACUACAAUGUAUUAUCUGUUUUUUAAUUCUAUUUUUUACAUUUGGAUUCAGACACUGCGUUGUAGUGUCCAUUUACUGAUUUUGUUUUUUCCAUCACUCACAUGCCUCCUAUAUGUUCCUUUGUACAUUUGGAUUUAGACAAUGCAAUGCAGUGUCUGUUUCUUGGUUCUGGUUUUCUCUUUUGGAUUCAAACGCUGCAUUGCAAUGUAUGUUUCCUAGUCCUAUUUCUUUCAUCAUCCACACGUCUCCUACACUUCACACUUUCAUGCGACUCCUGAUUUUUACAUUUAGAUUCAGACAUUGUAAUGCAAUGUUCAUUUCCUACCUUUGAUUUUUACAUUUAAAUCUAGGGUUAAACUCUGUUUACUACCCUAAUGUUUCGUGGUUUUCUACAUUUAGUACAUCAAAUUUUUUUCAUCCCAGAGUCAUACCUAAAGUGUUAAUUUUGGGACAGUCUCAUACAUCCAUUAGUCAAACUGUUAGUUCUCACGUUAAGUGAUGAUGUGGCGCCCAUGUGGACAAUGACUGGGCCCCACGUGUCAUUAAAAAAUAUUAAAAUAAUUAAUUAUGUAACACCCGCCCCCACUUAUAAAAUUAUAUGUGUGUAAUAUUCCCUAAAUAUUCUGAAUCUAUCAAUUUUACCCUUUUUGGACUACCCUAUCAGGAUCUAAACAUUGGAUCCUUCUUUCUUUUCAAACUGCCACGUGGCAGCUCCCUAGCAAUUUCCCUGUCUUCUCUCUCUGUCCCCCCCCCGUGACUCCUUCUUUCUCUUCUUCUUUUUCUGUUUUCUUUUCUUUCUUCUGUCUGUCUCUCUGUCCCUCCCGACUCUAUCUCUUUCUCUCGUCUCUCUCUCAUAGCUCCCUCAUCUCUCUUCUCUGCAGCAACCCGCACGCACGCACCCAUCUCCCCCGCGCGAAGAAGACCCAUCUCCUUCUUCUCUCUCCCUCUGUCCCGUGCUGCGAGCCCAGAAACCGGAGAGGAACUCCGGCGAAACCUUUAUUUUCCCGGUUGGGACGAAUCGAAGCCGGGUGUAAGCACACCCAACUCCGGCGAUCCCGAGGGUGUCGGGGCUUUUUCCGGCCAUCUCCGAUCGUUCCACGACGAAAGGAAGGUGCAAUUAUUAACGGUGAUUCUGUUAUACCUUCUUGGUAUAGCUUUGCACCGUUGGUGUACGGUGAGUGGACCCCUUCAAAAUCAUGUUUUAACAAUAGAAAUGCAUACAUGAAAAGCAUGAUUUAAUACUUAUGUUUUACGAAGUACUUUAUGAGAUAUAUGCUUACUGAGGCUAGAUUGAAUUAUUACUAUUUUUCCUAUAACCCAUGUUCUUAUAGAAUAUCCGAUGGAUGACGAUAUGAUAUUAGAACAUGUUUAGAACACCUCUUUGUAGUAUAGAUGAUGGAUGACUUUAUACUACGAAGUUGUUUUUCAAUAUGUUAUGCUCAAUGGUUUUGUACUUACCUAGUGGUCCUUUCCGCUACGGGACGUAGGGAUAGAUUCCGGUCCGUCCCGAGCGACGGUUUGGUGUUGGCAUAGGGCCUGGAGUGUGUUUCCUCUGGCUAUUUAGCACAGGGACGGGGAGCCGGCAUGGGGUCUGUAGUGUAUUUUCCUCUGACUGUCUGCUCAGAGACGGGGAGCUGGCAUGGGGCCUGUAGAGUAUCGGACAAUUCACUAGUGUUUAUUACUUAUACAAGUUAUGAAUUUGAGAUAUUGCACGGCAUGCUAGGUUUCGGAAAAUCUAUUUUGAUCAUGAUAUAUGUGUUUUCAUUAAACCUGGGGGUUAGUAUGUUGAUAACUGUUUUAUUAUAUUUAUAUCAAACUGGUCCACUCAUGUUUGUUUUGCGCCCCCUUCAGGACCUACGAACGAGGAUUACGAUAUAAGCUACGAGGCUUUUCCCUAUCAGUGAUCCAGUGCUAUACUUCUUCUGCUUCGAUAUCUUUUGUAAUAUAGCACAUCUCUAUUUUAAAUUCUGUUUGUACUCUGUAAUAGAUGUAUGCUUUGACAUUAUGCGUGGAUCCUAAUGUUGUAAUUAGAAGUUGAAUUUGUAGUAUUAUUGUGGCUAGUCUUGCUGCCUGUUUUAGCUUAUUUGUGAGUUUUUACUUAAAUUAAUGGCUUUCGUCACCCUUUGGGUGUCGGCCAGCACGUGAUAAUCCCGAUGUCACGAGGACAUCGGGAUCGGGGCGUGUCAGAUUGGUAUCAGAGCAUGAUUCAUUCAGAGCAUACUUAGGAUUCUUUUCCACCAUUUGGUAAUUAUAAUUCCCCUUAUAUCCUUAAUUUUCUGUUGUUCUAAAUCUUUCUUGUUUCUUAUCAGAAUUAUGGAUCCCGCUGGUGGGCAUGUACCUCGUCGAGCUCGUUUUGGUAUAGGGGGAGGACUUGAGCAAUUGGCUAAUGUUUUGCGAACUGCCCUUACUGGUAGAUCAUCGAAUCGCACCUAUAUUGAGAUUGCUACCAGUCAUGGUAUUCCAGAGCUUAAGGUAGUGGGAGCCUGUCCGGAGGCUGAGGAAUGGUUAGAGCAGGUGGAAGAUACUCUGGAGGGUAUGAGAUGUCCACCAGGUGAGUGGGCGGAGACUGCUGGGUUUUUUCUUAAGGGUCCUGCAAAGAUUUGGUGGAAAGGAGUGAAGCAUUCUCGUCCACGAGGCACUUCGAUGACUUGGGUGGCAUUCCGGAAAGCUUUCAGUGCACAUUUUCUGAGUCCCAGUUAUCAGUUGAGGAUGAGACAACAAUUUCUGGAGUUUCGUCAAGGCGAUCUGAGUAUCACAGAGAUGGAUAAUACUUUUCGACGCCUGUCGAGACACCAUCCGGUGACUUAUGAUAACCCGAGUGAGAAGAUGGUUCAGUUGCUGGUUUGUUUGAACCCUGAUUAUCGUGAACGAGUGGCAGCUAUAAGGCACAGAAGUUAUGAGGAAAUGAUUGAGACUUGUUUGAGGAUUGAACAAUCUAGGUGGGAGACUCAGCACCAGGAGGAGCAGGCGCAGUAUCAGGAACCACCCAGAUAUCAGGAACAACCUCGGAACCAGAACCAGAGAGGUCAUGGUUUUAGAUCUCGGAGUGUGAGGAAAUCUGGUAGCUCUUCUAACUUUGUUGGCCCUAGACACUCUCAUUCCUUCAAACGUCAGGGUCAAGGUUCAGGUUCUUCCAGCGAGGGUUCGGGUAAUGAAUCAGGGAGGCGAUAUUUCAGUCAUUUUCGAUCGCAGGUUACGUGCCACAGGUGUGGAGGCAUGGGACAUAUUGCCAGAUUUUGCCCUUCAGGACAGCCUGCUGAGAGUUAUGCAUCGGUGCCGAGUUAUGGUGGAGGGAGUAAUCCGAGUUCUAGCUAUGGAGGUAAUUACACUCAGAGUUAUGGUGGAAGUGGAAGUGGAAGUCAGAAUACCCAAUUUUCCACUCAGAGACAGCCGCAACAGUUUGGUGCAGCUUCGAGUAGCCGCUCUCAGGGGAAUCGAGCAGGCCGUAAUAAUCAAGGUUUCAGAGCUCGUGGUAACCGUAACAGUGGUGGAGGACGUCAGUUUCAUGGACGUAUCAACGCCAUGACACAGCAGGAGGCUGAUCAGGAUCCUCAAGUCAUUACCGGUAUGUUACUUAUUUGUGGUAACUGGGCGAGGGUUCUAAUCGAUCCGAGUGCUACUUUUUCUUUUGUGUCUUCAUCUUUUGCACCGAAUUUAAAUGCACCACCUACACCUCUUGGUUAUGAUAUGCUUGUGCAAAUGCCGCAAGGGGAUCUGUUUUGUGCUCAGUGGGAGUAUAAAAGUUGCCCAGUGGUAGUGGAAGGGGAAAUGAUGGAGGCUAAUCUGGUCCCUUUUCAUUUGGCGGAGUUCGAUGUGAUUUUGGGGAUGGAUUGGCUAUCCAGGCACCGGGCCUAUGUCGCAUGUUGGGAGAAAUCUGUGACGUUCAAUCGACCUGGACGACCGUCAAUCACAUUUCAGGGUGAGCGACGAAUCCUUCCUAGUAGUAUUAUUUCCGCUAUUCAGGCUACUAGAUUGUUGAGUAGGGGAUGUGUGGGAUUCUUAGCUCAUGUAGUAACGAGGGAUAAAUCUUCGUUACGUCCUAAGGAUGUGCCAGUGGUGAAGCAUUACACCGAUGUUUUCCCGGAGGAUUUACCAGGGUUACCGCCUGCGAGGGAAAUUGAAUUUACCAUCGAUUUACUUCCAGGAACAGACCCUAUCUCUUUAGCACCUUAUCGCAUGGCACCGGCGGAGUUGAGGGAAUUGAAGGUUCAACUUCAGGAAUUGGUGGAUAAAGGUUACAUCCAACCCAGUAUGUCUCCCUGGGGUGCUCCUGUUUUAUUUGUUAAAAAGAAGGAUGGAUCGAUGAGACUUUGCAUCGACUAUCGGCAGUUAAACCGGGUGACGGUGAAGAAUCGAUAUCCUUUGCCUCGGAUCGACGAUCUGUUCGACCAGCUGAAGGGUGCUCAGAUAUUCUCUAAGAUAGAUCUUCGCUCAGGUUAUCACCAGUUGUUAAUUCGGGAGGGAGAUGUACCGAAGACUGCUUUCCGCACUAGGUAUGGACACUUUGAAUUUCGUGUCAUGCCUUUCGGACUGACGAAUGCACCUGCAGCAUUCAUGGAUUUGAUGAACAGAGUUUUCAGACCGUAUUUGGAUCGGUUUGUGAUUGUGUUCAUUGAUGAUAUUCUGAUCUUUUCCAAGAGUGUCAGCGAGCACAAGAAGCAUUUGAGGUUGGUGUUGGAAAGGUUGAGCAGUGAGCAGUUGUAUGCUAAGUUUAGCAAGUGUCAGUUCUGGCUAACCCAAAUUAGCUUUCUCGGUCAUGUAGUAUCUGCUGAGGGGAUUAGUGUGGAUCCUCAGAAGGUGUCAGCAAUAACUACGUGGGAGCAACCGAGGAAUGUUACUGAAGUGAGGAGUUUUCUAGGUCUGGCUGGCUAUUACCGAAGAUUUGUUAAAGGUUUCUCAGCCAUUGCCUUACCUCUGAAUAAGUUGACUCGAAAGGAAGUGGAGUUUAAGUGGGAUGAAGAUUGUGAGCGGAGUUUUCAGGAACUGAAGCGAUGUCUUACUCAAGCUCCCGUUCUUACUCUUCCAGACGAUAGCGGUGAGUUUGAUAUCUACACGGAUGCAUCAUUAUCAGGUUUGGGUUGUGUACUGAUGCAGCAUGAUAAAGUCAUUGAUUAUGCUUCCAGACAGCUCAAAAUUCACGAGAGAAACUAUCCCACUCAUGAUUUGGAACUUGGUGCAGUAGUGUUUGCUUUGAAGAUCUGGAGACAUUACUUGUACGGUGAGAAGUGUCGUAUCUUUACUGAUCAUAAGAGCCUCAAGUAUAUCUUUACUCAGAGGGAUUUGAAUUUGAGGCAGAGAAGAUGGAUGGAACUUAUCACUGAUUAUAACUGCACGAUCGAGUAUCAUCCCGGACAUGCCAAUGUAGUGGCAGAUGCACUUAGUCGGAAAUAUCAUGGAUAGCUUGCAUCUCUCCAAGCUAUUCAUGUUCCACUACUAUUUUCUCUUCGAGAAACAGGCUUGUCGGUGAGACCGGGUGAGCAAUGAGCGUGGUUGGCAAAUUUCCAAGUUAGACCUGUUUUGGUGGAUAUAGUCAUAGAAGCUCAGGAGCUUGAUCAGGAGAGUGCCAACAUUAAGGUCUCGGUGGAAAAAGGAGAAGAGAAGCAUUUUAUCAUCCGAAGUGAUGGAGCCUUGAUGUGGGAAAACAGAUUGUAUGUUCCUCAUGAUAACGAAGCAGUGAAAAGAGCAAUUCUGGAUGAAGCACAUUUGUCAGCUUAUGCCAUGCAUCCGGGAAGUACUAAACUGUAUCGCACUAUCCGUCUGUUCUAUUAUUGGUUGGGAAUGAAGCGGGAUGUGGCGGAUUAUGUGAGUAGAUGCAUCAUUUGUCAACAAGUAAAGGCAGAGAGGCAAAGACCUGGAGGAUUGAUGCAGAAUCUUCCGAUACCAGCAUGGAAAUGGGAAGACAUCACCAUGGAUUUUGUGUAUGGUCUGCCGAGGACGCGGUCGAGAUUGGACGGCAUAUGGGUAAUUGUUGAUCGACUGACUAAGACCGCUCAUUUCUUACCUGUUCGACAGACCUAUUCAAUGGAGAAAUUAUCGAAGUUGUUCAUCGAUAAUAUUGUUAGACUUCAUGGUGUACCUGUCUCUAUUGUUUCAGACAGAGAUCCCAGAUUUACUUCCAAAUUUUGGAAAGCUUUUAAUACUGCCAUGGGUACUCAGUUGCUGUUUAGUACUGCUUAUCAUCCACAGACUGACGGUCAGUCCGAGAGGACAAUACAAACAUUGGAGGACAUGUUGAGAGUGUCUGUUCUUCAGUGGAAGGGUAGUUGGGAUAACUAUCUGCCGUUGGUUGAAUUUGCAUACAACAACAGCUACCAUUCGAGUAUUGGUGUGGCACCUUAUGAAGCCUUGUAUGGGAGAGUGUGUCGAACGCCGUUGUGUUGGGCAGAGGUCGGCGAGCGAGUAUUGUUGGGACCGGAGAUUGUAGACACUACCAAUGAGAACAUCCAGCUGAUAAAGAGAAAUCUCAAGGCAGCUCAAGACCGACAGAAAAGCAUAGCGGACAAACAUUCCAAAGAUCGUGAGUACAAGAUUGGUGACUUUGUAUUCUUGAAGUUGUCUCCCUGGAAGGGUGUGGUUCGUUUUGGUAAACGAGGAAAGUUGAGUCCUCGAUAUGUUGGUCCUUAUCAGAUUACGGAGAGAAUUGGUGCAGUUGCCUAUAGAUUGGAGUUGCCACCGGAGUUGUCUCAGAUUCACAAUGUUUUCCAUAUUUCUAUGCUUCGGAAAUAUGUAUCAGAUCCCUCUCAUGUUAUUCAGCUAGAGCCGCUGGAAGUAAGUCCGGAUGUUAGUUAUGUUGAAGAACCAGUGGCUAUUCUUGACCAGCAGAAUAAAGUGUUGAGGAACAAGGUCAUUCCGUUGGUGAAAGUGUUGUGGAGGAACCACGCUACUGAAGAAGCGACGUGGGAAACGGAAGACCUGAUGAGGAGUCAGUAUCCGUAUUUAUUUGCUUGAAGUUGUAAUUUCGGGGACGAAAUUUUUAUAAGGGGGGUAGAUUGUAACACCCGCCCCCACUUAUAAAAUUAUAUGUGUGUAAUAUUCCCUAAAUAUUCUGAAUCUAUCAAUUUUACCCUUUUUGGACUACCCUAUCAGGAUCUAAACAUUGGAUCAUUCUUUCUUUUCAAACUGCCACGUGGCAGCUCCCUAGCAAUUUCCCUGUCUUCUCUCUUUGUCCCCCCCCCCGUGACUCCUUCUUUCUCUUCUUCUUUUUCUGUUUUCUUUUCUUUCUUCUGUCUGUCUCUCUGUCCCUCCCGACUCUAUCUCUUUCUCUCGUCUCUCUCUCAUAGCUCCCUCAUCUCUCUUCUCUGCAGCAACCCGCACGCACGCACCCGUCUCCCCCGCGCGAAGAAAACCCAUCUCCUUCUUCUCUCUCCCUCUGUCCCGUGCUGCGAGCCCGGAAACCGGAGAGGAACUCCGGCGAAACCUUUAUUUUCCCGGUUGGGACGAAUCGAAGCCGGGUGUAAGCACACCCAACUCCGGCGAUCCCGAGGGUGUCGGGGCUUUUUCCGGCCAUCUCCGAUCGUUCCACGACGAAAGGAAGGUGCAAUUAUUAACGGUGAUUCUGUUAUACCUUCUUGGUAUAGCUUUGCACCGUUGGUGUACGGUGAGUGGACCCCUUCAAAAUCAUGUUUAACAAUAGAAAUGCAUACAUGAAAAGCAUGAUUUAAUACUUAUGUUUUACGAAGUACUUUAUGAGAUAUAUGCUUACUGAGGCUAGAUUGAAUUAUUACUAUUUUUCCUAUAACCCAUGUUCUUAUAGAAUAUCCGAUGGAUGACGAUAUGAUAUUAGAACAUGUUUAGAACACCUCUUUGUAGUAUAGAUGAUGGAUGACUUUAUACUACGAAGUUGUUUUUCAAUAUGUUAUGCUCAAUGGUUUUGUACUUACCUAGUGGUCCUUUCCGCUACGGGACGUAGGGAUAGAUUCCGGUCCGUCCCGAGCGACGGUUUGGUGUUGGCAUAGGGCCUGGAGUGUGUUUCCUCUGGCUAUUUAGCACAGGGACGGGGAGCCGGCAUGGGGCCUGUAGUGUAUUUUCCUCUGACUGUCUGCUCAGAGACGGGGAGCUGGCAUGGGGCAUGUAGAGUAUCGGACAAUUCACUAAUGUUUAUUACUUAUACAAGUUAUGAAUUUGAGAUAUUGCACGGCAUGCUAGGUUUCGGAAAAUCUAUUUUGAUCAUGAUAUAUGUGUUUUCAUUAAACCUGGGGGUUAGUAUGUUGAUAACUGUUUUAUUAUAUUUAUAUCAAACUGGUCCACUCAUGUUUGUUUUGCGCCCCCUUCAGGACCUACGAACGAGGAUUACGAUAUAAGCUACGAGGCUUUUCCCUAUCAGUGAUCCAGUGCUAUACUUCUUCUGCUUCGAUAUCUUUUGUAAUAUAGCACAUCUCUAUUUUAAAUUCUGUUUGUACUCUGUAAUAGAUGUAUGCUCUGACAUUAUGCGUGGAUCCUAAUGUUGUAAUUAGAAGUUGAAUUUGUAGUAUUAUUGUGGCUAGUCUUGCUGCCUGUUUUAGCUUAUUUGUGAGUUUUUACUUAAAUUAAUGGCUUUCGUCACCCUUUGGGUGUCGGCCAGCACGUGAUCAUCCCGAUGUCACGAGGACAUCGGGAUCGGGGCGUGUCAAAUUAAAUAAAAGUUAUAAAAAAAAAACCGAAUCUGCAACCCAGAAGAAGAACCUUCUGGGUACGUGUUUGCAGUUGCGGGGCGAAUUCUAGAUCUUAAUUGGAUUAUUAGUUUCUGUUGUAAUAUGGUAGUUAGAAGAUUAAAAAAAACUAUGAUUUAUGCUUCAUAUGCUAACAAUUAACAGAUAAUUAAUGAAAUUUUUAAUUUUAAAUCUAAAUCCUAACAUAUUUUACAAUAGAAGCUUAAAUCUUAAUUUACUCAAUCACAUGGAUUAUUUUAUAACUACCUUACUAUUAAUUCAAUUAAACCUAUUAUUUCUACGAAAACUAACAAAAAUUUCAAAAAAAACUUUAGUUUUAAUGAAAAAAGAAAAAUGAAGAUUUGGUAAAUAAUACCAAAAAAAAAAUAAAAAUAUAAAUUUUCAUUAAAAAUGAACAGCAUCAAAAGUGUUUUAUUAAUACUCCAAUUAUUUAUUUACAAAUACGUGACUAAAUGAAAGGGAGCACUCAAAAUGAUGAAAAGCAGGAGCACCGAAGGCUAUCUCCGUUUCUUUGUUGAGUGGACAGCUGUCUCUUCGUCUUCUUUUGGCAGAUAGCUCCUAGUGGCCAGCCUAUAUUCCACAGCUGGUUAUAGGAUUCGGUUGCUAUAUAAGAAGUGUUUUGUUGUAAUUCAAUAUCGAUAGAAAUCCAAUAGGAUCUUUUUCAAAAUUUUGUGCGGAUUUUGGUAUGUUCGUAAAUCGUAUUUGUUCAUAUUAUACGCUCAUUUUUCAUGGAAUAUUAUUUUUGUUUAAUUUUAAAUAAAAUAAUUUAAAAUAAUUUUUUAUUGUAACAUGUACAAUGAACGGAUAUGAAUUGAUUCACAGAUCUUCAAAAUCCUUACAAAGAAAAUCCAAAAAUAAUCCGAAUUCAAUGGAGAUAAGUUAAUUUUGAAUCAAAUAACAUUAGGAAAAAAAAUUAACAUUAGACGGUUUUAAAUAAUUUAUUGUAUAUUUUUAGGGAAUUGUUAUUAGCACUUUAAAAAUCUCAUUUUACACUCCAAACUUUUUAUAUUAGAAAAGAAAAAUACACUUAUGAGGAAUGUAGAAUAAGAUUUUUGAAUUAACCAUGCAAAAAUGUAAUGUUAAAGCAUCAUGUCAUACAGACCUCUUCAAGGUACCAGAAAUUUUUGCACUAAAGAUGUCACAAGCAGCUGAUAUGAAGCUGCAUUUUCUGUGAGUUGAAAUUUUGUCAAUAUAAUCGAUCACCUGAAGAGAGAGAGAGAGAGAAAGACAGUGAUGUCCAGAGAUGUGAGCCUAAAUGCUGAGUGUGUAAAAAAAGAAGAUUAAAUGGAUAGCAAGAAUAUACAACUUUAAUGCUGAAAAGAACAUUGAAUAUGAUGCUCAUUCAUCAUUGCCAUUGAACGUGUACCUUCUUCUUUUCCUCUUUCUCAAAAGCAAGUAGAGCCUUGAAGACUUGCCUAUAUGAUCCAUCAUCACAACCAGGCAAAGUUGUUUUAAUCAUAGCAACAAUGGCUCUAACUAACUACCUGCCAUAAGAAACAUGCUACAUCAACAAGAUCACAGAGUGUACCAGAAACCGUAAUGUAGCAAAAUCUUAGAUAAAAUAGCUGGCCAAAAGGGAAUGGAAAAGCAAGCACAAAAAACAAUGAAAAGGACCAGUGAUGCCAAAAUUCUGGUGGAAAAGGUGAAAAGCUUAUGUCUAUUACAGUUCUUGUAUGCAUUCUUUAUAACUUAAGUUCUACGUAGCAAAAACCACCUUAUGCACAACAAUAUUGGAAAAAUUAGAUACAUACAACUGAGAAGAUAGGUUUUCAUAAUCUGGACAAGUGCUAACUACCUUCUUCCUAUAAACUGCCACUCCAUGAACAUUAAAUGGUAUUUUCCUUUCACGCAAGGCUGUCUGGAAGACUUUUCCUGAUACCUGUAGAAUAAAUUACAAAAGAAAAUGUGACCAAAAUGUCUUAUAUGAUUCACCUCAUUCACAUUAGCACUAAGGCAAGUAAGCUUGACCUGCCUCCGGUAAAGGAUUGCUAUAUUUCCAUAGGAGCACCCUGCUUCUGACCGUUUAGAUGCAGUCUCCAGGAUCUUGUCGACAACAAAGGCGCAUUGUGCAUCCUCAUUGUGACUUUCCUUGAUAAUUACCUACAUUUUGCCAGUAAAACCAGUGUCACUAACUAAAAGGACUGAAAAAUGACAUCAAAUUGUACUUGUUGGAGCAAGGAAAGAUUAAGUACCUUAGACCCAGAAGAAUUGUCCGUGUCAACAUUCUUUAGUUGGCAUCACUUCUUAUUGUUUUUUAUAACAGAAGAUGCAGCUUCCACACAAUAUAGCGUGUGGACCGAAAGUUCUUAUUAAGCCUAAUCUGAACCAUAAAGUUAUGUCAAAUCCCACAGAACCCCAUAAAAUAAAACUUACUUUCCUGUAAUUGUACAAUAUAUUUGUUCUAUACUAUAUAUAACGAAAAAAGACACCGUGAAUGACAUAAGAUAACAUAGCAGUCAAGUGCGAAGCGAACCUCUUUGUAAUUUGAAAAAUCUUUACGAAAAGAAUCAAAUCCAGAAAUGUCCGCCCCAUUGAAACUGAAAAUGGACUGCAGCAGGAUAUAUGUUAUUUGAUUUAGAACAGAUAAGGGCUGGAUUAGAAUGAGCUGAGAGAGGGAGAGAGGGAGAGACGGAGCAAUAACAUUGGAUUUCCAUAAUAAAUCAACAACAUGCCUGAUCAUCAUCACCAACAAUGGUUAUGUGGUUAUGAGAGGCGAGAAUCCGCAAAAGUCUAUAUUGCAUAGCACUUGUGUCUUGAAACUCGUCUAUUACAAUAGCUUUCCAUGACUCCUGGCACUCCUUCAACACUAAUUAAGAGAACACCAUGUAUCAACAUUUAGCAUUACUUGUAAAACUAGAUAAAUCAAUGAAAUAUACUUAGAUGAUAGAGACCUUCAGGAAAAUCACUUAGCAGCUUCACAGAGCAGCUAAUUAAGUCGUGGUAGUCCAAAGCGUUGCACGAUUUCAAGAUAUCAUUGUAAUUCCUAAGAAUUUCACCCUGAUUCAGAUUGAGAGCUAAAACUCAUAAGCAAUAGUUUCAAAGAACUGAAAUGAUAUCUGAAAUUCUAGUUCUGAGCGUACUCCUGUCACAUCACCCAUUCUUUGGCAUUCAGCGGGAGUUCUUUCCAGAAGCUUUUGCCUGAAACAUAAAUAAAUUUAUUGCCUAAUGCCACAUAUUGUAAGACACACCAUUGUAUUGGUCACUCUAGCUAAGCACAAUGAGCUUCAGUGGCAUACGGCGGUCACACAACACGCCGGAUGCACUCUUCCACUUCAUCCAUCCAGCUUGUAUUCUAUGGUUGAGAUCUCCAUCUAAUUCUCCGUUCUUUUGCAAAAUAGAUCCUAGGUAACGAAAACGGUCGCUCUUUGAUAUUUCUUGAUCUCCGAUCCUCACCCCUAAAUCGUUUUGGCCUCCAUUUGCACUGAACUUGCACUCCAUAUAUUCUGUCUUUGAUCGGCUUAGGCGAAAACCUUUAGAUUCCAACACUUCUCUCCAAAGGUUAAGCUUUGCAUUUACCCCUUCCUGAGUUUCAUCUAUCAACACUAUAUCGUCUGCGAAAAGCAUACACCAAGGAAUAUCACCUUGAAUAUGUCCUGUUAACUCAUCCAUUACCAACGCAAAAAAGGUAAGGACUUAAGGAUGAGCCUUGAUGUAAUCCUACAGUUAUGGGAAAGCUUUCGGUUUGUCCUUCAUGAGUUCUUACGGCAGUCUUUGCUCCUUCAUACAUAUCUUGUAUAGCUUGGAUAUAUGCUACUCGUACUCCUUUCUUCUCUAAAAUCCUCCAAAGAAUGUCUCUUGGGACCCUAUCAUACGCUUUUUCCAAAUCUAUAAAGACCAUGUGUAAAUCCUUUUUCCCAUCUCUAUAUCUUUCCAUCAAUCUUCGUAAGAGAUAGAUUGCCUCCAUGGUUGAGCGCCCUGGCAUGAACCCGAAUUGGUUGUCCGAAACCCGUCUCUUGCCUCAAUCUAUGCUCAAUGACUCUCUCCCAGAGCUUCAUUGUAUGACUCAUUAGCUUAAUACCACUAUAGUUCAUGCAAUUUUGUACAUCGCCCUUAUUCUUGUAGAUAGGCACCAAAGUGCUAAUUCGCCACUCAUUCGGCAUCUUCUUCGUUUUCAAAAUCCUAUUGAAAAGGUCAGUGAGCCAUGUUAUACCUGUCUCUCCCAAAACUUUCCACACUUCGAUUGGUAUAUUGUCUGGGCCUACUGCUUUUCUAUGUUUCAUCUUCUUCAAAGCUACAACCACUUAUUCCUUCCGGAUUCCACGAUAAAAAAAGUAGUUUCUACACUCUUCUGAGUUACUCAACUCCCCUAAAGAAGCACUCAUUUCAUGUCCUUCAUUGAAAAGAUUAUGAAAAUAACCUUUCCAUCUGUCUUUAACCGCGUUCUCUGUAGCAAGAACCUUUCCAUCCUCAUCCUUAAUGCACCUCACUUGGUUUAGGUCCCUUGUCUUCUUUUCCCUUACUCUAGCUAGUUUAUAGAUAUCCAACUCUCCUUCUUUGGUAUCUAGUCGCUUAUACAUAUCGUCAUAAGCCGCUAACUUAGCUUCUCUCACAGCUUUCUUCGCCUCUUGCUUCGCAUUUCUAUACCUUUCACCAUUUUCAUCGGUCCUAUCCUUGUAUAAGGUUUUACAACAUUCCUUCUUAGCCUUCACCUUUGCUUGUACCUCCUCAUUCCACCACCAAGAUUCCUUUUGGUGUGGGGCAAAGCCCUUGGACUCUCCUAAUACCUCUUUUGCUACUUUUCGGAUACAACUAGCCAUGGAAUCCCACAUUUGAUUAACUUCCCCCUCUCUAUCCCACACACACUGGGUGAUUACUUUCUCUUUGAAAAUGGCUUAUUUUUCUUCUUUUAGAUUCCACCAUCUAGUCCUUGGGCACUUCCAAGUCUUGUUCUUUUUUCUCACUCUUUUGAUAUGUACAUCCAUCACCAACAAGCGAUGUUGAUUAGCCACGCUCUCUCCUGGUAUAACUUUGCAAUCUUUACAAGUUAUACGAUCCCCUUUCCUCAUUAGAAGAAAAUAUAUUUGUGUUUUUGACGACCCACUCUUGUAGGUGAUCACAUGUUCUUCUCUCUUCUUAAAGAAGGUGUUGGCUAAGAAGAGAUCAUAUGCCAUUGCAAAAUCCAAGAUAGCUUCCCCAUCCUCGUUUCUCUCCCCAAAACCAUGGCCACCAUGAAAACCUCCAUAGUUGCCUGUCUCCCUGCCCACGUGUCCAUUUAAAUCUCCUCCUAUAAAUAACUUCUCCGUCUGAGCAAUUCCUUGCACCAAGUCUCCAAGGUCUUCCCAAAAUUUCUCCUUCGAACUCGUAUCCAACCCUACUUGAGGUGCGUACGCACUAAUCACAUUGAUAAGUUAUUGUCCUAUUACAAUCUUGAUUGCCAUGAUUCUAUCUCCUACCCUCUUGACAUCUACAACAUCUUGUGUCAAGGUCUUGUCCACGAUGAUGCCAACACCGUUUCUCGUUCUAUUUGUGCCCGAAUACCAUAGUUUAAACCCUGAGUUUCUAGAUAUAUAUAUAUAUAUAUAUAUAUAUCAAAUGGCCCCUAAAUGCUAUUAAAAAUCUCAAAAAUUAACAGGAAACUAAAACAAAUUAGAAUUUAUUCAUGGUUUCGCAAUUCCCAGCCGGGUAAACUGGUGGCCGUUGUAAGAGAGGGCCUCCAGCCGGAUAAACAUUUUCGAGUUAUAUGAUAUUUGUAUAGCAAAAAUACUUUAAUAGCAAGUGCGCGUGAGUGAAGAAAUUGAACUUACUUAUAUUCUUUCGAAUCCCAACCGGAAAAAUUGCAGGCUCUGGGAAGAGCGGACCUCCAGCUCUGCACCUCCUUCACGUCAACGUUAGAACGACCUUCAUGUUUAGCAAAAGCUUCUGCAAAACUUCCCUCGAGUUUACGAAUAUUGGACGGAUCGACUUGGUAGAAAAUGGGGAAUACAAUCUGGUUCUUGGAAUGGUUGCAUUCCAAGAUUUCCACGAGUUCUUUCAAGCACCAUGUGGAUGAAGCAUAGUUUUCAGAGAAAACUACAAUCGAAAUCCUUGACUCUCGAAUCGCUGUCAGGAGCUCGGAAAGGCGGUCGCCUUUUCUGAGGUCUUCGGCAUCAAUGAACGUGUUGAUUGGUUUCUGACGCAGAGCUUUGUAGAGAUGGCUGACGAAGCCCGUGCGAGUGUCUUCCCCUCUAAAAUUGAUGAACACAUCGUAUUCCCAACCAAGGCAAGAAGAAGAAGAAGAAGCAGCAAUUAAUCGAUCGCACCUGGGCAGCGAUGAUCGAGCAGCUUAAGACUAAGAGAAUUGUAAGUACAGAAACACUCAAUAGAUCUACAAAUUGGAUCACCAGAAAUUAGUCAAUGAGUCAAUGCAAAAGGGAAAAGGGCAAUUAUGCUUUUUGCGUUUUCACAUCUUCUUCAGGAAAUUUCGGUGUGAAAGGAAUCCGCAUACUUUUGAUUUUUCAACCCAAGAAAAUGCGAAGAAAGGGGACAAAGUAGUAAAUUUAAUCUACAGUUGCCUACCCAACAACCUCUUGAUUUAAUAUAUAUUUAAUUAGGAAAAGUAGUUUAGAGGAAGGAUGGUAUCUCCUUUUCUUCUCUCUCGAUCAGUCAAUCUUCCCGCGUGCGAUUUAAUCAUGAUUAAAGCUAAGCUUAAUCUUAGAUCGUAUUAUUUAGGUCUAAUUGGAUUCUUAAUUCUUGUUGUGAUAUAGUAGUUGGAAGAUUAAAAAAAAUUAUGAUUUAAAUGUUUGUGGUGAAGUCUGUUACGAUUUAGUUUCAAACUUGAAAAUUUCGUUAACUCCGUUAAUUAUUAGCACAUGAGACUCACAAAUGAAACUAAAAAUAUAAAGUUAGCCUCACAUGUAAUCUUCACGUGCUAACAAUUAAAAGAGAGUUCCGUUUUAGCUUAAUAUAUGUGACUCACGUGUUAAUAAUUAACGGAAUAUUAACAAAAAUUUUAAUUUUAAGCAUAAAUUCAAAUAAACUUCACCACAUAAGCUUAAAUUCUAAUUUAGAUAUCUUCUAACUAUCUUAUCACCAUAAAAAUUAUAAUCAAAUUAAACUUAUUAUUUAUUUAUAAAUGCGUAAUUAAAUCACAAAGUGUUGAAUGAAAGGGAGCACUCCAAAUGAUGAAAGAUGUGUGAUAUCCACACAUCUUUUUUUUUACUUUUUACACAUCGUUUUAAUUUUCGACUGUCGGAUCGAAUUAAUUGAAGAAAAUCAAAGGAUAAAAAUCAACAAAGGGUGUGCAAGAAGUAAAAAUGAGUGUGUGGAUAGUCAUCCCAUGAAAAGCGGGAGCAUCGAAAGCUAUCUCCGUUUCUUGUUGUCUAUUUGUCUUCUUUUGGCAGAUAGCUCCUAGGGACCGGCCUAUUUUCCACAGCUGGUUAUAGGACUCAGUUACUAUAGAAGGAGUGUUUUGUUGUAAUUCAAUAUCGAUGGAAAUCCAACAUAAUCUUUUUCAAAUUUUUGUGAGGAUUUUGGGGUGUACGUAAAUUGAUUAUGUUCAUCGUAUAUUAUGUGACCAUUUUUUAUCAAAUACUAUUUGUGUUUCAUUUUAAAUAAAAUAAUUUAAAAUAAUUUUUAACUGCAAGAUGUACAAUGAACGGAUAUAAUUCACAAAUCUCCAAAAUCCUUACAAAAAAAUCCGAAAAAGAUCCAAAUUCAAUGGAAAUAAGCUAAUUUUGAAUCAAAUUACAUUACUUUAUUUUGUAAAUAAAUUAAUUUUGAAUCGAACAACAUUCAUUUAUUAUGUAAGUAAUUCAUUUUGUAUGUAUCAUCAUAUAUAUUAGGCACAUUUUAUCAUAGGUGAUUUUGUGAAAAAUUAAUAAAAAGUUACAAUAUUAACAAUAGAUCAAUAAUAUUUAUGUUAAUUAUAAAUAGGUUAACCAUAUGUUGUGAUACUUAAAUACAUUUAAAAUAAAUAAAAAUUACAAAAUCUGACAUCCACUGCGACGUAGGAGCCACGGUGCAGCCCAAACUUUGCAGAUAAGAAAUCUGGUAAUUCACAGCAUGACAAACAAAUUACUGGGUCUCCUGACCAUCGUUGAUGCCAAUGUGUGCACAAGGAAAGGAGUAAGGUAAUCAAAUGCGUUAGUCUUGUGUACCUGUUUCGGUGUUGGUUUGGAUGAACCCAUUGAGUUCUCGAUCCUUAACUUCUGGAAAUGCUCCUGAAAGCAUAAAUAUAUGUACGGAUUUAAACCAAUGACAAAUGGACAUAAUUUACGGACAAUGAUUGAAGAAAAUACAGAUAUAAACGCCUCAGUAUUCCAUUGACGAAAGUUCUAGAUUUGAUGAAUCAAAAGUCCCACGUUGAGACUGCGUUAAGGCAAAUGGUUCUCAAAACCUGUUUUUCCCUCAUCAAAUGAGCGCGUUGAUCUGCAGGUAUUUUCUGCCAUCUCAAAACCUGUUACAAAGAAAUAUAACGUUGAUGUCGAGCUGGAUAGCAUAUUAUACCAAUUAUGUGUACAAACCUAUUGAAAUAAAGUAGCUGUAGUUGCAUAUUACGACAGAUAUUAACGAAAACAAAAGAAGGCUCGCCUAUUCAAGAUCCUAAAUCCCGUGAUUCUUUUGUUUUUAGUUUCAGAAAUUUUCAGAGCAAACUGGAAAGUACCAAGAUACUUACAUAUUGGGCAUAAUGAAAUGCAUCUUCAUCUUUCAAGCAAGAUUUGAGUGAGCGCAAACCGUCCUGAGAGUUACAUAAGUCAAUCAGUAAUAUAAAAACGUAGACGCAUCACAUCCAAACACAAGUAUUCAAACACCAACAACUUCUUCAUGCGGUGAGGCAUGUUAAAAAAUAGGGAAGAACAGUUAUUGAAUAGGAAGUUAAAGGACUAAAUUUAUGACCUUGUGUUUGUAGUUCUUGGCUCGUAUGCGUUCAUCUAUUACAAAACCAAUCUGUAACAGGUACAACAGAAAAUAUAAGCAGUAGUCAGAACAUUAAUCUUCGGCAUUCACAUUGCCACCAAUCCAAAGUUAAAAGUCUGAAGGCAAAACAGUAUGAUUCUUAUCUCUCAAACAAAAAUGAAACUAUACCCCGGUCUCAGACAUAAAUGAAAUAAGUUCUACUGCCUCAACUGAGUACUGUGAUUAUAUAUAAAUCCAAUUCACCUUGUCAAGUAAUCUCUUAGGAUCUUGAAAUGCUUCCUUCUUAGCCCAGUCAUUAAAUACAUGCGAGAAAAUUGAUCUCUCAUCCACACUGAAUCUAUUGCACAGUGACAGAAGAAUAAAGUUAAACAUGAACAUAACCAACCAAAAUGCUAGUUAUAAUAGUACACCCAUAAUUGCAAGCAAAACCUUUUUAAGAAGCCAUUUCCAUGGUUUUCCUCCCAAAUUCCAUCAAUUCUGCAGAGGCAACGUCAAAUUUACUAUGAUGGAGAUCAUUUUGCACUGUAAUAACUUCAGAAGGUAGGAGAUUUGGUUUCAGAUCAUCUGUUGACGGAGUAGUUUCUUUUGAAGUGUCAUGAUGCUUUUGAUUGCAAGCCUUCUGUACUUACGUCAGCCUACAAAACAAAAAUUGCAUUCAUCCACACUAGACUUAAUAAGAUUAGAAACACUUCAGAUUCUUCAUUAUUUGUAUUUUUGACUAAACAGCAGAACAACUGAGGAUAAUGAACAGUAAUACACACCUGGACUUCUCGUAGAUGAUUUGGAAUUUCUUUCAGAAAUCGCGAAGGUUGAAGCAUCUGAAGGAGUCACCUUCUCAGUCAGAGCAACAACAACAAAUAAGGAGGACAGGAAUUCAAGCUAAAACGAACCUGCCAACUGGAAUCCAUCGUAACAUAAAGAAUGAAAAGCUUUUUUCGAGCACGAGUCAUUGCAACAUAUAAUAGGCGUCUCUCCUCCUAUGAUUAGAGUGGGAUUAUUGAGUUAUUGACCAAAAGAAAAAAGAGUGGGAUUAUUGUGAAAAACAUGUCAAAGCUCUGCAUAUAACUGAAAAAUGUUGAACAAUUUACCACACACCUCAAUGGAGGUCCCAUUUUCUUUUGCAACCCCAUUGAAUUCAUGCAACAACGGGAUCUCAGAUUCAUUUACCUGUGUUAUUGGCAUGAGCAUUAAAGCAAGCUAAGAUGAUUUGAAGAGGUUGAUAUCGUCAUGAAUAUAGUAGAACAGAAUACCAAUUUCAAGCCAUCAAUUAGGUAUAGCAUUGGCAUGUUUAAUCCGUAAAUCUAAUGACAGAACACCUCAACUCUACACAUAAAUAAAUAAACAACCUGAAAAAUAUUACAGCCACAUGUUAAGGCAAAUACCUUAAUUAUGAAAACUAUAUCCCACUCUAAACCUUUUGACUGCAAGAGAAUGAAAAAGAAAGACAGUAAGCCAAGAAUGUUUUGUAGAACUCCAAAGGAAGUCCAAUAGGGAAAUCAUCGCAAGUAUAAGAGUUAGCGAGGUUCGCAUAAGAGGAUAUCAAAAAGAUCUAGAACCUGAUGAAUAGUAGUCAAAGUGACAGAACUUUGGUUGUCAUGUCUUCGGGAGUGAAAAUUUUCACUCUCCUGCUCAGAUAUGUAGUCGAUGAAAGCUUUGAGUAAAUUAACGCAGCCUUUUUCUUCUGCUACGACUUCUCUCUCCCCUUUUCCCGCAACAAAAUGAGUUGAUAAGAAAUCAGAUACGUCGUCUAGUAGGUACUGAAGAACCUGCAAUGAGAAUAAUCGCAUCACAGCAACAGGGUUGGACCAAGAUUUAAGUGACAACAAUGAUUAACUAACUAAAAUAGAGAAAUUAUUCAUUUAAGACCUUGUUGACGGAAAAAAGGGUUUUCCAAGCAGCGGGUCAUUUAAGCUUAUUGUAUAAAUGACAAUCAUCACAAACGGCAAACUUACAGAUCUCACGUCAUUGUCUUCAUUCAGCAGUUUUCCUCCAUCUACAUCAACGACUGCACGUUGCUCAAGACGGUACUUCUAAAAAUUGAAAGUCAACAACAACAACAACAACAACAACAAAGCCUUUUCCCACUAAGUGGGGUCGGCUAUAUGAAUCCUAGAACGCCAUUGCGCUCGGUUUUGUGUCAUGUCCUCCGUUAGAUCCAAGUACUCUAAGUCUUUUCUUAGAGUCUCUUCCAAAGUUGUCCUAGGUCUUCCUCUACCCCUUCGGCCCUGAACCUCUGUCCCGUAGUCACAUCUUCGAACCGGAGCGUUAGUCGGCCUUCUUUGCACAUGUUCAAAAUCACCGGAGCCGAUUUUCUCUCAUAUUUCCUACAAUUUCGGCUACUCCUACUUUACCUCGGAUAUCCUCAUUCCCAAUCUUAUCCUUUCUCGUGUGCCCACACAUCCCACGAAGCAUCCUCAUCUCCGCUACACCCAUUUUGUGUACGUGUUGAUGCUUCACCACCCAACAUUCUGUGCCAUACAACAUCGCUAGCCUUAUUGCCGUCCUAUAAAAUUUUCCCUUGAGCUUCAGUGGCCUACGACGGUCACACAACACGCCGGAUGCACUCUUUCCAUCCAGCUCGUAUUCUAUGGUUGAGAUCUCCAUCUAAUUCUCCGUUCUCUUGCAAGAUAGAUCCUAGGUAGCGAAAACGAUCGCUUUUUGUGAUCUUCGCUAGAUUUCUCCGGUCAUUAGUGUGGAUAAGUAUAUAAAUGGAUAGAGAUAGGAAAGCAAACACAAGAUGUACGUGGUUCACCCAGAUUGGCUACGUCCACGGAAUAGAAGAGUUCUCAUUAAUUGUGAAGGGUUUACACAAGUACAUAGGUUCAAGCUUUCAUUUAGUGAGUACAAGUGAAUGAUUUUAGUACAAAUGACAUUAGGAAAUAUUGUGGGAGAAUGAUCUCGUAAUCACGAAACUUCUAAGUAUCGGAGUGUGGUGUCGUCUUGACUUGCCUUAUCUGUCUCAUAGGUAGAUGUGGCAUCUUCUCUGGAAGUACUCUUCCUCAAACGAUAAAUUAUUAAGAAGCAUUGAAUAUAAGCAUGAAACGAAGAAAAUGUUAUGGAAUGGUGAUCCUCAUCCUCAAAGAUGAUUAAAAGCAAUUUGAUUCAAAAAUGACAUAUCAACUCUGGAGAAAUGGAAGACAAACCUGUGGUACCAUAUUCGCAACUGAGGUUAUGACAGCUGAAAUCGAUUGUUCCUGUGUGCAUUGAUAAGUGAGACUACCAUAGAGAUUCACAACUAAAUAAAGACAGGUAUUCCACAGAACAACCUUUACCUCUUUGGAAACACAGAUCUAACAAAAACUAUAACAUUUUGGAUUAAUAUUGACAAAUCAAGAAUAAUGCAAGGGAGCAAGAGAUACUCUUCCUUCUAAUAACAAGGAGGCGUGAAAAGUAUACAGAGUUCCAACAAUUAGAGAACUAAAAUCAAACUAAAAAAAUCACCAAAGUAGACAGAAUCUCACUUCGCCAAAAAUUUGAAAAUAUACCUUUUUAUCCAUUGAGAUUCAUGAACUACUACUACUACAUCAUGCCAAUAAGCAAUGCGUAAGAGGAGCUACAAUUUACCGAAUAUAUUUACCCUGAGAACAAGUUUUGAAAUCAUCUCUAGUGUUAACAGCACCUUGCGUCCUUGGGUAAGCUGAGUCCUAUUAUCAAGUAAAGAGACCAAUCAGUACAUAUCCAAAAGAUCUUAAAUGCUUGUAAUACCAAAUAAGAAAGAAACAUGAGUAUAUCUUGAAUUAACCAUGCAAAAAUGUAAUGUUAAAGCAUCUUGUCAUACAGACCUCUUCAAGGUACCAGAAAUUUUUGCACUAAAGAUGUCACAAGCAGCUGAUAUGAAGCUGCAUUUUCUGUGAGUUGAAAUUUUGUCAAUAUAAUCGAUCACCUGAAGAGAGAGAGAGAGAAAAAGACAGUGAUAUCCAGAGAUGUGAGCCUAAAUGCUGAGUGUGUAAAAAAAGAAGAUUAAAUGGAUAGCAAGAAUAUACAACUUUAAUGCUGAAAAGAACAUUGAAUAUGAUGCUCAUUCAUCAUUCCCAUUGAACGUGUACCUUCUUCUUUUCCUCUUUCUCAAAAGCAAGUAGAGCCUUGAAGACUUGCCUAUAUGAUCCAUCAUCACAACCAGGCAAAGUUGUUUUAAUCAUAGCAACAAUGGCUCUAACUACCUGCCAUAAGAAACAUGCUACAUCAACAAGAUCACAGAGUGUACCAGAAACCGUAAUGUAGCAAAAUCUUGGAUAAAAUAGCUGGCCAAAAGGGAAUGGAAAAGCAAGCAUGAAAAACAAUGAAAAGGACCAGUGAUGCCAAAAUUCUGGUGGAAAAGGUGAAAAGCUUCUGUCUAUUACAGUUCUUGUAUGCAUUCUUUAUAACUUAAGUUCUACGUAGCAAAAACCACCUUAUGCACAACAAUAUUGGAAAAAUUAGAUACAUACAACUGAGAAGAUAGGUUUUCAUAAUCUGGACAAGUGCUAACUACUUUCUUCCUAUAAACUGCCACUCCAUGAACAUUAAAUGGUAUUUUCCUUUCACGCAAGGCUGUCUGGAAGACUUUUCCUGAUACCUGUAGCAUAAAAUACAAAAGAAAAUGUGACCAAAAUGUCUUAUAUGAUUCACCUCAUUCACAUUAGCACUAAGGCAAGUAAGCUUGACCUGCCUCCGGUAAAGGAUUGCUAUAUUUCCAUAGGAGCACCCUGCUUCUGACCGUUUAGAUGCAGUCUCCAGGAUCUUGUCGACAACAAAGGCGCAUUGUGCAUCCUCAUUGUGACUUUCCUUGAUAAUUACCUACAUUUUGCCAGUAAAACCAGUGUCACUAACUAUAAGGACUGAAAAAUGACAUCAAAUUGUACUUGUUGGAGCAAGGAAAGAUUAAGUACCUUAGACCCAGAAGAAUUGUCCAUGUCAACAUUCUUUAGUUGGCAUUGCUUCUUAUUGUUUUUUAUAACAGAAGUUGCAGCUUCCACAAUAUAGCGUGUGGACCGAAAGUUUUUAUUAAGCCUAAUCUGAACCAUAAAGUUAUGUCAAAUCCCACAGAACCUCGUAAAAUAAAACUUACUUUCCUGUAAUUGUACAAUAUAUUUUUUCUGUACUAUAUAUAAUGAAAAAAGACACUGAAUGACAUAAGAUAACAUAGCAGUCAAGUGCGAAGCGAACCUCUUUGUAAUUUGAAAAAUCUUUACGAAAAGAAUCAAAUCCAGAAAUGUCCGCCCCAUUGAAACUGAAAAUGGACUGCAGCAGGAUAUAUGUUAUUUGAUUUAAAACAGAUAAGGGCUGGAUUAGAAUGAGCUGAGAGAGAGAGAGAGAGAGGGAGAGAGGGAGAGAGGGAGAGAGGGAGAGAGGGAGCAAUAACAUUGGAUUUCCAUAACAAAUCAACAACAUGCCUGAUCAUCAUCACCAACAAUGGUUAUGUGGUUAUGAGAGGCGAGAAUCCGCAAAAGACUAUAUUGCAUAGCACUUGUGUCUUGAAACUCGUCUAUUACAGUAGCUUUCCAUGACUCCUGGCACUCCUUCAACACUAAUUAAGAGAACACCAUGUAUCAACAUUUAGCAUUACUUGUAAAACUAGAUAAAUCAAUGAAAUAUACUUAGAUGAUAGAGACCUUCAGGAAAAUCACUUAGCAGCUUCACAGAGCAGCUAAUUAAGUCGUGGUAGUCCAAAGCAUUGCACGAUUUCAAGAUAUCAUUGUAAUUCCUAAGAAUUUCACCCUGAUUCAGAUUGAGAGCUAAAACUCAUAAGCAAUAGUUUCAAAGAACUGAAAUGAUAUCUGAAAUUCUAGUUCUGAGCGUACUCCUGUCACAUCACCCAUUCUUCGGCAUUCAGCCGGAGUCUUUCCAGAAGCCUUUGCCUGAAACAUAAAUAAAUUUAUUGCCUAAUGCCACAUAUUGUAAGACACACCAUUGUAUUGGUCAUUCUAGCUUGAUUGUAGCUAAUAUUUUUUAAAUCGAAUGAUUAGAGUUCUUAAUCCACAAUAAUCUGAACAUUAAAUUUGGUAUUCAAGACUAACCUGUGUCACCAACUACAGCCAUUUCCUUGAUGCAUCCUUAAAAUGAUGUGGAGAUGUUACGCCGUUAGACUCUUCCCCAUCUAUAGCAACAUUAAGAUUCGUUUACUCUUUUCAUCUUCUGAUAACCGCACAGCUUCAAUGAUUGCUCUUCUCUGUUGCCCAUGUCCAUAUAUCAAAAAUUCUGGUCUGCGCUCGAGUCUAAAACACAAGCCAACAUAACAGACUCAGCUAUACCACCAAAUGUAUGGUGUUCAAAAUCAAGGGAGGUGAAUCAAUAGCUUACUUCUCAGCAUGUGAUCGGCAAAGUUGCAAUGAAAAUGAAUGAAAUGUACUGAUUGUUAGUAGUUUUGCCGUUGCUUUCCCAGUCACAGAUCCAAUUCGAUCUCUCAUCUCGGAAGCUGCUGCUGUAGUGAAAGUCAUUGCUAGAAUGUUCGACGUGCUAAUGCCCUAAGAACACAAAAAAAAAAAAAAAAACGUAUAAGAUUUCGAUCAUAAACAAGAAAUGUAGAGAAACACACAAUUACGAAAGAAAAAGUUAGAGGGAAAGUAGCAACACCUCAUUGAGCAGCAUUAGAACGCGCCCAACUAUCGUUGAAGUCUUUCCACUUCCAGGGCCGGCAACAAUCAUCAAAGGUACUGAAAUAUCGCUGCAAGCUGCCUCGCGCUGCCUUUCGUUGAGAGAAAGCAAAUACUUCAAUACUCAUCCGGCAUGUUAGGCAAUCCAUGGUUAACAGAAUCUUUUUGGUUUUCACUACUCAAAGGUGGCGCUGAUGCGGCACUAACGUCACUACCACAACUCCCAAUAUCAUCACGCUGAAUGUCCACACUCGGUUUCUGCUCGAUUAAAGCGUCAAUUUCCUGCAAAAUACUCUCGUCGAAAUCAUCAUCGUUAAGAAUUCCAGAUGCAGAGAAAGAAUCAAAUGAAGUCAGAAACUGCGGUUGUCUGAUUGGAGUUGUGAAAGAAUCCGAUUUUGACACGCUUGAUUCGGUCCGGCUAACGCUUAAGCUCCCGGAACACGAAGCACUGCCAUAUUCACCACGCGUUGAAUUGUACCGGCUUGCGGAAAUCGGAGGCGGUGUUCUUUGAACUCUAUUGAGCUGAGUUGGCGUUUGGAUUCCAUUUCCGCCACAGAUUCUGGAAUUUGAAAAACACAAUUGAAUUGAUUUAAAUUGAAGCAAGAAAACAGCCGAGUAGCAAAAAAAUAGUAAGAAGAUGAAACCUUUGAUUCCUGAACGACUUACUUGGUAUGAGGGAGGUGAUGAUCAGGUGAAACGGCGUCGUUGCGGGGGCGUUUGCGAUCAAUGAGGGCCUUGGCGGCUCUGAAAUUCCGAGAGAUGCGGUUUCUUUGUUCCGCCGUGAGCCCUCCGCCGUACGCCUGAACGUUUUCCUUGGACAUUGCUUCGAAGAUUCCAACGGAGGAUUUGGCCUGACGGCCUGACCAGGCUGAUAACAGUGUAAAACCUUAGGAGCUAAGGAAAACUAAGAGAUAGAUCGUAGAGAGGGAAAGUUUUUUCUUUUUGGAAACUAGUAGGGAGGGAAAGUUUGUUAAACCUGAAUAAUAUUCUUUUCAUUCAACUUGUCUACAAUAAUUACCACUCUUGGUAUUUAUACAUUUCUAACACACCUCACUAACUAACUAAGACCACUACCAAUCAUACAAAAAUAAUUGUCCUUUGAUGAACUCUUUCACGAACAAAGUGGCAAUCAAUCUCUACAUGUUUGGCUUUAGAGUGCAAUACAGGUUUAGUGGCAAGAGCCAUUGCUUAAAUGUUAUCACAAUGCAAAACUGGAACAGAAGGAGAACCAACAUGCAAAUCUCGAAGAAGAUGUUGUAUCCAGAUAACCUUAGCAGUGGUUGUAGCCAUUGCUCUAUAUUCAGCUUCAGUGGAAGACCCACUCACUGUAUGCUGCUUUUUAGAACUCAAAGAGAUAGGAGUGACAAAACCCAUGGUUGAACGACGAUCAUUGUGAUCCCCUGCCCAAUCAGCAUAUGUAUGAGCUUUCAACUAAGAUGAACCUGAUUUAAAACACAAUCCCAGAGACAUAGUGCCUCUGAGAUAUCGCAGAAUACGUUUCACAGCAGCAAAUGAGUGGCUAAUGGUGAAUGCAUAAACUGACAUACUUGAUUGACGGAAAAAGAAAUAUCUGGUCUUGUAAAUGUUACGUAUUGUAGUGCCCCAACAAUACUUUUGUAAGUGGUAGGAUCAGAAACAGGUUCACUACCAUGAUUCAGAAGCUUUUGAUUAGGAUGACAAGGUGUGGAAAAAGGUUUACAGUCCAGCAUAUGCAUCUUUUGAAUGAGUUCUUUGACACACUUGGUCUGAUGAACAAAGAGUCCCUGUUCUUGAUAUUCAAUCUGUAAACCAAGAAAAUAAUGCAACACACCCAGAUCUUUCAUGUCAAACUCACUAGUUAACUGACUAAUAACAUUCUGAACCUUCACAGCAUCAUUACUAGUGGGAAUGAUAUUAUCAACAUGUAAUAAGAGAACAAUAAUUGAUGAACCAUCACACUUGACAAAUAAAGAAGGAUCUGCAUAUGAUGACUUGAACCCAAGCUUAGGCAAAUAACCUGAAAACCUGUCAUGUUAGGCUCUGGGAGCUUGCUUGAGUCCAUAUAAAGACCUCUCUAGUUUGCACACAUAAUCCGGAUAGGUAGAAUCCACAAACCCUUGGGGCUGAGACAUAAAAACUUCUUCCUCAAGAAAGCCAUGCAAAAAAGCGUUCUUGACAUCUAACUGUUUGAGUUUCCAAUUAUGAGAUGCAGCCAAGGAUAGAACCAAUCGAACUAUGUUUGGUUUGACCACAGGGCUAAAGGUUUCAUAAUAGUUAAUACCAACUUCUUAAGAAUACCCCUUAGCUACAAGUCUAGCCUUGUACCUAGCCACUAAACCAUCUGGAUUUCUCUUAAUCUUGUAGAUCCAUUUACAACUAACAAGAUUUUUGUCAGGUGGUAAGGGCACAAGCCUCCAAGUAUGAUGUUGAAUCAAAGCAUCCAUCUAUUCUUUCAUGGCAUUUUGCCAUUAAACACACUUGACAAUACUAGAAAAAGACUGAGGUUCCUUGAUUUCAGAAGCCUGAUCCACCUUAGCAGAAAACACCUUCUUUUUCAUAAUCCUAGACUUAGACCGGGUUUGCAUGGGAUGACAAUUUUGAGCAUUGAUACACACUGGUUGGAGAUCAUCCACUUGAGACAUUGUAGUAUUUGGAUGAUCUUUUGAAUACACAGUAGGCAAAACCUCUGAAGAAGGCACAAAACUUGUGGAAGAAGAGACAAGAUCACCAGAACUAGUGGGUUGAGAGGAUGAUGACUGAGUAACAUGUUGUGAUUUAGAGGUAAGAGAAGUGGGACCAAUAAAUGGAAAUGUGGAAGAAACACUAGGUGGAUGAAUGAAUGUGUUUGAAUGCACAACAGACAUUGGUGAGGAAGAAUGACCAGAAGUAACUUGAGGAUUGAAACCCAAAGCAUUAGAGUCUGUAGGAAACUUGGAUUCAUCAAAAAUAACAUGUCUAGAUACUAACAGUUUCUGAUCUUUGAGAGAUAAGCAAAUAUACCCUUUGUAUUGUGUAGCAUACCCCAGAAAAAUACACUUAGUAGUUUUAGGUUCAAGUUUAUUGCUUCUAUAGGGUUUCAAUGAAUGAUAGCAUAAACAACAAAAAAUUCUCAAAUGAUCAAGCUUAGGUGGAGAUUUAUAUAGCAUUUCAAAAGGAGACUACAUAUGUAGGGUAGGUGUGGGCAUUCUGUUUAUAAGAAAAGUAGCAGUGGCACACGAAUGGAACUAGAAUUUUGAAGGUUGAAACUUGUUGUAAAAAGGUAAUAGCUGUUUCGACAAUAUGUUGAUUUUUUCUCUCAGCCAACCCAUUAUGUUAUGGGGUAUAAGGACAAGAUUUUUGAUGAACAAUGCCUUUGGUAAGAAGAAAUUGCUUAAACUGAGUAUUAACAUAUUCCCCACCCCCAUCACUUUGCAAAAUUUUUACAUAAGCAUCAAAAUAAUUCGAGACAAAAGCAAGAAAGUUGACAAAACAGUGAGGGACCCCAAACAUCUAUGUGAAUUACUUCAAAUGGAGUAAGUGACUUCGAAGCAAUUACAGGAAAAAUGGAGCUUGGUAAAAUUUGCCUUGCAAACAAGCUUUACAAGUAUGAGAUUGAGAGUUACAAGGAAAAGAUAUACAAGACUUAUUAAGUGCUGCAGUGACAAUGGAAUGUGCAGGAUGGCCUAAUCGACAAUGCCACAAUGUAGAAUACAUCUUUUGACCCACAAAUGCAAUUGGAUUAAAAACAGGAGAAAUAGACCUAUGUGGUUUGAUUAUGGGAAGUGGAUAGACAACAUUAUUACUCAGCCCUUGGAAUAGCACUUUCCCGGUGACCUUGUCUUGUAGAUAGAGAGAAACAUCAUCAAUGAUACAAUGACACUGAUUAUCUUUGCACAACUGAUUCAUAGAUAAUAAGUGUUGUGACAGUUUUGGAACAUGUAACACAAAGUUUAACUUGAAAUUAUGUGACUUAGUGAGAAGAGAAGAGGAACCAAUAUGUUUGAUAGCUAAACCUUCACCACUAGCACUGGUCACAGUAUCAUUUGAUGGAUAAAUUUGUUGCCAUGUGCAAGUUUGACAAAUCUGAGGUCAUAUGGUUAGUUGCUCCCAAGUCAAGAAACCAUAAAUCUUGUUGAAGAGUUGAGGAUGAUGCACCAGCUCGUGCUUGUAUAGCAAGAGGAGGAUUUUGUGAGGAUAUAGUUGAGAGAUACAUAUGUGGUAUGACAUGAUACUGAAACUGGGAGCUAUUAGACCGUGGAAUCAUGCCUUGUGAAGGACCACAUGGAUUCUAGCUAGGUGCUUCGCCAUAUGACCCAGCAGGCAUUGGAGUUGGCAUAGAUGAGGAUAAACCCUGAGAGAAAUGCUUUGAUGUGCCUGUGAAAUUCUUAUUUCGAUCAAAGCAAGUAGCAGCAACAUGGCAAUUUCUGUGACAAAUUUGACAUCCAUGUUGAAAACAAUUCAAUGCAAAAUAAACUUUGCGAUCACAUAUUUGCAGAAAGGCCUUUGCAACCCUAGAAAGAAGAAGGAGCAAAGAAGACCAAAUGUGUACGUUUCUCUUUGGUUUUUUUUCCCUCUUAAUCACGCUGUUCGAAAUCACGGACCUCGGGCCUGGGCCUAGUGGGCCCAAUUAUGAGGCCCAUUAUCUCCGGUCUUCUCGUUCUACUUCUAGUUACCCAAAUUAAGAACGUACUGGUUCGCUUUUAGCGCGAGAGAGAAAUGGAGGCCCUGAUUGCCUCGUACGGAGACUCGUCGUCGGGCUCAGACUCCGAGUCGCCGGCUCCACCUCCAUCACCACCUCCGGAGCUCAACAACCCUCAAGAACCGACCCCUGCGCUGCCUCCACCUCCUCUGUCACUUCUCGACAACCCCAAUUCCUUCGGUAACCUCUGAUUCCCAUCAAUUUUCAUCUUUUAGCUUUCUGUUGUGAUGGCUUUUUCCGAGUUGCCCACCAAGUAUUUGAUGUUUUGCCUCUGAAGGAUUUCUGGACUUCUCGGCAAGCGCCCAGCCGAGCAGAGUUCGGAACUUUCCUCACGUCGAAGGGAACUACGCAGUACAUGUAUACAUCCCAGGUUAUCAAAAUUCUCGAAAUUUUCAGCUCCAUUAGCAAAUGCGAUCGCUUUGCACUUAGUUUUUGCUUGUUUAAUUCUGUGGUCAGUUUAUAUACCACCAGCACCAAGGAAAGAGAUGGCCUUGUUUUUGAACAAGCUAGCUUCUCUGGUGCCUGGUCUCCAUGCGGUUGACGUUGACUUCCUGCUUGACAUUCUGCGUAAGGACGAGCACAAGCUUGAACAAGUUGCUUUAGGCAGAGAGUUCCAUAUAAGUCUCGGAAGAACUGUUCCGAUUCGGGUGCACCAGAUUGAUUCCUUGGUGACAAUGCUGCGGCAGAAGCUUCAGAUUCAGAGGCGGUAUGGUUACAUUUACAUUCUCUUGUCUGCAUUGCGUGAAUUUAGUUCUGUUAUUUAACAUAAUUCUGUAAGCCUGCAAAUUUUUCGUCCAUUUUCAGUUUAACACAUUUUGUUAUUGUGAAACAAGUAUUGGAUUGAUUUUAGCAAGUGGUAGGUUUUUGUUAAUGAUGAUCAGACCCGGACCUUUGUGUCUAUCGAAAUCAUUGCUGCUGGGUUAGCUGAGGUAUGAUUGCUAGCUUUCUCUCUUGGUGCAAUUCUAAAUGUUUUCAGUUGUUAUAUGGGCUUAAGAUUUAGCAAGGACUUGCCGAAAGUCAUGGGAUUUUGAAAUAUCGAGAUCUUGCUUGCUUAUUAGCUUAGAUUUGGUCUUCGAUGCACUUGUAACAUGAAAAACACAAACGAAAACUAAUGCAUGAUAUGCUCAUGGUUUUAACAUGUGUUGUCCUGGCGUAAAUCAUGUUCCUAAUCAUGUCAUGUGAGUAUAAGCCUAUGAAACUUAGGGCAUGUUUGGCGGGCUGGACAAGAUUGGAAUUGGUAUUUCAGACUAGUUAGGUUAGGAUUGAACUGGAUAGGAUAGGUUUUUUGUCUAAAGAUUGGUGUAGACUGUCUUAACCAGACUAGGAACGAUGGGAUUUAAAACGUGAAACAGAUCGGCGACAUCCCAACGAUGACCCGCCCACCCAACAACUCUGCUCGUGACUUGCAACACCUCUCGUACCCUCCACGCCCCUUGCGGCCCGUCAGACCACUCUGAUAUCCUGGAGGAGUGAAACGUGGUUACUAGAAGCAUACCUGUUUUCGUAUUAAUGCACGGUUGAAUCAGCUUUCAUUGUCUACAAGUCUGAAAUAUUUUAACUUCCAUUGAUUUCAGAUAACAAAGCAGAUUCAAGCUGUGAAUGAGGUGUAUAAGCUUCACAAUCAUCCUAAAUUUUACAAGGUUAGCUUUUUCGUCCUUUUCAAACUCGAAUCGCUUCCUGAAUAUAUGACAAUAUAUUGGAUCAAAUGAUUUCUCAAAAAACUAAUUCACUUGAUGGGGUCUUGGUGAUCACAGGAUCCACGCCCUCACAUCUCGGUAGCUUGGGCAUUGGGUGACAUCAGCAAUUCCCUGAACAAAGUGGUUGAAGAAGAAAGACGAAGAUCUACCAUCGGAGGAUCGUUACAGAAAUGUAUUUUUACCAGUAAAUUCAAUGGUAUCGAAUGUAGGAUUGGUAAUAAGACACACAAAAUAUGUAAAUUUUCUGAAGAAUAAUGUAGCCAUUUAACUGUAUUGUGAAAUUCCGAGAAUAUAUCACUGAGCAUUGGAUGAGAAGACAUUUCUUCGUUGGUGUCGAACUUCUUGUCGAAGGUAUUGGCACCAGUGUAAACGUCAUCAUCCAUGUUGAUGGUAAUUACUUCCCAGCUACUAAGGGUGUCGGAACAGCCUUGCACGCAGCCUCCUGUGCAUUACUUGGUAUUGUCUCAGAUUCUCCAAACUUGAAUGCUAAUGUAAACCCACUCUUGACCUUUCCGUCAUCUGCGAUUACCGGAAUGCCGGCUUGGAUGUUGCCGUUGACCUACCGAACUUAAAAUACCGACGAAAUGUUGGAGUACUUAAGUGUACUACUCGUUUUUGUAUGCGAGAGCUCCACCUCUAUCGUUGUAACAGCAUCUGAUGCGGACUAGUCCUUCAUUCCCGUUACUCUUUGCCAUCUCCACUUCGAACUUGGCGUGAUGGCUCCCGGCCUCCUCUCCGGUGAAAUUGAGUAACCCCGGAGCUGGCGUGCCAUCAAGAUUUCCGUCGUGUCUCUAUUUGCUGUUGUGGUUUGGUUUCACCACUAUAAACUUGGCAGAGUUGGCAUUUUCAUUCUGUUGUCUGUAUAUCUUGAUAUUACAAGUAUUUGUUGUGCAAAAUGCAUGCUAAGUUCAACUUAUGUUUAUAUGUGUGUGUGUGUGUGUUGCCACUUUUCCAACGUUUUCUCCAAAAUUGUGACGAGCAACAAAGCAGUUUUGAUUCCGUGCACAACAACGAUACCUCGAAAGAAAUUGAUUCUUCCCCAGAAAGAUGUUUUAAAACAAAGUUGAACAAGGGAAGAAAACUUUUGAAUCGCAAUCAGAUGUCUGGUCAAAUUCUUUAACAGUUGAUGUAUACAGAAGUUCCUUGCUUAUGACACGACUUAUGAGAGGAUGUAUGUAUUGCAUUUGCAUCAAAAGAAAGAAAGAAGGUUGUAAGUGGUAAGGGAACGACUACCGAUGCCGCUCCACUUCUAAUCAAAGGGAUCGAUCCGAGGGUCGUGUUCACUUGCCAUCGCCAUUCCAGUGCAAAGGCAUGUCGGGCACAUUACCUGCCACAUUUACAGACGCAAUGUUAGAUAUAGCUGCCAUUUGGAAGUCAUCUCUCAAAAUUUUGCUACUAAAUCAAUCUUAAACUUCAUUUCCAGUGCAAUUUUUUUCUUCUGAAUUGUCUUUCACAUGCCCGACAAAUAGAAGUAUCACCAAACAUGUGAAUAUAGAGCAUCUAAGCGGCAGGCACUAAAAGGAAUUUAGUAUGCAAUAAACAUUCAACGGACAUAAUUAUAUGUCUAACCUUUCCCGCUCCUGAGCAAUUUGAACAUCGUUCAGUUUUUGGCAGAGAUAGGGGUUGGUUUCCGCCAUCAGCUGUCGAUACUGGUUCAGUAAGAACAAGGGUUCCAGUGCUGGAGCAACGAGCACAAGCAAGAGAUCCUGCGUAAGUAUCAAAUACACAGGUAAGUUGACAUACGAAACCAAUCCGAACAUCUCCAUCGUAUAUAUUUAAAGCUACAGUACAUAAACUAAAAGUCAGAAAUAUAGGACAUUAUCACACCAGUUCCAAGACAAUAUUUGCAUCGUUUAUGCUCCUGCUGUUUCACAUUGUUUAUUUCAACUACCAUCAAUGCUGAGAUCACUCCGACUGCUCCUCCAGAGAAUGACGCCACUAUGGGAUCAACUUGACUGCAGUUUGAAAGUAAAGGAGAUCAAUAAACGAAACUGGUAACAACAUAGUAUCAACAUUAUUUAGCUUCGUUUCAAGAAAGAUGACAUCCUAGGUUUUUCUAAUGUGUAAAAAUUGAGGAUCCUCGUAAAAUUUGACCAUAUCGGUUCCCAAAGCAUUUGAUUCCUACGUUACAGACGGAAAACAGCAACAAUCGAAUUUAAAGAUUCAUAACACGAUAGAUGGUACAAAAUUUCAAAACGAUAAUUACUAGAGAACAGGAGGGUUAAUAGCCUGAGAUAUGAGCAAUACCUCAACUGCAACGGCAGAUGCAUAUUUACUAUAAAGUCUUUAUAUGAUGUGCCUCCUAUUCCCAGCUUCAACUCCAACUGAAAGAUGUAAAGGUAAUUGUAGGCAAAGAGUUACAAACAUAACCGAAUCCAUGUUUUAUAAGCAACAACUACACUUAUUUUGAUAUGUUUCCUCAUUUUUUACUUGCAAAUUCCGAACCAUAUUGUCGGACCAGUAAAAGAAAAUAAUGUUUAUGAUAACUGUUAAAACUAAUUACAACAAGUUAAUGCAUAAAGAACUUACGGAGGGUGCUAUGAGGCCACCGAAAAGGAUAAACCCCACAAUAAUUGAAUAACAAACAGCAUAAUACUGCUUAAGGUUGUCUGAACUCUGCAAGCAAUGAAUUCACCUUGUGAUUAAUACUUUGCACAAACACUAGUUUUCGCAAUUUUUUAUGAAUCGACAAAAGGCUACAACAAAAUAUGGCUAAAACAUGUCGGGGAUAUGAAAAUACAUGUCUUCACAGGGGCACCAGCUUACCAGGGGAGGCAAAAAUGGAAUGAACGAUGGAAAACUAGGAAGUUCGUUUUCUUGAUCUUCAUUUACCGCUCCAAGCUCUGCACGUUUAAUCCGCUGUUGUAUCCUCAGCCUGCGAACCUACGCAUAUCGAAGCUCAUUCUUAAAGAACACAUUUCUAAUGGCAAUUGGAGAGUAAUUUAAAACAUGCUAAACUGAGAAAGUGGUAGCAACUAGUAAUUGCUCUCACCUCCUCCAUAUGCAAGAAAAUUUUGUUGCGACGACUCCGAAUAUUAUCUUGAAUUUCCUGCAGCUCCAUUGUGGCAAAAUCCUGCACUGUUUCAGGCCCCUCUAUGAUACAAAAUCUGCACCAUUAAGCAUGUAAAAAUUAAAAAUUACAGGCUACAAAGCAAUUUCCGUAUAGUUGUUGGGUUAAAUAACAUCAACAGCAAAUAAAUCACAUAGGUUUUUCACAUAAAGUUACAAACUUUCAAGGACUAAUAAGCUGUCUGCAAUCUCAUAAAUUUCACAGUGCAAAGUAACAAUCCAAAGCUUGGAACUUUAAAUUUCCACCUUCUGUUAAUUUUUUAGUGCACCUGGUGUCGUUAGAUUCGAGUAGUAUGUCACAUUAAAUUUUUUUUUUCUGUGCAUGCAUUUUUUUUUAAAAGAAAAUUUUAUAUUGUUAAAGAGCGAGUUCGAAACUAUUACAUUAUGGAAGGACAUAGUACCGAAACUCCGACGAUCAAAAACAAAAUCAUGUACAACCACUCCAAGCAGUCAACAUGGCCAUCACAUAUUGAAUCCAAAAUGUUGACGCCCCAUUCGCUGCAUAUAAUGUACAGACGAGCGGCAGCUUCAACCAGUUCUGCCAUAUCCGGCUGGAUGAGAGCAGCUAAAGACAUGAUUGUUCCCUAAUAACAUGAAUAAAUUGAGUAAACACCAAAAGUAGCAGCAAGGGAAGGAGAUGUGAAGUAUAUGAAGAGGUGUAAGACCUGUGAAUGUCCAGCAACAAAGAUUUUGGAGCUUGUUGUCGAAUAAUGCAACGCAUCAUUUCUGGUAGAUCAAAUAGAGCCAAUUCCCGCCAACUCCAAUUCCAAAAUUUCUACAGUAAAGCAUAAAUCUUAUUCUCUCUUCUGAUAAAGAUGAGUGUCCCAGACUCCAACGUGUUCCACACACAUUCCCUACCCAUACAUCGAAACCUUCAUCUGCAAGGACGAAUCCCAGCGAUUCUUCUGGAGAAUUUAAGAAUCAUGCAUCACCUGGUUAAGAUCAAGAAAAGCCAGUAACCAAGUUCAAUUGAGUUAAAAUGUAUCCCAUGGAUGUUCAUCACUUUGCCCAAUUGUUCUUUUCAAGAAAGGAAAUUUCAACAGAACCUGAAAACUUCAGAUCAGGGGGCACCAAAUAGUGAGCUAUACAUUCAAAAUUUGAAAUAAUCAACUUAGUAGGACCAGUAUGUUGAAAAAAUGGGAAGGAGCUAUGAAAGUAAGACUUUUCACUAAUCAGGCGUCCAGAGAAUCCAUAUUUUACCCGCGUAUCAGUUACGGGGAACACUCCCCACCAGAGCAAUCUCAUUAGUCCUUCACAUCUCAACCGUACAGAAGUUGCACUAACAAACAUGACUCCUAUUAGUCCUUCACAUCUCAAAUCCAGGAAGUACCCAUCUUUCGUCUGAAUCUGGAAAAUAAGCAGCAGUCAAUUUAACAAUCUCGGUAUCUCAAAGUUACUCACUUUAAUCACAAAUUUAGCAAUUAAACAUAUAAAUGGGCAUUUUUUUAGGGAAAUAUUAGUAUAGUACUCACUGUGUGCUCGGAGCAAGAGUACCCAGAAAGCUCAAUGAGCUGCGCACAGAGGACUGCAGUGGUGAACGACAGCGACCAAUUCUGUAAAAUUUAGUCGAGUUUUGGGAAAUUUCUGCAGCGAUUUCGGAGGUCAAGAGGCUGAUAAGGAAAGCCGCGACCAAAGGGCACUGGUCUGGAAGAAAGGCUUUGGUCGCCGCUAUCGCAAUUCGCGAAGGAAGAAGUGCCCCAAAACAAUUUCGGCCCUGGACAGGUGCACUGUUUGCACUGAGCCAGGGCCGGCCCUGAAUCGCGAUAACGUCCUUCUCCAAACAGUAUAUAUACAGAUGCUAGAAAAAUCUACCGGAACUAUUCAAUUCUAGCGUCUACAGCUUUAGCAUUAGUUGGUACAAGGGGCAUUCUUCCAAAGAGGGAGAUGAAAUCGUUGAGGCACCAAAUAGUGAGCUAUACAUUCAAAAUUUGAAAUAAUCAACAUGGUAGGACCAAUAUGUUGAAAAAAUUGGAAGGAGCUAUGAAAGUAUGGCUUUUCACUAAUCAGGCGUCCACAUAAUCAAUAUUUUACUCACAGAUCAUUUACGGGGAACACUCCCCACCAAAACAAUCUUUUUAGUCCCUCACAUCUCAAACCAAGUAGAAAUUGCAGUAACAAACACAUCUCAAACCCAGUAAGUACCCAUCUUUCGUCUGAAUCUGGAAAACAAGCAGCAGUGGAUUCAACAAUCUGGGUAUCUCAAAGUCACUCACUUUAAUCACAAAAUUAACAAUUAAACAUAUAAAUGGGCAUUUAUUUAGUGAAAUAUUAGUAUAGUACUCACUGUGUGCUCGGAGCAAGAGUACCCAGAAAGCUCAAUGAGCUGCGCACAGAGGGACUGCAGCGGUGACGACGGCAACCGAUUCUGUAAAAUUCAGUCGAGUUUUGGGCGAUUUCUGCAGCGAUUUCGGAGGUCAAGAGGCUGAUAAGGAAAGCUGGGACGGAAGGGCACUGGUCUGGAAGAAAGGCUCAGGACACCGCUGUCCCGAUUCAUGAAGGAAGAAGUGCCCCCAAAACAAUUUCGGCUCUGGACAGGUGUACUGUUUGCACUGGACCAGGGUCGGCCCUGGCGAUAACGUCCCCCAAACAGCACAUAUACAGAUGCUAGAAAUAUAUAAAUGUAACCUGAAACUACUAGAACCAUUCAAUUCUAGCGUCUACAGCUUUAGCAUUAGUUGGUACAAGGGACAUUCUUCCAAAGAGGGAGAUGAACUCAUUGAGGCUCUUAUUUAUUCCUCCUCUUGAUGUGCCCUUUUAGGCUGCUAAUUCCACACGAUCCAAUUUCAUACAUCUUCCCUGCAAAAGCAUGUGUGCCUGACUUCAAGAUCAAAUUUUUCCAACAAAAGAAACUUAAAGAUCAAACUCGCUAGCGGAAUAAGUGGUGCACAAGGGUGUUAAAAUCUUGACAUAUGUAUAUUUUUGGCAGAUUUUAUGUGAGCAUGCAACUAAAACUGGCAUCACUAUCAAUGGUGCACAAAGAUUGGUGGAAAACUUUAACAGUUUGAGUUGUAACUUCUCCAUUGUAUUUGUUAAGGCAAGACGGAUGUCAUCUAUUCAUUUUUCUGUAAAACUUAAAAGGCUGCAUAGCAGCUCUUGUUCGUUGUAUUGAAUACCAUGGUUUUACUGAUGAAUGCAGAGUUUGCUGAUGAUUCAUACGACAAGCAAUUGAAAAUCCCAUCAUUAUGCCCCGCAUAUACCAGAAGAAAAAAAAGUCAUUUACACAAAUUCAGAGCGUUCAUCCACUGUAAUUUGCAGAUAUGGAAACGUUAAGAUAAAAGGAAAUGCAAAGUACCUUUCACCCAAAUUGGAGGAGCAACGGUGGCAUUAGCAAGCUAGCAACGGGAAUUGACAUACCAAUAUCUUCACAGUUUCUGCACAAGAACAAAUCAAAAGAAUCCGGCGGUGGAGUUAUGUACCUCUCCUUGGAAAAUGCCACCUCCUGGGAUUUCAAAAUAUACGGCCGUGGCUAGCCGUCUGACCACGCCAAUUCCACCAAAGCCGCCGCAACGUGGCGUAGUGUCCGGUUGAUUGCUUCAAAACAGAGCUUCGUAUCCAUGUGUUUAUCAGCAGAGAGUACCCAAAACCCCUGAAAAUUAUUUCUUUAUUCAGAUAAUAAAAUUUCCCAAAUUUCGAAUUUUAAUUCCGAACAAAAAAAAUAGGGUUUGAAUUUUGAUUACCUAGAAAUUGGGGGGUUGGGGUGGAGAGGGACUCGGGCCAAGACACAGAUAUGCAUCCGUGAUAAGGUGUGCAAGGCUUUUGCAGUUUCUCAGAUCUAAACACUGAAGCCCCGUAAGCCGUUCAAUCCAGGGGGAAAGCUCUUUAAUAGAUGUUCCAUCCAAGAAAAGAAAUCUUAAUCCUUCCAUAUUUUCUUCAAUGCUUGGAAACACCUCAAAUUUUGUACAACCGGAAAGAGAGAGAAAGGCAAGGGACUUCAGCUGACAAAUGCUACUUGGAAGACUCUUAAGUUCUUUACAAUUUUCUAGCUUCAAAUGAUUCAAUCCCAUGAGAUUAUUAAUUGAUAAGGGCAGUUCUUUAAUUUUCGACCCAGAUAAAUCAAGAACUUUUAACCCCUCAAUCACUUCUGAAAUCUCUGGAAACAUCUCAAGACUCCAGCAACCAUAAAGAUCAAAGGUUUUGAGAGAUUUCAUAUGAAUGCUGCUUGGAAGACUCUUAAGUUCCUUGCAAUCUUGUAGAUUCAAAUGACACAACCUCGUAAGAUUAUUAAUUGACGGGGACAGUUCUUUAAUUUUUGAGCAGGGUAAAUCAAGCUUUUCUAACCCCUCAAUACCUUCUGAAAUCGAUGGAAACAUCUCAAGACUGGAGCAGCCAUAAAGAUUAAAGGUUUUCAGACAUUUCAUAUGAAUGCAGCUUGGAAGACUCUUAAGUUUCUUGCAAUCUUUUAGGUUGAAAUGACUCAACCCCGUGAGAUUAUUAAUUGACAGGGGCAGUUCUUUAAUUUUGGACCCGGAUAAAUUAAGCUCUUCUAACUCCUCCAUACCUUCUGAAAUCUCUGGAAACAUCUCAAGACUGGAGCAGCCAGAAAGAUUAAAGGUUUUGAGAGAUCUCAUACGAAUUUUGCUGGGUAGAAUCUUAAGUUCCUUGCAAUUUGAUAGGUUCAAAUGACACAACCCCAUGAGAUUAUUAAUUGACUCGGGCAGUUCUUUAAUUUUGGACUCGGAUAAAUUAAGCUCUUCUAACUCCUCCAUACCUUCUGAAAUCUCUGGAAACAUCAGAAGACUGGAGCAGCCAAAAAGAUUAAAGGUUUUGAGAGAUCUCAUACGAAUUUUGCUAGGUAGAAUCUUAAGUUCCUUGCAAUUUGAUAGGUUGAAAUGACUCAACCCCAUGAGAUUGUUAAUUGACUCGGACAGUUCUUUAAUUUUGGACCCGGAUAAAUCAAGCUCUUCUAACCCCUCAAUCACUUCUAAAAUCUCUGGAAACAUCUCAAGGCUCACGCAGUUAAUAAGAUCAAGAGUUUUGAGAGAUUGCAUACGAAUUUUACUAGGUAGAAUCUUAAGUUUUUCGCACCCAUUCAGAUCCAAUAAAACAAGUUUUGUAAGAUUCGAAAUAGAUGGGUGAACCUUAACUAACCCUAUACAACCAUGAAGAAUUAGCCUCUCAAGAUUUGGCACAUUUGUGAAGUCAGGGGUUUCCUUAAGGUAUUCACAAUAACUUAAAUUGAUGAAUUUCAACUUUUCCUGCGUCUGUUAAAACAUUCAGGAAAACAUGCAUUACUUAAUAAGACAUCUCACUCAAAGCCCAAACAUUUAAAAGAAACAAAUACAUGUAAAUGAUUGUACAUACCUGGGUUCCUUCCCAAAGUCGGUCAAUGUGGCUAUAUUGCAUGUCAAGUCCAACAAGAUUUUCGAAUUGAAAGUUGGAUGGCAAAGACUUGAGCGGGAAACAAGACCAGGAAAGAAACCUCAACUCACUAGAAACAAACUUUAAGGACCCAGUCAGGUGUUGUAUGCUGAAAGUACCGAUCUUGAGAAGUCUUAGUUUAGUCAUCCUAUCAAAAGCUUUAACAAUUAAGCAUCCCUCAUAUGAGUGCCCCAAAUCUAGGAUUAUGCUUUCAACUGUUUCUGUACCCUGUGCAAAUCAAAGGGAAGGAAAAAGCAGAGAACCUUAGUUUAGAUUAUGAAGUUAAUGCUUGUUUCUUAAGGAGUUGUUUGAUAAUAAUUUUGUUUUCACUUUUCACUUUUGUUUUGAUUAUUUAUUUAGAAAUCUGAAAAUUGAAAACAUAUAACUUGUUUGUAAUUGUUUUCAAUUUUCAAUUAUUAAAAAAAUGAAAAUUUAAAAAUAUAAAUGGAAACAAAAGUGGUUAUCAAACGAGCUUAAGAAAUUGAUUUUGGUCAAAAGUUGAAGCUUUCUACUAAACAUUGCAUAAGAAAAGAAAUUAUCACCGUAUUUUUAGUUAUCACAUGAAAAACAUCUUCAUAACUCCACAACCUACUUCGUCUCCCAGGCUCUUUGAUAGAUUCUUGGUAGACGAUUUUCUGACCCAUUUCCUCUAGUAAAUCAUGCAUCUCCAGUUCCCCCCUCCAUGAGACAGUUACUAGAGCUCGAUCGAUUAGAACUUUUAUUCCAAUAUCAGGAUAGGAACCACAGCUGUGCAGAACUGUGGUUGCAUAGUCUUUUCUCAUUCCUUUAAAGAAACAUGCAAUAUCUAGAAAGAUAUCCUUCUCCGUGUCAUCUAGUCCAUCGAAGCUUGUUUUAAGCACAUCAUGAAUUCCCUUUUGCGGGAUUUUCUUUAUUUUUUCUAACUCAUUUUCCCACUGGCGUACAUUUUUGUUAUAAAGAAAAGCUCCCAAGACUUUGAGUGCUAAAGGCAGACCUUGAGCAUAAUUUACAGCACGACUCGAGAUCAUCAUAAUCUCUGUUGGGUUGGUUUUUUCUAAAGGCGUACCGCCUAAAGAGUUCCAGAGCUCCAUAAUCACUUAAAAUCUUGGGAUUAUAUAUCCCAUCAGCUAUGCUUAGUAAUUGCGAAUCUCUGGUUGUUAUAAUAAUUCUGCUUCCACCACCAAAGGAAUGUGGCUCUCCAAGUAAAGCUUCAAUUUGUUCUAAUUCUUCCACAUCAUCAACAACAAUAAGAACUUUUCUCCGACCUAGACUAUUUAACAUCACCUGGAAACCUUUAUUCGAAACGUCGGAACUCCCCACCCUGUUGUUCGAGAUACUCGAUAGAAGUUCUGCCUGCAUAUGUAGUUUGCCAUGCUUCAUGAAACCUUCCUUGAAAUUUUCAAGAAAGCAACAAGCUUUAAAUCCACCAGAGAUUUCAUUAUAAAUAGCUCUAGCGAUGGUUGUUUUGCCUAAACCACCCAUACCCCAUAUUCCAACAAUGCGAACAUCAUUAGUUUCAACUCCAGGAGGAUGCAGUAAUGAAUGCAUGUUAUGCAUAUGAGAGUCCAUUUCAACCAAGCCAUUAUAUUUGCUUGAGGAUGAUGAGAUGUAUCGCCGACCCCACUUAGUGGGAAAAGGCUUUGUUGUUGUUGUUGUUGAUGAUGAUGAUGAGAUGUGGAUCAAUUUCUUAAAAACAUCUUCUACAAUUUUCUCAAUAAGCUCUGCAUCAUCCCUGUCAAAUUUAAAACACAAUAUAAUUACAACACCAAAUGAUACUUAAUGGGUCGUUUUGAUAACAAUUUCGUUUGCAAUUUUUUUUAAAUCUAGAUUUUAAGUUUGCAGAUUUUGUUUUCAGUUUUUAGUUUCAAUGAAAGUAGUUAUUAAACAAGGUUUCCAAUUUUUCUUUCAUGGUAUACAGUACGUAGUCCCAAAUAUCAGUAGUUAGAUCUUGCAUUUAGAUCUAAUGGGUAUUUACAACCUUUUUUCCUGAGAAUUUUGUACCAUUGUAGCCAGAUCACAUGUUUUCAUCCGUUAGUUUUAUAAAAAUGGAAACUACAAACUUAAAAAAAAAAAAAAAUAUAUAAUAUAUAUAUAUAUAUAUAUAUAUCAAAUGGCCCCUAAAUGCUAUUAAAAAUCUCAAAAAUUAACAGGAAACUAAAACAAAUUAGAAUUUAUUCAUGGUUUCGCAAAUCCCAGCCGGAUAAACUGGUGGCCGUUGUAAGAGAGGACCUCCAGCCGGAUAAACAUUUUCGAGUUAUUUGAUAUUUGUAUAGUAAAAAUACUUUAAUAGCAAGUGCGCGUGAGUGAAGAAAUUGAACUUACUUAUAUUCUUUCGAAUCCCAACCGGAAAAAUUGCAGGCUCUGGGAAGAGCGGACCUCCAGCUCUGCACCUCCUUCACGUCAACGUUAGAACGACCUUCAUGUUUAGCAAAAGCUUCUGCAAAACUUCCCUCGAGUUUACGAAUAUUGGACGGAUCGACUUGGUAGAAAAUGGGGAAUACAAUCUGGUUCUUGGAAUGGUUGCAUUCCAAGAUUUCCACGAGUUCUUUCAAGCACCAUGUGGAUGAAGCAUAGUUUUGAGAGAAAACUACAAUCGAAAUCCUUGACUCUCGAAUCGCUGUCAGGAGCUCGGAAAGGCGGUCGCCUUUUCUGAGGUCUUCGGCAUCAAUGAAGGUGUUGAUUGGUUUCUGACGCAGAGCUUUGUAGAGAUGGCUGACGAAGCCCGUGCGAGUGUCUUCCCCUCUAAAACUGAUGAACACAUCGUAUUCCCAACCAAGGCAAGAAGAAGAAGAAGAAGCAGCCAUUAAUCGAUCUCACCUGGGCAGCGAUGAUCGAGCAGCUAAGACUAAGAGAAUUGUAAGUACAGAAACACUCAAUAGAUCUACAAAUUGGAUCACCAGAAAUUAGUCAAUGAGUCAAUGCAAAAGGGAAAAGGGCAAUUAUGCUUUUUGCGUUUUCACAUCUUCUUCAGGAAAUUUCGGUGUGAAAGGAAUCCGCAUACUUUUGAUUUUUCAACCCAAGAAAAUGCGAAGAAAGGGGACAAAGUAGUAAAUUUAAUCUACAGUUAGUUACCUACUCAAUAACCUCUUGAUUUAAUAUAUAUUUAAUUGGGAAAAGUAGUUUAGAGCAAGGAUGUUAUCUCCUUUUCUUCUCUCUCGAUCAGUCAAUCUUCCCGCGUGCGAUUUAAUCAUGAUUAAAGCUAAGCUUAAUCUUAGGUCGUAUUAUUUAGGUCUAAUUGGAUUCUUAAUUCUUGUGAUAUAGUAGUUGGAAGAUUAAAAAAAAAUUAUGAUUUAAACGUUUGUGAUGAAGUCUGUUACGAUUUAAAUUCAAAAUUGAAAAUUUCGUUAACUCCAUUAAUUGUUAGCACAUGAGACUCACAAAUGAAACUAAAAAUAUAAAGUUAGCCUCACAUGUAAUCUUCACGUGCUAACAAUUAAAAGAGAGUUCCGUUUUAGCUUAAUAUAUGUGACUCACGUGUUAAUAAUUAACAAAAUAUUAACAAAAAUUUUAAUUUUAAGCAUAAAUUCAAAUAAACUUCACCACAUAAGCUUAAAUUCUAAUUUAGAUAUCUUCUAAUUUAGAUAAUUUUUAACUGCAAGAUGUACGAUGAACGGAUAUAAUUCACAAAUCUCCAAAAUCCUUACAAAAAAUAUCCGAAAAAGAGCCAAAUUCAAUGGAAAUAAGCUAAUUUUGAAUCAAAUAACAUUACUUUAUUUUGUAAAUAAAUUAAUUUUGAAUUGAACAACAUUCAUUUAUUAUGUAAGUAAUUCAUUUUGUAUGUAUCAUCAUAUAUAUUAGGCACAUUUUAUCAUAGGUGAUUUUGUGAAAAAUUAAUAAAAAGUUACAAUAUUAACAAUAGAUCAAUAAUAUUUAUGUUAAUUAUAAAUAGGCUAACCAUGUAUUAUGAUACUUAAAUGCAUUUAAAAUAAAUAAAAAUUACAAAAUCUACUACUACAGCUAGCAUUCACUUCAACUAAAGCAAUACGUAGUUUUUAUAUUUGGAAUAAGUCAUACGAAUCAGAGACAUGAAGAGGUGUAAGAACUGUGAAUGUCCAACAACAAAGACUUCGGAGUUUGUUGUCGAAUAUCUGCAGCGCAUCAUUUCUGAUAGAUCAAAUCGAGCCAAUUCCCGCAAACUCCAAUCCCACCACCACCUUUCAAGCCGGACUCAGCCCUCCGGGCGGCAUUUGGCAGGACAGCACUGGAUCAAACAAGAUUGAGACUGGCAGUGGGAGCAAUGAACGAGCACACUCAGCAGGGAAGUCCAUCAUGGGUUCUAACCACACAUUGUUUCUCUACUUUGUGGCUUCCAACACGAUUGGAUUUUUUGUUUCACUUUACAUGAUCAAUGUCCUCACCAGCAAUUUCCCUCUGCAGUUGGAGCUUCAAAUUUGUAUUGUCGCGAUGUACAGCACGUACAACACUGCAGUUUUCAGCAUUGCACCGGAGAACGUGCGCUUCUUCGUCCUUCUGUUCUCUGUAGUUUUCCCAACUUUGGUUACACUUGCUGUCCAAAAUGAUCGUCUUUCGACAUACAUCACAAUGGCGAUCUUUAAUCAUAAUGACUUGUACUGCUCGAUCAAACGAGACGCAUGGAGGCGCGACGUAGGAGCCACGGUGCAGCCCAAACUUUGCAGAUAAGAAAUCUGGUAAUUCACAGCAUCACAAACAUGUUACUGGGUCUCCUGACCAUCGUAGAUGCCAAUGUGUGCACAAGGAAAGGAGUAAGGUAAUCAAAUGCUUGAGUCUUGUGUACCUGUUUCGGUGUUGGUUCGGAUGAACCCAUUGAGUUCUCGAUCCUUAACUUCUGGAAAUGCUCCUGAAAGCAUAAAUAUAUGUACGGAUUUAAACCAAUGGCAAAUGGACAUAAUUUACGGACAAUGAUUGAAGAAAAUACAGAUAUAAACGCCUCAGUAUUCCAUUGACGAAAGUUCUAGAUUUGAUGAAUCAAACGUCCCACGUUGAGACUGCGUUAAGGCAAAUGGUUCUCAAACACAAAGCAAUAGUUUGCUACCGAAAACAACCAAAGUCUGACAAAGGGAACCGUCUUACACCUAACCUGUUUUUCCCUCAUCAAAUGAGCGCGUUGAUCUGCAGGUAUUUUCUGCCAUCUCAAAACCUGUUACAAAGAAAUAUAACGUUGAUGUUGAGCUGGAUAGCAUAUUAUACCAAUUAUGUGUACAAACCUAUUGAAAUAAAGUAGCUGUAGUUGCAUAUUACGACAGAUAUUAACGAAAACAAAAGAAGGCUCGCCUAUUCAAGAUCCUAAAUCCCAUGAUUCUUUUGUUUUUAGUUUCAGAAAUUUUCAGAGCACAAACUGGAAAGUACCAAGAUACUUACAUAUUGGGCAUAAUGAAAUGCAUCUUCAUCUUUCAAGCAAGAUUUCAGUGAGCGCAAACCAUCCUGGGAGUUACAUAAGUCAAUCAGUAAUAUAAAAACGUAGAUGCAUCACAUCCAAACACAAGUAUUCAAACACCAACAACUUCUUCAUGCGGUGAGGCAUGUUAAAAAAUAGGGAAGAACAGUUAUUGAAUAGGAAGUUAAAGGACUAAAUUUAUGACCUUGUGUUUGUAGUUCUUGGCUCGUAUGCGUUCAUCUAUUACAAAACCAAUCUGUAACAGGUACAACAGAAAAUAUAAGCAGUAGUCAGAACAUUAAGCAUCGGCAUUCAAAUUGCCGCCAAUCCAAAGUUAAAAGUCUAAAGGCAAAACAGUAUGAUUCUUAUCUCUCAAACAAAAAUGAAACUAUACCCCGGUCUCAGACAUAAAUGAAAUAAGUUCUACUGCCUCAACUGAGUACUGUGAUUAUAUAUAAAUCCAAUUCACCUUGUCAAGUAAUCUCUUAGGAUCUUGAAAUGCUUGCUUCUUAGCCCAGUCAUUAAAUACAUGCGAGAUAAUCGAUCUCUCAUCCACACUGAAUCUAUUGCACAGUGACAGGAGAAUAAAGUCAAACAUGAACAUAACCAACCAAAAAUGCUAGUUAUAAUAGUACACCCAUAAUUGCAAGCAAAACCUUUUUAAGAAGCCAUUUCCAUGGUUUUCCUCCCCAAAUUCCAUCAAUUCUGCAGAGGCAACGUCAAAUUUACUAUGAUGGAGAUCAUUUUGCACCAUAACAACUUCAGAAGGUAGGAGAUUUGGUUUGAGAUCAUCUGUUGACGGAGUAGUUUCUUUUGAAGUGUCAUGAUGCUUUGAUUGCAAGCCUUCUGUACUUACGUCAGCCUACAAAACAAAAAUUGCAUUCAUCCACACUAGACUUAAUAAGAUUAGAAACACUUCAGAUUCUUCACUAUUUGUAAGUUUGACUAAACAGCAGAACAACUGAGGAUAAUGAACAGUAAUACACACCUGGACUUCUCGUAGAUGAUUUGGAAUUUCUUUCAGAAAUCGCGAAGGUUGAAGCAUCUGAAGGAGCCACCUUCUCAGUCAGAGCAACAACAACAAAUAAGGAGGACAGGAAUUCAAGCUAAAACGAACCUGCCAACUGGAAUCCAUCGUAACAUAAAGAAUGAAAAGCUUUUUUCGAGCACGAGUCAUUGCAACAUAUAAUAGGCGUCUUUCCUCCUAUGAUUAGAGUGGGAUUAUUGAGUUAUUGACCAAAAGAAAAAAGAGUGGAAUUAUUGUGACAAACACUUCAAAGCUCUGCAUAUAACUGAAAAAUGUUGAACAAUUUACCACACACCUCAAUGGAGGUCCCAUUUUCUUUUGCAACGCCAUUGAAUUCAUGCAACAACGGAAUCUCAGAUUCAUUUACCUGUGUUAUUGGCAUGAGCAUUAAAGCAAGCUAAGAUGAUUUGAAGAGGUUGAUAUUGUCAUGAAUAUAGUAGAAUAGAAUACCAAUUUCAAGCCAUCAAUUAGGUAUAGCAUUGGCAUGUUUAAUCCGUAAAUCUAAUGACAGAACACCUCAACUCUACACAUAAAUAAAUAAACAACCUGAAAAAUAUUACAGCCACUUGUUAAGGCAAAUACCUUAAUUAUGAAAACUAUAUCCCACUCUAAACCUUUUGACUGCAAGAGAAUGAAAAAGAAAGACAGUAAGCCAAGAAUGUUUUGUAGAACUCCAAAGGAAGUCCAAUAGGGAAAUCAUCGCAAGUAUAAGAGUUAGCGAGGUUCGCAUAAGAGGAUAUCAAAAAGAUCUAGAACCUGAUGAAUAGUAGUCAAAGUGACAGAACUUUGGUUGUCAUGUCUUCGGGAGUGAAAAUUUUCACUCUCCCGCUCAGAUAUGUAGUCGAUGAAAGCUUUGAGUAAAUUAACGCAGCCUUUUUCUUCUGCUACGACUUCUCUCUCCCCUUUUCCCGCAACAAAAUGAGUUGAUAAGAAAUCAGAUACGUCGUCUAGUAGGUACUGAAGAACCUGCAAUGAGAAUAAUCGCAUCAAAACAACAGGGUUGGACCAAGAUUUAAGUGACAACAAUGAUUAACUAACUAAAAUAGAGAAAUUAUUCAUUUAAGACCUUGUUGACUGAAAAAAGGGUUUUCCAAGCAGCGGGUCAUUUAAGCUUAUUGUAUAAAUGACAAUCAUCACAAACGGCAAACUUACAGAUCUCACGUCAUUGUCUUCAUUCAGCAGUUUUCCUCCAUCUACAUCAACGACUGCACGUUGCUCAAGAAGGUACUUCUAAAAACUGAAAGUCAAACGAUAAAUUAUUAAGAAGCAUUGAAUAUAAGCAUGAAACGAAGAAAAUGUUAUGGAAUGGUGAUCCUCAUCCUCAAAGAUGAUUAAAAGCAAUUUGAUUCAAAAAUGACAUAUCAACUCUGGAGAAAUGGAAGACAAACCUGUGGUACCAUAUUCGCAACUGAGGUUAUGACAGCUGAAAUCGAUUGUUCCUGUGUGCAUUGAUAAGUGAGACUACCAUAGAGAUUCACAACUAAAUAAAGACAGGUAUUCCACAGAACAACCUUUACCUCUUUGGAAACACAGAUCUAACAAAAACUAUAACAUUUUGGAUUAAUAUUGACGAAUCAAGAAUAAUGCAAGGGAGCAAGAGAUACUCUUCCUUCUAAUAACAAGGAGGCGUGAAAAGUUUACAGAGUUCCAACAAUUAGAGAACUAAAAUCAAACUAAAAAAAUCACCAAAGUAGACAGAAUCCCACUUCGCCAAAAAUUUGAAAAUAUAUCCUUUUUAUCCAUUGAGAUUCAUGAACUACUACUACUACAUCAUGCCAAUAAGCAAUGCGUAAGAGGUGCUACAAUUUACCGAAUAUAUUUACCCUGAGAACAAGUUUUGAAAUCAUCUCUAGUGUUAACAGCACCUUGCGUCCUUGGGUAAGCUGAGUCCUAUUAUCAAGUAAAGAGACCAAUCAGUACAUAUCCAAAAGAUCUUAAAUGCUUGUAAUACCAAAUAAGAAAGAAACAUGAGUAUAUCUUGAAUUAACAAUGCAAAAAUGUAAUGUUAAAGCAUCUUGUCAUACAGACCUCUUCAAGGUACCAGAAAUUUUGGCACUAAAGAUGUCACAAGCAGCUGAUAUGAAGCUGCAUUUUCUGUGAGUUGAAAUUUUGUCAAUAUAAUCAAUCACCUGAAGAGAGAGAGAGAGAAAGACAGUGAUAUCCAGAGAUGUGAGCCUAAAUGCUGAGUGUGUAAAAAAAGAAGAUUAAAUGGAUAGCAAGAAUAUACAACUUUAAUGCUGAAAAGAACAUUGAAUAUGAUGCUCAUUCAUCAUUGCCAUUGAACGUGUACCUUCUUCUUUUCCUCUUUCUCAAAAGCAAGUAGAGCCUUGAAGACUCGCCUAUAUGAUCCAUCAUCACAACCAGGCAAAGUUGUUUUAAUCAUAGCAACAAUGGCUCUAACUACCUGCCAUAAGAAACAUGCUACAUCAACAAGAUCACAGAGUGUACCAGAAACCGUAAUGUAGCAAAAUCUUAGAUAAAAUAGCUGGCCAAAAGGGAAUGGAAAAGCAAGCACAAAAAACAAUGAAAAGGACCAGUGAUGCCAAAAUUCUGGUGGAAAAGGUGAAAAGCUUACGUCUAUUACAGUUCUUGUAUGCAUUCUUUAUAACUUAAGUUCUACGCAGCAAAAACCACCUUAUGCACAACAAUAUUGGAAAAAUUAGAUACAUACAACUGAGAAGAUAGGUUUUCAUAGCUGGACAAGUGCUAACUACCUUCUUCCUAUAAACUGCCACUCCAUGAACAUUAAAUGGUAUUUUCCUUUCACGCAAGGCUGUCUGGAAGACUUUUCCUGAUACCUGUAGUAUAAAAUACAAAAGAAAAUGUGAGCAAAAUGUCUUAUAUGAUUCACCUCAUUCACAUUAGCACUAAGGCAAGUACGCUUGACCUGCCUCCGGUAAAGGAUUGCUAUAUUUCCAUAGGAGCACCCUGCUUCUGACCGUUUAGAUGCAGUCUCCAGGAUCUUGUCGACAACAAAGGCGCAUUGUGCAUCCUCAUUGUGACUUUCCUUGAUAAUUACCUACAUUUUGCCAGUAAAACCGGUGUCACUAACUAAAAGGACUGAAAAAUGACAUCAAAUUGUACUUGUUGGAGCAAGGAAAGAUUAAGUACCUUAGACCCAGAAGAAUUGUCCGUGUCAACAUUCUUUAGUUGGCAUCGCUUCUUAUUGUUUUUUAUAACAGAAGAUGCAGCUUCCACAAUAUAGCGUGUGGACCGAAAGUUUUUAUUAAGCCUAAUCUGAACCAUAAAGUUAUGUCAAAUCCCACAGAACCCCAUAAAAUAAAACUUACUUUCCUGUAAUUGUACAAUAUAUUUGUUCUAUACUAUAUAUAAUGAAAAAAGACACUGUGAAUGACAUAAGAUAACAUAGCAGUCAAGUGCGAAGCGAACCUCUUUGUUAUUUGAAAAAUCUUUACGAAAAGAAUCAAAUCCAGAAAUGUCCGCCCCAUUGAAACUGAAAAUGGACUGCAGCAGGAUAUAUGUUAUUUGAUUUAGAAAAGAUAAGGGCUGGAUUAAAAUGAGCUGAGAGAGAGAGAGAGGGAGAGAGGGAGCAAUAACAUUGGAUUUCCAUAAUAAAUCAACAACAUGCCUGAUCAUCAUCACCAACAAUGGUUAUGUGGUUAUGAGAGGCGAGAAUCCGCAAAAGACUAUAUUGCAUAGCACUUGUGUCUUGAAACUCGUCUAUUACAAUAGCUUUCCAUGACUCCUGGCACUCCUUCAACACUAAUUAAAAGAACACCAUGUAUCAACAUUUAGCAUUACUUGUAAAACUAGAUAAAUCAAUGAAAUAUACUUAGAUGAUAGAGACCUUCAGGAAAAUCACUUAGCAGCUUCACAGAGCAGCUAAUUAAGUCGUGGUAGUCCAAAGCGUUGCACGAUUUCAAGAUAUCAUUGUAAUUCCUAAGAAUUUCACCCUGAUUCAGAUUGAGAGCUAAAACUCAUAAGCAAUAGUUUCAAAGAACUGAAAUCAUAUCUGAAAUUCUAGUUCUGAGCGUACUCCUGUCACAUCACCCAUUCUUCGGCAUUCAGCGGGAGUCUUUCCAGAAGCUUUUGCCUGAAACAUAAAUAAAUUUAUUGCCUAAUGCCACAUAUUGUAAGACACACCAUUGUAUUGGUCAUUCUAGCUUGAUUGUAGCUAAUAUUUUUUAAAUCGAAUGAUUAGAGUUCUUAAUCCACAAUAAUCUGAACAUUAAAUUUGGUAUUCAAGACUGACCUGUGUCACAAACUUCAGCCAUUUCUUUGAUGCAUCCUUAAAAUGAUGUGGAGAUGUUACGCCGUUAGACUCUUCCCCAUCUAUAGCAACAUUAAGAUUCGUUUUACUCUUUUCAUCUUCUGAUAAACGCACAGCUUCAAUGAUUGCUCUUCUCUGUUGCCCAUGUCCAUAUAUCAAAAAUUCUGGUCUGCGCUCGAGUCUAAAACACAAGGCAACAUAACAGACUCAGCUAUACCACCAUAUGUAUGGUGUUCAAAAUCAAGGGAGGUGAAUCAAUAGCUUACUUCUCAGCAUGUGAUCGGCAAAGUUGCAAUGAAAAUGAAUGAAAUGUACUGAUUGUUAGUAGUUUGCCGUUGCUUUCCCAGUCACAGAUCCAAUUCGAUCUCUCAUCUCGGAAGCUGCUGCUGUAGUGAAAGUCAUUGCUAGAACGUUCGACGUGCUAAUGCCCUAAGAACACCCAAAAAAAAAAAACGAAUAAGAUUUCGAUCAUAAACAAGAAAUGUAGAGAAACAGACAAUUAUGAAAGAAAAAGUUAAGAGGGAAAGUAGCAACACCUCAUUGAGCAGCAUUAGAACGCGCCCAACUAUCGUUGAAGUCUUUCCACUUCCAGGGCCGGCAACAAUCAUCAAAGGUACUGAACUAUCGCUGCAAGCUGCCUCGAGCUGCCUUUCGUUGAGAGAAAGCAAAUACUUCAAAUACUCAUCCGGCAUGUUAGGCAAUCCAUGGUUAACAGAAUCUGUUUGGUUUUCACUACUCAAAGGCGGCGCUGAUGCGGCACUAACGACACUACCACAACUCCCAAUAUCAUCACGCUGAAUGUCCACACUCGUUUUCUGCUCGAUUAAAGCGUCAAUUUCCUGCAAAAUACUCUCAUCGAAAUCAUCAUCGUUAAGAAUUCCAGAUGCAGAGAAAGAAUCAAAUGAAGUCAGAAACUGCGGUUGUCUGAUUGGAGUUGUGAAAGAAUCCGAUUUUGACACGCUUGAUUCGGUCCGGCUAACGCUUAAGCUCCCGGAACACGAAGCACUGCCAUAUUCACCACGCGCUGAAUUGUACCGGCUUGCGGAAAUCGGAGGCGGUGUUCUUUGAACUCUAUUGAGCUGAGUUGGCGUUUGGAUUCCAUUUCCGCCACAGAUUCUGGAAUUUGAAAAACACAAUUGAAUUGAUUUAAAUUGAAGCAAGAAAACGGCCGAGUAGCAAAAAAAUAGUAAGAAGAUGAAACCUUUGAUUCCUGAACGACUUACUUGGUAUGAGGGAGGUGAUGAUCAGGUGAAACGGCGUCGUUGCGGGGGCGUUUGCGAUCAAUGAGGGCCUUGGCGGCUCUGCAAUUCCGAGAGAUGCGGUUUCUUUGUUCCGCCGUGAGCCCUCCGCCGUACGCCUGAACGUUUUCCUUGGACAUUGCUUCGAAGAUUCCAACGGAGGAUUUGGCCUGACGGCCUGACCAGGCUGAUAACAGUGUAAAACCUUAGGAGCUAAGGAAAAACUAAGAGAGAGAUCGUAGAGAGGGGAAAGUUUUUUGUUUUUUGGAAACUUAGAGAGGGAAAGUUUGUUAAACCUGCAUAAUAUUCUUUUCGUUCAACUUGUCUACAAUAAUUACCACUCUUGGUAUUUAUACAUUUGUAACACACCUCACUAACUAACUAAGACCACUACCAAUCAUACAUAAACACUUGUCAUAAUCCUAUGCACUCAUAGUAUCAUCACUCUAACAUCCCCCUCAAGCUCGUGUGGCAGAUUGCCAAGUAUGAAAUUGGAACAAUUACGAGUGAACUGGGGUGAACACAAGCCUUUGGUGAACAUGUCGGCAUAUUGAUCUGCAGAGGUAACAAACUGCAAAAUAAUUGUCCUUCGAUGAACUCUUUCACGAACAAAGUGGCAAUCAAUCUCUAUAUGUUUGGCUUUAGAGUGCAAUACAGGAUUAGUCGCAAGAGCCAUUGCUGAAAUGUUAUCACAAUUCAAAACUGGAACAGAAGGAUAACCAACAUGCAAAUCUCGAAUAAGUUGUUGUAUCCAGAUAACCUUAGCAGUGGUUGUAGCCAUUGCUCUAUAUUCAGCUUCAGUGGAAGACCUACUCACUGUAUGCUGCUUUUUAGAACUCCAAGAGAUAGGAGUAUCUCCCAAAAAAAUGACAAAACCCGUGGUUGAACGACGAUCAUUGGGAUCCCCUGCCCAAUCAGCAUCUGUAUAAGCUUUCAACUAAGAUGAACCUAAUUUAAAACACAAUCCCAAAGACAUAGUGCCUCUGAGAUAUCGCAGAAUACGUUUCACAGCAGCAAAUAAGUGGCUAAGGGUGAAUGCAUAAACUGACAUACUUGAUUGACAUAAAAAGAAAUAUCUAGUCUUGUAAAUGUUACGUAUUGCAGUGCCCCAACAAUACUUUUAUAAGUGGUAGGAUCAGAAACAGGUUCACUACCAUGAUUCAGAAGCUUCUAAUUAGGAUGACAAGGUGUGGGAAAAGGUUUAUAGUCCAGCAUAUGCAUAUUUUGAAGGAGUUCUUUGACAUACUUGGUCUGAUGAACAAAGAGUCCCUGAUCCUGAUACUCAAUCUGUAAACCAAGAAAAUAAUGCAACACACCUAGAUCUUUCAUGUCAAACUCACUAGUUAACUGACUAAUAACAUUAUGAACCUUCACAUCAUCAUUACUAGUGAGAAUGAUAUCAUCAACAUAUAAUAAGAGAACAAUAAUUGAUGAACAAUCACACUUGACAAAUAAUGAAGGAUCUGCAUAUGAGAUUGAGAGUUACAAGGAAAAGAUAUACAAGACUUAUUAAGUGUUGCAAUGACAAUGGAAUGUGCAGGAUCGCCUAAUCAACAAUGCCACAAUGUAGAAGAAAUCUUUUGACCCACAAAUGCAACUGGAUUAAAAACAGGAGAAAUAGACCUCUGUGGUUUGAUAUGGGAAGUGGAUAGACAACAUUAUUACUCAGCCCUUGGAAUAGCACUCUCCCGAUGACCUUGUCCUAUAGACAGAGAGAAACAUCAUCAAUGAUACAACGACACUAAUUAUCUUUGCACAACUAAUUCAUAGAUAAUAAGUGUUGUGAUAGUUUUGGAACAUGUAACAAAGAGUUUAACUUGAAAUUAUGUGACUUAGUGAGAAGAGAAGAGGAACCAAUAUGUUUGAUAGCUAAACCUUCACCACUAGCAGUGGUCACAGUAUCAUUUGAUGGAUAAAUUUGUUGCCAUGUGCAAGUUUGACAAAUCUGAGGUCAUAUGGUUAGUUGCUCCCAAGUCAAGAAACCAGAAAUCUUGUUGAAGAGUUGAGGAUGAUGCACCAGCUCGUGCUUGCACAGCAAGAGGAGGAUUUUGUGAGGAUAUAAUUGAGAGAUACAUAUGUGGUAUGACAGGAUACUGAAACUCGAAGCUAUUAGACUGUGGAAUCAUGCCUUGUGAAAGACCACAUGGAUUCUAGCUAGGUGCUUCACCAUAUGACCCAGUAGGCAUUGGAGUUGGCAUAGACGAGGAUAAACCCUGAGAGAAAUGCUAUGAUGUGUCUGUGAAAUUCUUAUUCCGAUCAAAGCAAGUAGCAGCAACACGGCAGCCUCUGUGACAAAUUUGACAUCCAUGUUGAAAACAAUUCAAUGCAGAAUGACCUUUGCGAUCACAUAUUUGCAUAAUGGCCUCUGUGAUCACAUAUUUGCAGAAUGGCCUUUGCAACCCUAGAAAGAACAAGGCGCGAAGAAGACCAAAUGUGUACGUUUCUCUUUGUUUUUUUUUCCCUCCUAAUCGUGCUGUUCGAAAUCACGGACCUCGGGCUUGGGCCUAAUGGGCCCAAUUAUGAGGCCUAUUAUCUCCGGUCUUCUCGUUCUACUUCUAGUUACCCAAAUUAAGAACGUGCUGGUUCGCUUUUAGCGCGAGAGAGAAAUGGAGGCCCUGAUUGCCUCGUACGGAAACUCGUCGUCGGGCUCAGACUCCGAGACGCCGGCUCCACCUCCACCACCACCUCCGGAGCUCAACAACCCUCAAGAACCGACCCCUGCGCUGCCUCCACCUCCUCUGUCACUUCUCGACAGCCCCAAUUCCUUCGGUAACCUCUGAUUCCCAUCAAUUUUCAUCUUUUAGCUUUCUGUUGUGAUGGCUUUUUCCGAGUUGCCCACCAAGUGUUUGAUAUUUUGCCUCUGAAGGAUUUCUGGACUUCUCGGCAAGCGUCCAGCCGAGCAGAGUUCGGAACUUUCCUCACGUCGAAGGGAACUACGCAGUACAUGUAUACAUCCCAGGUUAUCAAAAUUCUCGAAAUUUUCAGCUCCAUUAGCAAAUGCGAUCGCUUUGCACUUAGUUUUUGCUUGUUUAAUUGUGUGGUUCCAGUUUAUAUACCACCAGCACCAAGGAAAGAGAUGGCCUUGUUUUUGAACAAGCUAGCUUCUCUGGUGCCUUGUCUCCAUGCGGUUGACGUUGACUUCCCGCUUGACAUUCUGCGUAAGGACGAGCACAAGCUUGAACAAGUUGCUUUAGGCAGAGAGUUCCAUAUAAGUCUCGGAAGAACUGUUCCGAUUCGGGUGCACCAGAUUGAUUCCUUGGUGACAAUGCUGCGGCAGAAGCUUCAGAUUCAGAGGCGGUAUGGUUACAUUUACAUUCUCUUGUCUGCAUUGCGUGAAUUUAGUUCUGUUAUUUAACAUAAUUCUGUAAGCCUGCAAUUUUUUCGUCCAUUUUCGGUUUAACACAUUUUGUUAUUGUGCAACAGGUAUUGGAUUGAUUUUAGCAAGUGGGAGGUUUUUGUUAAUGAUGAUCAGACCCGGACCUUUGUGUCUAUCGAAAUCAUUGCUGCUGGGUUAGCUGAGGUAUGAUUGCUAGCUUUCUCUCUUGGUGCAAUUCUAAAUGUUUUCAGUUGUUAUAUGGGCUUAAGAUUUAGUAAGGACUUGCCGAAAGUCAUGGGAUUUUGAAAUAUCGAUAUCUUGCUUGCUUAUUAGCUUAGAUUUGGUCUUCGAUGCACUUGUAACAUGAAAAACACAAACGAAAACUAAUGCAUGAUAUGCUCAUGGUUUUAACAUGUGUUGUCCUGGCGUAAAUCAUGUUCCUAAUCCUGUCAUGUGAGUAUAAGCCUAUGAAACUCAGGGCAUGUUUGGCGGGCCGGACAAGAUUGGAAUUGGUAUUUCAGACUAGUUAGGUUAGGAUUGAACUGGAUAGGAUAGGUUUUUUUGUCUAAAGAUUGGUGUAGACUGUCUUAACCAGACUAGGAACGAUGGGAUUUAAAACGUGAAACAGAUCCGCGACAUCCCAACGAUGACCCGCCCACCCAACAACUCUGCUCGUGACUUGCAACACCUCUCGUACCCUCCACGCCCCUUGAGGCCCGUCAGACCACUCUGAUAUCCUGGAGGGGUGAAACGUGGUUACUAGAAGCAUACCUGUUUUCGUAUUAAUGCACAGUUGAAGCAGCUUUCAUUGUCUACAAGUCUGAAAUAUUUCAACUUCCAUUGAUUUCAGAUAACAAAGCAGAUUCAAGCUGUGAAUGAGGUGUAUAAGCUUCACAAUCUUCCUGAAUUUUACAAGGUUAGCUUUUUCGUGCUUUUCAAACUCGAAAUUACUUACUGAAUAUAUGACAAUAUAUUGGAGCAAAUGAUUGUGCCUGAAUGCUACUCAUUGCUCAAAAAACUAAAUCACUUCAUGGGGUGUUGGUGAUCACAGGAUCCGCGCCCUCACAUCUCGGUAGCUUGGGCAUUGGGUGACAUCGGCAAUUCCCUGAAGAAAGUGGUUGAAGAAGAAAGACGAAGAUCUACCAUCGGAGGAUCGUUACAGAAAUGUAUUUUUACCAGUAAAUUCAAUGGUAUUGAAUGUAGGAUUGGUAAUAAAACACACAAAAUAUGUAAAUUUUCUGAACAAUAAUGUAGCCAUUUAACUAUAUUGUGAAAUUCCGAGAAUAUAUCGCUGAGCAUUGGAUGAGAAGACAUUUCUUCGUUGGUGUCGAACUUCAUGCCGAAGGUAUAGACACCGUGUAAACGCCAUCAUCCAUGCAGUCUCCUGUGCAUUAUUUAGUAUUGUCUCAGUUUCUCCAAACUUGAAUGCUCCUAUAAACCCACUCUUGACCUUUCCGUCAUCUGCGAUUACCGGAAAGCUGGCAAGGAUGUUGCCGUUAACCUACCUAACCGGCUAGGAUGUUGCCGUCAUCUCCAAACUUUAAAUACCGGAAAGCCGGCUCCAAACUUCAAUGUGCUACUAGUUUUUGUAUGCGAGAGCUCCACCUCCAUUGUUGUAACAGCAUCUGAUGCGGACUAGUCCUUCAUUCCCGUUACUCUUUGCUAUCUCCACUUCGAACUUGGCGUAAUGGCUCCCGGCCUCCUCUCCGGUGAAAUUGAGAAACCCCGGAGCUGGCGUUUUCAUUCUGUUGUCCGUAUAUCUUGUAUUACAAGUAUUUGUUGUGCAAAAUGCAAGCUAAGUUCAAUUUAUGUUUAUGUGUGUGUGUGUGUUGCCACUUUGUCACUUUUCCAACGUUUUCUCCAAAAUUGUGAUUUUGGUGAAUCCUAAUAACAAUUCCCUCGUUAAUCAUUGGGACGAGCACCAAGGCAGUUUUGAUUCCGUGCACAACGGCGAUACCUCGAAAGAAAUUGAUUCUAACCCAGAAAGAUGUUUUAAAUCAAAGUUGAACAAGGGAAGAAAACUUUUGAAUCGCAAUCACAUGUCUGGUCAAAUUCUUGAACAGUUGAUGUAUACAGACGUUCCUUGCUUAUGACACGACUUAUGAGAGGAUGUAUGUAUUGCAUUUGCAUCAAAAAAGAGAGAGAAGGUUGUAAGUGGUAAGGGAACGACUACCGAUGCCGCUCCACUUCUAAUCAAAGGGAUCGAUCCGAGGGUCGUGUUCACUUGCCAUCGCCAUUCCAGUGCAAAGGCAUGUCGGGCACAUUACCUGCCACAUUUACAGACGCAAUGUUAGAUAUAGCUGCCAUUUGGAAGUCACUUCUCAAAAUUUUGCUACUAAAUUAAUCUUAGACUUCAUUUCCAGUGCAAUUUUUUGCUACUAAAUUAAGCUUGUGAAUAUAGUACAUCUAAGCGGCAGGCACUAAAAGGAAUUUAGUAUGCAAUAAACAUUCAACGGACUAACCUUUCCCGCUCCUGAGCAAUUUGAACAUCGUUCAGUUUUUGGCAGAGAUAGGGGUUGGUUUCCGCCAUCAGCUGUCGAUACUGGUUCAGUAAGAACAAGGGUUCCAGUGCUGGAGCAACGAGCACAAGCAAGAUAUCCUGCGUAAGUAUCAAAUACACAGGUAAGUUGACAUAUGAAACCAAUCUGUGUAAACUACACUGUAAUAGCAGAAGAAUAUGCAGUACGAGAGAAAGAGAGAGAGAGAGAUUUAGAGAGAGAAGUUAAUACUUCAUAUGUAAUAUUUUCUAUAUCAUCAAUCUUACAAUAUUAAGACUAUAUACUAUAUGAAACUGCUAACUAACUCUAACAACCUCUCUAACAACCUUUCUAAUCUUUUGACAAGUGUCUUCAUAUUCUACCAUUGGAUUACUAUCCUUAACAUCCCCCCUCAAGCUCAGGAGAGGUAGAAUCCAAACUGAGAUUGCGACAAUGAAUCUGAAAGAGAGGAGCAGAUAAUCCCUUGGUCAGUAUGUCUGCAUAUUGCUCACUGGAAGACACAAACUGAACAAGCAACUGCUUCUUUGCAACUCGUUCGCGAACAAAAUGAAUAUCAACCUCAAUGUGCUUUGUGCGUUGAUGUAGAACUGGAUUGGAUUAAGCAAUUACUGACCUUUGUGCAUCUUACUAUUCCUACUUCACCAGUUUUGUAUUGUGAUAAUAUGUCAGCAAUCGCAUUAACAACCUCUCUAACAACCUUUCUAAUCUUUUGACAAGUGUCUUCAUAUUCUACCAUUGGAUUACUAUCCUUAACAAUCUGAACAUCUCCAUCGUAUAUAUUUAAAGCUACAGUACAUAAAACGAAAAGUCAGAAAUAGAGGACAUUAUCACACCAGUUCCAAGACAAUAUUUGCAUCGUUUAUGCUCCUGCUGUUUCACAUUGUUUAUUUCAACUACCAUCAAUGCUGAGAUCACUCCGACUGCUCCUCCAGAGAAUGACGCCACUAUGGGAUCAACUUGACUGCAGUUUGAAAGUAAAGGAGAUCAAUAAACAAAACUGUUAACAACAUAGUAUCAACAUUAUUUAGCUUCGUUUCAAGAAAUAUGACAUCCUAGGUUUUUCUAAUGUGUAAAAAUUGAGGAUCCUUGACUAUAUCGGUUCCCAAAGCAUUUGAUUCCUACGUUACAGACGGAAAACAGUAACAAUCGAAUUUAAAGAUUCAUAACACGAUAGAUGGUAGGUCUCGGGUUCGAGACUUGGGAGCAGCCUCUCCAUAAAUGGGGGUAAGGCUAGCCGACAUUCACCUCUCCCAGACCCUGCGUAAAGCGGGAGCCUUGUGCACUGGGUACGACCUUUUAUAACACGAUAGAUGGUACAAAUUUUCAAAACGAUAAUUACUAGAGAACAGGAGGGUUAAUAGCCUGAGAUAUGAGCAAUACCUCAACUGCAACGGCAGAUGCAUAUUUACUAUAAAGUCUUUAUAUGAUGUGCCUCCUAUUCCCAGCUUCAACUCCAACUGAAAGAUGUAAAGGUAAUUGUAGGCAAAGAGUUACAAACAUAACCGAAUCCAUGUUUUAUAAGCAACAACUACACUUAUUUUGUUAUGUUUCCUCAUUUUUUACUUGCAAAUUCCGAACCAUAUUGUCGGACCAGUAAAAAGAAAAUAAUGUUUAUGAUAACUGUUAAAACUAAUCACAACAAGUUAAUGCAUAAAGAACUUACGGAGGGUGCUAUGAGGCCACCGAAAAGGAUAAACCCCGCAAUAAUUGAAUAACAAACAGCAUAAUAUUGCUUAAGGUUGUCUGAACUCUGCAAGCAAUGAAUUCACCUUGUGAUUAAUACUUUGCACAAACACUAGUUUUCGCAAUUUUUUAUGAAUCGACAAAAGGCUACAACAAAAUAUGGCUAAAACAUGUGAAAAUACAUGUCUUCACAGGGGCACCAGCUUACCAGGGGAGGCAAAAAUGGAAUGAACGAUGGAAAACUAGGAAGUUCGUUUUCUUGAUCUUCAUUUACCGCUCCAAGCUCUGCACGUUUAAUCCGCUGUUGUAUCCUCAGCCCGCGAACCUACGCAUAUCGAAGCUCAUUCUUAAAGAACACAUUUCUAAUGGCAAUUGGAGAGUAAUUUAAAACAUGCUAAACUGAGAAAGUGGUAGCAACAAGCAAUUGCUCUCACUUCCUCCAUAUGCAAGAAAAUUUUGUUGCGACGACUCCGAAUAUUAUCUUGAAUUUCCUGCAGCUCCAUUGUCGCAAAGUCCUGCACUGUUUCAGGCCCCUCUAUGAUACAAAAUCUGCACAAUUAAGCAUGUAAAAACUAAAAAUUACAGGCUAUAAAACAAUUUCCGUAUCAUUUUUGGGAGCUCUCUCUCUCUCUCAAACCAGAAGGCAGAGCUUUCUGUUUCUCUUGAGGUUUCUUUCACUGGUAAAUUCCAGAGAAGCAGAGAAGAAGGCUCUCUGAGAAAUGGCGAUGGUGCAAGUGGAGACAAAACAAAUGUAUAUCUUGAAGCACCGAAAUUGUGCAGAACACUUGUCAACUACCGAACUCUAGGAUUAGGAGAGAGAGAGAGAGAGAGAGUGAGUGACCGGCAAAAAAAAAAAUGAGGGAAGAAUCACCCACAUUUAAAAAUGAUUUUUAGGGGACCUGGUGUCGUUGGAUUCGAGUAGUUGUUCGGUAUGUCACAUUUAAAAUUUUAUUAUCUGAUGAUAAACGUCGAAACAUAAAGAUAGGUCAUCUCUAACCGAAUGAGGACUAAAAAGUCAUGUUUAGUACUAUAAUCCUGCAAUGAAUUAUAUUUUAAUAAAUAAUAUCAGGUUAUAUUUUAUACCAUAUCUAACCGAGUGGGUCAAAUGAUCAUAUGCCAAACAUAGCCUUUUGACAAAAAACUCAUCUCCAACCGAGGGGGCUAAAUGGUCAUAGACCAAACAUAAUUGCUCAAUAAUUUAUUAUUCUAAUUGAAUUAAUAUGAUUAAUUAAAUUAAAUUACCAUAUUAAAAUAAGAUUUCAUGAUAUAUUUUGAGUGCCACUUGCCACAAUACCGAAGAAAGCAUGGUAUUAUUGCACCUGCCACAAAGUCAAGCUUGACAUUCUGCUGCUGGAGGGCUGGCUGGCUAGCUGAAAAUGGCCAGCCUGCUGGCCUGAUUUGGGAGGUUUUGGCCCAAUGGGGCCCCAAGCCCUUUGGCCUAGCCUUCGGUUGGAAACGGUUUUCGUGUUAUUCUGAGUUAUUUUUAACCCUAUGAUCCUUUGGCCGGAUCGAUUGGAGAUGACCUUAGGUGUGUUGAUUGUCUUUGAGACAUCGGAGGUUCUGUGUGAUUGAAUACUUCACCCUCCUCCAAAGGCGCCACUCUUGAGAAGGUUACUUGCCUCAUGCAAACAUUGUGAAUUGCAAGUGAUGAAUUGUUCUGAUGAUGAGGUUUAUUUUUUAACUCAUUAUGUUUCAAGUUUAAACAUUUUUCCCUCUCUUAGUGUAAAAUAUUGUUUGUGAUAAAAAAACUUAAAAUGAGACACUCUCCUUCAUAUAUAAGAUGAUCAAGUGUGAGAUUAAUACUUUUAAUGAGUGACUCAAUUAACCAUUUUCAUUUCUUACGCGUUCAAAAUUAGACAAAUUCUUUGCAUACAUUUAAAAAAAAAAGAUAUUAAGGAGAGUAUAAAAUUAUUACAUUACGAAGAGAGAGUUUCGAACUCGGGACGUAUGAGUAGAACCCUAACGCCUCUCCACUAGGAUAUUAGACCAAUACUGGUCUUGAAUUUUUUUGGUGCCCGGAGCGAAUGCUCAAAACGUGUCUUUUUCCAGUACAACAUAAAUUAAAAAGAAAUAUUUAUAGAGGGCUAGAACCCAAUCGAAGCUGGGGGACUAGGCCCUUACGCCUAUAUUAUAUUACUUACCUAAUACAAACAUUUCUGAUAGAUUUCAGAGGCUCUAAAUGGUCAAACACUUCGUCCUUCCCAAAACCGUUACUGUUGAGAGGGUUCCUUACCUAAUACAAACAUUUUACGUUUACUUAGAACUAGAAAAAUAAGAAUUGCAGGUGAUGAAUUGCUCUAAUGAUGAUGUUUAUUUUUUAACUUAUUGUGUUUUAAGUUUAAAUAAUUCUGUUUCUUUGAUAUAUAUAUUAGUGUAAAAUCAUUCGUAAUAAUAAAAAAAAAGAAUAAAAAUGAUACUCUCAUUUAUAUACAAGUUGAUCAAGUGUGAGAUUAAUAAUUUUAAUGAGUGAAUUAACUAUUUUCAUUUCUUACGAGUUCAAAAUUACACAAAUUCUUUGCAUACAUUUUUUUUUUAAAUAGAAAAUUUCUAUUAUUAAGGAGAGAGUCCUAAACUAUUAGGUUAUGGAAUGUGAGUAGAAACCUAACGCCUAUCCACUAGGAUAUUAGACCACCAGAGCUGAUCCUGAGAUUUUUGGUGCCUGCGUCAAAAUAUGUCCUUUUCCAGUACAACAAUAUAAAUUAAAAAGAAAUAUUUAAAGAGGGCUGGAACCCAGUCGAAGCUGGGAGGCUAGGCCCUCACGCCCAUAUUCUAUUACUUGAAGAAACAAUAUACAACGGGGGGAAUCAUAGUACCGAAACCCCAACAAUAAAAAACAAAGUCACAUGCAACCACUCCAAGCAGUCAACUUGGCCAUUACAUAUUGAAUCCAAAAGGUUGACGGCCUAUUCUCUGCAUACAAUGCACAGAAGAUAACAAGAUUACUAAUAUAAAAAGAACAUCUGAAAAGAUGAACAUAUGCAUCAACAAAUAAGCAGGGGCGGAUCCACAGUGGGGUCGUCGGGGUCAAACGACCCCUUGGAAACCAUGGAAACAACCUUGAAGCUCCCAUAUGCGACCUCUUGGAGCUGGGGUUGUCGGGGUUGUCAGGAAGAGGAAGAAGAAGACUCGGCAGGAAGAGGAAGAAGAAGCAGCUCGCGCGACGUGUAGGUUCUGUGUAGAGUUUCUGACCUUUAAUUCCCACUUCACAAAGACGAGAGAAAGAGAGAGAGGGAAGGAAAGUCCUCGGGGUGGUGGUGAUGUAGACCUUCGUCGGGGUAGUGGUGUGGGUGUGCGUGGGUGUGGAUUCGAUCGGAGAGAGUGAGAGGGUUAAAGAGUGAAAAAGAGAGAGAGAGAGAGAGAGAGAGAGAGAGAGAGAGAGAGAGAGAGAGAGAGAGAGAGAGAGAGAGAGAGAGAGAGAGGAGAGUUCGGGGAGAUGAGAAGGAGGACAAUGGGGACUUGCCCCGUGGCAAGUUGUGAUAGGUAGGAAAUCCCAAAAAGGGAUCCGGAUAGGGUAAGUAAGUGGGGACCAAAUUGUAAACUUCAUUUAACUGUAGGGAAAUUGUGAAAUUACAAGGAAAUCUUUGGGGAGGGGUUUUACAGAAACCCUUCUCAACACUUAAAAGCAAACUGCGUGCUUUUAAUCAGGUUUGGCUCUAUAAUUGAACUUGUAACCAUGCCUUUCCCUAUGACGGAAUUGUGAUAUGCUUUGCCAGAUAUUCACAAGGAAUUCAUUUUUCUUUUUCCAAUUGCAAAAUAUUAGUGAACAAGUUGUUUCUUCUAUGAGAGAUCCAAGCAUAAUGGUUGGGUAGAUGCAGAUGAGAAAAUCAGCAGUUGCUGUAUUUGGCACAGUAAGAUAUUAACUCUUACAUCUAAAUUGAAAAACAUGAAAAUUUCCUAGUUCUCAAGGUCUCACGUGCAUGCUCAGAUACAUUUGUGCUUCAUAUUUGUGUGUUUGAUUCCGAGAAGGCUGACAAGUUGAAGCAAUCUCUUCCUCCAUGUUUGAACAUUCAGGACCUUUGAACAAGGAUUUUGGAGUAGCUGGUUGCGCUAUCCUACCAAGACCCGAUGAAAUGACGAUAUGCAUGCCGUUUCUGUUAAAAAAAAAUAUCCUUAUUGACCCCCCAAACAUUAUUUCCUGGAUCCGCCACUGCAAAUAAGUAAACCAUUCUAAGUGCAAUUUUAGAAGUGAUACGCUCCAAGUGUGAUAUUGGACAGAAGAGCGGCAGCUUCAACCAGUUCUGCUAUAUCCGGCUGGAUGAGAGCUGCUAAAGACAUGAUUGUUCCCUAAUAACAUGAAUAAAUUGAGUAAACACCAAAAGUAGCGCAGCAAGGGAAGGAGAUUUGAAGUAGAUGAAGAGGUGUAAUACCCGUAUAUGCAGCGCAUCAUUUCUGAUAGAUCAAAUCGAGCCAAUUCCUGCCAACUCCAAUGCCGAUAAUCCUACAGUAAAGCAUAAAUCUUAUUCUCUUCUGAUAAAGAUGUGUGUCCCUGACUCCAACGUGUUUGACGCACAUUCCCUACCCAUACAUUGAAACCUUCAUCUGCAAGGACGAAUCCCAGUUAUUCUUCUGGAGAAUUUAAGAACCAUGAAUCACCUGGUCAAGAAAAGCCAGUAACCAAUUACAAUUGAGUUUGAAGCACAUAAGAGCCUAAUUUAAAAUGUAUCCCAUGGAUGUUCAUCAAUUUACACAAUAGUUAGUUUCAAGAAAGGAAAUUUCAACAGAACCUGAAAACUUCAGAUCAGGGGGCACCAAAUAGUGAGCUAUACAUUCAAAAUUUGAAAUAAUCAACUUAGUGGGACCAAUAUGUUGAAAAAAUUGGAAGGAGCUAUGAAAGUAAGGCUUUUCACUAAUCAGACGUCCAGAGAAUCAAUAUUUUACUCACGGAUCAGUUACGGGGAACACUCCCCACCAAAGCAAACUCUUUCGUCUGAAUCUGGAAAACAAGCAGCAGUGGAUUUUAACAGUCUGGGUAUCUCAAAGUUACUUUAAUCACAAAUUUAACAAUUAAACAUAUAAAUGGGCAUUAUUUAGUGAAAUAUUAGUAUAGUACUCACUGUGUGCUCGGAACAAGAGUACCCAGAAAGCUCAAUGAGCUGCGCACAGAGGACUACAGCGGUGAACGACAGCGACCGAUUCUGUAAAAUUCAGUCGAGUUUUGGGUGAUUUCGGAGGUCAAGAGGCUGAUAAGGAAAGCUGCGACCGAAGGGCACUGGUCUGGAAGAAAAGGCUCAGGUCACUGCUGUCCCAAUUCGCGAAGGAAGUGCCCCCAAAACAAUUUCGGCCCUGGACAGGUGCACUGUUUGCACUGGACCAGGGCCGGCCGGCCCAGGCGAUAACGUCCCCCAAACAGUACAUAUACAGAUGCUAGAAAUAUAUUAAUGUAACCUGAAACUACUAGAACCAUUCAAUUCUAGCGUCUACAGCUUUAGCAUUAGUUGGUACAUGGGACAUUCUUCCAAAGAGGGAGAUGAGCUCGUUGAGGCUCUUAUUUAUUCCCCCUCUUGAUGUGCCCUUCUAGGCUGCUAAUUCCAGACGAUCCAAUCUCAUACAUCUUCCCUGCAAAAGCAUGUGUGCCAGACUUCAAGAUCAAAUUUUUCCAACAAAAGAAACUUAAAGAUCAAACUCGCCAGCGGAAUAAAUGAUGCACAAGGGUGUUAAAAUCUUGACAUAUGUAUAUUUUUGGCAGAUUUUAUGUGAGCAUGCUACUAAAACUGGCAUCACUAAAGAUUGGUGGAAAACUUUAACAGUUUGAGUUGUAACUUCUCCAUUGUAUUUGUUAAGGCAAGAUGGAUGACAUCUAUGCAAUUUUCAGUAGAACUUAAAAGGCUGCAUAGCAGCUCUUGUUCGUUGUAUUGAAUACCGUGGUUUUACUGAUGAAUGCAGAGUUUGUUGAUGAUUCAUACGACAAGCAAUUGAAAAUCCCAUCAUUAUGCCCCACAUAUACCAAAAAAAAAAAGUCAUUUACACAAAUUCAGAGCGUUCAUCCACUGUAAUUUGCAGAUAUAGAAACGUUAAGAUAAAAGGAAAUGCAAAGUACCUUUCACCCAAAUUGGAGGAGCACCGGUGGCAUUAGCAAGUUAGCAACGGGAAUUGACAUACCAAUAUCUUCACAGUUUCUGCACAAGCACAAAUCAAAAGAACCCGGCGGUGGAGUUAUGUACCUCUCCUUGGAAAAUGCCACCUCUUGGGAUUUCAAAAUAUGCAGCCAUGGCUAGCCGUCUGACCACGCCAAUUCCACCAAAGCCACCGCAACGCGGCGUAGUGUCCGAUUGAUUGCUUCAAAACAGAGCUUCGUAUCCAUGUGUUUAUCAGCAGAGAGUACCCAAAACCACUGAAAAUUAUUUCUUUAUUCAGAUAAUAAAAUUUCCCAAAUUUGGAAAUUUAAUUCCGAAUCAAAAGUAGGGUUUGAAUUUUGAUUACCUAGAAAUUGGGGGGUUGGGGUGGAGAGGGACCCGUGCCACGACGGAUCUCUGUGUCUGUUUUAACUCAUGCCAAAUUAUAGAGAGUGUCAGGAAGACUUAAAUACUGAAGCCCCGUAAGCCGUUCAAUCCAGGGGGGAAGCUCUUUGAUAGAUGUUUUAUCCAAGAUAAGAUAUCUUAAUCCUUCCAUAUUUUCUUCAAUGCUUGGAAACACCUCAAAUUUUGUACAACCGGAAACAGAGAGACGGACAAGGGACUUGAGCUGACAAAUGCUGCUUGGAAGGCUCUUUAGUUCCUCGCAGUCGUUUAGCUUCAAAUAAGUCAAUCCCGUGAGAUUAUUAAUCGACCAUGGUAGUUCUUUAAUUUUUGAUCCGGAUAAAUUAAGAAAUUCUAACCCUUCAAUCACUUCUGUAAUCUCUGGAAACAUCUCAAGGCUCGAGCAACCAUAAAGAUCAAAGCUUUUGAGUGAUUUCAUACGAAUGCUGCUGGGAAGACUCUUAAGUUUCUUGCAGUAUAGUAGAUUCAAAUGACUCAACCCCGUAAGAUUAUUAAUUGAUGGGGGCAGUUCUUUAAUUUUUGAGCAGCGUAAAUCAAGCUUUUCUAACCCCUCAAUACCUUUUGACAUCGAUGGAAACAUCUCAAGACUGGAGCAGCCAUGAAGGUUCAAGGUUUUGAGACAUUUCAUACGAAUGCAGCCUGGAAGACUCUUAAGUUCCUUGCAAUCUUUUAGGUUGAAAUGACACAACCCCGUGAGAUUAUUAAUUGACAUGGGCAGUUCUUUAAUUUUUGACUCGGAUAAAUUAAGCUCUUCUAACUCCUCCAUACAUUUUGAAAUCUCUGGAAACAUCACAAGAUUGGAGCAGCCAUAAAGAUUAAAGGUUUUGAGAGAUCUCAUACGAAUUUUGCUGGGUAGACUCUCAAGUUCCUUGGAAAAUUCUAAGUUUAAAUGACUCAAUCCCGUGAGAUUAUUAAUUGACUCGGGCAGUACUUUAAUUUUUGACGCGGUUAAAUUAAGCUCUUCUAACUCCUCCAUACCUUCUGAAAUCUCUGGAAACAUCUCAAGAUUGGUGCAACCUCUUAGAUUAAAGGUUUUGAGAGAUUGCAUGCCAAUGUUGUUGGGUAGAAUCUUAAGUUCAUUGCACCAAUUCAGAUCUAAUAAAACAAGCUUUGUAAGAGUCAAAAUCGACCCGUGAACCUCAACUAAGCGUGUACAACUUUGAACAAUUAGCCUCUCAAGAUUUGGCACAUUUGUGAAGUCAGGGGUUAUCUCAAGGUUUUGACAAUGACUUAAAUUGAUGAAUUUCAACUUUUCC